Molecule: long non-coding RNA, 202354 nt
Filed under: Physcomitrium patens
Lineage: Eukaryota; Viridiplantae; Streptophyta; Bryopsida; Funariales; Funariaceae
Source: RNAcentral
UUUUUUUUUUUUUCGAGCACUCCAAUUAUAUAUAUAUAUAUAUAUACAUGGGUAGUCUUUAUUAGAAUUGUGUAUACUCCACACAAAAUAUUGCAACAUGGGUAUUAUAGCGGAGUUUCAUACUCUGAAAAAUCCAAUGUUUGAAAUUACAAGAUUAGUAAUGUCAUCGUCCACCAACAGUUUUCUUAUCUUCGCAAACAAACACACAAGAAAGAACAACACAUACACACACCAUUCUGUCGAACUCACUUGUUAUUGUUGUUACUAAUCAAUCCAAACACUUCAAAACUUUAAUUGUUGAAAAACUUAGUCCACAUACUUCAUUACACCAUUCUGCGGAAGAUUGCACUACUUAUGUCCUCCGUCUUGUACUCAAAAUCACGAACACAUCCCGGAACCAGUAAGACGCGAGACAUCAUCACUUACAUGGCAAACUCCAAAGAGAAAUCUACAAUACAUAAAGGCAAUACCACCACAUGAACCUUAACAAAAACGGAUAGGGAUACACACACAAAAGCUGCGAAGAGACCAACUCACAGAGCAAUCAAAGUCUGUCUUAUCUAUCUUGACAGAUAGACAAGGGUGCCAGACCAUCGCAGAGGAAUGCAUGAGGUUGAGUACGGGAGCUAGAGGAGCUCCAGCUCGAUUGAGGACAGACAGCGACAGAGCUGUUGCAGAGCUUCAAGGACACGGCUGUAGCCAGGGAACAGCCAACAGCGAAUGAGGCCUGGUUCUGACAGAAUGCCUGCCAGCCAGCCAGCCAGGAAGCGGGGCGGGAUUGGACUGAUGUGCACCUGGGACGGAGGGGUUUGGCAUGUGAGGUACAGCGAUCACAGUUGGGUCAGGAGCUUCAGUGCAGACUGUCAUGACAACGGCUACUAUUGUUUAAGGUGGUAGCAGCACUGCAAAGAUGCGGCAUCAGAUGGUGAUGUAAGGGUAAGAAUAGUUAGAUACUGCCCCACCGUGCACAAACCCCCUCCACCUAGUACCAUGGGGAAGAAAAGGGUGGAGGGAAGAUGAAUAAAUUCGCUUACACUGUUAUUCUGUAAGGAUUACUUACGGUAUAUCUUGGAAACUUUGAGCAGACCGACUGAGAGUAGAAAAAGGUUCUGGCCAGCCGGAUGACGACAAAGAUGAGUUAGCCCGCCCGGAGUUGUUUACCUCAGAUACAGAGAGAAGAUCAUUUGCUUAUUGUCACAUGUGCAGAGUUGAUGAAACAGUAAAAGGAAAUUGUCAUACAGGUGCGAGUGUAACAUGCAUGUCGAAACUCCGUGAAUCAAGCAUGUAACACACCUACAGCGUACAAUUCGGAAAACUUCCAAAACAAGAUUUCCAUGCUCAUCGUAAAGAAAACAUUACAGUAUACACAAGCAUAUAAGGCAAAAAGCCAGAGAGAAGAAAUUUAAUUAGGAUGAAUGCUCAUCGUUUUAUUGGACAACAGGUCCACAAAUAGAACCUUAGAGAGAACUUCGAACCUGUGGACGUCUUGUCACGUAUUAUGAAUGAAAUCACCUCUAUCAAUGGUCAUGUUCACAGGAGUCGCUCCACUGGGAUAUAGGGCAGUGGAGGCGCACCUUCGAUCAAAUCCUAGCCUACGUUUUAUCACAAAUUUUUUACAGCCGCUCAAAUCCUAAGAAAAUAAGCUUCCCGGCCGCCAGCAACCUUCUACCGAGCUACAGCCCAACUGUUGCAACAACAACGCAAGCUCAAAAACCCAGCCGCUCUAACAGAAGACUUUGGAGGAAAUCCAUCACCGUGACGUUUGACAUCGUCCUCCGACAGUAAAACUCACAAAAAACCGCGCCAAGCGAAACGGCCAGUACACAGAUCCUUCCACCCCAGAAAACCAAUCGUCUCCAAAAUAAUCUCCCACGUCACAUCCUGAAAAAUCAUCAUCACCUGUGGAACGCCCAACAACCUCCGCGCACUCUCAACAUCCUUACCAAAUGUGGGCACCAACGAACGCCAAGGCAGCGAAGAUCACCGGCGCCACCACGGCGGGCGCCACGGACGCCGCGUGACUUUCCGGGGGUGGGGCGGGAGCCAUGGCCUGAGCGCUCACGCUCACGGCCAAGGAGCAAGCAACAACCACAGCCACGAGGGCGAAAUUCUUCACAGAUCUCAUCGUGGAAGCCAUUCUGCAGUGAUCAGCGACCCUGUUCCGCAACCUGGAGAGAUGGUUCACAGUGUUUUCCUCGCAAGCCCAACGCACAGUAUUUGUCUCUGACAAGAAUGGAGGCUUGUGGGGGCAAUGUGGGGCGGCGAUAAGAGACGUUGGAGGCGUCGGAGAGCUCAAAGCGUGAGAAGCUACAAUCGAUGAAACUAAUAUACUGCAGAGCGAAGAAGUGGGGGCGCGGCUAUAAAGAGCCUCGAGCUGAGACCCGGCGGGGACGCCGAAGCAGGCCAAGCCGUGUGCAGCGGGCAGCGGGUUGUCUGCCCCGCCAAAAAGGGGGGCAAAAAAGUAAAACGUUUUUCCUCACCGCCCCUUGAUCCCACCGCCUAUUCCCGUGUCGCAGUCUUUUCCCAGUCAAUAUACGCGCUUUCGUCACGUAAUUCCGCGCAAAAUUGGGUGAAAUAAAUAAUUAUCUAUUAUGAAUGUAGGUCUGUCAGGUUCAGUUGGGUUUCAACUGUGCUCCUACAAAUCCAACUCUGUUCUUUAUUCUUUUUUCUUCUAUAAGUCUAAAGACCGUUUCUAAUUUGCACGAGUGUGUGGAUGGCUUGCUUAUAUCCUAAAGUAAAACAGUGGUUUUAUAAAUUUGGGGAUUAGUUGUACUUGUUGUUGCAUUAUAUAUUGGGUUAUGGCAAAGUGAGACUUGGGUGUGGAUUUUCCAACCGGAGCCGUGAAAGUAAAAUAUAUAUAUAUAUAUAUAUGUUCUUUAAAACACUUACCUUGAACAAAAGCUGUUUUUCUGUUGAUGUGGUUAUUUUUUAAUUUUAUUGCUGAUGUUUUUGUUAAGCACUGUUGUGUUACUUGGUUAGACAGAAUGUAAAUUUGUGUUAUAGUGAGGUUGCAAAAUGUAUUGAAGGAUAGAAUUUUUAUUUAAUUUUUAAUUUUUAAAAUUUUAAAAUUUUUCACUGCCAAUCUUUUCCUUUGAUACAGUGUCUAUUUGUUACAUAUAUGGCAUAAAAUCGUAUUUACCUUUGAAAUAUGUAGUGCACAUUUUUAUUUUUACUUUUAUUUUUUCAUAUGUGCUAGCAAGUAGAAAGCAAAUGCAAACAUGCCUUCAAAGUCACAAGCUACUAUGGACAUAGAAGGGGUCUAAAACCCAUAUUCCCUAUUGCUUUUUUGUAACCAGGCACAUACACAUUAGAAGUAAGGAACAUGGAUUCUAUGUACUACAUUUGUUUGUUUAUUCUAUUCUAUUAUGAUUAUUAAUGUUGUUAUAGCAACAUGGCAUGAACAAAAUGUGGACCUUCCAAAAGAUUUUGAAUCCAAACGUAGAUGCCUACACAAAGUCAUACAUAGCAUUUCUGCAGAUGAAGAGAAAAUAGGGGAAAAAAGAAAAAUAAAAAAAAAGUCCACUUUGCAUUUGACCACCAAGUAGUUGCAAUUCCUCUUGACUUCCAAGCUCAAUAAUGGAGUAGAUGUAGAUUGGUUGGAACAAAGGCAUACGCACAUGGUUUGUUUUUCUUUUCCCCAGUACAAUUUACGUGUAUUUCCCCAAUUGCAAAAUUCCAAUCACCUACAAAAAAGCCUUUUGAGCUACCACCCCACAACACUCUUGUAGAAAGGAGAUAGAAAGCAAACUCAUGCACUCCAAGGAAUUGCAUCUUCAACUCCUCACUUCGUUUCCACUCCUUGUAGGCAAUUCAUAAUAAAAUUAGAACUAAAAUUAGAACCAAAAUUGAAACUAAAACCUCCAUCUUUAUCUAUACCCUUGUUUUUGAAGUUGAACAAUUGAAUCGAAGUAGGUCUGGCUUCCCUUCAAAACAUGAUAGAAACCCAGCAAUAUUCAAUGGUCCAACAGAGUCAAACUUGUAUUAAUACAAGUUAGGCUUUCAGUGAAGAAAAAGAGCAAGUCAACAUGUCUUUGUGCUUCUUUUUUGUAUUUGUUUUUUUUUUGUUGCAAAACCGCAAUAUUCUGUAUAAAUGAGGGGAUGCCAUCUCACUAGAUAUGUGGGAAAAAGGCUUCAGUCAUGAGAGACUUGGUGUAUAGUUUUCUUCCAAGUGUAUGUGAGAGUAGAUGAUUGAAGAAGACGAGGACGAGAGUCUAGGGAUCAAGCGCGCGCGAGUCCCACCAUGAGUGAUGGUUGUGGUGCCUGCUUUGCCCUCAUUCAAGGGGUCAAUCAUUUUGUGCAUCUACCGAGGACGUUCAACUAACCCAGGUUUGGAGAUGGUGGGGUGGGGGUGUUGUGCAGAUUCCAAGCAUGGGCUGAAAGAAUAAUCAAUGCAGACAGAUUCUGUAUCAACACAUGCUUUUUCUAGCUCUUAAUGUAAUUGAAGAAAAUAACAGAAAAAAAUAAAAAUAAAAAAUAAUAAUAAUUGUCUUCAACUCUUCAAGUGUAAAUUCAACUCUUCAAGUCACACUCAAUGUCUAACCCUUCAUAUGUUUAGAGUAAAAAAAAAAAAAAAAAAAAAAAAAAAUCUUACAAAUUUUAUUUUUUUCAAAACAUUUGUAAACUUGUUAACACAAAAUUCACAAUAAUAUAUUGUACGUGAAAAUUGAAUGAAAUGAAUGCCAUGUAUUUUUUUUUAAUUCAACAUGAUAUUACGUAGUACCCACUGUUUUUGAGAUUGUCCAUACAGUGGUCUAUGCCAUUUUUUGUUUUUAUUUUUUUCCAGUACAAUAUUGUACUGAACACGUGCAAUCACAUGAUGGUAAAUUUUAUUGAACAAAAAUGAGAGUGAGGCAAACAUAAGAAAAAUAGGUAAAUAAAUAUUUCAGGAAAUAACAUUACCACUGUAAAUAUUUGUUGAAUAAGACACUAAAGAAAACAUUUUAAUUUUAUUGAAUAAUAAUCAUUUUUUAAUGUUGUGAGUAAAUUUAGGUCUUGUUCCUUUUCAAAAGAUGACCAUGGUCUCAACACUUGCUUGAUAAAACUUUACCAUUUUACAUGACAUGCUUAUCCCAAUGCAUGUACUAUUAGUUAGUCAUUAUAUUCCUGCUACAAGUUUAAUAUUUUAGAAGGUUAUUUCAUUGCAACAAUAAUCUUAUUAGCAUGUAUUGGAGUGGCAAUGUUUUAAAUAUCACUAUCACCAUCAAAUUCAUCGUUUUUGAUAUUUAUCAUAUUUACAAACAUUUAACAAGGGUGUGUCUUGUGUUAAAGAAAAAUAGUGGUAAAAGUGAAACUGUCUAAAAAUUUUAAAAAAUAAAAGCUGUAAACUGAUAUUCUGAAACAUUCUUUACAGGGAGAUAAAAACAAUAAAAAUGAUUGGGUUGCAUGAAUUAAAAGCUAUAAAGUGUGUGAUUCCAUCACCAGUCGUAGAUGUUUUGAGUGACCUAUUUUUAACCUGUUGUGAUGUAACCCAAACCAACGUGUGUAUUUAUUAUGUAAGGAUAAGGAUUGUUAUUUUUUGAACAUUUGAUCCCAUCUUUGAAACCUAAAAUAAAUGAGGUUGGAAUCAACAGAUUGUGAAAGAUUGUUCCAAAGUAAAUGGGAAUGAUUUAUUAUGGAAUCCUUCAACUGAACCAUCUUUUUUUCUUUUUAUUCUUUUUAUUUGUAUAAAAGUAAUCCAGCCAAAAUCAUGUUUAAUCAACCUAUCAUUCACUCUUAAUGGAAGCUUGCAGGACCCAAUUGUAAGAACUUACCCAACAAGAGGUGAAAUAUUCAAUCUCUAUUGGCUGCAGAACUUCAACUUUAUUUUAUUUUUUUGCUCUCUGUCCAUUAAUAUUAAAAAGUAUACAAAUAAAUGGUUACUGCAUGAAAGCUCAACCACUAGGGUUUGAAGAUUUGGUGUGUUGUAUAUGAUGCAGCUCUUCUUUUUGUUGAAGCCAUGACAGGUUUCAUGAUUUUAUGUCACAAUGGAAUCUGACAUUCUGACCUGGCCAUUUCACUUGACUGUGUGCCCUAAAAUGCCCUCAUCUGCAAAAAACACAGAAGUAGGAUUAAGAAGUAAAAGGGUAAAAUAUAUAUAUAUAUAUAUAUAUAUAUGAAAAUGUGUGAUUUAUGCAACAUUAUUAACAUGUAGAAAAGAAAUAAAAUUAAAUAAAACAUAAUCCAUAUUACUUGUAGGGUUUUGCUGAUGCCCACCAUAGUCUGUGGUUCUAGUUAUUUUUUUACAUUUGUAUCCUUUUUAAUGAAUGGAUUGUGACUUUUUAUUCCCCUUGUUGCAUAUUUUAUUGUUGUUAAAUAUAAAAGAAAAUGAUUGACCAAUGCAUUGAACAGCAAUUCCUUACAUUUCAAUUCCUUUAAAUUUCAAACCACAAACCAUUUUUUAUUUAUUCUUCCACCGUACACAUCUUCAACGGUCAUAAACAUGGUAUUCUUUCUUACUCUUUUUUACUCUCUUCUUUUUUUCCUUUUUUUCUUUUUGAUGUUUUCAAGAUUGCAUGAUGGAAUUUAUCAUUCAGCAUUCUUUGACAUGGUCCUUCAGCACAAUUUGAUUUUUGUGAAGACCAAACAAAUUCAAAAAGCGAAAAAAAGAAAGAAAAGAAAAGAAAAGAAAAAUGAAGUGGUCUCCAACCUUCAAAGACAGUCAUUUUUCUUUUUCUUUUUCUUUUUCUAUUGUUGAUAUUAUUGUUACUUAAAGAUGUCAAGCUGCUAAAAGGUAUUGGGCAAGAGGGUAGUUCAUAUGUCACUCUUUCUCUCUCUCUCAAUAUAUAUAUAUAUAUAUAUAUAUAUAUAAUAAUAAGAAGAAGAGGGUGAGAGAAAAAAGAAGAAUCCACACUUUGCUAGUGUGCCAGCCCCCAUUCUUCUUAUGAUUGUAGCUUUUGCUCAUAAUGAUAUGCAAUGAAUCAUCUUGUGGGCUGGAAAGAUAAAAAUGGCUCAUACAGAUCCAUAAUGUCCUUCUGCAUUUGCAUCAUCAGCAUGCACCUUCAUUAGACACACACACGCAUAUCAACAUGGCAUGGUUUUCAUUUACAACAUGUGUGGUUAAUAAAACACACACAGUUACAGUGAAUGUACUUCAAAGAAAAUCAUAAAUUCAACAACAUGUUGGAUGUUUCCUUGCCAUGAAAACAGUUCCACCAUAUGCAUUCAAAGUUGGCAAUUCAACAUAUAAAGACAAAAUGAAAAAAACAAACAAAACCAAAACAAAAACAAAAACAAACAAACAAUCACACAAGACAGAGAAUAAUCAUGGUGUCAUUGUGCUGUUACUGCAACUCAUUACAAGACAAUGACAAUGUCAUUGGUUGGCAACAAAGUGCAUCAAUAAAUAAAUAAACAAAGGUAAAGAAACAAUGUGCAUCAAUGGAAUCACAAUCACAAUCACAGUAGAUAUAUGCUACCUCAAUGCCUCAGUGUAAGAACACAGCCACACUGAGCAGUAAAGAGAUUAUCGAAAACAUUGAUACCAAGUGAUUCACUAAUAAGAAUUAUCCAAACCAUCUUCCCCAUUAAUGACACCUCUAAAAUUGUGCACUUACUUAACUGAUCCUCACUUCCACUUCCACUUCCCCACAUUCUCCAGAGAAUGUCCUGUACAAAGGGGCUUUUCUUCUUCUUCUUCUUCUGCUUCUUCUUCGUCUUCACUGUAAAGCUCAUUCAACACGGGGCUUAGAAUCUCCCUCGUCAAUGCCCCUCCACACCUCUGUCCAAAACUGGCACAUCGUUUCAUGAUAUCUCCAACAAGCCACUAUCAUAUGGGACACUUCGUACGAAGGCCAAGUGUCGAGAUCGAUGAAACUAGCUUUACGGGAAGCUUUGAUCUCCACGGAAAAAUUUAAACGACUCAGGGCGGAGCGUCCAAGACCAGGGGAUCGGGGAAGGCGGUUGAAGGGUUCCACUUCAGCCAGCCAGCUCAGCAGCCAGCUAAGCGCGAGGGGGCGGGCGUGCACGUCCGGGCAGAGGAGUGGUGCAGUGUGCCAGGGCUGGUUAGUCAUUGCCCAUGUUCCUGCUGCCGUCGGAUGGACGACGGAGAUUCGUUCCCAUGAAAAGAAGACUAUAUUUGAACUUGUCCAUGUGGAGGUUCUUCCGGGGGUCUUGUGGUUUCUGCUCUGUUCUUGGUCAGGCCUUCCUAGGCCUCGUUUUUGUGAAUUUUAGUGGGUUUUGUUGGGUUGCUAUAUAAUUGCGGUUUCGAAAUUUGGGGAGGGAGGGGAGUUCGGGGGUUUUUCUGGCUCCGUCAGUAGUUGCGAGGGAUUUGUCAUGGUAUUUAUAUAGUAAGGUAUGGUAAGUGUUGGACUUCUCCAUGGAAACGCAAAAGCUGGUUCCGUCACCGUAGUCCUGCGAAGGGGGGGGGCAUAUUCCGGGGCGGUAUCGGUGGGGGCUUUUUCCAUGAUUGCAUGUGUUCCGUCUGGAUUUGUCAUCAUCACUCGGGGUUGCACCUUUCCACCCCCCCCCCCCUCUCGCUCUCUCCUCUCCCACGCCCCAGUUCUGGUGUGGAGGUUUUUCCGGGGGUUUUGUUUACAGGUUUAGGAUUUAGAGUUUUUGAAUCUAACAUAUUUAUUAUUAUUGUUAUUGCCAUUGUUACGUUAUGUUCUAUUGGGUAUUAAUGUAGGCAUAUAUAUAUAUAUUAAAGGAAGUAUUGUUUCUUUUUACUAUAUCUCACUAUUUUUUGAGUUACUAUUCACAUGCAUUUCCAUAAUACAUACCAUUCAGCAUAUUCCUUAAAGAAACGUUGCAUAUAAAACGUGAAUUUGUGAAUGUUUGGAUUUUGAACAGGUUGUAUCUUCAACAUAAUGAGGAACACCAAAAUCAUAUAUUUAGAAGUAGAAAUUAUACUACAGUAGUAUUGAAUAGAAAUAGAAGUGUUAAAAAAUCAAGUAUUACUCCAUGUAAAUCAUGACAAUCAAUAUAAUAAUCAGAAAUGCAACAGAAUACUCCUUAUAUUUGUUGUUCACAACGUCACCAUCACCAUCUGCAAUACGAUGUGUACACAACCCUAACUUGUGCGAAUUUGUUUAAAAAUAUUUUCCAAUAUUGAUUUGUACGCUGAAACUGGCAACAGCCCACCCGGAAUAAUAAAAACCAGCUCAUGCGACAAAUAUACAAGCGAUAGAAUAAACGCCAAUGCGGUGAAUUCGCGCGUUCCGUGGCACACAGCUGGCCGCCAUGUGGACGCUUCAUUAUGGAGGGACGACUCACAAUAGGACAAAGAUCGUGCCUGCCUGGCGAAGCGAGGUUUAUGCUUUGGCUUCGUGUUCGAGCAACGGGGCAUAUCUCCAUGGCCCCAUCACCACUGUCGAUACCCAUGGCCGUUGCAUGUGCAAGGGCCCAUGCCGCCGCGGCUCCCAUGUUCGAACCCUUGUUUGCAGCUGACAGGUUCCCGAAACCCUAAUUUGUUGCCGUUGCGUAAGGUUUAGGGUUUUAUAGCCCAGGGACUUGCGGAUCAUCAGCUUUGCGCUGGAGCUUAGCAAGCGCGAGACAGACCCGAGCAGCACAGCACGGCAGGCUGUCAUUUUGCCCUGCAAUCCUCACCAGUUGUGCGACAAUAACCCUCAAUUGAUAGGCAUUCAUUCUGUUUUUUAUUUUAUUUCUUUGUCUUUUAAAAUAUUAUCAGCCCAAAACACAGUGUUGUCCCUCUCAGUGUCUCGCUCUCUGUCCGUCCGUGGUCUUGUUUCACCGUCACAUCCUUUGGAAAAAUUUUCAUGGAAUUUUCACCUCCAAGCAUUGGGCCAAUAAUUUAUGCGAGAAUCUUUGGGACGCAGAUAGCAAGUCUGCCAUCCCGUACUUGCUUCCUUAGUUGUUGCAGAUCGAGAUCACGAAUGUAUGGAAGUAUGCUUGGAGCUCUUUGUGGGCUCUUUCGGAAUAUCUGUGGGGAGGAUUUUAGCUCUGCAGUUGGGCUUGCGAUCUCUCAGAUAAGUAUGUGUUGAUUCCGUAGCUGAAUAAAGGAUCCAUAUCUCGGUGAAUGCCACCACGGCCGCACAGUGUGAGUACAGGUCCGGAUGCCUUCGAUAUUACAGUGUGUAAGUAUGUUCGCUAUUUGGGUUUGUGGUAAACUCGUUAACAGCAGCAACAUCUAAUGGAGGUAAAUAUAGAUGAGUGAUAUUAAUGGAGUCACGGAUUGAAUACGACGUGGAAAAAGAGAAUUAAGAGAGCCCCAAUAAUACCAUUGUUCCAGGUGCUUGGAAAUCUUACCUGGAUGGACACAUUGAUGGGCACCUCAGGAUUUAAACGUUCAGAUCACAAGGACACACGCCAAGAAUAGGUGAAUGUGCUGUGUCCCGCCUUGUUUUCUCUUAAAGUGAUUGCCCCGUUAGAAUUUCGCUUCUGAAUCGUUUCUAAACCCUAAACCCUAAACCCUGAAUUUGCGGUACUGAGACACUCACAUAGAGAGCCUCGAGCAGGUGACAAAAGUACUAGUAAAAAUUUGUACACAAGGUUGAUGACUACGAUGUCAGAUGUGGAGCUGUGUACUGUUGCAACCCAUCAUCAUUUCCGAAACCAAUGGGAAGAGCUCGAGGCUCUCUUUCCCAGAUUAUCUCACAAGAGCCAAGCCGGCAUGCAACCCAGGCUUGACCUUGGGAUUCGCUUAACCUCAGGGCCCCGCGAACAUUCGUCACAAGAUUUUUACUUCUAUGGGGGUACAACUGGCGGUGCCCAUGAAUAAACACUGCAACAGUGAACUCUGCGUGUAUUGUGGAUGGAAUCUGCAAGCGUUCAAUGGAUGCUGUCUAAUUCACAGCUAUCACCGAGCGUAUGGCGUUCGCAGCAAAUUGAACAGAGAUCUGUGGCUCUGUGAUUUUGUUCGCAUGAACAGGCGAUGCAACGAGAGAGGGGCGUCUCGGAGUAAGUUUGCAGCGUUUUUUUCGAUUCUGUUCGAAUUUCGUCAAAUCGGCAAAAGGGAACAGGAUGUAAUAUCAUUCAUAAAGAGGGAUUAUGUUUAGUAUCGCAAAACCAUGAAUAUCACACGCAAUCAAGCUUCUGAAGUUGCCAGAAUCAAAACCAUUUACUAUUGAGUUAACGGAGUUUUUUGCACAAUGUUUAUGAGCAAGGAAUUAGGUUCUGUGCGUGAUUUGGAGAGUAUCAGCGAGCAAUCAAUGAUCGGAAGUUUCUCUCACCGAAUGUGGAAUUUAACCAAGAGAAAAACAUACGGCAAAGGUGGAGAGACGUGAAGAUUGAAGUGCAUUCUACCAGACUUCUCAAACAUAAAUGAAGAUGCGAUAACUUUCCUGACAGGAGAAUGCGUUUGUACACAUCCAGGACAGAGUCCCAACAAGCAGAGCCUCCUCCUCACUUUUUUCUUCAGGAGCAUUGCACGGACAUACUUUUGAAUCAUUAGGCGUGAAAGGCAAUUCCUUCCAGCUGGAGCGUCUGUCCUUCGGCUUGGACCGGUGCGGCUUAUUCAAAGCACCUUUCAAUGAUCUCUCAACAAGACACCAGCCUGUGUGAAAUAGAGAAAGAUUCAUGUAAGAAUCAUUUGAGGAGAUUAUGUUAAGAUUGUGAAAUGUCUCCUCACGAUGGCGAAGCCUGUGAAUGUCAAUCCCCUGCAGAGGCUUGGCCUCCUGACGCUUUUGCUGUCAUGAAACAUCAGUGCCAGAAAAAGCAUGCAUUUCACCGACCUCACAUUUGGAGCCAUCUUAAAAAAGAAUCGCGCCAUUGAACCUUAAGAGAUUCAGAAACUUCCCACUCAUGUCGACCAACCUGUGGAGAGUUGAGAAAGAUAAAACCCAUGACUUCAAUCCUAAGGAAGAUAACAGCCUUUGACCUUCUGCUUAAAUCCAACCUUGAUCAGACAUGGUCGUUGCAGUGAUAUUUGUGAUGCAAUAAUGAUAGACGCCAGAGUUUCUACGACCGUAACGCCAUAACGCCAGAGAAGGGUUAAAAUUCCGACUCAAAUACCCUUAGAGAGAGAGGGAGAUGUUUACCGGUGUUAUGGCACAUCUGCGAUCAGCAUCCAGAUUUGUAUCCAAGUUCUUAUGUGAUCAAAUCACCAUCUACUCGGCGCCAAGUUUUGUGAACAGCAUGCAUGCGUGUGAAGCCGUAGAUGCACUGUGACUGGAGAGCUACACCACCAGAGCGACUUCGGGGUUGGAUAUGAAAAUGGCCACCAUUCCUACAGCGUGCAUCAAAGCCAUCUGCCAGGAUUGUCUGCUGUUACUAAGGUGUACUUCAAGGGACUGACAGGCAGUCUCUCAGUCUUGUAACAGGAUUUCAAGACAUUGACGAUGUGAACUCUGCUAUCUCUCCUUGUGCCUAUUGACCGAAUAACGAGGAAUCAGAUACGAGGUCCUGCCUCCAGAAAAAUCCCAUUAUCCAUUCUUUACGAACUAUGCAAGUGAGAUGGCGAGGAAGGCCAGUGCUUACAAGAGCUGCUAGCUUCUGGUGCUCGACGAGUGCCCCAUUACAUAGAGCUGCAUUGAGAAUUUCCCAAUCAUUGUUGUUGAAGUGACCAUGCCGACUGUGACAGUUCUCCCUCAGGGGUUGUCGACUGUCAGCCAUGAUGAUGUUAAAGGAACACGAAUGACCCGUUCCUUACUGGGUUUGUCCUCACGAACGAAGUCAGCAGGGGAAUCGACGUCCGGUUCUGUUUUUCUGUGAUUUCCGCCUCGACCUUGCGCCACUUCAAACGCAGAGUCACCAGAUUGAUGUCAACGUGGAUGUCAUUUCACUCGUUGGCAUAUUUCACAUGCGAGAGAAGAACUGCAUAUUCUGUGUAGGUGUGCAUUUCUGCGCUAGAAUGAACGUAAGAAGGCUCAAAAGACAGGAAGACACAUCGGCAGACUGAUCACCACUACAACGUGUGUCUCUGCUGGAGUCAGUGUGGAUUCAGUAAGACCUGAGCUCACAAUCGGCAACAAAUGAAUGUUACAUUUUAUUUGAAAACGAAGCACAUACAACCUCCACAUUCAAUGAAGUUAAAAUGCUUGGAAAACAGGAAACUAAAAGAAACACUCACGAUAUGGGUCCCGUCGACUCGCACCGAUUCUCAGAUACUCCGUUGUCAUCAGGCUGCUGCAGUGAGCACCUCGGCCCUCACCACCCAAACCCUAAUUCUGCUUCGGAGCAGUGGAAGCCUGCCCAGAAACACACACGAAAACUCAUGAAAACGUGCAGCCAGGCUCCACCCACCCAUCCACCCGAUUAAUCUUCUGAGGCUGCUUCCGAGGAGUCCCAUUCAUCAAUCGCACAGCAGCAGCGACGUUUCUUCUUACAUCGUUCAACUCGCCCAUCGUCUGCGUGUGUAUCGAGCAAUUCCAGGGUUUUUGUAGCUUGAACGUGCAUUGUGUGUGUGUGUGUGAGUGUGUGUAUGUGUAUGUAAACGCGGAUCUGCCUCCGUUUUAAAUUGUUUCAGUUUUUGUACACCUUACUUGAUUAAUCGGUCAUUAGUUUAAUUUGCAUUUUUACGUUGUCGACAACUCUUUCUAGUAACCUUGAGUAGUGACUGCUGCCGACAACAGGAAACACCAAGUGUACUGGAGAUACCGACGCACAUGAAACGUAGAAAACGACGCAGUAAAGUAGCUUCUGCUAUUGGCAGGAAUGAUGUAUACCGGUUUGAGGGAGGGGGGGUUGUCUUGGUGGGUGUUAAUUAAUUGUUGGAGGAAAAAGGACAAACCCUAAAAGCCAGCUGCAGCUGAGAGAUUAUCUUAAAAUCAGUUAAAGAAAAGAAACAAAGUCUAAUUGUAGAAGUGUUACAAAUGCAUGAAGUGAAUCAAACAACAAUUGUCAAUAAUUAAACAGAUAUAACAACCAAGAAAGAAACAAUAGAAAACAUAACUUUAUUAUAACAAAUAUGAAGGUGAUUUAUACAACAAGUACCACAUUACAAAAACUUAGCAACAAAUGUUGCAUAUAACUUACAAAACAAAUAUCGUGGUUAAUCUAUAAGAAAUAUGAUAAAGAAAGCAAAUAUCAAAGCAACCCCAACAACACUAAUUGUGUACAAUUCAUACAUCAACUAAACUUUAUAAAUUCAUAAGAAAAGUAUAAUAAAGAAAAAAAAAAAAUCUACCAUCUUAAUUUUGUGUGAUGGUAAUAAUAGAUGCACUUGUUUGAUUAAAUUUUGAAACUCAAACUAAGUUUAAUGAGUAUACAAGAAUCAAUAUGAGUGGGUAGGCUCUAUGGAUAUUAAUGCAAAGGCUCACAAUUGGAAGUACAUUUGUCUUUUAAAAAAAACAAAACAAAACAAAACAAGAUAUAAUUUAAAUUUAUGGUUACACUUUGCAAUCAAAAAAACUUUUGUUAGAGUUUGCAUACUUCUAAGAAACUAUUGUAAAAGCAUCCUAUAACUUAGAUAUUUGGUGUAAAAGUCAUAUAAUCAAUAAUAAUCUUUCAAGUGGCCUUAAUAAUAAAUUAAGACCACUAUUAUAGAAAUAUAUUAAAAUUUGAUUCAAUAAAAUGUCUCAUAAAAAUUUUAAAAUAUCAUUCUGGUUUCAUUAUUUGCUAGAUUGUUUGUGUAUUUAUUUUUAAAAAAAAACAUGGAUAUUCCUUAACAAUAAUUUAUUAGCCGCUGCAUAUAUUAAAAUAAUUCAUAAAGAUGACAAGUUUGUUUAAUUUGUUUCUAAUGGCAUCAAAAUGCCAAAUAAUGGAUUUAACAAUACCACAUUACAAAAACUUAGCAACAAAUGUUGCAUAUAACUUACAAAACAAAUAUCGUGGUUAAUCUAUAAGAAAUAUGAUAAAGAAAGCAAAUAUCAAAGCAACCACAAUAACACUAAUUGUGUACAAUUCAUACAUCAACUAAACUUUAUAAAUUCAUAAGAAAAGUAUAAUAAAGAAAAAAAAAAAUCUACCAUCUUAAUUUUGUGUGAUGGUAAUAAUAGAUGCACUUGUUUGAUUAAAUUUUGAAACUCAAACUAAUUUUAAUGAGUAUACAAUUUGCAAUUCUCUUAAAACCAUUCUUGUGUUUUUUUCUCCUUAAUUUUUGUGUUCUUUUGUCAAAGCAUCACAACUUGGUGUACGGAAUAAAAACUCUAAUAAUAUCAAUGGAAUAUUUUUAAUUUUUUUGAUAUAAUAUAACUAUAUAUAUAUAUAUAUAUAUAUAUAUAUAUAUAGGUAUGUGUAUGAAUGUCUAUAUGUAUAUAUAUGAAUUGAAUAUAUUUUAAUUAGAUGAUAUCAUUUUUUUCAUUAAAUACCUCCAAUAACUUAAAUAUUGGAGUUCAUACAAAUUUUAUAAAAAACUUUAAGACUAAGUUUAAAAUCAAUUUACACAUAUGCUAAAUUUAUAGUUAAGAUUAUUUUAACAAUCAAGCUUAAAAAUUCAAGCUCUUUUAAGUAAAAGUAAUAAAAUUGAUUUAUAAUCUUUUAUUUUUAGCACAAUGAGACUAAUAUGUUAUUGUUAAUAUAACAUUAAAAAACUUAAACAAUGGCCCUAUGUAUAAGAAAAAUUUAGAUAGAAAGAAUUCAAAUAGGAAAUAUAAUUUCUUUAUUUUCAUUUCUUCUUAAUAAUAAAAGUCUAAAAAAUUUGUAACUUUAAAAUUCUUAAGUAAUAAUAAAUUUGAUUUCUAUUUAUAAAUUUAAGAUAUUGAUAUUCUAUUUCAUUAUGUAUAGAUGUUCAAUAAAUAAAAUUAUAAGCAUCUUUUGAACUCUCAUAUGUAUUUGUAUUAUUUUUAUAAUUCUUAAGAAACAUCUUAAAUCUUUUAAAACCUUCUAAAAGACAUUUAAAAAAGUCAAUUUUUUAUAAGACUUUCAUACCUUUCUAAAAACUUUAUAUGAAUCAACUAUGACUUCUUAAAAGUUCAUAUAGUUAUUUGAGAUCUAUUUUUUUCUUUUAGCGAAUUUUGUAGAAAAAGUAAUAUAUGCUUAUAAAAGCAUUUGUAGCAUUCAAAAUCUCAUCAAAAAGUAUCUUUAGAAACUAAAAGUUUAAUAUACAUAGUUAAGUAAAAUAAAAACAAAUAAAUAAAUAAAAAAUCUGGAAUCUUAUAUAAAUAAGUUUUAGAGUAAUUUAAAUAUUAGCAUGUUUCUAAUUUUUUAUUAAGUCUUAGUUCUACUUUAAAAUCUUAUCUAUGUUACUUGUUAUCUUCUCAUAGAUACAUGUGUUAGUUAAGUAAGUUAAAUAAACAGAAAUAAAUAAAUCUGAAAUAUGUAGAUAUGAUCUUUCAAUAAAAAUAUGAAAAGAACAAGAAUAAAUUAAAUUUGUGGAUAUAUUUUGCAAUCAAAGAAAAUUAUGUUAGAAUUUACUUAGUUCUAAGAAUCUAUUGUAAAAGCAUUCUAUAAGGCUAUUGUAACAAGCAUCCCAUAGGUCACAAGAUUAUAAGGCUUAGAUACCAAAUUUAAUUUAGUGACUUAUCUUGUAAUACUUUUAAAAAAUAUUAUGUUGGUAUGAUUUUUUGUUUUUUUGUUUUUUAUUUUAUAAUAAUAAUAAUAAUAAUGAUUAUUAUUAUAGAUAUCUCUUUAUAUUAAAAGUUUAGAAAAAAAAAAGAUUUAUUUUAUUCAUAAAGAUGUCAAGCUUGUUAAAUUUAUUUAUGGACGUACCAAGUUUGUUACUAUUGGGUUUAAUAAUACUUUAAAGAAUUAUACAAAAUCAGGACUUGUAUUGGGAAUUUGGAAUAUAAACAAUCUCAUGCCAUUUCAAUGAUGCAAAUAGCAGAUGUCUAAACAUAUUUGUAAGGAGGUAUUGAAUAAUGCCAAUUUGAAGUUGUUUAUGAUUUUUGUAAUAUCUACAAAUCUACAAGUUGGAACAAUGUGAGUUUGGUACACAAUCAAAGGACUUUGAAGAUCAAAUUUUUAGUAGAAGUUACUAGUUAAAGAAAGAAGGUUAUUGUUGGAACAUCUCUAUUAACUUUCAAGUUGGUGGUUGAGUGAAAUAGGUGGGAUUGUUAUGGUAUUUUUUUUACAAUUUGUAAGUUAAAUUGAAUUGAAUUUUUAUAAGUAUAUAGAGAGCUUAUAAUAGCAUUAUCAAAAAUAAAAAUAAAAAACAAAAUAUACCAAUUAGGUAGUUAAAUUUGGACUUAGAUCUUAAUUAAGCUUGCUAAGCAAGAUUAAGAUUUGUAAGAAAAGAUUGAAAUAGUAAAAUAAUUGAAUCAAUAAGAAAAUUAAUAUUUAUACAUGAUUGAGAUUGUAAAGAAGAGUUUCUUUUAGCUCUUUAUAUAUUUUAAAUUUUAAAUUAGAUUAUAUUAUGAUUUAUUGGCCAAAAAUUAUUCAUAUUUAUCAUUAAUUGUAAUAUAAAACUUUAUUUUCUACAACUAGAAGUAUGAUGCAUAUCUACAUAGACAACAUAUAAUACAACAAUGUUGUCAAAUUCUACCAUAUUUGCCUUAUGCAAAAGUUGGUGAAAACUAAAAAGUUAAAUGAUAAUUUAGGUACAAGUAUAAUAGGUAUUUCUAAAUUUUGUGUAGAUAAUGAAAGUAGUUUAGCAAAAAGUAAAAUAUCAUAGUAAUUUUCAUACCAAUGGUAAGAUUAAUAUUUAAGAAGUAAUUUUUUUUAAGAAAAGAUCAAAAUUAGACUCUAACAUACAAACUCAAAGACCUAAAAUGAAUAGAGAAUGUAUUUUAAUUGAUUAUAAUUUAUCCAAUCAAUUUAUUGAUUUCUUCUUUUUUACAUCCACAAAUUCAAUAGUAUAAACAUUCAAAUUUACCUUCACCAAAAAUAUAUAAAUUCUUCUAUAACUAAGUAAUUGAAUUCUUUUUGUUGAUAUAUGAAGUAUAUAAUAGUAUCUUAAGAUCUAUUACAAAAUCAACAAUAAAAACUUAUCAUAUCUAAUACUACAACAUCAAUAUCAAUUCUUUCAACAAUUGUUGAUGGAUAAUAUGGUUGAACCAUAAAACUUUAUAUAUGAAAUUUAAAAAAUAUUCAUUUUAUAUUAAUUACUACAAUUCUAAUGGAAGAAAAACAUGUACAUCUUAAGAGCAAUUUUAACAUCCUCAUGCAAUCUCAUGUCAAUCAUUCUUCUUAUUGUUUUGUUUGCUUGAAUUAAUUUGAUUUGAUUUGAUUUGAUUUGAGAUAAGAUGAUUUUACUUUUUUAUUCUUUUUCCAAAUGACCUUCCAAUAGAACUAAGAGAAUGUUUUGUAGUGUGGUUGAUUUAAGAUGCCAACUAUGUUGUGAAGGAUGUGGCACACCAUUGGCAUUGAAAGUGCAGAAAUAUAGAUGAAAGAGGGUAUGUGGAUGUGUUGGCUUGCAAUUAAGGAUGCAAAACAUAAUGUGGAUACAAAAGCUUGCAAUCAAGGUGUUGAAUGUGUGUAAGUGGGAGUUGGGUGUUCCUUAAGUGUAGGAAAACACAAUGUUUUGGAGGGGGCAAGGAUUGAGGGGUGUUGAGGCAAUAGGGGUAUUUUCUUAUGUGGUUUUUGUUCCAAGGGCAAAAAAAAAAGUAGACACAAGAAGAUGAUGAAAAUGAGGGAGGUGGAAAAUGUUUGUAAUGUGGGGUGGAUGUGUGCAAGAGUGAAGGGAUAUUAGAGGCAUGAUUGAAGUUUGGGUGAGAACAUGAAGCAAAAUGUGGGCGAACGAAACUGGUGUGGUGGGAAAGCGGGGUGACAAGAACUUGAUGCGUGCGCGCCAUGGGGGUGGACGAGCGAGCGGGUGAGGAGAACGAAAGAAAUGGAAAAGGCAGGGAAACGGUUGUAUUCAAUGUUGCACCGGCCGGGAAUCGAACCCGGGUCUGUACCGUGGCAGGGUACUAUUCUACCACUAGACCACCGGUGCUAUUUUGUGCAGCAAUCGCUGCGACGCCUACCACAGUUCGAACUCAGCUCGCUCGCGAAUCGGGCGGUGUGGUACUCUCUAUCUCAAGGAAAUGUCUGCUGACUAGCAGGUUACUCGCGGUCUCCUCCCAGGAUCCGAACGGCAGCAGCUUCUUUCACACUGCAUGUAUCACAGCCCGUCUUUUUCCCGCACCGACCCCACCUCACCACCACGCCGCAUCACGCGGCCUCACUUCACCUCUUGGCCACGGCCCGUUCGUUCGUUCGUGCGGGCCAUCUCCCACUCUCGUAGAAUUGUGUCGUAGAAACCUCCCUGCUCAAGUGGCUAGCUACUCAGAUUCAAUCUCAACCGCCGAUCGGGUUUUUGGGAACGAAGAGAGAACAUAGGGGAACCAUGCAGGCGAGCAGGUUGGAGGGCGGGCAGUUUGGGAGCUCAGAACCCAUUCCUCAUUGGGCCCGUUUUCACUGGGUGCUGAAGUUUGUUCAGUGGCUGCCUCUCAAUCCCAAUUUUCAACCAUUACUCUUGCUUCAAACAGUAUAUUUGUGUUGUCAUAUACAACAGUACUCAACACAACAACACUCAAUGUACAUGAUAUUUUUGUUUACAGGAAGAAUUAAUGCAACUCAAAAAAUUUACUCAUUAAUUUUUUCUCAAACACAUAUUUUAUACACAAGGAUUCAUCAUUGAUUAUUUUCUUUGUACAAGAAAUAAAAUAUAGAUUGGCUAAAUUUUAUUUUAUUUCAUUUUAUUUUAAUAAAUAUUGAAUUUUCCCAUUCUAAAUUGAAAAGAUUGUAAAAUAUUAUUAUUAUAUUUUAAUAUUAAAAAAAUUAAGAAAACUCAUUUACAUGAGUUUUUCUUAAAAAUAUUAUUCUGGUAUAAGAUAUCAUAUAGGUUUGUUUUUUAUUAAAUAUUUUUGCAAAUCAUAGAAUAUUUUCUACAAGCAUCAUGUAUCUAAAUAGUUUUACAAUUAAAACAAAUGCAAUAACUAUAAUAGUGUGGUCAUAAAUACCACCACUAAAACGAGUCUUUAUUAUAUAAUAGUAAAUACCCGCACAAUACCUUACUUGCAUUGCCAACUUCUCCCAAGUUCAUCUAUUUGCCUCUAUGUUCUUCCCAACGAUCCCCACAUUCUUGACAAAUCUUGUAACAAUUAAAAUUGAAACUUAACAUUUGACGAUGUUAAGAAGAUGAGCCUCCUUGAGAGAAUACAAAGUUCUUGAUUACAAGUGGGUUGCAAGAAGUACAAUGUUGUCCAAAUGAAGUCAAAUAUAAAAGGAUAGUCAAAGGCUAAGUAUAAAAUUUAGACUAAUUUCUUUCUUACGCCAAGAUAUAUCCAAUCCCUUAAUUCAAAUCUUAAAUCUAAACCUCAUCUUAUUAAAAUAUCUAUAACUCACUUAUUACUAAUCCAAUCUAGGUAAAAUUUAGUUUAUUGAGCUUAAUUCAAGCUACAAAUUUCAAAUUGUUAAAGUCCAUGAAUAAAAUCUUGAGGAAAUAAGAGCCAAACCAAGGAGGAAAAAAAUUGGCCACUUCCUACAAUCACUAUUUCAAAACCCCUGUCUACAAAUUAACUUGGAUCUCUAUUGUCACAACUUAUCUUCUUGCAUGCUAAGGCUUAUUGAAAAGUUAAAAAUGAGCUCUAGCUUUCUCCAAAUUCUCAGAAUAAAAAAAAGACAAAUCUAUUAAAUGGCAUAAAAAGUCCUAAACCAAUCUUGAAUUCCGCUAUCCAAAAACUCCAGUAAAUCCCCUCCAAAAAAUUUAUAUGAAUCUCUCUCAUUACAGAUCUUCUUCUUGCAUGAAAUAGCUUGUUGAAUAGCUAACAAUAAGAUCUAGCUUCUUUUAAAAUUUCAAAAUAAAAAGAUGAAAAUUUAGAAAAUGCAAUAAGAAACUUCAAACCAAUUUUGAAUCUUGCCACCCAAAAAAUCCCGGCAACUCCCAUCUCACAAAUCUACUUGGAUCUCCUUGCUCAUAGAUUCAUUGCUUGCAUGAUAUAGCUUAUUGGAAAUCUAACAACACAAUCUAACUUCCUCGAAAAUUUCAAAAAUAGAAGAAGAAAAUACGAGAAAUGGCAUAGAAAUUCUUAACUAGUCUUAUGUCUUGCUACUUGAAAACUCCAAUGACCCCCCUUUCACAAAUUUGCAUGGUUGCCUCUCUUCAUAGCUCCAUUUCUUAAUUACUAUAGCUUGUUGGAAAGCUAACAAUAAAAGCUAACUUCUCUCAAAAUUUCAGAAUAAAAAGAUGAAAAUUUUGUAAGUGGCCUUCAAAAUCUAGAAUCGGGCUUGAAUCUUGCUCCCCCCCCCCCCCCCGCUUCCGAAAAUUCCAAAAACCUUCUUUUCUCCUCUUUUUGACCCCCAACAAAUCUUCUCUCUCUUCUCUCCUUCCACCCAAAAAAAUUAAACUCCUUGAUAUCAAAAAUCCCUAUCCCUAAUCUUCUUCCAAUAUCCAUCUUGGACAACUAUAAAGUUGGAUAUUUAUCCUAAAAGACAAUACCUUCAAGCUUGUAUAAUCCAUUCAAGACAACAAUUUCAUAUUCUAAAUUCUAUCCAAAUUUGUAAAUGUAUUAGUAUUAUAUUAUAUUAUAUUAUAUUAUUUAUUUAUUUCUCUCUCUCUCUCUCUCUCUCUCUCUCUCUCUCUCUCUCUCUCCUCUCCCCUUUCCUAUAAGAAAAAUUAAUUACUCUCUAAAUAUCUUUGAUGCAUUUAAAUUAAAUGCAUCACAAUGAUGGCUACAACGUCUCAAGUCAAUUGAUUGAAUAGUGAAGUUUUUGCAAUACAUAAUGAUGAGGAUCUCCCACUUCCACUCCAUAUCAACCUCUUCCACCAUUUUCAUCUUCAUUUCAUGCAUCUACUUUUUCUUAUUCUUCAUCUUUUUUAUAUUAUUCAUUGCUUAGCUCUUUGUUUUACAUUGUUGCAAUUGAUUUCACUAUCUUUUGCUUACUUGCCCAAAUAAUUGCAAAGAUCAAAAUAAGAAGAUGCCUUAUAGAAAGUAUUUAAAAAAUUAUUAAAAAAAUAAAAGAUUUUAUAUUACUCAAAUAUGAUGUAGUAGUAGUAUGGAGUAUACUACUCAAAGUUAUAAACCUCAUUGAUGAUUUGUGGUUAUAAUCUAACAUUAUCAAGAAUAUUUAUCUUUUAUUUUUAACUUUAAGAAUUUUUAAUCAAUUCAACCAAUCAAAGAUCUUUAUUAAAAUAGAUCCUUGAAGACCAUACAAUUGCAUUGUAUCAAAGAAGGAGAUAAAUAAAAGAUUAUGUUUUAAAUAAAGUAUAGAUAUUUUAAAUUUAGUAUUAUGUCUUUAAUAUUCACAAAUGUCUUUGGAACAUUUUGAGUUUAAUACCAUAUUUGAUAAGUUAAGACAUAUGUCUUACAAAUUUGAAAAGUGUUUAAGGUCCUAUAUAACAUCGCCACUUAGCUUGUAGUUAGAUAGUAUAAAUAGAGACAAGAGUGAAGCCUUCUUCACUCUAUUCAACAACAUUUUAGUCCUUUAGUGUUUUUUUUAAGAUUUUUUAAUCUUCUUAUCUUUAGUAAUAGCCAUUAUAAUUCAAUAUUAUAUUAUUUUUGAGUGAUUCUUUUAGCCUUUUUGAAUGAUACGAGAAUAUAUUAAUAUUUUAGUUCUUUAAAAUUCACGUCCUUAAUAAUUUGAAAAGAGUAUUAAUUCAUUAUUCUUAUCAUAUUUUUAGAAGUGAAUGGACUACCACACUCCUAUUAUAGUAUUUUGAAGUUUGUGGACUAUUCACCUUUAAUUUAAUAUUUUAGUCUCUCAACAAUGAUUUAUUUCUUAUAAAGCAUGGACUACCCCUUUUUGUAACAUUUUUCUUUUGAUAUUAGAGGUUGCGGAUUAUCCUCCACUAAUUUGACUAAUAAAUUUAUUUGAAUGGUCUAUAGAAGGAAAAACCAUGGAUGCUAUUCUUAGCAAAAGAGUGAAUAGAUUUUUUAGAUUGUCUUCACGUAAUACAAUAUUAUGACAUUAUAAUUCUUUGUAUUGAUAUGUUCCUAUUGCUUUGGUUGUGAUUUUUAUAGAUUUUGAAAUAUUUUAUCUUUUUUUUUAUAGACAUUGUUUAUAAAAUUCCUUAAACUUUAUUACUAUAUUUGUAAGAUGUUUUGCUUGUAUUUAUGUAUAUUUAUUAAUAUCAUUUUUAUACAUAUUAUUAAGAUGUUUUAAUCUGUUUUGGCUCUACCUUUAAUCUAAGACUUCUUCUAUCUCAUACUCUUGAUUAUUAUUUUCUUCUAUUAAAAAAGGUGGCAUUUGUCUUUUUUUUGAUACAUUUACUCUUUCAUAUUACUCAAAAUGAGUCAUGUCAAAUAUAAGAUAUAUCUUUAUAGCUUUUGACAGAUAUAAACAAUAAGCAUCAAGAUUGAUUCGUUUAUAAAUAUAAUAAUCUCUAAGCCUAGAAUAGUCCAACUUAUGAUAAAGAUCAAUAAGCUUUGUAUUGCAACAAAGUAGCCAUACUUUGUCACUUAUUAAAAAUUAUAGUUAUUCCAUGCAAUAAAAAUUUAUAUUGAUUUUUUGUCAUUCUUAAGUUUUAGUAAGAUUUUAGAAAAUCUUUUUAAAUAUAUUUUCUAAAAUCGUAAUACAAAUUAAGUCCCCAUAUUUAAUAUAGUAUCUUUAUGUAAUCCAUGAUAGCAAUAGAUGUUGUCAAAAUAAAACUUAGUCAUUUCUUCACAUGUGAUAGAUUUUGUACAUUUUAUAAAAUAUACCAUCUUUAUAAAAUAAUCUACUAUCAUGAAUAUAGAAUCAUAUAAUCUUAGGAUUGGAAGAUCUAUGAUAAAAUCUAUUGAAAUAUAAAACUAUUGUUGUUCUAGAAUAGAAGUCAUAACUAAUUUGAAGAAUAUAUAAUUGUGCUACAUCUUCUGGAAUAUGUAAUUGUCUUUCAAAAUAGAAUAGAUUAUUUUUGAAAAUAAACUUAAAAGUAUCAAAAGACUUAAAAGAAUUAAUUUUGAUAUCAUGAGGAGUAAAAUUAGAGGACAUAUUGAAUUGAACUAACUUAACAAAAAUUAAAUCAAUUAUUAAUGUUGAUUUUAUUUAUCAAAGAUGAAAUAUUUUGGCAUCAAAAAAAAUUUUCUUUAUCAAUUAAAAGCUUUAUUUCUUUCUUUUAAUGAAAAAUAAGAAUUUCAAAAAAGACAUGUGACAAAUUUUGUUGAUUUUUGUAUCAAUAAGUGAUCUUAAAUUCAAACCUUGAUAAAGACUACUCUAACAAUCUUGGCUAUGAUUCAAAACAUGUGCCAAUAUGAAAUACUCAAGGCUUGAAAAUCUAACAAGACUAACUCUUUGUAAUUAUUUGACUCUAUAUUAAUUUCUAUUAUAGAACAAGGAGAAAUUUUUUUAAAAAAUAUAGAAUUGAUAUAAGUUAUUAGAUAGGAAUUAAGUCAUAAUAUUCCUAUUAUAAUUAGAGUAAAUUAUUUUUUUAUCACAUUUUCUUUUUUAAUUAUUAUAAUCCUUAUUUUGUAGAUAUGAUGUUUCUUUGGAUAAUUUUAAAACAAAUUCUCAAAUUUCCAAUAAUAUAAUUAUAAUCCUUCUUUGUAAUGACGAGUCUUUUCUUAUGCAAUAAGAUAUUUGAAAUAUACCAUGUCAAUUUGCGUAAGAUCAUGUCUAGAAGAAUAAACUAAGAAGCUAUCGCUAUGAUUUGAAAUGUAUAUCUUUAAUAAAAUCUUGAUCUUUGGCUCUUAUAGAGAGUUGAUUAUUACAUAUAAUGGCUUAAGCAAUAAAUUGCUCUAUAGAAUAUGGCCUUGACAACAUCAAUGGUAAAACAUUAAUAAUAUUUUUUAAUCCACAUCAAAAUUAAUUUAUCAGAGUCUUAUCAUAUUAAUCCAUGUUGCAACUAAGGUUUUAAAAUUAAGCAAUAUAUCAGAGGGCUAUUCAUAAUUAUUGUGGUAAAUAUUCAAGUUUGAUCAUUCCUACCUUUUUUCAAUUACAUUAUUUUUUAUCAAAAUUAUUAAAACUUAAAUCUGAUUCCAAAAAACUUCUUAAAUAUAUACAUCUUUGCAUCUUUCAUACUUUCUAAUUAAGAGCUAUGUGGUGAUAUUUUGUAGGAACUUCAAUAUGUAUUGACUUUAUUAAUUACAUGUCUUAACUUGCAAGGCAAGUUAUCUAUGUAUGCGCUGUCGUUUUACGUGCUUUCCUGCUUGAGAACGCACCGGUGUCGUAUUACGUGCUUUCCUGCUCGAGAACGCGCCGGGCGUCUAGCUGUAGAAGGUAGUAUGGAGAUUUGCCGAUAGUCAAGCAGUCUAUCAGUUUUUGACUGCUAGAAUAUAAACGACUGCAACAAUGUACCGUAAAUCUAUACGGAUGCUCUUUGACUGCUUGUCAAAGUCUUUUUUUUUUUUUUUUUUUUUUUUUUUUUUUUUUUUUUUUUUUUUUUUUUUUUUUUUUUUUUUUCCAGCCGAUAGGUCUCUAGACGUUACAGAGAACCCCGAACAACCCAAAUUGUUAAUCUUCAAUACCCCUUUGUACUUACGAUCUUGUAUCCACUGACUGUCCUGUUAGAUUAACCCAAUAAAUUUCAUUCACUUCGCAUACUCAAUCCUAUAGACACCCUUUUAAUCCUUCAAUCACAGACGUAACUCGAUUUUACAAAAUAGUCAAGAGUAUUCAAAUCCACUUCAUUUAAAAAUCCCGAUUCACCAUUACAACACUGACUUCAGCAGCGAUUGCCUCAGUCUUCCCAAAACUCUACAAAGAAGAAAAAUCCAAAUUCUAUGUCUUUCCUUCCCCGACCCGAAGCAUGAAGCUCCUCUCUCUAAUUCCCUUGAUCUUCCAAAAACCUCCAAUGAAAAACCGAACUGGUAACCUUGCAAAAGCUUGAAAACUCGCUCCCCCCCCGAUUCCCCCCGAAAAAAAAACCUCCCCCCCUCAAAACUAUAUCCCCCCCUAACCUUAUCCUCUGAAUUUCUUCAAUCUUCCGUCUUAGAUCCGGAAUUGGCUCCCACCUCAAGCUUGGAUCCGAAAUUGGCUCUCGUCGUCAAGCUUUCUCCUCCGUUUUUACCUUUAAGAAAUCCAUUUACCAAAAACAAUGUUCCCUAAAACGGCACAGACAACAGGACAACCUGAAACAGAAUCGAACCCCGUAAUCGGGACCACAUUGAGUCGCCCGACCAAUUCAGGUCCUAUAUUGGGAAAGAUGCCCGUAGUAACCUGGAUGUUCCCGUAAUUGGGUCAAAUUGGUCCUCACGUCAGAUUCGCUAAGACCCGUAGUAAGACCUGGAUUUCCCGUAAUUAGACUGCAUUGGGUUGAUCGGCCAAUUCACGUCUCAUAUUGGAUAAGAGGACCCAGAUUGGAUUCUCGAAAUUGGAUCCAAUUGGCUCCUCAAACCCGUCGUGUGAAUUCGUCCUUCUCUUCCUGCUGACUCCCGUUAUUGGAAUCGAACGGAGCAUUUCAGUAUGCCCCGGCUGACUGUAACGGAGUGACUGAACCUGACCACUCAGUAUUUGUACUGGAGUUGGUUGAUGCUUCCAAUAUUCGAGGUAACUGAAUAUUAAUAAAAUUCCCCUUUCUUUUUAUUUUCACUGUAUACUCGUGUUACAACACGACACCGGGCGUCUGGCUGUAGAAGGUAGUAUGGAGAUUCGCCAAUAGUCAAGCAGUCUAUUAGUUUUUGACUGCUGGAAUAUAAACAACUGCAAGAAUACAUCGUAAAUCUAUACGGAUGCCCUUCGACUGCUUGUCAAAAUCCUUUUUGCCCCAGCCGGUAGAUCUCUAGACGUUACAGAGAACCCCGACCAACCCAAUCUGCUAAUCUCCGAUACCGCUUUGUACUUACGAUCUUGUAUCCACUGACUGUCUUGUUAGAUUAACCCAAUAAAUUUCAUUCACUCCGCAUACUCAAUCCUAUAGACACCCUUUUAAUUCUUCAAUCACAGACGUAACUCGAUUUCACAAAACAGUCAAGAGUAAUCAAACCCACUUCAUUAAAAAAAAUCCCGAUUCACCAUUACAACACUGACUUCAGCAAUAAUUGCCUCAGUCUUCCGAAAACCCUAUGAAGAAAAAAAACCCAAUUCUCUGUCUUCUUUCUCCACCCGAAGCAUGAAGCUCCUCCUUCAUAUAAUGGAUCCGCUAUGUGAGCAUAAUAAGGGAUCCAGAUUCGAUAAAAUACACAUGCACCCAAAAACCUGCGAACCUCUGUUAAAGAAUCACAAUCCUCUUUCAUCCUUCCAAUUGCAUCAACUUUAGUCCAAUCUGGUUUUCUUCCGUAAGAUCCACAUAAAUGUCCAACAAUGACAACCUCUCGUAUUCCAAAUACGGACUUCAUACCCGAUAAUGUAAGAUGAACUUCUCCAAGUCGAGUUAAAAUCUUUUCACAAUCUUGUAUAUGAUCAACAACAUAUCUACGACACCCCCUCGUAUCUAAAGUUUCAUCCUUGUCUCCUUCUCUGCACCCUUUUAUAGGAACAUCAUCCAGAAAAGGCAUAGUCUUUUCCGGAAUAAAAUCUCUCAAUACCUUAUUUAUCCCAUUCAUCAUAUGCGCAACCGAGUUGGUCGCGCCUUGAGGAAGAGUGCACAUUCUAACCAAUCCAAAUGGUGUUCUCAUUAUUGUCAUAUCUCUACUUCCUUCGACAAGUUGAAAUUGAUCAUAACCUGAAUACAAAUCACCCAUUGAAUAGAUCGCCCUUCCAGCAAACGCCUCAGCAAAUUCAUCCACAAUAGGUCCAAUUCCAGCAUUCCUGACAGUUACUGCAUUCACCGGUUGCAUAUCUUGAAUAAACCGUAGUGACCCAUUCUUCUUAGGUACCGUAAUCCAUCGACUAGAAUACGGCGCAAAUGAAGGUUCCAAUAUUUUCAUCUUUAUCUUUUCUUUUAAUAGUUCCACCAAUUUAGGUAAAUGUGCCCUCGGUACUGGAAUCGGUCUUACUAUUAGACUCUUAUCCAAUAUGAGACCUGAAUUGGUCGGGCAACCCAAUGCAGUCUAAUGACGGGGAAAUCCGUGUCUUACAAUUGGACUCUUAUCUAAUAUGAGACAUGAAUUGGUCGGGCGACUCAAUGAGGUCCCGAUUAUGGGGUAUCGAUUCUGUUUCAAGCUAUUCUGUUCCAAUCUUCAAUUCUUCAAAAGUCUCUUCAGUAAACUGAUGUCCAAUACUCAUUGGAUCUCUUAAACUUGCUUCUUUUGAUGCUUCUCCCAUUUGUUCUUUAGAAUCCUCUGGUAAUGGUCCGGCAACAGGCUUUACCUUCUUAUCUGCCGUUUUAUAUCUCGUCUCUACUGUGACUUCUGGUGCUUGAAAAGAUUCAAGCAUGGUAUAGACCUCUCUUGAAUGAAUCUCAACAAUCUUAUCAUUAUCCCCUAACCCAAUAGAUGUAAUCAAUUCCAAUGAAUCUUCCAGUCCAUUUUCUUCAUAAACACCCAAAAUCCUCUCAUCAUCUUGCAAUGUACCUAUCUUGCAUAAUUGUCCUUUAAUAUUAUAUAAUCUUUUUCUUUCUUUUCUUUUAAAAUCAUCAAGUUUCUUAUACAUAAUAUUUCUAUUCUCCAAUAUACCAAUAAAACUCGCAUCAAAGGCACCUUCAUCUCGCGAGAGUACCUCCUCUUUUGUACCUCUAUAAUCUCACUUUACAGUGGUACCUCCCCAAAAUCCUUAAAUCCUUCAACAAUCUUUGGCAAUGGUUUCUCCCUCAACCUAUCUCGAUUCCGUUCAUGGUUAGGAGGUACUGUUAGACAUUGUACAGCUUUCCUCCCAUCUUCGCUCUGUACCCUUGCAUAAGCAGAACCAUCGUCAAGUACUUUUGUUUCCAUCCGUGUUGCCNNNNNNNNNNNNNNNNNNNNNNNNNNNNNNNNNNNNNNNNNNNNNNNNNNNNNNNNNNNNNNNNNNNNNNNNNNNNNNNNNNNNNNNNNNNNNNNNNNNNNNNNNNNNNNNNNNNNNNNNNNNNNNNNNNNNNNNNNNNNNNNNNNNNNNNNNNNNNNNNNNNNNNNNNNNNNNNNNNNNNNNNNNNNNNNNNNNNNNNNNNNNNNNNNNNNNNNNNNNNNNNNNNNNNNNNNNNNNNNNNNNNNNNNNNNNNNNNNNNNNNNNNNNNNNNNNNNNNNNNNNNNNNNNNNNNNNNNNNNNNNNNNNNNNNNNNNNNNNNNNNNNNNNNNNNNNNNNNNNNNNNNNNNNNNNNNNNNNNNNNNNNNNNNNNNNNNNNNNNNNNNNNNNNNNNNNNNNNNNNNNNNNNNNNNNNNNNNNNNNNNNNNNNNNNNNNNNNNNNNNNNNNNNNNNNNNNNNNNNNNNNNNNNNNNNNNNNNNNNNNNNNNNNNNNNNNNNNNNNNNNNNNNNNNNNNNNNNNNNNNNNNNNNNNNNNNNNNNNNNNNNNNNNNNNNNNNNNNNNNNNNNNNNNNNNNNNNNNNNNNNNNNNNNNNNNNNNNNNNNNNNNNNNNNNNNNNNNNNNNNNNNNNNNNNNNNNNNNNNNNNNNNNNNNNNNNNNNNNNNNNNNNNNNNNNNNNNNNNNNNNNNNNNNNNNNNNNNNNNNNNNNNNNNNNNNNNNNNNNNNNNNNNNNNNNNNNNNNNNNNNNNNNNNNNNNNNNNNGCCUCUUAGAAGAAUUUCCUUCUCUAGUAUCAUCAAAAUUUCCUCGUUUCUUUUCUUCCAUCAAAGCUUCAUGUUGGCUCUUAGCAAUAUAUGCAUGAACUGAAAGAGACUCAACAGGAUCCUCCCAACCUGUUCUAACUUGUAUUGUAGCUGCAGUUCUCAAUAAUGCUUCUCGAGGUAAUUUUCCUUCUUGCAUUGUAGAAACGGCAGAAGCCCAAAACUCACUAGUUUCUGUACUUCCACCAAUUUCAUCAUCUACUCUAGCACCAUAACUUGCACUUUCUCGUGCUGCUGUUUCAUGCUCUUUUAGGUAAUCUUGAACCAAUACUUUCAUUCCUCCCUUGCCAAAAUUUGUUUGAAGAAGAUCCUCUCUAUUUUUCAAUGCUAUCUUCCCAUCUUUCCAGCAAAUAAUUCCCUGCCGUAUCAUAUUAUUAAAUUCAUUGCAAUCUUUUCUAGUGUGUGAAGCAUCAUCACACCAAAUGUAUCUUUGUACAUAUCCUUGUUUUGAAACAUUCUUCAAAUUGUUUAUAGAAGUAUUCUCUUUAAGUCUUGUCAAUUUGAUUCUAAGAUCUCGCAUUCCUUGUAUAAUUUCGUCCAUCUCCAUAUUUGCUUUCUUUGAUAAGGAUGUCGAAGGUUGAACUGUAGGCAUUGUUGGUGGUGUUGUACGUACUCGAGCUUUGGGUGCUUGUAUUGUUUUCAGAAUAUUGCUCCUAUCCUUCCUCCUUUCUUAUUUUGUAAGCAACUCCACCGCAUCUUCAACGUUCUUCCACUUCGUUGUCAAUCCUUCAUCUUCUUCUUUGUCUUCAAGAAGGGGUUCUAAUUUCUCUUGCAAUUCUCCAUCAGCAGCUUGAAGAAAUAGAUCAACUUUGUUCGGCUCCAAUGUCAAUUUUUCUACCUUCGAUAAUUGAGAGUACUGCCUCUCAAAUUCCCUUAGUAGCUCUGUUGCUUGCAAAUUCUUAUUGGGCCGUUCAAUCCAUCCCAGAAACAGCUUCUUAGUAACGCGAUCAGCAUCUUCCAAGAAAUAUUCGUCUUUCAAUGCAUGUGAAAAUCCUCCCAUGAUUCCCAUAAUGAUCCGUAAUCGAUAUAACGUGGUCCGUUAUCUCCGGUAUCGUGGCAAGUCCAUAUAACUCACCUGGUUCUUCUCUGAAACCCGAUNNNNNNNNNNNNNNNNNNNNNNNNNNNNNNNNNNNNNNNNNNNNNNNNNNNNNNNNNNNNNNNNNNNNNNNNNNNNNNNNNNNNNNNNNNNNNNNNNNNNUAACAUCUUAAAUACCUUGAAAUAUUCCUCCUACAAAUGGAUCAAUGUUAUGGACCACUGCUUGCAAUGCUUUGGUUGCCAAAGCUUCCUUUCGAUCAUUGCUUUGCCGUUGCUGCAUUGAUAAUGAGAAGGCUUCAAACAUACUAGUAAAAGACGGAUCCAUGCGCAUAUCUUGUACUUUAGAAGAAUCCUCACCAGAAACUCCUCCGAAAAAUCCUUCAAAAUUUUUAUUUUUGUUUUCCAUAAAAUAAAGAUAAAAUCAACCGAAAUCCGAUACCUUCCAUCUCAAGCUUUGACGUUGGAUUCACCACUUUGGCUGUAUUACGUGCUUUCCUACUCGAGAACGCACCGGGUUUCUGGCUGUAGAAGGUAGUAUGGAGAUUUGCCAAUAGUCAGGCAGUCUAUCAGUUUUUGACUGCUGGAAUAUAAACGACUGCAAGAAUACAUCGUAAAUCUAUACGGAUGCCCUUCGACUGCUUGUCAAAGUCCUUUUUGCCCCAGCCGGUAGGUCUCUAAACGUUACAGAGAACCCCGAGCAACCCAAUCUGCUAAUCUCCGAUACCGCUUUGUAGUUACGAUCUUGUAUCCAUUGACUGUUUUGUUAGAUUAACCCAAUAAAUUUCAUUCACUCCGCAUACUCAAUCCUAUAGAUACCCUUUUAAUUCUUCAAUCAGAGACGUAACUUAUUUUUUACAAAAUAGUCAAGAGUAAUCAAACCCACUUCAUUAAAAAAAAUCCCGAUUCACCAUUACAACACUGACUUCAGCAACGAUUGCCUCAGUCUUCCCAAAACCCUAUGAAGAAAAAAAAACCCAAUUCUCUGUCUUCUUUCUCUGUCCGAAGUAUGAAGUUCCUCACCCCCCCCUUCCUUGAUCUUAAAAAAAACCUCGAAUGAAACCGAACUAGUAACCUUGAAAAAGCUUGAAGCUAGCUCCCUAAUCCAAAAAAAAACCCCCCACAAAAACUUAUUCUCCUCCUAACCUUAUCCUCUGAAUUACUUCAAUCUUCCAUCUUGGAUCCGAAAUUGGCUCUCACCGUCAGAGCUUUUUCUCCCGUUUUUGCCUUUAAGAGAUCCUUUUACCGAAAACAACGUUCCCUGAAACGGCACAGAGAACAGAAUAGCUUGAAACAGAAUCGAUACCCCAUAAUCGGGACCUCAUUGAGUCGCCCGACCAAUUCAUGUCUCAUAUUAGAUAAGAGUCCAAUUGUAAGACACGGAUUUCCCCGUCAUUAGACUGCAUUGGGUUGCCCGACCAAUUCAGGUCUCAUAUUGGAUAAGAGUCUAAUAGUAAGACCGAUUCCAGUACCGAGGGCACAUUUACCUAAAUUGGUGGAACUAUUAAAAGAAAAGAUAAAGAUGAAAAUAUUGGAACCUUCAUUUGCGCCGUAUUCUAGUCGAUGGAUUACGGUACCUAAGAAGAAUGGGUCACUACGGUUUAUUCAAGAUAUGCAACCGGUGAAUGCAGUAACUGUCAGGAAUGCUGGAAUUGGACCUAUUGUGGAUGAAUUUGCUGAGGCGUUUGCUGGAAGGGCGAUCUAUUCAAUGGGUGAUUUGUAUUCAGGUUAUGAUCAAUUUCAACUUGUCGAAGGAAGUAGAGAUAUGACAAUAAUGAGAACACCAUUUGGAUUGGUUAGAAUGUGCACUCUUCCUCAAGGCGCGACCAACUCGGUUGCGCAUAUGAUGAAUGGGAUAAAUAAGGUAUUGAGAGAUUUUAUUCCGGAAAAGACUAUGCCUUUUCUGGAUGAUGUUCUUAUAAAAGGGUGCAGAGAAGGAGACAAGGAUGAAACUUUAGAUACGAGGGGGUGUCGUAGAUAUGUUGUUGAUCAUAUACAAGAUUGUGAAAAGAUUUUAACUCGGCUUGGAGAAGUUCAUCUUACAUUAUCGAGUAUGAAGUCCGUAUUUGGAAUACGAGAGGUUGUAAUUGUUGGACAUUUAUGUGGAUCUUACGGAAGAAAACCAGAUUGGACUAAAGUUGAUGCAAUUGGAAGGAUGAAAGAGGAUUGUGAUUCUUUAACAGAGGUUCGCAGGUUUUUGGGUGCAUGUGUAUUUUAUCGAAUCUGGAUCCCUUAUUAUGCACACAUAGCGGAUCCAUUAUAUGAAUUGUUACGCAAGGGUUACCGAUUUAAAUGGAAAGAAAGGCAUAUUCAGGCAAUGCAAAGAGUGAAGAAUUUAUUGAUGUCACCUCCAAUAUUGAGGAAGGUUGAUUAUAAGUGCAAUAGACCAGUGAUUCUUACUCUAGACGCUAGUCCAAUUGCCAUUAGAUGGGCUGUGGGUCAAGAUGAUUCAAAUGGGAGUAGAUUUGCAGUUCGAUUUGGGGCUAAAGUUUUAAGUAUUUGUCAGCGUGCAUAUUCGCAAGUCAAAAGAAAACUUUGGGAAGUCGUUUCGGCUAUGAAAGCUGAAAAGGACUAUUUGAUUGGGGCAGUAGUAGUAAUUGAAACAGAUUGCUUGCCAUUGCUUGGAAUGAUUAUUAACUGUUCAACGCCAGAUAUUGCAAUGUUGAGAUGGAUUGCUUAUAUUAAGUCACUAAAUCCAGAAUUUAAGCAUAUUACUGGGGAGGACAAUUUAGUAGCAGACAUGCUAUCUCGAGCAAGAUACGAGAGGGAGGACGAAAUGGUUGAAGACAUUGAUGAUGUCGGAUUGAAAUUCUAUUCAAUAUCAAAUCUCAACAAAGAAGACAAGCUAUUUCUUGAAGAAUCUUAUGAAGGAGAAUUAUUGGAUAUUGGUCAUUAUUUGAAUACCUUGACUAAGCAGGGGAAUUGGUCCAUAGAAAAAUUCAAACAAAUAAGAAAAAAAGCAUAUGGAUUUUUACUUCAAGAUGGAUUCUUAUGGAAGAGACCGAAGAAAGGAAUUGGGAUUCCACAACGAGUGAUAGGCAAAAGGGAAGAAAAACUAAAAUUAUUAAAGGAGUUUCAUGAUAGUUUAUGGGCAGGGCAUAGAGGAAUCUGGGCUACUUUUGCUAAACUCAAGGAAUGAUAUUGGAUGAAAAAUAUGUAUCGAGAUGGUCUUCAUCCUACGUAUCCUCUAGCUAUUCAUUUUAAAUGGGUUGUUGAUUUGGUUAUUAUGCCGGUUAGGUUAUGGCAGAUGAGAUAUUUGGUUUUAGCUCGUUAAGAUUUAUCAAAUCAAGUAGAAGGAAGAGCAUUGAGGACAAAAUCUACAGAGGAGAUUUGUAGGUUUUUGCUUGAAGAUGUCAUUUGCCGUUACGGGUGCGUAGGAAAAAUCACUGCAGAUCGUGGAGAAUUAAAUGCACAAGAAGCUCGUAAGUUCUUUGAAAGAUGUGGAGUUAAACUAUCAUUGACUACUGCUUAUAAUCUAGAAGGGAAUGCAAAAAGCGAACGUGGUCACCCGCCGAUUGUGAAAGCAUUGGUUAAAGCUUGUAAUGGGAAAGUUAAAGAGUGGCCACGGCUUUUGUCAUUUGCAUUAUGGGUUGAUCGAACAACACAUAGCUUGGUGACAAGAUAUAUGCCAGUAGAACUUAUGACAGGUCAAAAACCAAUUAUGCCGAUUGAAGAAAAGGUACUUACUUGGAAUAUGCUACCAUGGAAAGAUGGAUUGACAAGAGAAGAACUUCUAGCUAUUAGGAUUCGACAAUUGGAGCAAAGAACGGAAGAUGUCCAGAUAGCAUUGGGAAGGUUAAAAAAAGCAAGGUUAUAAAACAAGGCGCAAUUCGAUAAGCAACAUCGAUUGAGAUCAAAAGCAAUUGAAGAAGGUGACUGGGUACUUGUUUAUGACAAUAGUCUGGAUAAUCAACAUAGUACUUUGCGGAAAUUCUCAAAACGUUGAUUUGGACCAUAUGUGGUAACAACUGUUCAUGAUAAUGCGACUUACUCAUUACGGGAGUUAGAUGGUACAAAAUUGAAAAUACCAAUUGCAGGGAAGCGAAUAAAAAUAUUUAAACGAAGACACGCAGAGAUGAAUAUGGAAGACCUUAAUGAAGGUAUAGAGAUUCCGCAGCAAGAAGAUGAAAGUGAUUUGGAUAAUGAAGGUGACGAAGACGAACUGGACAAAGACGUAGAGGAUAUAUUCUGAAUCAAACAGCAAUUGGAUAAAUUGGUGCAUACCGGAGGAUGCACAGGUUCAGAGGGGGUGGAUGUCGUGUUGUAACACGAGUAUACAAUGAAAAUAAAAAGAAAGGGGAAUUUUAUUAAUAUUCAGUUACCUCGAAUAUUGGGAGCAACGACCAACUCCUGUACAAAUACUGAGUGGCCAGGUUCAGUCACCCCGUUACAGUCAGCCGGGGCAUACUGAAAUGCUCCAUUCAAUUCCAAUAACAUGAGUCAGUAGGAAGAGAAGGACCAAUUCACACUACGGGUUCGAAGAGCCAAUUGGAUCUAAUUUUGAGAAUCCAAUCCGGGUCCUCUUACCCAAUAUGAGACCUGAAUUGGCUGGACAACUCAAUGCAGACCCAAUUACGGGAACAUCCAAGUUACUACUGGAUUCUUAUCCAAUAUGAGACCUGAAUUGGCCGGUCAACCCAAUGCAAUCUAAUUACGGGAAAUCCAGGUCUUACUAUGGAUCUUAGCUAAUCUGACGUGAGGACCAAUUUGACCCAAUUAUGCGAACAUCCAGGUUACUACGGGCAACUUUCGUAAUAUGGGACCUGAAUUGGUCGGGCGACUCAAUGUGGACCCGAGUACGGGGUUUCGAUUUUGUUUCAAGCUAUCCUGUUCUCUUUGCCGUUUCAGGGAACGUUGUUUGUGGUAAAUGGAUCUCUUAAAGGUAAAAAUGGAGGAGGAGACCUUGAUGACGUGAGCCAAUUUCGGAUCUAAGCUCUGACGGCGGGAGCCAAUUUCGGAUCCAAGACGGAAGAUUGAAGGAAUUCAAGAGGAUAAGAUUAGGGGGAGAAUAAGUUUGAAGGAGAAUCGGGAGAGCGGGCAGAAAGCUUUUGCAAGGUUACUAGUUCGGUUUUCAUUGGAGGUUUUUGAAGAUCAGGGGGGGGGAUUUUCAAAUUUUUGCAAGGUUACUAGUUCGGUUUCAUUGGAGGUUUUUGAAGAUCAGGGGGGUUUUCAAGUUUUUACAAGGUUACUAGUUCGGUUUCAUUGGAGGUUUUUGAAGAUCAGGGGGGAUUAGAGAGAGGAGCUUCAUGCUUCGGAUCGGGGAAGGAAAGACAUAGAAUUUGGAUUUUUCUUCUUCGUAGAGUUUUGGGAAGACUGAGGCAAUCGCUGCUGAAGUCAGUAUUGUAAUGGUGAAUCGGGAUUUUCAAUGAAGUGGGUUUGAAUACUCUUGACUGUUUUGUGAAAUCGAGUUACGUCUAUGAUUGAAGGAUUAAAAGGGUGUCUAUAGGAUUGAGUAUGCGGAGUGAAUGAAAUUUAUUGGGUUACUCUAACAAGACAGUCAGUGGAUACAAGAUCGUAAGUACAAAGGGGUAUUGAAGAUUAACAGUUUGGGUUGUUCGGGGUUCUCUGUAACGUCUAGAGACCUACCGGCUGGGGCAAAAAGGAUUUCGACAAGCAGUCGAAGAGCAUUCGUAUAGAUUUACGGUACAUUGUUGCAAUCGUUUAUAUUCCAGCAGUCAAAACUGAUAGACUGCUUGACUAUCGGUGAAUCUCCAUACUACCUUCUACAGCCAGACGUCCGGCGCGUUCUCGAGCAAGAAAACACGUAAUACGACACCGCUCAAGAAUCCUACGAGGCGUCUGCAAAUAGAUUUCAGAAUCAAGCACCUACUUUCGAAAUUGGAGAUAAAGUAUGGCUUCUUCGAGAGAAUAUCAAGACCAAGUGACCAUGUGAUAAGUUCGACUAUCAAAGAUUGGGACCAUUUAUCAUCCAGAAGCAAAUCAAUCCAAUGGCGUACCGUUUGGAAUUACCGGUUUCUAUGAAGGUACAUCCAAUCUUUCAUGUUUCUCUAUUGGAGCCUUAUCAAGAGUCGUCUUUUCUUGGAAGAGUGCAAUGUUCACCACCUAGUAUUGAGAUCGAGAACCAUGAGGAAUACGAGGUUGAAAAGGUGUUGGAUUCACGGUGAAGGUGGGGCAAGUUGGAGUAUCUUGUUCAUUGGUGCGGCUACCACAUUAAUGAGCGAACGUGGGAGCCAGCUGAAAAUCUCGCCAAUGCAUCAUAAAAGGUAUAGGAGUUUCAUCAACACAUCCUCGUAAACCUAAGUCUGUUCAACGAUAGCUUCCCUUUGAACCUUGCUCAUCCAAGAAUAUAAAAAAAGAAGAAAGCACCACCAAAAUUCGUAGUUGAUGUAGUUAUUUUCUCCAAGAUAAAAUAGAACUUUUUCAGUAGCCAUAGUUUGGUCUUCUGAUAUGGAUAGCUAAGAGAUAGAUACUAUGCCAGUCAGAUUAACUCAACCAACUAGUUCACGAAGGCGACCCCAAGAUGAAGAACUGCCUAAAGCACGAUGACGAUGGAGGAUACCGAGUAAACAAUCAUUGGUGAUUGUUAUUGAGUUCGAGCCUACUCACGAUGGUCAGCCAAAAGGCAUGUUUGCAGGACAAUUUCACAAUGAGGACAUGGAAGUUCAUACUUGGUCAGAAGUUGAAGGCGUGGGUCACUACCAUUGGCUUUAAGGGCCAAUGAAUUACUUGCCUCGUGAACAACAGUUGGAGUUUAUAGCAGACGUUAUGCCACAGAUCUUUAUUUUCUUGCGUUGAUACUGAUUAAUAACAAUAUUGCUUCUCAGAGAUCUCGAAGCUAAAGGAGGGAGUAAUGUUAGGGACAUUGUCCUAAGAACCUUCUAGAGACAAGUUUCUAGAACCUUCUAGAAGCAAGUCUCUGGAACCUUCUGGAAGCUUCUUAGUUGAUGGAAAUUGCUUGAAAAGCUUCUUAGUUGGUAGAAGAUGUUUGGAACAUAGUCCUUAGAACCUUCUAGAGACAAGUUUCUAGAACCUUCUAGAAGCAAGUCUUUGGAGCCUUCUAGAAGCUUCUUAAUUGAUAGAAGUUGCUUGAGAAGCUUCCUAAAUAGGAGUAUAUAUUAGAAUCAAGGCUGAAGAGUUCUUCAGUCUCGACAAUACAUCUUUUAGGGCUCUAGCUCACCUCUCUGGUGUUGUUCUUGUAUUUAUCUGAUUAAUCUAGUUCUUGCCAGUUCUUCUUGAACUUCUUGUUAGGUCUCGAGCUUGUAUUUCUGUGUCCGUGACAGUAAUGGUCUAUAAUUGAAUAUUUAUUUUUAAUAAAGAAGAUUCGAUUAUAAGCUCAUGUACCUAAUCAUUAAUAAAUAAAUACAAGUGCACCUUUAUUUCUACCUCCAAGUCUACUUUCACUUAUAUUAAUUCAUUUAUAAAUAUAUAAAUUAGUAGAAAUAUAAGUAAUUGAUAAAUCAACAUUGGCUUAGAUUCUUUUUAAGUCUUUUACAUCUUCACCUUGUAUAACACAUGUUUUUUUAUACAAGAACUUAAGAACUUAUUAUUGUCACUAAAGCUAUAAAAAAAAGUGAUACUUAGAAGUAGAAAGAAGCAAUAGACUUAGAGUAUAAAAGUCUUAUAAAUAACAAGACUUAGAUUUUAAUAAAUUUAUUAAUAUGUAGAAAACUAUUGGAUAUUAGUAGAUUUUUAAAUUUAAAUAUAAUAUAGAUGAUUUAAUAGAUUAUAUGUAAGAUUAUAGAUAAGGCUUAUUGCUAAAAGUUAUGUGUAAAAAGAAGGUAUUGAUUACGAUGAGACUUUUACUCUAAUUGCAAAGAUGACUUCAAUUUGUAUAAUUAUUAGACUUGUUGUAGUUGAUGAUCUGGAGAUUCAUCAAAUAGAUGUCAAGAAAACAUUUUGGAAUAGAAAUCUUGAAGAAUUUAUAUAUAUAUAUAUAUAUAUAUAUAUAUAUAUAUGGAUCAACUUAAAGCUUACAUAUCAAAAGGCAAAGGUUCUUUGCUUUGUAAGCUUUUCAAAACUCUACAUGGACUUUAGCAAUUUUUAAAGACAUUGUAUAAGAACAUAGACGAGUAUUUUAAUUCACAAAGUUUAAAGAAAAGCUAUGAAAAUCCUCAUAUUUAUAUAUUGAAGAUUACUAAUGGGUUCAUUAUUAUUGUAGCAUACAUAGAUGAUUUGAUUAUAAUAUGCAAUAAUAAGAGAUUUCUUUCAAAGACUUAUUUCAGUUAGCCAAAAGAUUUGAAAUGAAGGAUUUAGAAGAAAUCCAUUAUAUUUUGGAUAUGCAUGUUAUAAGAGAUUGAGAAGAUCAUAAAAAUUUAUAUUAUUCAACAGAAAUAUUUAAAGAAUAUACUUGAAAGGUUUGGCAUGGAAGAUUGUAAACCUUUGAUUAAACUUCUAAAUUCUAAUAAUAAAUUAUCAAGAAACAUAAGUAUAUAAACUCUUAAAAAUAUUGAAGUAAUAAAAUUUGUUCCAUACCAAAGUAUAGUUAAUAUCUUAGUUUAUGAAAAUGAUAGACACUCAAGCAAAUUGUUGCAUAUGUAGUAGAAGUUGUUAGACAAUACAUAGAAAAUCCUAACUUAAAUCAUUUGAUUGUUGUUAAAGAAGUUUUUUAAUAUUUGAAAGAUAUAUUGAAUCAUGUAUUACAAUAUAGUAGAAGCUCUUUAGGUUUGUAAGUAGUUGAUUAAUGCAAUGCAAAUUAUGCAAGAGACAUUGUUGUAUUAUGUAAAGCCUUGCUUAAAAAUGCACUAAGCACUUGGCUAAAGAAUGUAGAAGGAGUAUUGUAACAAAAAGAUUCUAAUUCUAAUAUAGUCUUAAAUAAUUCUAAUUAAAUUUUAAUAAUGAUUAUUAAAAUUUAAUUAAAAAAAAAAAAAAAAAAAAAAAAAAAAAACUCAAAGAUAUUACAGAAGAAGUAUGAAAAAAUCCUAAAGAAAUUAAAAAAAAGUAUUAAAAUAAAAUCCAAAAUAUAUCUUAAAUAAAUUCCAAUCAAAUCUUACUUUAAUCCUAGUUAAAAUUCUAGUGAUCUUUACUUAAAUCCUAAGUCAAAUCCUAAUUAAAUCCUAAAAAAAUUCUAAAUCUUAAUCAAUUCCUAAAUCCUAAAUCAAAUCCUAAUCAAAUUAAUUUAACCCUGGGCAAUUUAAAACCUCAAUAUCUAUCAAUUAUACCAUUAAUCUUUCUUAAGAUUUUACACACCUUUGAAAAACUAAUAUGGCAACAAGCACAAAAAAUUUGAAGAAGAUCAAACUUACCAAACAAAAGAUCAACCUUAAAUUUCACUUUGGUGUUGGCUAGCCUCCUACUCUAAUUUGAAUGUUGAAAUUCUAGUGCCAAUAUUUCCUUCAUGAACAAUUGAAUUGCCUCCAAAAUACACUUAAAUCAUGGAAAAUCAAAUUUAGUAUCCAUAUAAAAAAAUUCACUUCAAUUCAAUCAAUAGAUUGCUAAAGAUCUUAAAAAUACUCACUAACCCUCAAAUUCCAAUUUAAGAGACCUCAAUCCAAAAAAACCUUCACACACUUUGAUCUAACCUUUUGAUUACCUCAAAAUCUUCACAUACACUAACAACUAGAAGACCAACAUACUAUCCAAUAUUUAUUCAUUCACAUACCACAAAACGCAGGUAAUCCUCAAUUUUAUAUACAUAAUUUUAUUUUUCAAAAUCUAAUCUAAUCAAGAAUAUUACUAACUUUGAAAAUCUCAUAAAAAUUGAAUAUUAAAUCAAUUGACAUAAAAACUGAAUACUAAUUAAAUUGACAUAAAAACUAUGCUAAAAAGUCUCUUUGCUAGUAUGUUCUCAAAUUCCAAUCUCUGAUCUACCAAAGAACCCUAGAGAUGGCAUAAGUAUGUAGAUUUGUGCCUCGGGGUCUGAUUUUGACCCAAGUUGACAACUAGCCCUCUCUGGAUAUCAAUAUGUGAUAAUUUGAGAUAAUUCUUGCUUGAACCUAUUGAUAUCUUCCUUCUAAACAUAUCUAUAUUAAUUAUUUAACUUAUUUAUUUUUAUUUGAGGCAUUUAUGCUCCUACAAAGCAAAUAGAAGUCCCUUUUUUAAAAGUCAAUAUUAAGACUAAACUUUUUAUUACCUUCCUAUCAUUUAUCUUUAUUUUUUUACCACAUCUUCUUACUAGGUUCUUCUAUAAUAACAUCCAUGUUUUUAUUUUUCACUAUAUAGUCGUAUUACAACAUAAUAACAUUGGCACUUGAUAUUUUAUUAAUGGCUAUGUAUUUUUGUUGACUAAUGGUAUAAUUAGUUGGAAUAAUAAGAAUCAACCAAUAAUUACAUUGUCUAUCCCAAAGUAAAAUAUAUGGAAACUAUGCAUGCAAUAGUCUACUAAGGUAAUCAUAUAAUAUCUAAUAGAAAUUAUACAUAUAUGUAAAUAAUCUUUUAACACUUUCACUGAAUGACAUAUUAGUUUAAUUUAAUUUAAUAAUUUCCAUCAUCUCUUUAAAUUUACAAUGCUCCUCAAGAGUGAGACUUUUGAUCAAAACAUCUCCAACCAUAUCUUCAAUCUUGCAAAAUUUAAGUGUUGCAUGCAUAGUUGCCAACUAUGCAUGCAACAAUGGUAUUUAUAAUCCACAAUGCUUAUUCUAAUGUAACUUUGUAAUAUUAAUUAUUUGCAUUGUUAGUAUCACUCUGAGGGGAGCAUAGUUCAUCUUAUAAAAUUUCUUCCAAAGCAUUCAACAUUUGUGUUUAGAAAUAGUUUUGAGAAUUAUUGAUAUUUUCUAUAAAUUUUGGAGGAAGUGUAUUAAGAUUUUAUUAGGACUUGCCUCUAAACUGGAAAAACAAUAUCUUAAUAGAUUGAAUUCUAUUAGUUUCUGCAUUUGAAUUUUUAAGAUCCUCCAUAACCAAUCAAGACUAUUAACCUACAGAUAAAAAUAUAAAACAACCAAACAAUAAAAGUAAAAAUUAUGGUCAUCUAAUGUCUUGGUAGUCUUCAAUUAUGGAAGACCAUUUUCAAUGCUAUGUAAAUUCAAUUAUGGAAGACCAUUUUCAAUGCUAUGUAAAUUCAAUUAUGAAAGACCAUUUUCAAUGCUAUGAAAUACCUCUGUAAAUUCAUUUUAUUCAAGCAACAGAAUGUUUUCAAAAACAGUUAUGCAUUGUUUACAAUUUUAUUACAUUAGUUUUAAUAUUUUUACAAUGAUUUUUUUUUUUUUUUUUCCUGCAAUAAAUAAGACAGAAGGCACUAAGAUAUUUUAUGAAAUAUACUUUAAAAUGAUUUUAUUUAUUGAAAAAAAUUCAAAUUAUACAUAUUACAAAAAGUAUAAUUUAUGUUUAUGUUAUCAUUAAAAUAUUAGGCACUGCUAUUUGUUAAGCUUUUUUAAAAAUGCUGUUUGGAGCAGAUUGUGCAAUAUCUGCUCUUCACACUAUUAAUCUAUAUAAUUACUUUUCAUGAUUACAAUUAAAUAAAUUUAUUCUGGAAACAUGAAUUUAAAAAAUAUUGAUAACAGGGUUCUAAUGGUUAUUAGAGUGGAUGUUAUUAAACACGACUUUUCAAUAUUGAUCUAAAACAAUUUAAACAUGUUUCUCAAAACUAUAUCAAAUUCCAUAUAGGAUAUGCUCCAUGAGUGAUUCAUAAGUUUUAAAAUUAAAUUGCUGAGAUGCCAAUAAAUAAAAGUGAAUUCAAACCACUACUAAACAUAUCCUUUGCAAUACUCUGAUAUUUAUACACAUUGAAUUUUUACAUAUGAGUUUUGGUGGCCAAAGUAUUUAUGCCAACUUUUCUACAGACCAUCAAAGCAUAGUAAGUCUAACAUUGUGAACAAUAUUGUAACAGUAAUAAGGAUAAAAAUGAAUCCAUCAUUUCAUUUUAUAUUUUAACCAACAAUUUUAAAUCCAUUCACAUGAUUGCAUUUCAAUUGAUUAAAAAAUAAGUUGAAUUGCAAUUUAAAAAACCAACUUAUUUUUUAAUCAAUUCACGUGUACAAAAUCAUGUUAUAAAAAUUUACAAAUAUUUUAUGGAAACAAAAUAUAAAAUUAGAUACACAUGAAACACAAUAUAAAUGUGAAUGGAUUGAAUAUUAUACAUUGAAUGGUUGAAAGUUGGGUUGUUUUAGGUGCACUAAUGGUAGCAUUGUUUGGUAUGUUAUACCCUCAAUCACAUCAUGCAUGAUACACAGUUCAAUUUUGUUCUAUUCCUCAUGAUUGGAGACAUUAAUUCAAAGAUUGACAACAACAUUUUUUCAAACAAUAUGACUUUGACUUUGCAUUAGUUGGACAAAUCCCUUCUCAUAUAUUCAUUUAUCUUGGCAAGAGUCACUUGACAUCAAGUUUUGAUCUUAAACUUGUCAACAACCUUUGAUGCAUAGAUCAACCAAAUUAAACCAAAUGAUCAUUUCUACAACACGAUUGUAUGGACAUUAUGUAUAAAAUCACAUGUUACAAUUAAGAACAUUUGUUUAGCAUCAACUUUAGAAAUCACAAUAAUGUUACUUUUACAUGGACAAGGCAUGUAAAUCAAAAGAUAAGAAAAGAGAAGAAAAAGAAGGGAAUAUUGUUGUAAAAGUUAGCAAAAAUGUACAGUGAAAUGUAAUAAGAGAAGCCCUUCCAUAACAAAGGGGAUAUAUAUAUAGAGAGACAUAUAUAUAUAUAAUAUGCGAGAAGCUUCCUACCGACUUCUACGGCGGCAAAAAUAUAUAAUAAUAAAAUUAGGAGCAACUGGAGUAAGCAUUAACCCCCUUUUCCCAUCACCAGGAAAUACCCUGCCAGCGUGGAAUCUGACGUGGCAGGCGGAGUCGCGGGUGCGGAACCGCCCUGCCCCAAUGAACGAGGUGGUAAGGGAUCCAGCCCGGGUGCCCGUCCCCGGCAAGCGCCUCCCCCCAUCCCUCCCUCCCUCCCUCCCUGGGCGCCCCUUCACAAAGUGGGGGAGCUUCCGCACCUUAAAGCAGAGGAUGUAGUAGUCUGCUGAUCCAGUCUGUGCUGCUGCUUCUGCUGCUUAUGUAGCCGUUGCCGUGGCCGAUCGCAUUCUGACAUCUGCCUGCUGUCUGGACUCUUGUCUGUCGAGCUUCAGUUUCCUUAUUCUUCUUCGCUUUUCGUGCUUUUAAAAUUCGCUGCUGUCAAGCAACUGGUCCGUAGUCGAAGUUUCAGAGCUCGCAAUGGCUUUCUCCGCUGUGAAGAGGGUUGCUGUUGUCUCAUUCGUGGUGGUUGCCACCAUGGGAUCGGCCGUCGUAGCGCAGUCCGCUCCUAGCCCUGAGCCGCAGAGUAGCGACGUCAGCUCUCUCGUGCCUUCCUUGAUGGCACCUGUGAUUGGCUGCGUCCUUGCCUUGGUCGCUGGAAAGAUAUGGUAAGCUUGUGGAAGUUCACCACGGCUUUCGGAGCCGAGGAGACGACUUUCAAUCGAAGUGGAGCAUCUCCAUCUGCGUUGGUUGUUGAAAAAGGGAUUUAGUCAGAGGAUUCGAUUUUAUAGAAUGCCAAAGUGUGAGGAUACAGGCUGUCCGCGGGUAAUAACUAUCCACGGACACAUGGAGUGGAUUCUUGUGCGGGCGAGAUGCAGUGAGCAUCUGGAGGUGGAAAUGUGCGGCCUCGUUGCGGACUGCUUGGCGAUUGUAUCUUUAGCAGAGACAUUCUCGAAGUGUGCUAGUUUGUAGGAUGCGUACUGUGCUUAUUACGGCACUCCCGCUGUAAGAUCUGAAUUGUGGGAUUCUUUUCAACUAAUUUAAACGGAGCGUGUGGCGUCCACCUUGUUGUUCUGAAAAUACAUUGUACUGCUAGGGGUGUUUUAGUCGCCAGUACUGCUAUUUUCGCAUCUAUAGUCUAUCUGCUGUUGAAUCGUCCUCAAGUGCCGAUAUGUCUGUAUAGAGUUAAAUGCUGUUGGAACAUUUUACUGCCUUGAACUCUGUUGGAAUAAUUGUGUCAACCGGAGUCCUACUUACUCUCCUGGAUCACGACUAUGCCUCCUACAAACUCCUACAGGUGUGAGUACGUUUGGGUCUACCUUUGCGUGCAGUUGCUUGAGGCGUAUCUAUGUUGGGAUGCAUGAGUAAUGGUAGUGGUUAAUAUGUUGUAGUGACAAUCGUUUACUUUGUGUCGCUAUUUCAUUUCAUUUCAUUUCUUUCAAUCACCAGCAUGGAAACGAUUUAAAGCUGCCCGAAUGUUACAAUUCUUUGUUGUCUUCUCUCUUUUCUAAGACUUUGGUUGAGAUGCGUCGUUUUGUGAUGAUACACGGAUCACUUAUUUUUGAAGUCUAAUUUGUUACGAGGAUCGUACACUACCUCUCUCAAGGGCCGUUUAGUUAUUUUCAUACUGAAUAGUUGUUGAGUAUUUCGAACAUCACACUCAUGAUGAAGACCUUUUGUAAGUAGACAAUUCUAGAGCUAUCAGAAUGUUCCAAACGAAUGGUGUUUCUCAGGGCCGAUUGACUCGGACAUGUGUUGUGCGUAUGAUGUUACAUAAAGCAGUUGCGUGUGUGGUUGCCAUUAAUACCUUUCCCUGCUGUACUGACCUUCAUUAUACACCUACGAUUGUGAGGCAUUACACCGUCUCUAAGCUCGGACGUUAAUUUGCAUCCAUAGUGAGUGAGAAAGUAAGUACUGAACAUUCACUAGGUUUUUUUAAACCACUCGUGUUUUGAUGUUAAUAGAAUCCAAACUGAGACUGGUCAUAUCAAGCAAUUAUGAGAACUGAAGGCUCGUCCUAAUAGGACAUUUUCCUUUUAGUACAGUGCCCAAUGUGGUAUGAAUAUUCUUUCAGACACAUGAUUCUUGUUUGUGGAGAAUUCUCGAAUGAUUCAAACCUUGCUGCCGACAGCUGGUGGAGAUGAGGUCAAAGCAGGAUCCAUCAGCUGUCCAUUUCUCAGUUGUCGGAAUUGGCUGGUAACUACCAGCACAGCAACACUUCCGAACUGACGAGGAUAUUGUUUGUGAGGACAGGUGAGAAUAUUUCACGUGACGGCACAUACCCAAUGCUCUUGUAAAAUACACAUGCAUUGAUCGGAAUCGCUGUCGAAACUAAAGCUGUUGUUCAUGCUCUACAAGUAACGAAUCAGUGUGAUUUUUGAAGUUCAACAUGUGACAUGUAUCUACAACACACGAACCCGGAUCGUUCAAAUAUCUCAUUUCAGUGUACCCGGUAGACCUUGCAAUGCCGCCAUGCUGAAUAAUAAUAAGAUCAAUUCUCUCUUUCCGAAUAUUCCCGUCACCUCCCUAUCAUAGUUCUGCAGGACACAAACCAGAUUUCCUUAAUCUUCGAUGGGAAGGACUUCAAAUGUUUGGGUGCGUUUCACGACUCAUGUGAGUUGAUUGCAUCACCUCAGCUGGCUGGCAUAGAGCCAGAAACGAUUGACAGGUGAACGAUUCAAGUACAGAAACUGUAAAAAACAUCCGUUCAGCAUACGAAUUCCGCUAGUCCUGCACAGAAAUGUGUGCAAGAGAUGGAACCAGGCGAUUCUGGAGAGAUAUUUCGAGACCAAAGCGCUACACUGGUGACUCUCGAGAGCAGGUGCACCGGCUUGCAUCUCUUCAACUGAAUUCUUAUUCAAAUUGCACUGUUUGAAUCUCACUGUUGGCGCCACACCCAAAAUCUAAGCGCAUACACAAAAAAAUUGAAAUAGAAAUGGCGUUGCCAAUCGAGAACAAUUGCCACUGCAGUGCCUACACACGCAAGGAAUUCGUUUCCGGCUGUCAUAUGAUGGUAAAUCAUGUAGAUGAAUGACGAAUUGAUUUCAAAGUGCAGAAUGACAGGUUCCGCACGCAUGGGUUCGCCGAGUACCGAGAUUUCGAAGGAUGCGAAGAAACUCACACAUCUUGCAGUCAAGGUGGGAAUGCGACACUAUAGUUACUUGGCGGCGGGAAUUUCUAAGGAGGGUUUUAACCUGGCUCCUCGAAAUGCGAUGAGAGUGCGGGUGGGUGGUCAUCAGCACCGAGAAAUACUCCAAUGGCCACAGUCCACGUAAAACGGGGGGCCAUGGACACGGUCCUCCGUGCAACUGUAGCGAGACACAGCUUCCGCGAAUAUCAUUAUUGCUCCUGCAUCUAUGUUACUCGCUUCGUCUGCAUCUUUUGUGCCGGUUGCAUUGUGCCCUAACAUUAGAUUUGGGUUUGUGUUCCUGGAAAGCCGAAGCUGCAGGGUGUUUCAGUUCCCGGGACGUUCAAUGCCGUGUAGCUUCGCAUUGGAUUUUUGAUUGUGAAGUACUGCUUGUGGUGAAGAGGCUGAUUUUGGUCUAAUGCAGUGGAUGUCUCGUCCUCUGUGAAAUUUCGUUUGUGGAAUGCCCAUCACGACAUGGGCAGUUUGAAGAGCAGGGGCUACAUAAGUGGCCAGGCGGGCUAUGGCGAUAGAGCGGCUGUACCUUUGGGAAAGGGCGCGGGGAAGGCCAAUGUGUUCCGGAUUCUGAUCGCCGUUGUGGCUGUUUUUUUCCUGGUCGAGACGAUAGCGAAUGGGCUCGUGUUCCUCAAAAUGCGAGAUUCUGACUUGCAGGGAGGAUCUCUGAACUUCUUCACAAGAGCUUCUGAGACGAAGACGGUGCGGCCCGGUGAUGACGUUCGGUUUGUCCCCCGUCUGCUGCUGUCUAGAGGGAAGGCCACUAUGGCCGAGCUGAGGAGGGAACUACGAACUCCUGUGCGGCCUCCGUCGUUGGCAUUUGUAUGUACCCGCAUCGUUGUGUAUCUUCAAGAGUGGUCUUUAUUCAUUGUUUGUAGUAAUUGGGAUAAUGUAUGGCAUUUUCUCUGCUUCAGAUGGCCUAACGUCCAGCCGGACAAUGCCCAGUGAUUCUACCUGAACCACUGCAUCGGUCCUCCUCUGCCGUUCUAGGUUGUUGUGGUAAUCCUCAUACUAUAAAUUUUAGGUUAACAAUGUCUGAAUCAUGAUUCAGACAAAUAUGGUGAAUAAGCGUCAAUGUAAUGCCCGUUGUCAUCAUUGAUAGUAGCUUAUGGUACAAUUAAUCGCUUGGCGAUUUGGAAUGAGGAUUGCAUGAGUGGCUGUGGUGACGGUUGAAUCUUAUUGACUCCUCCUUUUCUCUACAUGUUACCUCUCUUUUCGCAGAUAUGCCCAAAUCUUGCUUUAAGUUCUCUAUCUCUUUUCGUGUUGUCGAUCGCGACAGGAUUGAGAGAAAUUGGCUACCAUGUUGAGGUAAACCCGUCUUUCCGAUGUCGAGUUUUUAUUUUAUUUUAUUCUAUUGAUUUAUUUAUCUUCAUGAACUUUCUGCCCUAAUAUUGAAGAUCGAAUUCCUUAGUAUCUACGUGUGAAUACACGCGUUUAUUGUGACUUUACUUCCAUAUUACUUCCUUGUGUAUGUAUAUCCAUUUUUAAGAUGUCUUGUUCCCUACGUGUGCAGGUCCUCACUCUAAAAGAUGGGGAGUUUCGAUCCACUUGGGAAACCAUGGGUGUUGCUGUCAAGCUUUUGAAAGCCAAUUCAGAGAAUGUAACAACAGUCGAUUGGCUUAAGUGAGAGCUGGAUUCCAUUUGAACGAAGUUUAAAUUUCCUUGUUCCAUUAUCUAUAUGCUCACGUUGUCACACCUGAGUGCCGCUAGUUUUACGAAGACUAAAGAAUUACAUGUAGAGAGUAACAUUCUAAAUGUUGCAAGAUCUUGUAAGAACAUUGCAUUUGAUUAAUCUGAUAUCCUUCGAUACGUCUUGGCGUUUGGGAACCAUGUGCGCCAGAUCUUGAACAAUAUUUGCAAUCUUAAGUCUAAUACAUGAAUUUCACUAAUCGUGUGCAGCUACGAAGGUGUGAUUGCGGUUUCUCUUAAUACGAAGUCUAUUCUGGACAGGUUUAUACAGAAUCCUUGUUUUCUAACUGCUUUUCUAAUUAUUAUUGGAAGGACUGCUUUUCUAAUUAUUAUUGGAAGGACUGCUUUUCUAAUUAUUAUUGGAAGGACUGCAUUUCUUGGCUUAUUCUUUUCUUCAUAACUGCUUCAGUGCAGAAUUCUCAUUGAUAGUCUUGCAGUGGAAAGUCAAUGCUAAUCAAACCCCUCAUUGGACAGUCUUGCACAGGAACCGUUCACGAAAGUACCAGUUAUUUGGGUAAUUACUGACGAUGCACUAGGACGACGUCUUGGGAAAUAUAAAGCAGAAAAUUCGACGGAACUAAUUACUGAUUGGAUACGAAGUUUCAAACGAGCUGAUGUCGUAGUUUUCCCAGACUAUGCACUUCCGGUGCGUCUCACACGGCCUGUUCAGUUCUCUAGCAAAAUCUAUUUUUUCUACAGUAAUUCAGCCAUCAUUUCAAGUUAACGUGGCUCGUUCUUAUUAGAGCUGAUAGCAUAACUUCCAUUAUUCGUAUUGCGAAAUUCGCCCCUUAAACAGAAAAAGUAACUUUCAAAUUUUUAUUUAUUUUUUAUAAUGAGCUUGGCGAUUAAUUCCACAAAGCAGCAGCAGAGGAGUCGGUGACAGUGCGUGGUUUUGUCGUUUGUUCACUUACAGUUAUAUGGGCAGAUAAUUUCUUCAGAAAUGUUGACAAAAUGCGACUGUUUAUGUGUGGCUCUUUUAGCUGAAUCACUGCUGCAGAUCGGGAGAAACAAAUUUAGUGAUGGCUUGCUGACUGCUAUAGUUCUGAUUGUGUUGUGUGCGUUCCUUCAGAUGAUCUAUACCACGAUGGAUACCGGGAAUUUCUUCGUCAUUUCAGGGUCGCCUAGAGAAGUGUGGACAGCUGAGGAGUAUAAGCUUACGCAUUCUCGAGACAGCCUACGUGCACAGUUCGAAGUGCAUCCUGAUGACUCCGUGAUUGCUGUUGUUGGGGGUCCUUUUCUUUACAAUUGGCGCUGGAGAGAACAUGCUUUAGUGAUUCGUGCGUUUACGAGGACUGUAUCAAUGCUGGGUAAUGCAUCUCAAAAAGGUGGUAGGCGUAUUCAGCUAUUUAUCAUCGGCCAUGGCAACCACUCAAGCAGCUACGGUGCUGCCCUGCAGGUACUGUGGUAGAUAUAAACUGCCUCUUCAAGUGAUGUGCCCAACACUUUAUAUCACACUGCCUUGCUCCAAAUUAUACUUGUAAAGUUUACCCUGAGAAGCCGGAAGCUUAGAAGGUGAUUAAGUGCCGGUUCCAGACCUGGACAAAGUACGUUUGCUGUAAUGAAGUGUUUUCAGGUUUUUUAGGGCAAUAGGGUUCAGAUGAGCUUAUUUGAUUUGAUAACUAAGGUUCUCCCUGUUGGCAGGGAGAUGGGGAAAUAAUAGUUUUGUUAAGGCAAAUGUGUGGUGUCGGUAUUUGUUCUUUGGGUGCGUGGCUUGUAGCAAUGACAUGGUUGCUUGGUGAUGGCCACAGGUUAUGGCAGAUCAUCUCAAGUUGAAGAAUGGGACAGUGCGCUAUGUAGGUGCUGGUGAGGACGUGAUAGGCGUUGUGUGGAUGUCGGAUGCUGUUGUGUAUGGUUCGUUCCGUGAUGAACAGGCAUUUCCACCGAUACUGGGUCUGGCUAUGAGCCUUGGGCGGCCUGUAAUCGCACCUAAUCGGAGAGCCUUUCGAGAGCAAGUAAGAUCAGAGUAUAUGGUAGAAAAGAUAAGAUGGAACACAGGAUUCCGUUUUGUUUUGCUUUUAUUUUAAUUUUUGGUCCUAUAAAAUGAAGGAGUUAGGGAUGUGCGUGAGUUUGAUUCUGUAUUGUUUUUUUUGUCUUAUUUAUUUAUUUAUUUAUUUAUUUGAAAACACAUUGUUGUAUUUUUUGUGUGCAAUUUGACACGAUGUAGGUGAUAGAGCUUGUGGGCAUGAUAAACUUGUGGAUCGUGUGUUAGUCUUACAGUAUAGAGGUAUUGUUGAUUGCUAUGUUUUUUCAAGUGCAGUUGCUAACAAUCGGUACAUGUGACUUGUUCAUUUUGGGAAUGUGGCACAGAUUUCCGAUGGAGAAAGUGGCGUGUUAUUUCCUGUGGGUGAUGAAAUGAAACUCAGUGAAGCUAUGAUACGUGUAUUAGGAGACAAUACACUAGCAGUUGCGAUCGCGUUGACUGGGCAAUGGAAGGCUAGGAACAUGCAUGCUUCGAAUGUAAGUCUGGGUUACGGUGAGCUUCUGGAGAGUAUUUUGGAGUUUCCUGCUGAGGCAGCGCUACCGCGGCGAUUAGAUGAAGCUGAGAAGAGUUUGAAAGGAGGAUGGCGAUGGGAAAUGUUGUUUCCAGCGAAUACUUCCUUCCAGGUGUCUUUUCAGUCCCGGAUGGGGAAACGAGUCCGUGAGAAUGAUGACGUGGGUUCUGGUGUCAUCGAUACUUUGGAGGUGCACUGGAAGUUAAUUAAUAGUGAAAGUCGAAAUUUCGCUGAAGAAAUUGGCUCUCAUGCUUCCAGUGUAGACCUGGAGAUUCCGAGCCAUUCCGAUCUGGACGAAGCUAAAGCGAUUCAGGAAGACUUAGUAGCAGAGAAAAUUGAACGAGAAGAGGUAUGCCUAUUUCAGGUUUUCUGUCUAUACUUUUAAGAAGUGUGCAUAAGAAUCAGACCAUGCAUAUGGGACAUAAGGCCAUCAAAUCAUCUAAAAAUUAACUGAGAUGAGAGAUGGUUGAUUUGAAUUAAAUGGCUUUCGUUUACAUCGCUUCUCGGCCUCGUAUUUUUCUUGCCUGCAUUGAGUUUGUUUAGCGGGUCAUUUAUCCAUUUAUUUUUAAAAAAAUUCUGUUCUUUUCAGCUGGAGUGGAGAAAAGAAGUAGUGCAAACUUCUUUGGAAUAUAUCACAAAGAUGAUUCGAAAGACCGAGGUCCGCAAGGAUGAACUGAAAGAACGAUCUGAUGCAGAAAUUCAGCGCAAUGCACAGCCCUUAACUAUAUAUGAACCAUAUCAUGGCAAAGGUGCAUGGCCCUUCCUUCAUGAGGAGAACACGCUCUUUCGAGGCCUCAGUCUUGUAAGGAAUUUUUCUUACCUGUUGCUUUCAUUGUUAUUAGGUACCUGAGCGUUUGGAUAUUAUGACUUGUGUAGACCUGAAUGUUCGAUUAGACCUGAGCAAAUCGAUGUUCUGUGCAUAGUGUAAGUUGUCCAUCAUUUCAAUUCGAUACCUACUGGAUCGAAAGGUUUUGAGGUGAUACUAAAGCCUUUUGUUUUAGUAAAUCACAAAAGCAAUCAAACUUCUAAGAAAUAAGUGUUGUUCUCCUGGGGUUAAACGGUUUUAUUAACUGCUUUUAAACUGCUUUUGCACAUGACAACCUUAGUGGAUAGUACGCAAUGUUUCAUUACCAGGGAACGAAGCUGUAGGUUGUGAGAACAGUAUGUUAUAUAACACUACUAUUUAUCUAUUUAUUUCUCUUUUCUUUAUGUAUUUUAUAUGUCUGAACUAGUGAGUUAUCCUGAAGUUUGCCACUAAGAUAGUGAUAGUGAUGAUGCUUGUGACUGUUCUAAUACUCUGACUAUUAUGCUUUUUGUAGUCAACGCUGGAUAGGCGUCCAGGAGAUGAUGAUGUUGAUGCAGAGGUGCGACUGCCUGGUCUCUUGAACGAAACAUACUACCGAAACUUGUUGUGUGAAUAUGGAGCCUUUUUUUCCAUUGCCAACCGUAUUGAUUUGAUUCAUAGAAACCCAUGGAUCGGCUUUCAGCCUUGGAGAGCUUCAAGUAAAGAUGUGCGUCUCUUUCACCUCUUUAUUUGGAAGAAUGAAACUCGUGCUACAUUUACGAUGCUAUAAAUCAAAUUCGACAAUGCAUUGCACUUUGAGAUGAAUAUGGAUUGUUAAGCAUUCUUAACAAAAGCCUGUGGAAUCCAGGUUGCAUUGACACCUGCUGCUGAAGUUGCUUUGGUUAAAGCAAUUAGUACCGGAAGGGAUGGUGAUGCUGUUUACUUCUGGGCUCGUACCGACGGCCAUGCUGGUACGUGGCAUCGAGAUUCUUCUGUAGAGCACCCAGAAGAUUUCUGGGGUUACUGCGACUCUGUUAACUCUGGGCGGUGCAGGCAUGGUCCCUUUACUUCAGCCAUGAAUGAGUUUUUGCUAAUUGACUUCUUCUUUUUAUUUUUGUUAAUUAUGAUAUUAUUAUUCUUUUAUGCUCAAUAAUGUGGUGAUGUAAAAUUUUAUGUUUAUAUCUUUUGGCCGUUUGAAUGUGAAGUGGACGUUGAGGGUAACUUCAUUAAAUAGUGUUUUCUUUGUAGAUAGGGCAUUUGCCUUUGAUCAUUACGUUGCCCGUACAGUUUUCAGGUUAGAGGUGAACGAGAAAGAAGAUUUAUAAGCUGUGUGUAUCAUGCAGAGAGGCAUAUUCUCGGUGUUGGAGGCAUAUGUAUGGGCUGCCUACUACUUGGACAGAUUUGCCACCGAUGCCAGCUGAUGGUGGCACUUGGUCUGCUAUGCACUCCUGGGCUAUGCCUACACCAUCAUUUGUGGAGUUUAUGCUGUUUGCGAGGUAAUUUCUUAUUUAUGGUGGACUGGUCUGUAUGGAUAGAUUGUUUCUCCUACAUCAUACAAAGACUUAGUAAUUAAGAACAUGUAUAUUUUUUUGCUAAUGGAUCUUGAUGUAAUCUAGAAUGGUACUUUUCUUUAUCAAGUUUGUUCUUUAAGAUCCAUAUGUCAGAAGCAUUCUUAACAGCGUGUUGAAAUCUUUCCAUUCUCUUUUGGCUGACUUAGUGUACAUAACUGAAUGCUUCUGCUUUGGCUUUCUGUCCUUGCCUUGCAGUUUGGGAAUCGUCGUGCCUUAUGGCUUUUCUUACUACAUGUCACCAUGUAGCUCUACUCUGAUUAUUAGUAUUAUCAAAUUUGUUAUGCUUGACAGAAUGUUUGUGGACGCACUAGAUGCUCAGUAUUACGAAGAGCAUCUUGAUCUUGGAAGGUGUCCAUUUGUUAAGUUCCCGCGUGAGGUAAAAAUGUCAUUCUGAUUUCUUACCUCUCCCUAGGUUGGGGAGCAUCGUAUUGAGGAAGAACAGCUCAUACUAGCAGAAUUUUCAAACGUGCCUCUUGAUUUGAUCCAUAGCAGAGAACGCUUCUUGUUCCGAGCUGAUGAUUCUUGUUCUCUUUUUCAGGGUCAACAUUGCUACUGCGGGCUACUUGAUGGUCUAGUUAAUGUGUGGGCAUAUCACAGCGCGAGGCGUUUGAUUUAUGUGGACCCCAAAACAGGAACAAUGGAAGAGCAACAUGCGCUUGAUUCACGCCAUGGCAAAAUGUGGGUUAAGUUUUUGAGCCGGGAUACCCUCAAGGGCAUGGACGAAGAUCUUGCCCAGGCAGCCGAUGAUAGCGACCUUCCUAGAGAGAGAUGGUUAUGGCCUCUAACAGGUGAAGUGUUCUGGGAGGGCAUUUUUGAGCGUGAACGACUAGAGCGAUGGAGAUUAAAGAUGGAAAGAAACCAAAAGCAGAAAGAGAAGCAAGCUUUGAUAAGGAGUCGCAUGAAACAACAGGCCAUCGGAAAGGUAGUGAAGCAUCCUCGUGCGGGAGAAAUCAAGCUUCCUGUCGGUGCAUCUCAGCAAGUUGAUUGAACCAGACAACUCUUUUACAGAAGAAGCAACUUCAUGGAUGUAGCUUGGAUCAAUUUAUCCAGCUUUCGGGACUGAUGGCAUAAUCUGUGAAGGUUCUCCACUAAAGUCGAGUGCGGAUGCAUUUCAUACAAGCAAAUCGAAGUGGUCCAAGUUUCAGUGCAACAGAUGGUAUGUUGUUUCAUUUCCAAAUAAACUCGUUAAGUUUUUCAAGUUAGUGGAACACAAGAUUUUGUUAACAUGAGACGCCAAACAGAAGCCAGUAAAACUGUUUCACUCAAGUAUCACCCAUCCCAUGGGCGAAUCGUAUCCGCCUCAUGACCUUUGCAAACGGUUUACUAGAAAUGAUGCAGAUGUGGAUUAUCCUGCUGCAGUGCUGUCUUCUUGGAGAUGCAGAAUAUCCUAUCCACUGGUUCUAGAAUGGUCUAGUUCACUUGCCUUGAUAAGAGUGAAAGCACCUAGAAACAUCAAAAUCACAAAUUGCAUUAUUUAUGCCUACAGAAGUUUUGAAAGUACUUGUCCGCUCCUUGAAGAGGCAACUUCCAGGAAUAUACGGGCAUUCGAAUAUUCCAAGAUGAGGCUCUAGGGUGAAAGAGGAGACGUUCUUUGAAUGUUGAAGAACAGUACAGGUUUUUUCUUUUGCAACGUAUGUAUCCAUUGUUUCACAUUGCUUAAGUGUAGGAUAGGAAUCAGCAGCGUUGAUUCAAAAAAGGACGAAAUUUUUUACAUGCCAGUGCUUGAAAAGCUUUUUUAUGAUCCCAGGGCCUGAAUCGGUAGGAUGAAGGAACUGUACCAUGAAUUACAUUGAAUGGGGAACUUCAAAUGUGGCAUUGUUUCAAAUGUCAUUGGGUCUCUUUUAUUUUGUGCAAUCGUGGACUUCCGAGGAAAUUCUACAUGUGGUGAUCAAUGAUUUCUUUUCGACUAUGGACAGUAACUGUAUUUGUGGGGCUACAUGUUGUUGACCGGUUCUGAUUUUUCUCCGACACUAAGUUUUGCGUGUGGUUGGUUCUGUGAUGGAACUGAUACAAGCUCCUGACAGCAAUAUUCUCGAUCCGGAUUGUAAGUUUGAGUGUUGGUUGUUCUUUGCGAUUUCGUGUAAGGGGAAACAACAUACUGCUGCUUUUUUUGAGAGGUAAAUCUCUUACUAUUCACCCUAUUUUUAUCUGUUUGCAGUGCAUUAUAAUCUUGUCGUAAAUACCUCAAUCAUAGUUCUCAUAUUAAUUUUACGCUGAGGGAAGCCUUGUGAGAAAAUGAGAGAAAUGGUAAUGUGCGGAUAUUAUAUAUUAUAUUUGAAUAUCACAUCAUAUAUAUUGUGGUUAAACUAAUAUUCUUGUUUGUGUAUAUUUCUAUGUGUAAAUAGUGUUAACAUUGUAAGUAAAUUCUGAUAAUCAGAUCUGUCGUUGUAUUCAUAUUCAACAAUGAUGAGUGGUGCAAAGUGCAAAUAGUCAUGAUUGGUAUGUGUAGCUAAAAACCAUUCAAAUCAUGUUUUUGUCUUAUAUUGAUUCUUUUUAAAAGUAUUUUAAGCAUUAUCAAAUAUGAAUUAAAUGAACUUCAGACAAAAAAUGAAACUUAAUUUUGUAACUAAAAUGUAGUAUGAUAUUCGAUUGAUAAAUCGAUCCAUCAUGUGACUAGCGUGAUCUUCGCGCAUGUUCAAUCGAUAAAAAAUGAUUUUCUUUCAAGUCCCACCAAAGCGCUCAUCUUGUAUCCAGUAGCAGUUUCUGAAGCUUUACAGCCGGGAAACACUGUCAAAAAUGAAACCCAUGACAGUCACGCCAAUUGUUGCUUGAUGGGUCAAUUUAUGAAAAGGUGGGUCGAUUUAACAAUUUUCUAAUUAAAUGACGGGUUGUAUAAGCUAAUAUUAUUUGUCAAAACUUGAACAACUGGUUGAAAGGUGAGUUUUUCACUUUGUUUUUGUGCUGUGAGUUUUUAGAAAACCACUGGAAGCAAGACACCAAUGUUAACAAGUGUAAGUUCUUUGAAUAAAAUUAAACCAAAUUUCGUUAAUGUUUUUCUUUUGUCAAAUCGGAAUGUUUGAUUUGCUACUAGAUUUUCCUUUUAUGUUCUCAAUUUUAUGUUAAGAUCCUUAUUUUAGUAUAUUUUAGUAUAUUUGGUAUUGGUUUCCUUUUUAUUUGUUAUUUUUUUAUGUAACUCAAUAUUUGUGUUCUAUGUUUUGAAUUUUUAUAUAAAUAUGAACAGAUGUUCAAAUUCAUUGUGACGAUGUUAAUGUAUUAUGUGGUUGUGAUAUGUGUACUGAGAUAUAUAUGCAUGUGCAUAUACAUGUAUAAAUACAUAAACACAUAUAAUUAAUAUCUUUUUAUUAAACUGUGACCAUAAACAAUAUAACAUUUUCUUUUAAUUAUAUAUAUUUAUAAUGAAUUUAUAAUUAUUCACAAUAUAUUCCAAAAAAUAACUCUGAUAAUUUUGUAUCCUUACUAUGACCUAUGACUACUAUCAGGAAUAUGAUUUGAUAUUGUAUCCAAUAAACCAACAUAUUGUUGCAAAGUAAAUCUUCAUGCAAUAUAAAAAGGUUAUGUUGUAUCUGACUAUAAAUAAUAAGAAGUUAAUUUCGAAAAUGUAUUUAGUUUGAUCUUCUUUGUAGUUUAUAUUGAAAAUUAGGAACACAUAUCAAUUUUUUAAUAAUUUCAGAUUGAAUAUUUAAGAAGAAGUCUAAGAUGAAGAUAUUGCACUAAUCUUCCAGAAAAAGGUUUGUGUUAGAAUAUGUUAAUUGAGUAAUUUUAAAAUAUUGUUAAGACUUCCAAAUGAAUUUAAGUUUUAGCAGGAAUGAAGUUUCAGAAACAUGUCUUUAAAAUGCUUAUGACACUAGAAAGACAAGUAUGAUUUUUUACUUGUGUAUAAUAAAACAUAGAGAAUUCUACAGAUCUUGGGUUUUGUCUUUGUUGUGAUAAUUUUAACUUACAAGAAUAUUAUAAUACAAAUUGGGAAAGUAAUACAAUCAAACGUUAAUGUGCUCCAGAUUAUGUGUUUGUUUAUUUUAUUGUAGCAUAAUUAUUUUUAGAAAAUAGCAAAUCAUACUUGAUAAGUAUGCAAUGGAUAGAAAGAGGCAAAAUUUAUAACAACAGGCCAAUGUAAAAUUGAAAUCAUUUCACUUGUUCGUAAAAAAUAAAAUAAAUAAAUAAAAUGAAAAAGACAAACAAACAAACAAAAAAUGGAUUGCAUUUGUAAGAAAUCCAAAAUACCAAUUGUAUACUAAAAAUAUUGAUAUACUUUAUUAAUUUCUUGAAAAAAAUAUAAAGAGGAAAUUCAUUAAAAAAAAAAAAAAUAGGUUAUAUUGUUAUUCUUAUAAAUUUAAUAAACACAUUGGAAUUGAAAGAGCUAAAUUAACUUUUAAAAUAAGAAUGAAAGAAUUAGUACUGAUAAUUACAUUAUCAGUACAUAUAAUUAAGUAAAAUAAGAGAUUUUUACUCUUAUCACUUUCUGAAAAUAUUUUUUAAAAUUUUUAUUGGUUCUUUGCAUACAAUAGUAUGCAUAAAUUUUGUAUUUUAGCUUUAAAUAUACUAAAUAAAGUUAUAUUUAUUGUAAUUAUAAUAUAUUUUAUGAAUAGUGAAUGUUCAAAUUACUUAAUUUCCAUCUAAUAUAUCUCAACCAACUCCUAAAUACACUUAAUAUUGUUUUUUCUCAUUUAAGACUAAUUAAAAUAAAUAAAACAUGUCUCAAAACAUGUCAAGACAUAUAAUGUGUGUUUUAAUGCUCUAAGGGGCAUUUAUAAUCAAAAACCCACUUUGAAAGGCAAUGGUUCAAAAGCCUUACCAUGGUUCUGGGCUUGGUAAAGAAAUCCCUCUUUUGGAAGUUUUAUUUUUUAGAUACAAUACAAAGUGCAAAGAUGCUAUAAAAUAGAUCAAAUUAUUCUUUUAUUACCAAUCAAAGUAUGUCAAUGUAUAUCUUCAUUCAAAAAAUUAUGAUAAGUAUAGGUUUUUAUUUUAUAAUUUAAAUGAUUAUUUUAAGAAUUGUUUACAAGACUUCUUUUUUUAAAAAAAAAAAAAAAAAAAAAAAAAAAAAAAAAACUCACCUUGAGUUGGAUCGAAAAGGAAUUCCAAAACACUACAUUAUCUAUGCCAUGUAAGAAAUAAAUGUAUUCGACCUCAUUUUUUUCCUCUUAGGACUUAUUUAACACCUAAAAUCAAUGCUUUAAAACUCUUGUACUAGUAAAAUACAUGUAAUCUAUUUUUUCACGAUGUACAAUAUUAAAAACAAAUUCUUAUAUUUCAACACUUUGCCAUGAGAAAUUCCAUAAUCUAUUCUAAAUAAUAAUAAUAAAAUCAAGAUUUUUUUUAAUAUAUAUGCAAAUUAAGAUGACCUCUCACUUCAAAUACUUUUCACUUUUGGUGAAGAAAUAUAUCCUACUAUGGCUUUGCUUAAACAUUAUGAUAUUUCUUCAAACACAUGAUACAUCCAAUACAGUCUUUUUAAAACCCUGGGUACCUAAAUUCUAAAAUUUAUCCAUAUCUUAUUUCUAACUUGUCUGAGCUGAUGCUAGUUAUUGAUUGUUUUUAUUUAGAAAUAAAGUAUCUUAUACUUUUUAAGGUAUUAACUAAAUUAGAAACUAAACUGUUCUUUUGUCAUCAAUAGUAUCCUCAACAAUGUUAGUGUUACAAAUUAACUUCAUUACCAUCAUAUGAUAUUUUAUAUAUAUAUAUAUAUCUAUAUAUAUCUAUAUAUAUCUAUAUAUAUCUAUAUAUAUCUAUAUAUAUUACAAACAACACAAUAUGAUACAGACACCUAUUGUAAUACCCGAUUUAGGUACAUAUAUUUAGUUUUUUGUCUUUCCAAUAAUAACUAAGUAGAAAAUUAAUUUUAAAAUAAAGAAACAUUAUAAUUGCACUAGAAGUGGCAACAAGACUUUAGUCCUAAUUGCAAGCAUUCAUAAUUGUUUUUAACCAUUUAAAAUACUUACUUUCUCCAACCUUAGAAAAAAGUUACAUCCUCUAAUUUCUAUACAAAUGGCAUUCUCUCGAUUAGUCUAGGAUUCAUUACAUGUUACCCUGCAUUUCAUUAUCAUCUUCUCACACACACACACAUCCCAAUCAAUCAGAACCAAAACCUUCAGCCUAAUUGCAACGUUCUCCAAUACCCACAUGGUGGAGACCACAAGGCUCAUGCUUUCUACAACAAAAUGCACACAAUGAUACGAAAUAAUAAAAAUAAUAAAAACUUUAAAAACAAAAUGCUAGAACAAAAAGUCUCCAUGAGUGAGUUUUCAAUUUUCCCAACCUUUUGUCUCCGGGAAGCAUUCAAUUCAAAAUAAUUGAUAAUUAUUGUCGUCUUAAAGGGAAAGGUCACAAGCAAUUCUCGCACUGGCAAAAACGAAGACUGCAGUGAAUAUCCCUGUGCUACGCAGCCAUCCCCAACUGCUGGUUUUUAAUUUUAUUUUGUGUGUAUAUAAGUGUGUGUAUAUAUAUAUAUAUAUAUAUACAUACUUUCUUUGCAAUAUAUAACACAAGACCCCCUUAUCAUAUCUGCCUCUCUUUUCAAUUUUUCUUUGACCCGGAGAACAGGUGAGAAAACUGGCAGUUUUGUCUAUAUAUUUAUCCAGGGUGUCUGGCAAGCUCAUUCAUCAUUGGGAUUCAUCCACUUCCUUGUGGCCUGCUGCUGCUUCAUAAUGCAAUUGGCUUCACUUCGUCAAGCUCGACGCUGAACACAUUUUUUGGCACUAACACUCACUGCGACCAUCGUCGAGCUCGCUCUCGCUCUCUUCUCCCGAGGUAUGUGAUUCUGUCUGUGCUGGUGAUUCCAGUCACCAUUGCUCAACUAUCUUGCUGCUGCUUCUCCUGGCUGAUGGUGGUGGUGGUUUCCAUGCCGCCUUCUGUUGCGUCUGCGUGUGCGAUUACGUUGCGUGCGAGUCUUUCCCUGGAUGGUGUGGAAAAAUCAUUGCAUUUUUAUAUAGCGAAACAUGGGUCAUCAGCACACGUUGCCCGCGGUAGAUCCACAUCUGCAAGUUUGGAUUUUGUCUCCCCUGCUGUUGUGUUGUUUUACUCUAAUCUCUGGAUAUAGAAGCUGGCCGGGAAAAAAGAAAAAGAAAAAGAAAAAAAAAGAACCAAAGCACGAUCUCAAGUUCAUGGGUUAGCCUCACUGACACCCCUUGCAGAGUUGCGUUGGUUGAAAGUGCUCGUCGACGUGAUGCCAUGAAAAGGCUUAAUCUGGGCGAGCAUUAGAGAUUAUAUAGCAUCUUUUUUUUUAUAUUCUCCUUUAUCUCACCCAACUCUGUAAUUACCCAAUUAUUCAACGUCUCGUCCCCUAUUCGCUUGUGGAUAAUGGAACUGCAAUGACCCCUGAGAGUUAUUAUCACGCACAACUGAUCCUAGAUGGACAAAUAUUAUCGAGUAUGGCUUUGAGGUUGACUGAAAUGGAUUGGACAGUGUCUAGUCAUGUCUUUCAGUUGUCAUUGCUUAGUCGAUAAGCGACUCUGAUUCCUUGUUGCUUUCGCAUUACUGAUAAGAGCGACACAUUUUACUUUUGGAGUGUGAUCUUUUCGCGGAGAGUCCUUGUCGAAUGAUGGUUUCCUGCGGACAUACUCAUUUGACAAAUACGUACGCUUUGUUUUGUUUCGUGGAUCAGAGCUAGCAGCGAGGUCGUCUCUAGAGGAAGCUCACCAUGGCUGAAAAUCUGGCGUCCUCCAUGGCUAACCUGCGCACGCCCAGCUCUGGGGGGAUGAUUGUUUCUUUCGGGGAGCUCCUCAUCGACUUCGUGUCAACAGUUGCCGGUGUAUCGUUGGCUGAUGCGCCAGCUUUUAAGAAAGCCCCCGGGGGAGCCCCUGCCAAUGUCGCCGUGGGAGUUAGCAGGCUUGGCGGUCGCUCAGCCUUCAUUGGGAAAGUAGGCGACGAUGAGUUCGGGCGCAUGCUGGCGGACGUGCUGGAGAAGAAUGGUGUGAACGUCAAGGGACUGCGCUUCGACAUCGUCGCGCGCACCGCACUCGCUUUCGUUGCGCUGAAAGAAUGCGGGGAACGGGAAUUCAUGUUCUUCCGAAACCCAAGCGCGGACAUGCUUAUGGUCCCCUCAGAUCUCGACGAGGGAUUGAUCCGAAACGCCGAGGUGUUCCACUACGGGUCGAUCUCGUUGAUAUCCGAGCCGUCGCGCUCGACGCAUCUAGCGGCCAUGAAGCUGGCGAAGCAGAGUGGAGCACUGAUGUCUUAUGACCCCAACUUGCGGUUGGCGCUCUGGCCAUCCCCCGAGGCUGCUCGGAGGGAGAUUUUGAACAUCUGGAAUGAGGCCGACAUUAUCAAAGUUUCGGACGAGGAGGUGAAAUUCCUGACCAACGGAGGGGAUGACAAGUUGGACGAGGUGGUGCUCGGGACUCUGUGGCACGACAAGCUGAAGCUCCUGCUGGUCACUGAUGGCCCCGAAGGGUGUCGGUACUACACCCCCACGUUCAAGGGCCACGUCGACUCCUUCAAGGUGGCGGCAAUCGACACUACGGGAGCGGGCGACGCUUUCGUCGCGGGAUUGUUACAAACCCUUGCGCAAAACAAGAGCAUCUUGUCCGACGAGCCGGCGUUGCGAGCUGCAUUGCGGUUUGCGUGUGCGUGCGGGGCGAUCACGACCACCGAGCGGGGCGCAAUCCCCGCCAUGCCGGACUUGGCCGCGGUGACGAGGUUUAUGGGUACCGUGGCCGCUUGAAUCGGGGCCAUUUCCAUGCAACCGAGUGAAUUCCGAGAACCUAAAUGGAUAGUAUCCUCAGGUGAUAGGAUUAAUAUUUCUAGAGAUAACGAUAUCGCUCAAUUUACGUCUCCAGGAGUAGUGCUGAAAAACAACGCUAGUUGUUGUGUCUCCGGUACGCCGAGGAGGGGUCAUCCUUGCCCACCGGGAUUCAGCUGUAACGAUGUCUGCUAUCGCUCUCUUCUUGGGAGCUCACGCAUUAUACAAAUCAAACAAAUCAUUCAAAUCCUCGCACCGAUCUUCCACGAUUCUCCGUCAUUUUCCAAGUAUUUUACCUCGAGUCGUCUGUGCGUGCGUGCGUGCGUGCGUGCGUUAUUCGGUGCGGUAGAGAGAUCGCGUAGCGCCAACUCAAGCGCAUGACGGGUUGCCACAAGCAUCUGCUAUGAGAGCCUAAUAGCGCGAUUAGGGUUUUUAUAGGCAAACCCUGAAGGCCAAAAGCACCAAAAAGUACAAUGAAACCCUAAAAGUAAUCUUUGUUUAUUUGAGAGCCACGCUGCUUGUCAUGUGAAGAGUCGAGUGAUGGAUAUUAAUGACCCUCAUCAUUAUUAACUAUUGAACAAUUCAGAAGUCUAUUUUAAGAAUGUUUUUUGUAAAACUAACCAUGUAUAAGCAUCAUGUAAAAUAGAGAAUUAUUUAAACUUGUUUAUAAUACAUGUAUUAGUAUCUUAUUCCCUUUAAAUUUAUAUAAAUAUAAGCAUUGUAUAAUACUUAAUAUAAUUUUAUACAUUAAAUGGUAUUGUUGUGUAUGCAACUUCAAUUUUUAAUGCAACAUAUUAUAAGUAAUAUAUAUAUAUAUAUAUAUAUAUAUAUGAUUGUAAAUAUUAUGGUAGAUAGUGUUAUUAUUCAAGAAUUUUAUUGCAUAGACAUGCUUUAAAAAUAUGUAGAUAAUUAACAAACUUUUUACAUAGUUCUAUCAUAAAAUAAAUAUGUGUCUAAAUAUAUAAUAGAUAUCUACUUUAAAAUAUAUUUAUGAUUGCAACAACUUUGAUAAGUUUUCUUAAUCAUAGAUAAUAGAAUUGCACAAUAAAUAUUUACAAUAAAAAUAUAGUACUGUUUUAAAAUAAUUCUAUAUUAUAAAAAAAUUGUAAUUAAUUGAAAAAUAUCUAUAUUAUAUAAAAAAAAGGUUGCUUUACAAAAUAUUUCAAUAGUUACCUUCAUAUACAAAUAAAAAAAAAUUAAAAAAAAUCAUUAUGAGAAGACAAGUUAUGCCAUCAAACCAUCUCAAUAUCUGUUUAUUUAUUUGAUCUCUAAAUUCGUUAUAAGAGGAAUCAAAUGAUUUUAAAUAUUAAUUGAAAAUAAAUUAUCAAGAAUUAUAAUCUUUGAUCUAGUAUUUUGUUUUGCAUAGCUUUCUAGAUACAUAUUUUAUGAUAUAAUAUAUGUAUUUUUAUAUAAUUUGUUUUAAAGAAAUUAUUUAUGGUUGAAGAAUCAGCCCAAAAAAAUUGAUUAAUAGUUACAAUAAUUAUUGUAUAUAUAUUUAGAAUAAAAUUUUAAAAAGAAUAUAUAUAUUUUUUACUUAAUGUAGAUCAAACAUGAAUAGAUUAUUAUAUUAGGAUAUUAAACAAUAUAGUACCUUAUACUAUAAAAUUUUAACUUAGUAAUGAUAUUUAUUAUAAAUUUUGAAUGAUAAUAUUUAACAACUUUUAAAAAUAUAUUUUGAUUAAAAUAAAAGUAAUCUACAAACCUUGAUAUACAACUAUAGAUUAAUAAAAUAUUAUAUUAUAAUUUUAAAAAGCAUAUAAAUCUAAUAAUUUUAAAUUUAUUUUUUUAUAUUUUUUAUAUUUUUAUAUAUUUUUUUAAAAGAAUAAUAUUUAUUUUAGAAAAAAAUAUUUUUUAGAAAAAAAAUUAUAAGUAGAUUUGGAGAAUUUAUUGUUACUUGUUUUAUAGUUUUCACUAUUUAUCUUAAGUUCAUUAUUAAUAUUAUUAUUAUAUUUAAAUUUUAAGAUUUUUUUUUUUUUUUUUUAAUAUAUUUAGCUUCAUUUCUAACACAUUCUAGUAUUUGAAUGCUGUGCAUGUUAUUGUCAUCUUUAUCUACUUGAGUUGUAAUUAUUCGAAUUUUAUUUUUUACUCAUAUAUUGCUAGAUAAUCUAAAUGUCUAUUUGUUCAAGAAACUAGCAAUCUUGAUGUUGAUUAGAUACUAAAAUUUAAGUGAAACUUUAUUUUUGCUUAUAAUUUUUAUAUAAUGUUUUGUAUUUUUUUAUAUAAUUUCUAUGAUUUAUCAAACUCAUGCAUUGUUAUUGCUAUUUAAUCAUAUUAUUAUACCUACUAAGAAUUAAUUUAUUAAUAUGUGGAAGGAAAUUAUAUUAAAUUGGUAAAAAAAUAUUACUAUAAAAUAUUAAAAUUUAUUUAAAAAAAGAAUAAAAAUAGUAACAUGGGUUUAUGGAUUUUAUUAAAUAAAUAAUAACAAGACAAAGAAUACUUUUAGAAACAAAGAUUUGGUAGAAAAAAUAUUCUUUAGAAUCAUUUUUUCCUUAAAUAUAGACUGUUUACUAUUCUAAUUAAUAACCCUAUAACCAUACAUAUAUAUAUAUAUAUAUAUAUAUAUAUAUAAGUUUUUAUCUUCUUCUUUGUAUUGCUUAUUUAACUUCUUUUGUUGUAUAAUCUUUUUCUAAUAAUUAGUUUUUAAAGUAAAAAAAUGAAUUUAUAUUGAUCUUUCUAAAUAAAUUUCUAAGGAUAUAUUGGCUAAAUUAAGAAAAAUGAAUAAUUUGUAAAUAACAACAACCACAAUAACUUUUCAAGAUAAAAAAUUAUACUAGGACAUUGACAAAAUAUCUAUGCUAUUGGCAAGGAUUAUGCAUUCUUUUUUUAAAGUUUGUGAACAGUAGAUAACAUUUAAGAUUUUUUAAAAAAAAUAUUUGGUUUUGAUAUUUAUGUUUUUUUUAUGAACAUUUUUAUUGGUUUUGACAAAGCUUCUUGAAGUUUUGUAAAAACCAAUUCUUGGAAUAGACUUGAUAUUAAUUUUAAAAAACAGUAUUAUUCAUGGCAAGUAGGAAAAAAAAUGUAUUCUACUCUAUUUUUUCUUCUUAUGAUUUUUAGAUUAAUUUUUCUAAUUAUAAUACCCACUCAAAAAUGCUUCUCAAAUUCAUCUACCCAAAGGAUUUAAAAGUUUUCUAUCUUCUCUUCUAAAUAUCAAUACCCCUAAAGACUCAAGUUGGAUACCACAAACAAGUUGAACAAAUAGUACAAAGAAGUUGAAGGUGGUUUGCAUGAAGAGUAAGACCAGUGUGCAAAAUUGCAGAGAAGGUGUAUCAAAAGGCAAUCUUUACAUGAUAAAAUUUCAUAGACAUACGUAUUGUAACACAUAGUGGUCUAAAGCUUUUGGCUUGAUGAGUCUUGGUGAAGAUCAUAAGCCUACAUUCAUCACAUACAUUGUCGCUAAAAGCUGGGAAAGUGAAUACUGCAUCAGUGAAGCUAGCUUCAGCUGUGGCUUUCAAUGCAAACAGAAUUCAGUGCUUCCUUGUCAGAAGAAUUUGUCCAACAGUUUAAGUGAUAUUCCCCCAAAAAUCGAUGCAAAAAAAAACAGCCUCAAAGAGGUAUCACAAGAAACAAUCUAUGCCACUAGAACCAGCCAUGGUGGUACAAUAUUCUCUCAAUUUGAUGCAAUGCAUUCAUUCGAAGACCCAAGCCAUCAUCUUCACUUUUACAAUGAACUUCGACAAGUUCUUCGUCAAGGUGAGAACUUAUAACCGGGCAAUACUCGUCCUAACUCAAAUAGUCUCUGCAAUUGCAGGUACCCAUUAAUGCUGAUGUUAGCAUAUCAAGCUGUGGGUCAGUCGCUUACACGGCUUUUGAAUUGAUACAGCGAGCUCUAAUCGAGAAGGAACAACCAUAGCACCUGUCCAGUGGUAUUCUAUUAAGCUGUCAAUGUUAGAUUCCUUCGCUUCCAGAUGCGGUACUGUACGUUUGCAAUAUGGAGCACAAUACCGGUGGAAGAGAAUGUCAAUACAAAUUUAUAUGUUUCUGGUGUCAGCCUUUUGACGAGAGAAAAAUUACAUUCCCACACCUAAUUACAACCUUCGUGUGGACAACAGAUGGAGUGACUACUUUUAUAGCUGAACAACACGAGAAUGACCCAUCUGUGAGAUUCAGGAUUGUGGAGCUGAAACUCUGGCCCACCUGAAACUAUCCUACACUGAGAUGUCUUUCUGCAUUCUGAUGUUUGUUCGAGAAACUUCAAUGUUUUGCUGGAUGGAAUGCAGGUCUUGUUGUAGCCAGCCAAUGCCAAUUACAUUCUCAACGUCAAGUUUCAGUUACAUUUUCAAUAUUGAUUAGCAGAGGUAACGCCUUUAAAUCUGGUCGAAGUUCUCCAUCUUAAAAAUGCACACACGUGCAUUCAUUAUCAACGAGACGCCCUCGAAUCCCAUUUCGAGCAAUGAGAACGUUGAGCUAACACACUAGCACGUUAUUUCACAAAAUAUGGAAGUGUUGUGGCGAUUUCAAGAUGUUCGUCUACACCUAGUUCGAAGUUUGGAAUUGAGGAAGCUCGCAUUCAGCUACAGGGAAAAUCCGCUCCAGAUCUGCACAGCAAUUGAAGUCGUGUGCAUACGAAACCUGGAAAUCAUGAAAUAAAACAAGACUAUGUCUUGAUUUUUACCCAGACCUUGCAGACCUGACACGAUGGUUAUAAUCGCGAAGAGAGUGCCGGUUCUGGAGGGGGUAUGGAAAAUCCAACUAAGAUGCAACAAAUAUUGUUUUCAAACAGAGAUUUACGUAACAUCCAACAUCAGUGAAAUCCAGAAUUCUUCAGAGUCAACCUGGCUCAUCCUGCAGCAGUGAUCUACCCAUUCAUUAAGCAGAUCUCUUAUGGGUUCAUACCGAUUGUUCUACGUCAAACCAGUGUUUUAACUUCGAAUAGUUCUUCACGAAAUGAGUUGCUCUUAAAUGAGCACAGAAUGGAAUUAGCAUUACACAACGAGGAAGUACACUUCCAGUGCAAGUAACGAUUCAACUGGUGCAGAUUGAUUGCAGAAAAAGUUGUUUGCAAAUGGAUGAGUGGGUGAGUCACAUGUGGUUCUAGUAGAUGAUGUUACAAAUUGUUGCAAACAGAUCAUUGAUCUAGUGCCCAUGAUCUAGAACAAACAAAAGAGGAGGUCAUCUUUGAUCUUGCUAGUAAAAGUACUCUUGAAUCCAAUGUACAAGUACAUCUGAGGGAUGAAUGUAAUUCAUCAAUACAACAUAUUUCGUUGAUGAUAUGUGUGUGGGAUUUGACCUAAUAUUACAACAUUCCUCCACAAAUCCUAUUCUCUCAUUUCAUUUCCGAUAUAAGAACCACAAAUGUCUCAAUUUACUUUCUUGUAUUUUGUACAUGGUUUUGAUAUAAGAACCACAAAUGUGUUAGGAUUCAUUCUUGUGGAUUUGGCCAUAUUCAACUUGGAGUUGAGUCACUCAAAUAUAUUUGAAUCUUGGCUGCAAGAAAAGGUGUUAAUUGUGGUGGUAUCAGUAAAGGUCCAUUGUCAUAUAAUGUGUUGUAUUGCUUGAGAUUAUGCCAUGCACUAGGCUAUGAAAGGUGAUUUGGAAAUUGCAAUUACUCUAAUAGAAUAUUAAAUAAAUCUCAAUUAUACUUUAGCAAUUAUAAUCAAAUCUUAAUUGGUUAUUGAAAAAUCUUUAAAAAACUCUAAAAAUAAUUAUAAAGAAAUUACAAAAGUAUUUUUAAAAAAUCAUUAAAAAAUCAUAAUUAAACCUUAAAGAAAUAUUUAAAAAACUAAAUAAGUAUUAAAAUAGAUAUCCUAAGUUAAUUCUAAAUAAAUCCUAACCAAAUUAUAAUAAAAUCUAAAUGAAAUUCUAAAUAAAUUCUAAAUAAAUCCUAACCAAAUCAUAAUAAAAUUUGAAUGAAAAUUUAAACAAAUUUUGAAUAAAUUCCAAUGAAAUUCCUAUAGAAAUUUUAAAAUCCCAAUAACUAUUAAUUGAAUUGUCAAUUUUUAGAAUUUUUUUUUCAACCCUUCAAAAUUUAAGCAAAAAAAUAAGUACACAAAUUUUGAAUAAAAUUGAACUUACCUAUUAGAAAAAGUAUAGAAAUUCAAGCCUACUAUGCCUGCAAAAAAAAUUGCUUCAAUCAAAUCAGCAAAUAUCUUUAAGUUUACAAAAAAAAUCCUUUAAGAUCCUAAUUCAAUUAAACUCUAAUUUUCUUUAAUUUGACCAUUCAAUUGACUUAGGAUUAUAAAAAAAAAAAAAUGAAACAAAAAAAUUUACAAACCUACAAAAUUUCAUUGAUACAUUUGCUACAAUGCUAAAAACUUCUUCAUAUAUGUAAGCUAUUUUUUAUUUCUUAAAACCUAAUAUUAUUUAAAAUAUUUUUUACUUUAAAAAAGCUCUAAAAAAUUCAAUUCCAUCUAAAUCACUUGAAACCAAUGCUUAAACAAUCUUCAUAAAUUUUGUUUUUUAAUUAAUAAAAAAAUCUUGGAUUACCAAAGAUAACCAUUAGUAAUUUUUUAAUCUAAUUUACUUCUAUUUUUAGAGGCCUAGUUCUCUAAAAAAGUAAUUAAUUUUGGUGUACCAAACAUGCAAAGCUUGUUUCAAAUCAUAUAGUGCAUAAACUAGUUUAUAAGUUUGUCUUGAACUUGAAAAUCUAUGAGGUAUAAACAUGUAAAAUUUUGUAAGUAAUUCAUUUAAAAAUGGUAUUAUUACAUCUAAAUAUUUCAAAUUCUAGUGAUUUCUUGUUGUUAAUGCUAUAAUGAUUCUAAUAAUUUUCUAUCUCACUACUAGGGCAAAUAUUUUAUAAAAGUUUAUUCCAUCUUAUUGCUAAUUAUCUUUUGUCACUAUCUUAGCUUUGAGUUUAUAUAUAUAUAUAUAUAUAUAUACAUAUACAUAUAUGGUCUUAUUUUAGCUUUAAAUAUCUAUAUGAUAUUAAUAUAUUUCUUAUUUUCAGGUAUUUUAUCAACUAUCUAUCAUGUGUUAUUUUCUAACCCUAAUUCUACUUCUUUAUUUAUGGCUUUACACCAUCUAAGAUGAUCUAUACCUUCAUAAAAGAUUUGAGAUUUGCCUAUAAAGUUAGUAUUGGAUUUAAUAUUUUUUUUAUAGAAAAUAAGUAGUGAUUUCUAAAUUAUAUGCUUGAUUGCCUUUUCAUUUCUGGAUUUUUUAUUACUUCUAUUUGAGAAGGCAAUAGUAAUUUUUGAGAUUAUAAAAUUAAAUUUUCUUGAGAUUUGAAUGGGCUAAAAUGAGUAUCUUCUAGAGUUCUUAGAGGUAGACUAAAUUAUUGGUAUUUGUGAUUUAAAUAUGUAGAUGAUAUAGGUUUAGAAAAAUCAAACUUCUUAGUUGAUAAGCUUGGAAAAGAUUCAUAUUAUUGAUUUAUGGAUGAAUCAUCUUCACUCCAAUUAAAAAAGCCAAUUGAAUCAUCUUAGAAUAAAUUGAUUUCUUUGACCAUAUCAUAUUCAAUUUAUUUUUUGUUAAAUACUAUAUCCUUGCUUAGAUAAAUUUGUCUUGUUGCAAACUUGUAUACCUUGUAUACUUUUUUUUUGUUAUCAUAUCCUAAAAAAUUAAAAUUUAACAUUCUUUUUUUUUUAAUUUUGAUUAUUUUUCAUUAAACACGUGCAAAGAGCAAACUAAUCAAAUCAUCUUAAGAUGAUCAAUGCAUAGUUUUUUUUUGUAAUAUUUUUUUAUCUAGUAUGAUUCUUUAAUUAAUCCUAGCGGAACUUAAAUUGAGAAGCAUAUUGGUUGUAUUGAUAAUUUUUACCUAUAAAAAACCAAAAUAGUUGCUAGACCUAGUUCUUUAUAGACUUAGUUCUUUCUAUUAUAGUUUUAUUUCUUCUUUCAGAUACCUUAUUUUGUUGCAAAGUAUAUGCUUGUAUUAAUUGCCUUCUAAUCCCAGUUUCUACAAAAAAAAUCCAAAAUGCUUGUUUGUUUCUAAUGGAAUAAUUUUCUAAUCAAUCACAUUUUCUAUUCUUUCUUAGAAUUUUCAAAAAAUUCAAAAAAUUCAAAAAAUAUUUUAUAAAAUAUAUUCAAUUUUUUUAAAAUAGUUGUACAUAAAUGCAACAAAGAAUCUUGAUUUGCUUAAUAAAGGUGUAUAGAUUAGUCUAACUAAAUUAGAAUGUAUAAUUUUAAUUAUCUUUGUAGGUCAAUUUUUUAAUAAUUGUAGAUAUAGCUCCUUAGUUUAUCAUCUUACUAAGUAUUUUAUAAAUCUCUUUUGUUAUUUUAAAUAAAGAUAGUUCACAUAUUCUAUUUUUUUUAUAUAGAUGUUGUAAUCUUCUAUAGUAUAAGUGAACAAGUUUUAAAUGCCACAAAUGUAUGUCAAGAAUAUUGAGAUAAUGAGUUCAUAAAGCUCAAAUAACUUGCAAUAAUGGUUAAAGAAUAUUGUUUAUAUUGCUUCAAAAAUAAUUUUUUGAAAUAAUAAUGUUUAUAUUUAUUUCAAUUGGUUUUUGUUUAAACAUGUAUAGUUGAUUUUGUAGAUUUCUAUAACCAUCUACUAAAACUUUUUUAAUUAAAUUAUUAUCUUAAAAUAGAUAUUAUACUUUUGUAAAGAUGAUAAUGUAUCCAUCAUCAGUUAAUGAUCUUAACUAAUUAUGAAGUUUUUUUUUAAUACUAGUACAUAAAAAAAUUUAUUUAUGUUUAUUUCCUUAAAUCCAAAUAAUAUGCUUAUAAAACCAAUAGCUUCAAUUCUUUGAAAUGUAUUGUCAAUUAUAAUAAUAUUCCAUCUAUGUAGAUUUUGAUUUACUAAUAUUAUGUUUUCUCUCUAUUCAAUGACAUGACUUAUGGCUUUUUAGUCUAUGUACCAAUUUGUAUCUUAAUAAUUAACAAAGGCUCCUGAGUAUAUUUACCAAUUUGUAUCUUAGUAAUCAACAAAGGCUCAUAUUGUACUAGUAUCUACAAAGUUUACAUGAUAAUUGUUUUUAUAAAAGCUAUUACUUUCAAUGUAAUCUACUAUAUAAUAAAGAUCUUAUUCUUUUCUUAGAUCCAUAACCUUAUUUUACAAUAGAAGUUUGUUUAACACCAAAAAAUUACAAAAUCAUGGCAUUGUGGGAUUUAAGAGCUUUAACUUAUUUUAUAGACAAAGACUUUGUAAAAAAAUAAGAUAUAUCCUUAGUUAAAAAAUUCAAACUUAUACAUGUAGAAAUAAUAGAUGGUUGUUCAUUGUCUUUUGAGGAUACUAUAUAUAAAAAAUUUCUUAUAGAAAUAGCAAGUAGUAGUCAUAAUAGUUUAGUGAUAUUUAAUGUGAUUUGAUUUUUUUAAUUUAAUUAUUUUAAAAUUAUUCGGAUUAGAAAGAUAUAACUUUCAAAUAGACUAGAUUUCUUGUAAUCUUGAUUUUUUCCAUAGUUUAGCUUAAGAUUUUGCUAGGCAAGUAGAAACCUAUAAAAUUGAUAUAUCCAAACUAUUAUUAGUAGGUGCAAGAAUUUUAUGCAUGUUGCAAAAGAAGAGUCAACUUUUGUUAUAUACUCUACACCUAUUGUUAAUGGAGAAAAUAUUUUAAGUGGCAUUCUAAGCCGAUACCAAGUUUAUCAAGAUAUUUUUGAAAUAAAAAUAUAAAUAUUUCUUUACAACAUUGUCCUUGUGAUUGAUCCAUUGAUCUUCAAGAAAAAGCUCAACUACUAUUUGGAUCAAUCUAUAGCCUAUCACCAAAUGAGUUGGCUACAUUCAAGGAAUACAUUAAUAAAAAUUUGGCUAAGAACAUUAUAUGCUAUUUUAAAUCUCCAACUAGAACUCCUAUCUUAUUUGUAAAAAAAAAGAUGGAUCUCUAUGGAUGUAUAUGAACUAUCAAAGAGUCAAUAAGAUCACCAUCAAAAAUAGGUACCUUCUCGUUUUGAUUUGAAGACUUCUUGAUUAAAUAAAUCAAGCAAAGAUCUAUACAAAAAUAGAUCGACAAGGAGCAUACAAUCUACUACACAUUAAAGAAAGAAAUGAAUGAAAAAUUACAUUUCAAAUCACGUAUGGACAUUUCAAAUAUAAUGUCAUACCUUUUAGACUCACAAAUGCACCAAGUGCUUUUCAACAUCUAAUAAAUAAUGUCUUUUGUGAGUUUCUUAAAAUUUUUAUUAUUUGUUAUUUAGAAAAUAUCUUGAUCUACUCUAAAAACAUAGAAAAGCAUGAACUUCAUGUUUGUGGUAUAUUAUAAUAACUAAGAGAUAUAGGAUUAUAUGCCAAGAUAGAAAUAUAUAUAUAUUUUACACUAUUUAAGUUGAUUUUUUAGGAUACAUCAUUUUAAAUGAUGGUCUUAUGAUGGAUCUCAAGAAGGUCCAAACUAUCAUAGAUUGGAAGAUCCUAAAAAUAAUCAAAGAUAUGUAAUAUUUUGUGGAAUUUACUAAUUAAUAUCAGAUCUUUAUUAAGAUUUUUUUUUAUGUUGCAACUCUUUUUAUAUGCUUGACAUGUAAAGACAAACUUGAGUGGAUCAAAGAAAAUAAAAAAUAUUUUGAAGCUUUGAAGACAACAUUUAUUUCUACAUCAAUCUUCUAUUGCAUUGAAUUUUUGAAGGCAUUCUUUAUAGAAACAAAUGCAUCAAACUUUGUUAUAGUGUUGUUUUGUCAUAAAUGGGAGCAGAUGACAAGCUCCAUUUAAUAGCUUUUUAUUCUAAGAAAUUUUUAGCAACUGAGAUUAACUAUGAAAUCCAUGACAAAGAAUUUCUUACAAUUGUGGAUUCAUUUCAAAAAUAGCAUCAUUAUCAAGAAAGUACUUUUAGUCCAAUCACUAUGUAUACAAAUAACAAGAAUCUUAAGUAUUUCAUGUCAACAUGUGUUUUGAAUCAUCGCUAAGCCCAUUGGAACAUGUUUUUAUUAAAAUUUGAAUUUAAGAUCACUUAUUGGUCCAAAAAAUAAAAAAAUUUGUUAAAUGCCCUCUUUAGACAUUCUUAUCUUACAUCAAAAGAAGGAGAUGCAGCUUUUAAUCAACAAAGAAUAAUUCUCUUGAAGCUAGUGUAUUUUUAUCUUUAAGUAAUAAAAUCAAUAUUCAUUGUUGAUUCAAUAUUUUUUAGGUAAAUCCAAUUAAGAUAUGUCCUCUGAUCUUCUUAUUCAUGAUAUCAAGAAUAAUUCUUCUAAGUCUCAUAAUACUUCCAAUUUCAAGUUUAAAAAUAAUCUACUCUAUUUUCAAUGACAAUUAUAUACUUCAAAAAGACAAGCAUGAUUACAUAUUCUUUAAAUUUAUCAUGACUUUUUAGUAGCUAGAUAUUUUGGAUAGAAUAAGAUUAUGGAAUUAAUAUCGAGAGAUUUUUGGUCUCUUCAAAUAUAAAAAGUAGUUAAAGACUUUGUACAAUCAUGUGAUAUUUAUUGAAGAUCAAAAACUCCUAAUCAUUGAUCUUAUGGACUUCUCUAAUCAUUACUUAUUUUGGAACAAUUAUGGUCUUCUCUUUCUAUGCAUUUUAUUAUAGAUCUUCAAAUCUUAGAUUUGUGUAAUUUUAUAUUUGCAAUAAUAGAUCAUUUUACUAAGAUGGUAUAUUUUGUACCAUAUACAAAAUCUAUUAUAGGUAAAAAAUAAAAAAAAAAAAAAAAAUGGCUAUGCUUUUGCUUGACAACAGCUAUUGUUAUUAUGGAUUGCUCAAAGAUAUUAUAUUGGAUAGGUGGACUUAAUUUGUAUCAAGAUUCUAAAAAUUCUUUUUUAAGAUUUUAAAGGUGGAUAUAAAGUUCUCUUCAAUUUUCCAUCCUCAAAUUAAUAGACAAACGGAAUGGAUGAAUCAAGUUUUGAAGUAGUAUUUGAGGUGUAUCAUCAACUAUUAUCAAGAUGAUUACUUAAUUCUUUUGUCAUUGGUAGAAUUUCUAUAUAAUAAUUUGAUAUAUUUUUUUAUUCAAUAAAUACUUUUUUUGCCAAUUAUGAUUAUCAUCCACACCUUGAUACUUUUGUCUUUUUAAAAGUUGAUAAUCCUAUGGCAAAAGAUUUGGCCAUUUAUUUGUCAAAACUUCAUGGAAUAAUAAAGGCGUAAUUAAAAGAAGUUCAAGAACAACAAAAGAGUAAUGCAGAUGCCUAUCACAAAAAACAACCACAAUUCAAUGUGGAUGACAAAGUAUAGGUACUUUGUUGCAAUAUCAAAACUACUUGUCUUUGUGACAAGUUAGACUAUCGUAGGCUUAGACCUUUUCUUAUUUGUAAACAAGUCAAUCUUGUUACUUAUCAAUUACAUCUAUCAAAGUCUAUAAAGAUCUAUCUCGUAUUCCAUGUGUCUCUUCUUGAGCCAUAUAAAACAAUGAAUAUCUCAAAAAAAAGACAAAUUCUACUUCUACUUAUAGAAAUAGAUAUUAAUCAAGAAUUUGAGGUGGAAGUAGUUUUAGAUUCAAGGCAAUGCCAAAAUAGAUUAAAAUAUCUUAUUUCUUGACAAGGAUAUGGUAUUAGUAAAUGCAUAUGGAAAUCAACAAAAAAAUCUUAUAAAUGCAAGAAAGAAGAUUGAAGCUUUUUAUCAAUGAUAUCCAUCAAAAUUAAGAUAAAGAAUACCAAAUCUUUACUAUUAUAAGAAUAAGAUUUUUUUAAAAUAUUCUAUCUUUUAUUCUUAUUUGUAACUUUAUAUAUUUGUGACUCUAAAGAAAUAGAGAAUCAACAAGUAGUAGAUUCAAGACAAGAGCAAUUAUUUAUUGACUUAUCAAAUAAGAUAUUAUGAUUGUCACAACUUUCAAGACCACGUAAUCAAGAUGAAGAUCCUCAAGAAUAAUAUGUUCUUCCUCAAAUAACAUAUAACAUGUUUGAUAUUAUGACCUUGAAAGAGACUCCUAAUGUUUAGUGAUUUUAUUAGAGAUAGAAACAACUCUUAAUAGUGUUUCAAAUGUUUUAUUUGAAAAGAGUUAUGAAGGCUUCAAUAAUAAUCAAAUAACAGGAUGGUCUAUUUGCCCUAGUAUGGGACACAAUCAAUUGCUAAGAGGACCUAUCAACCAUCUUUAAAGAGAACAAGGAUCAAAGUAUGUGGCAAAUAUAAUUUGUCAUAUCUUGGAUUUUCUUAACAUAUAAUGACCAUUCUUUGUAGAAUUUGUUUCUAAAAGAUGGAAUAAUAUCACAAACAUAUGUAUUUAUUUUAAUAUAUAUAUCUAUAUGAUUAAUUAGAAGUAGAUAAAAGUAGAUUUAUUUCAUAAUAUUUCCUAGAAAAGGUUCUUAGAAGCUUCAUAAUUACUACUUUGAUUUUACAUGUAUUUGUAGUUAAUUGGUAGAUUAGAAACUUUGUCAAUAAAUUAACCAUAUGUUAAUAGCUUAUAGAAUAAUCUAAUUAUGUGGCGCACAUAUAGAAAACUUGCCUUACAAGUUAAGAUAUGUAUCUUGCAAAGUCAAUACGUUUUGGAGGUCUUAUAAGACCACCACGUAGCUCCUAAUUAAGAGUAUAUAUGGAUUUAAGAAUGAAGCUUUCUUUACUCUUGUUAAUGCCUUUCUAGUCCUUGGUCUUAUUUCAAGGCUUUUUAGUCUUUUUGUUUAUGGCAAUAGCCAUUUUAGUUUGAUAUUAUAUCAUCUUUGAGUGAUUUUUGAGUCUUUUUUACUGACACAAGAGUGUAUUGACAUUUUAGUUCUUUGAGGUUCAUGUCCUUGACAAUAUACAAUGUUUUGGUAUAAAUGAGAUGUAUUUAUAAAUAUUCACCAUUAAAAAAAAAGUAGUAAAAAAAAUACAUGAUUUUAAUAAUAUAUACAAGUAUAUAUUUGAUUUAAAUUUCAAAAAAUGUUGAUUUGAGAAUGGAUUUACACUUAUUACAUUUAAGGCAUUUUUUAUGUCAUUUAGAGCAAAUACACUUUGAAUCAAAAAAGAAAAAAAAAUACUACAUCUAAACAAAAAAUAAACACACUUAAAAUUAUGUAGUUGAAUAUUAAUUUCAAAAGAAACGUUUAUUUUUCCUACUCUCCAUUCUUCAGCCUUUCAAUUAACAUUGAACGCUUGAAUACAAGGUUAUUGUGUAGUUUCUUUUUUUUCUUUUUUUAUCAAGGAAGUUAGAUUUUUUACUUUCAUUACUCUUAGUUCCCAUGUUUGGAAUCCUCGAUCCAAAACUAAAACCACUUGGGCUGCCGGCAAACGAAAAGGGUGACAAAAUUUGACAUCGAGAAAUCUGCGCAGGUUUAGUACAAUUUCAUGGUCUCACCAGCCAAAUUUGAUCUCAUUGUAUGGUGAUUGCAACCACACGACCACCCACGAAUGAGGUCAGCAGCUUUUUCAACUCCGAGCUCGGCAAUGAAAGACGACGCCGGACUACUACGAGAUGCCGAAUAUAUAUAUUAUAUAUUUGACGUUCGCCAUUCAUUCAUUCAUCUAACUCACCGACGCUGCCAACAUUCAAUCACUAAUAUGGGAAGAGCUGUAGAUUCCGUUGCAACAAUACAGUGACAGGGAGGAGCGUUGGAUGAUAUGGGCCAAUCAAUCGAACUAUGUGCGUGAUGCACGCACCUGGUGAUUUGAUCGAUCAAGUUCCAGAUUAAUAUCACUGCGAACUGCUGGCCCACACACGGCAGGCAGGCAACACUGCUUCAUCAAAUCUUACACUGCUUGCUUUGUAAUCUCAACUUCCGUUAAUCUGCAACCCACCUCGUCAAAGAACCUGGUCUUGCACGUUUCAAUCUUGCUCUCGAACCCAUCGGAUUCAUAGGUCUACACAUGUUUUUCAUGCUGCAAGAGAGAGAGUCCCCCGUUUGUCGCCAUCGAAACAACGUCCUCGAAACGCUAGCUUACCACCCCACAAAUUCAUGCGAUGAAGAAGACCCAACAAUUGUUGUAGAUCCUAAUUGGGUCGCGUUUGACAGAUUCUUCCGUCAUUCAUCUAACGUCGCAUCUUGACGGGCCCGGUUGUUAUAAGAUGGCAAGGAUUUUGUUGAAUUUUAUUUUUAUUUUUAUUUUAUAUGUAUCAGAAUGUUUCUACAGAGUGAUCUUGAUGGUGUGAACGCAGAAUCCCACUAAUCCAUUAUUAUUCAGUUCUUGAGAAUUCUAAAGUUGUAAUUUGUUUCAUUUGAACAAUUUAGAAGGAAUGGAACAAAGCAAAGUUUGCAAGUUGUGUUACCAUUUAAGUAUUUUUUUUAAAGUUUCAAUUAGAGUUUUGGAAUUGAAGGUAGCUUUUAGGAAAGAAAAGACAUGUGUAGGGCAUUUCAAGUUCUUUGAAGCUUUGUUUUGUCAAAGGAUACGAGCUUGGAAAUAAUAGAUUCUUUUCAACUAGUUUGGGUUCAUUUGAAAUUACCAUUUAUAUUUAAUACAUGGAAAAAUAAAAAUAAAAAAUGUGAGGAAUUAGUUAAUAAAAUUAUUCAUCUGACAAAAUCAAUAAUAGGUUUAUAUGAUGAAUAAAAAUAUAUUUAACUUCUUACUUUUUUGAUGUUCCAUCUGUGUUGUUGUUUUUAUUAUUUUUCCAUAUUUCAAGACCAAGUAUAAUUUAUAAUUGUAAUACAUUUUUAUUUAUUAUCAACAUGUCUAAAGUUCUACUAGCAUAUGUAAUAAGUUAUUUAACUUGUGAUAUUAUCAAUAUAUACCAAAAUAAUAAUAAUAAUAAUAAUAAUAAUAAUAAAAUGAUAUGAUUUUAAAGUACAUGUACAUUCUAUAAUAAAAAUUCAUAGUAAUUUAGUUGAAACAUUAGCAGAUUGGGUUUUGCUAAUACUAGCACAAACUAUCCUAAACUUGUGUUGCAUACUACAAUAUAUUUUAAGGAGCACUAAAAUAUACAUCUACAAAGAAUGUGUAUCUUAUCCAUUGUGGUGUGAAUAAGCAAUAUUCCAUAAAGUGCAUUGUGAUAUGCAACACAAUUUUGGAAAGCUUAUGGUGGCAUUAGCAACAUCCUAAUGUAUUACCAAAUAAAUUUAUAUUCUAAAAAAUAUUUAUAGAUAUUAAUCCUCAUAAUACCACCAAAAACAUUACUAAAAUACAAAAGCUUGUAAACAUUAAUUUUAAAUUUAAAUAUAUUUUUAUUCAUCAUAAUUUAUAUUGUAUCUAAACAACUAUGUUUUGAGUUUCAAUUAUCUAAAAAUAGAAAUAAAUCAUUGAAAAAAACAUAUUAUUUUAAUGCAUCUUGUUGUCUUUAUUAUUACAUUCUUCCAUGAACGUCUUUAAAAUAAAAAAACGUGGUUCCAGUACCCAGUAACUCAGAAGCUCAAAAAUCUUCCACUUUCAAAGCCACUAUAAAUUUUCUAGAAAACAUUGAGUACCAUAGUUAAUUAUUCUUUAGUUUCAUCCUAUGAGAGAGGCAAGUAGCCUUUGGAUGGAUGUACAUCCAUCCAUUCAGAAACAUUCGCAGCAUACAUCCUUUUUACAGGAGGUAACAACGAUAUUACAACGACGUAAUUAAUUAUUUACCCUGACGAGGUUUUUGAGCCGUGGUCGUGUGUUUCCAGGGACCCUUGCUAGAGAGACGAUGUGGCCUCUGGCUAUGUCGUCUCCCGACCUUGAGCCUGCUCUCGCAAUCGUCGAAUUUCGUCGUGUUCUCACUCCCUGCUUCACGCGACCGGGGUAGUUCCACUCUGCGUCAGAUUAGGUUUCGAUUGCAUCAUUUCUCGGCGUUUUUGGUGAAGUAUAGCGUUGGAUCUAGAGCGUAUAGGACGACCUACGUGUGCGGUGGCGUUCUCGCGGAGAGGUGGUGUGAAGCGAGCAUUACAAUAUUGUUGGAUGUGUUGCGAUCUCAGCGUUUUUUCGGUUUUUUUGUUUUUUUCUUUGUUUGUUUGAAUAGAAGUUUUGUUACAUAAAUGAAAAUCUUGCUGUUCUUGUAUAGCGAAUAGGGGCUUCCUCCUUUUGCACCCGAUCGCGUCAAUAAGCUGAUAUUAGUGUCAGGAUUUUGAGUCUCUAUUUGAUUCUUAGUCUCUGCUCUUUUUCUUUUUCUUUUUUCUUUUUGACUCGCUGCGAGGUUUUCGUUAAAAUGUGGAACAUUCACUUGCUUCAGGGCCAAACUUACCGGACAAUGCACAUUCUGCUUGAGAUGCAGGUGUGCCUGCAAGGGGAGAUUAGGUUACUGCACUGUCGGAGCUUUUUUUUGAGCUGGUAAGUGAUUUCGAUGCGAUCGCAUGACUUGGUGAUCUAAAGGGGGGGGUUUCACGAUGAUUAUUCUGCCGGAUUUGCAGUGGAGAAUGUGAGUGAUGAUAGUAAAAAUGAUUCAAUUAGUUGUGUCAUAGUAAUUAUUAUGACUGGACUUGCCACAAUCGGCCCUCACUAAUGCUACAAAGCAUUUGUAAAACCACACGAUGAUGUGACUAUGAGCUGCGAACUUGUUUUUCUCUACACAAUACCUCCGAACUGAACUGUCGACUCCUGCCUAUCGAGUUGAAGCUUCCUAGCAUGAAGCCGUUUGAAGGUUGCAUCGUUUUGUGCCUCUUUGUAUCCGAAUUUGAUUCAGGGUUAAGGUUUUUGUCCAGGUCGAUCAUUUCAUUCAGUUGUAGUGGGGCAUUUAGAUGACAGAAUUGGACAUCGAGAUACAGAACCUCCUCAGUCUUUUGAGUGAUGUAAUGGCCUCCUACAAUGAAAUUGUGGGAUGUUUGCUGUUGCUUCCUUCAUUCUCAUUAGAUCCCAAUCCUGUGCUCCUGUUUUUUCGCAGAUGGACUGAUUGCGUCAGCUGUGAGGAAAUCUACUCAACAUGGAACCUGUCGGAGACACAGUUGUGAAGCCUAGCCAUGCAGAGGCUUUUGCGGCCCUCAUGGAACCCGGCAACGGCGACCCGGGAUACAUCUCGAUGCGUCGUCUGUUACUCUAUAGAAAAGCUCUCUCUAACAAGCUUGUUCGGCAGAAGUGGGAGCUGAAUGGAAACGGAUAUGUCGCCUUCCAUGACUACAUACGCCAAUUAAAGAGGCUCCAGAAUUCUCAAAACUCGCAACCUGCUAGCCCAACCAGCACACAGGCUGCCCUCGACAGUGGCCCCUGGGCAGCUUACGAGAGAGGAAGCUGGAGCUCCAGUAGAGGCGGGUCAAUGAGCGAGUCUGGGGCUCAAGAGAUCCCAUCCGAACCCGGCUACUCCUUCGUGGGCAUGCAUUGCGUUUUUGAUGAGUGCAAAGCCUCGGUGAACAUAGUAAAAUUUGGACAUAUGAGCUCUGAUCUUCUGGCAUAUGGUGCUUCUAACGGUCUCAUAACCGUAUGCAGUGUUCCACAGAUCCUGCACCGAAUGACUGGGCACACUAAGGAAGUGACAGACAUCGACUGGUCGUCGAAUAAUCAGUAUUUGAGUUCCUCGUCACUGGAUAAGAGUGUACGAGUUUGGGAUGUUCAGAAAGGAAUGUGCCUUAGGGUAAUCUACGGCACAGCUCCCCAGCUCUGCAUUAGAUUCCAUCCUGUAAAUAAUAACAUUCUUAUCGUGGGGAAUGGAAACAAAGAGAUAACGGUAUUCAACUUCAGCACGGGGCGCUUGAUUCAUAAGCUGGCGCUCGACAGCAACGUUACAGCUCUGGAUGUCGACCAUUCGGGCGCCAUCCUGUUUGCUGGAGAUGCGAGGGGGACUGUCCACAGCGUGACCAUAAAGAUGCACCACGGCAACUUUGUCAUGCGGAGCACUCAUCGAUCCAGCUUGAAAGGGCUGAUGCACAAAUCCGCCACUACAACGAUACAGUUCCGAACUUUCUCGCGGCUAGCAGCUGGGCCAGUGCUGUUGGCUGCGACGCAAGAUGGCCUACUUCGGUUCUUCAGCGUGGCUCUUCAAAUCGAAGGCUACCUUUCGCUUAAAUGCUCUCUGCAGCUGCCACCAAGAGCCAGAAACAUUCGAGCAUCUUUCUGUCCGCUGCUCUCGCUUCAAAAAGGUGAGUUUAUUGUGUCUGGACACGAAGAUUCAAAUGUCUACUUUUAUGACUUCACUCGUCCCAGGCACCCUUGUGUGAACAAGCUGCAAGGACAUGCUGUGCCUGUUGUUGGGGUGUCUUGGAAUCACGGCGAAAAUUUGCUAGCGUCCUCCGACUGUGAAGGUUUAGUAAUUGUAUGGAAACGAGCCAAAAUCGCCGGCAGAUAACAUGUCUCAAUUGCUCAUACAAAUUACCAUGUUCUGGCUGGUUAUGCUCGUCAUUAUCUUAUUGUUCAAUAAGUGCAGAAUUUGACGACUUGCUUACAUAUUAUUCAUUGCUGUUAUUCAUGGGCGAGCAAUUUCACACUUGCAGCACUGUUCAUACGUGCAAUUAGUAUAGAGCUAGUCGCCGAUAACGGUCAGGAGCGCUGUUGACAGCUUCAGUUGGCAGUACCUUUAAAAUUUUCAUCUUAUAGGGGUCAGUGGUCACUGUUCCUCUAAUUGACUGUUGAAAUUGUAAUAUAGUGGGAUUGAAGAUAUGGAAGUCUUGUUACUGUAGUGUAUGAAUGGAUCAUGAAAUUAGAAAAAAAAAAUUAAGUAUAAUAUCAUAAAAUCAGAAAACACAAGCACUUGUUGAAAAAAAACUACAUGGGAAAGUGGCGUUUCUUUGAACGCAGAAUGUAUGAUAAUCAUCAGAAAAAAAAUUUAAAAAUAAAAUAACAAAAAAACAAAAAAAGAAGCCUCAAGCAGCAAAAAUCAGCGGUGGUACGUCGAGAUCCAUAGCGAUCAGAUAUCCUAUUGACAAGGUUAAAAUGAGCAUAACUAACUCAACCUUCAUUUCUUUUAAGCAGAAGAGAACUAACCAAGUAAAUUCGCAUAAACUUACCUCACCAUCAAUUAUGGCGAAGUGUCCGAUACCAUUAACCAUGAACUACAUAAAGAUAUGAGAUAUGAUAGCCCAGUUGGUAAAUUAGCCUAGUACACUGUGGUCUUGGCCUAAAUAGAAGUCCCGCAUGCCAAGACCAGCGUAAAUUACACUAUAAUAUAGACUCAGCAAGCUACCCAUCAUGACAUAUGUUGCACCUGUGAAGUUGCUCAGAGACGCAGUUAGAAAACUAUCCCCAAUUUGGAUCAAAGCACAACUGAGCGUCGGCAAAACUCUCAUCCCUGUUUCACCACAUGCAUCCCCAAGGAUUCUUUGGAAAGGAAGGACCUUCCUCAACACUCAAAAGAACCUCAGACUGAGGUAUUCUAAAUUAUAGUUACUAGCCACGUAAAGCUUCUUGUCCAGAGAACAGAAAGUGAUUCGCUUGAGUUGAGAAAGCUGAAUCUCAAGCGUUGCACCGAGAUUGGACUCGAGAAUGAUGUAAAGCGAUAUAUUUGCAACUGUCGUCUAGGAUGCAGGAACAGCACAGCUUCAUGAAUUAGUGGCGUAUCUCAGACACUGCAAAUGAUUAUCAGCCUGAAAAUCGCUUCAAUAGUGCUUCACCGCAUCCACCAGCUAGUUCACUAGUUCAUGAGUUCGGUUGAACAAAUCUGGAGUCAGAUAAUGGACGAAGUUUUUUCGUUCUAGACUGAAAGCACUCAAAGAACGAUGCAGCUUUCGGAAGCCGACCACAUCCGUUCAUCCCUUGGUGCCACUCCUUAAGGUUGCUGCAAUGCUCGACACCAGAUAACGGACUUGAAAGUGAAAGUUUAAAAGGGUCAUCGAUUGUAAAAAGUAUUGAAUUUGUGGCUUUUCUCCGCGCUGUCUGGAUUUUCCGGCUGCUGAGAUCAAGUGCAUUCUUGGGAGAAGGUAGAAUAGCGAGCUCCUUCACCUCUGAUUGCGUCGCACUCGUUUCAAAAGUAGCUGUAGACAGCAGGUCCUUCAGCGUUUCUGAGGACCUGCACAUCACUGUGUCAUGUAAAUCGAACUUAAGUGAUCCUCCGUCCAUUUGAUGUAUGUGUCUGCUAGAUAACAUUGUGCUGAGCGGGGAGCGGAUAGUCAGGCACGGAGUUGACUGAUGGAAUGAAGCAGCCCGACACUGACGCUGCACUUCAAGAGCCUCACAAAGGGCUUCAUUCGAUGUGACAAUGCUCAGAUCGAGGGACUCCAGAAGGCGACUCAGAUCAACCCCACUCGUCCAAUUCUCCGGCUCCUUCCACUUAUGAAGUUUUAGACGACCCUGUUGAGUGGUGCCACCCCAAACAACUCCAACCGGUCUUGGCUUCUCUCCAGCUUCCCCUCUUACCAAAAUCAGGCUCCCGGUGUCGCCUUCUAACUCAAAAGCAUUGUUGUCAUCACUCACAAUGAGGAAAUCGUUGAAAAAACAGUGCCCUUUGUCGUUGUUGUAUUCCAAUGCAUACGCCAAAAUGCAGCCUUCAGUGAAACCAGAGCUUCGGCCGACUUUGAUCACAUGCUUACCAAUCAGGCUGUUCAAUGGGGCCUGCAAGUCCACCGAUAUCACCUCCCCGAUUUCCCCCACGCUCUUCACAAAUGGACUUAUAAAGUUCCUUACAUCUAGAUUGCUAUCAAAUGGAAUGAAGGCACCAUCUGCCCGCACAAAUGAUUCAGGGUUCGUGCUGGCAAAAACGCCAUACCACAGAUCAUCCCGUAUGAAAGUCGUGGUGCGCUCCACUGCACCCAGGUACACUCCUGGUCCGAGAUGAGGAGGAAGGGGAUGGAACAACUUCUGGACGGGGUGAUCGAGACUCACGGCGACGUGUCGAUUCGUCAGAAAUCCAACCUGGCAGAGACCAGUUCGACUUCGAACUAUUGCACUGAGCGUACCAUAAAGCUCAAAGCAUGCAACCUGUGAGCCUGAUCCAAUAGUGGCGUCGCCACCUCGAAGACCCUCCACAAGAUCGGUGUAAACUGGAUCCUGAGGCCGCUGCGAACCCAAUAGUGAGAAUUCAACGACAUCCACAUCGCACCAUACCCCGCCCGGACCUUCAAGGAUCAAGGGAAGCUCCUGGGCCUCUUGUAGCCAGUGCCUGUGCACUUUGCGAGCAACGAAAACAAUAAUUGCUGGUAUGUCGGUCUGCACACCGCCGCGGAUGCGAAAACCCAGUGCGGUCCCCAGACUGAAGCAUCGUAAAGUUUUGCUGUGAAGGGCUCGGAUUGUCAUGAGAUCUAAUAGAGUGGCUGCUUGGUGGCCUCGUGGACGCUUCGAUGGACAUGACGUUUUCUUUUGUAAGCUGCUGAAGUGGGUGGCCCUUUGCUCCGCACGGCCAUUUUGUAACCGGGGUGUUGGCCAUACCUCAAAGCGCUCAUUGCCUUUAGGACCUCCAGUACAUUGUACAGCUGACCCUUUCGUAAGCUCUGACUCUUUUGCGGGUUCCGACUCUUUAGUGAGCACAGAUACAGAACCGUCGCCACUUGGAGACUCAUACUUAUCCAUGGCUCAUGCUGCGCUUGAGCACACACCGCUGCUUUUGCCUCUCGCCGUGAAGAACUCUACAGUUCAACCUCAUUGCCAGCCUUGAGUCCCAUACUGCUACCCAACAAAUUGAAUACAACAUAGAAUGUACUUUACCGCUGCCACUAUCUCGAAGCAUCUACGUAUUGAAACGGAAAGACUUGAGCAGGUGUGAGCCCCAUACCUCCAUGACCUGCACUGGAAGCCUCGCCUUACUGACAAAGGGGUAUUGUAGACGUCCUGAUGCUUGCAUACAGCAAUAUAAUUCUAAUCUACAUGGUCAGAUGACUGCGAAUUUAGAUCAUACAAACUAUAAUCCUCAAGCUACGACCAUACCAUCAAGUUGGAGCAGAACAAUACGCAUUGUACACAGAUUAUGAUUCGCAAAAUAGCACAUGCUGUGUUUGAGUACAGCAUCGAAUAAAAUGGUGUUUCAUUUGAAUGCAUCCGUCCUUUGCGACCAUUCUCUACCUGCGAGACACAGAUGACCAGGCUCUUAUCAGCGCUGAGUACCACGCGCACCACGAUUGAAGAAAAUUGAAGGAAAAUAGCUUAUCCUGGAACCCUAAACUCAAGGAGCCUACAUCCCAUAAAUCGGAGCUGAAGGGUCGAACUUCAGGAUUGGACAACCAGUAUUGGCAGUAAACGCCUGUACAGUGUUAGAGGUUCCACGAAAGAGUCUCGAAUACACACCAAAUGUUCCAACGCUGCAGACCAAAGCCCAGACACUUACUCUCCUUAUGCAAUAUCAAGCCAUCGACCAAUCCACAUCCACACUUUCUACCGUAUCAUAGAAGUGACCACGAAAAUCUUUGAAGGGAAAGACAAAAGGAUAAACACGAAAAAGCUAUGUAAAAAAGAGCAACUGGAAGGUUCAUUCAAAUCUAAUCGUUCCUGCAGAAUACACCAACUCAGUCCGUAACCUGUGAGCUGGAUGCUCUUUAUGCAAAUGGCGCCCAAAUGGCCACCCACCACAACCAUAGCAUCCGUCUAAAACAACAAAAAAGGACCAACUGGAUAUCCCGCCCUAUAGCACGUAGGAAGAACGCCAUAAAACAUCGUCGAACUGCUGGACGAAAGUUGAACUCGUGCCACUCAAUCCUUCAAACUGAGGAGGAGGGGGGAGGGGGAGUGGGAGAGAAAGAGGGAAAAAAAAAAAAAAAAAAAAAAAAAAAACACACACACACACACAUCUGUCACGCAGACUUUAUCACUAAAGUGAGCAAACCAAUGCUCCAUGUCCACAGCUCACUACUCUCAACCGAAGCGUCACUGAGGCAACAGCAAGGGAAGCCGAUUACCUCCGAAACACCAUCAUACCCCAACAGCAACAACGCCGCUCUCGCCCACCCAACCAUCCCCUCCCCCCACAUACCGUCCCGCCGAAUACUCGCCUCAGCACCAAACAACCAAGCGCCCCGCUCAAUUACACCCCCGACCCACACACACCCAUUCCUCUAUAUCCCACCCAACCCCGAAAACCCGAGCCCGAGCGAAUGCGUCCCACCUCACGAGCUGGGAAACAUACUCCCUCUUCCCUGCUCGCGCGUCACAAAUUCGGAACCAACGCACACCACCAACCCCAAGGAAAAAUAACCACACCACACGCCCACAUACCUGUCCUCCCCUAGCAGACUCACGGGAAGCCUGUGCAUUUCCCUCAUCCCCCGAUGAUAGACAAUUGCCUCCCCACAACAGUAGAUAGCGGUGCACAACACAAGCCAAAGGUAGGAAGCAAGAGAAGAAGAGCAAGCAAGAGAUUGCAAGAGCGAGAGAGAAAGAGAGAAAAGAAGGAAGGAAGCAAGAACAGACACAGUGUGGAAGAGAGAUCGAGAUGCACCACCACCACCACCGAGGAGUAGGGAGGAGGAGGACGAAGAGGAGGAAGAGAAGGAGGGCUGUGAGCGAGCGUCGCGUCCGCACGGGGGCCUCAGCAGCGCCGCGAUAACGCUCCGCCCAGCCUCUUGCAGCAGGCAGAAAUUCUCACUCACACUCUUGCAGGCAGAGCAGGGCAGGCACCACCACUCUCCUCUACAGCGAACUGGCGAACGAGCGAACGAAGACUCACUCGCACAGCCAGCCAGCCAGGCACCACCACUCUCUCUAGAGCGAACGAACGAUCGAACGAAGACUGACGCCAAGCCAGCCAGCCACGCCAAGCCGAAGCCAAACCAAGACCAGCCAAGACCACAGCCAAGACAGAACCAGAGCCAGCCCAGCAAGCGAGAAGAAAGAGAGAAGAGAGAGAAACUAGAAAGAGAUAGAGUAGAGAGAGAGAGAGAGAUUGGGGCAGGGUCGGGCAGCAGCGGGAUGAGUGGGUAGGGCAGCAGGGAGGUCCGAGGAAUCGCGGGUGGGCGGCCCGGUGACACAAAUAUAUGUACAUACAUAUAUCUAUAAAGGUGUGUGCGAGUGUGUGUUGUUUAGACGAAAUACCGGGGAAGUUGGGGGAGAGAGGAGGGGUAGGGGAACGGUGGUGCGCGGAGGAUGGCGCUGUUCGCAUCGCUGCUAUUUUGCGUUCCCGUGCGCGUUCCCUUCCCGCCUGGCUAGGGUGCCUGCACCCUGACACUUUAGCCAUCCUCCACUAGGGUGGCGCGCUUUUUGGUUCCCUUUUGUACGUUCACACCUAGGGAACGAGGCCCUUUUUUUACUUUAUUCCCAAAAGGUGAAAAGGUGAUUGAGGGGGGUGGGGAAAAAGAAAAAGCGACGUUUAGAAAUGGGAACUUGUGCUUUUUUGGUGGUGAAGAUCUGACCCCUUUGAUAUGACAUUCUUGUCUUUGCUAAUCUAGCCAUCGUAAAAUUGUAAUUAAAAAAUACCAAAGUAUGUAUGAAAUUAACACAUUAUUAUGUUAAAAUAAUUAAUAUGGUUUAUAUAUAUAUAUAUAUAUAUAUAAACUUUGGCCCAUGUUUUCAUUGGAAGUCUUCAUUUAUUUUUGUUUUUAAUGUAAAAAUUUGUGAUUACAUGUAUAUUUCAAGAGCAUGUAACUAGACUAAGUGUGAAAUAAAUUCAAUGUAAGUGCUAUUUUGUAUGUCUUUUUUUUCUUAUUAACUCAUUUUUGAAGAAGUAAAAUUGCUAAAACAAAUGUAGGAUUUUCACAAUCUUUGAACAUCUUUGAUAUUCUAAUCUAAGACAAUUCCACUUUUGCGAAUGCACUUUUUUUUCAGAUAAGAAGCCAAUAUCUACUUUUAAUAUUUGGUGUCCAACGUUACAAUCGACCAAAUCGUUUACAUAAAAAUGUUGUAAGUUUGAGGUGCCAUUAAGUAACCCUUCUUCAAAAUCAUGACAUUGCCAACCUUCUCUGAAAAAAAAAACAAAAACAAAAACAAAACAAAACAAAAACUUGAACACCAAAAGUUUAAUUUGCUUUAGGCACCCAAAUUAUGUUACAACUUAAAAAUGUCAUAGUGUCUUAUAGAUAAUCACAAAGUGAAUUCUUUUUUGAUAACAUUGUAACAUGGGUGUUAUGUAGUUUAUGUUGACUAAUGCUCUGCAGAAAUGUAAAGAUGGUACAUAAUUGAUGAGUAUCGUUCCAUAGCGAGAGAUUAAACUGCAAAAGUUUUGUUUCGGAUUAGGCAAUAAUACCCUCAAAAACCACCUCUCCAACAUUCAACAAACAAUUUUAAAGAGAAGAUUUGUAUUCGUAAUUGGCAGUUGGUGGCACCACUUGAUCACAAUUUAUGGAGCUUCAAUCAACCAAUAAUUCAGACUUGUGCUGCUUUUAAGGCUUGUUUUGAUUGACUGAUCGACGACGACUCCUCGUACCUCUCGAUUCCAUCUUGUCAUCGCCAUAGCCAGCGAUCUGUGCAGCCCAAAAUCGAUGCUGAAUACUUAAUGCGACUCAGCAAAGGAAUCGCGAGGGGCAUGGAGGGGCCCGAUUCCUGGUGAGUGAAUAAGUGAGUGAGUUGCAAUCGUUUCUUCUCGAGAUGCCGAUGAUAACUGCCGUUGAUGAGUGGGGAGGCAUUGAUUUUUGCCUUUUACUGCUCACACUUCAAUACAAGAUCUGGGAGGUAUGUUGCAGAAACUUCUGCAAAGACCGUUGCGAAGACCAGCUUCUGGAAGCCUCCCGGUGUUUGAACGGGGUCGAUGAGAGCUUGAGGCUUGCCAAUCGUUGUCGAAAUCGACCUGGAGAGCUAAAGUACGAUUAAUGCUGUGGUUCAUGGACUAGCAACAGCAGCUGUUGUUUUACAACAUCCAUGUGCUGAUUAGUGAGCUUCCUUCCCGAGUCUGCGAGAAUAUAUAUCCCUAGAGGUUGACUGGGUAGUGGUUGUUGCGACCGUGAUCAGCGUCUUUUCUCCUCCUGAAAUUGGGAUUUUGUGAUUGUGGGUUGAGAAAACAUGGAGUCAUUGUUGCAGCAAUUGCAUGCUCUCUCUCUCUCUCUGAGGUACAAUGUGUGAUGGCUGGCUGUGUGCAGCGCUUCGACACAGGAAAGGUGGGGGGAUGGUGACAGCGUCGGAGAAGUCGGAGUUUUCAAAAUUGGGGGACCUCGUGAAUGGCGUUCGGAUUACUGCGCGAGCACGCCAUUUGUUCCUGGAGGUGAGAAAUACGAAAUACACAAAAAGUUGAUGCUAUGCGUGUUGGUUACAAGUAAGCCAGUUGAAGUGAAGAGUUGAUGCCGAUGAUACCUUCCGCGACCACGAUGGAGAGGGACCCUGAUAUUGCAACUCGACCACGUGCUUGGCUUUUUUCUCCACUGUGUCUGUACGACGGUAGCUCUUGUUGUACGCUACAAGACAUGAAAACAGUGUCUGGAUCUCCAAGUUUUGCAGAGAAUUUGUCGCAUCCAAGCUAACCUUUUGUGACGCUUAACAUUUUUAGUAAAUCCUUUUAUAUGUAUGUACAUAUAUAUAGAUAUAUAUAUAUAUAUAUAUAUAUAUAUAUUACCUGAUGAAAUAUUUUCUAUGCUGCAUAGAUAUUUAUCCACCUCCAGGACAGGGGCCACUCAAAAACUACCUUUAAAGUUGUAUCUUGUAAGUAGGGAGGAUGAAUGAGAUUAGUAGAUUUUUCGCUUGAUAAAUAUGUAUUAUUUUACAUGUGAUCACUUAUUUUGGUAGUACAAGGGUAAUGAACUUAAAUGAAGAUACUUGAAGCUACAAAGUAUCAACUUCCAAACUAAACAGUAUGGAAGGAUGUAUGCUUGGAUUCAAUGUUUAUACAAUUGAAGGAAUUGGUCUAGUCUAUAUUUUAUUAACAAAUUAAAAAUUAUUUUUUAUAAAAAAAUUAUGUAACAUUUUAAAUUUUUAUACAAACUCUAUCACUUAUCUACCUUCUUCAUCCUUUGGAUUUGAUAAUAUCGACCAGCAAAAUUAGAAUUUAAAGUGAAUCAAUUGGCUACCAAUUUUGAAGAGCCAAUUAUAAAAUACAAACAAUAUUUACAUCUCUGUCAAAAAAAAAUCCAGUGAGUCUUACUUUAUUUACAUACUUUUUCAACUUGAAUACUAUUUUUUCUAAUAAAAUGUAGAAAUUAUCAAAUUUAAAAUCUUACAAAAUCGGUAUUACAUCUAUGCUCAAUUCAAAGUAAAUAAAUAGAACGACUCAAAUUAUAAAGGAUAAAAUUAUAUUUCAUCUAUUUACUUAAAUACUUUUUGCAAAAUUUUGUUGAAAAACAUUUGAGGGAUAAAAUUGGCUAAAUAGACAAUGUAAUUUUUUUCAUAUCUUGGGGAGGUAGAACAUCCGUACUCUAAAAACAAUUCCAAGUUGAUUUCCCAUUCCAUGAAGGUCGCAGGUGGAUGGCAGUUCUCCCCUUGUGUAGCGCGAGAGAAGAGGUGAAUAUGGGUGGCGAAACCACGACCACGAAAAAAAGACAAAAACUUCUACAAUUGUUUCCACCAAAUCAGUAAAUUAGUUGUACACAAAUGUCGAUCUUCGACCUCCUAAAUUAUUUACCCAAACCAUAUGUAUGAUACAGCUCAUGCGUACAAAUUUUCUCAGGGAAAUGGCUUGUGUUCCUGCCAAGAAAUAUACACAUACAAACCUUUUCCAAGCCCCUUAAAAGCACUUGCAUAAAGUACCCCCAGAUCAUAGCCAUUAAUCAAUUAUUGCUGGCGUCUCCUUCGACCAUCUCCAUAUAACCCGGCAAACUGAUAUGCUGUGACGUCACUCAGAAGAGAAGCGUUGUUGUGGAAGCUAGCACACCACAGCAAGAACGGCAUAUCCCACCAAUAGUGAUAGUUCAGCGAGUUGUACAGCGCCAUCUUCCUUGCAAUGUCGCUCUUUUCAUUAGCCUGCCUCUCGAAUAUUACUGCACCUGUCGUCAUUUUACGCAAGGCAGCGGCCUUAGUAAAAGAAUGGACUGCUUACGACCAGCAAGACUGCAUUGAAAUGAUGUUCAGAACCGAUAAUGAAAUCUCUUAUGUGUGUAUAAUGUGUACAAAGCUAAAACAAACCAGGAUGACGUUACAAGUAUUGGAUAACUCUCAUAGCGAUGCGGUUUGUGUGACAUUACAUGACAAGACAUGAAAGGAGAAAGAUCUUGUCAUACCCCACUCAUUUCCAGUCGCUCGCGCCUUUCUACUUCCAGAUUUUGGUGUUUGAGGUCGACUUUUACCGAGCAUUUCAACGAGAGAGAGAGACGUAACUGUGGAGAUCAACACCACAAGAGGUACACUCUCUUCUGGCUUCACCUAAUGCAUCACCGACAGACUCCACGUUAGUAACUGCUGUAAAAUUUCUACAUGAAACUAUCUAGCAAAAACACUUCACCACGCACGAGAGAGGAAAACUCAAUAUUAAACACACACCGAUAUCUAUUCGUACCUCCAUAGCACCAGAACUUGUAUUGAAAAGGGCAGUAGCUUUGCCCGCUGGAGCAUCAGGAGUAUACCGAACUAGUGUUACAAAUCCAGCCUCCUCCUCCUCAGUUGAGCCAUUUACUUGAUAAUCUAACCGUUUUCCUGGAACUAAAGCUACCUGCCAAAAUUCCAGUGCAUUCUCAAUGCAAUUCCACAGCUUCCUGAAGUCACAAAUGACCUCAAAACUUAAUAACACGACAACAUUGCAUGCAUUCAAUCCUCAGCCUUGUCAAUCCUUGAAGAUUAAUAAUGAAAGACUAACUUCAGUCGCUAACGAGUAUUAUGCAUUUAAGUGCAUUAUAAGAAGCAAAACUAAUGACCAAAUCUUGGCAUGCACGAAGAAAUUAAUAGUUUUGAAGUGUAGGUUGAGUCUUACUGGGUGGCCAACUUUUCCUUCAAGACUGAGCUCGGGCCUCAAGUGCCACUGAUUGUCGUCGGCUCUCUUCCGGAUAGUUAGUUGGAUGCUGUUGUCAAACAAUUGCCAAUGUCUUGCAUUCGAUUUGCCUGAAUCUGAUUUAACUAGUGGUUGAGCUCGACCCAAGAGAGUACCUGCUAAUGAUAUACAAAACUUGAGUGAACACGAGUGAAGCCUUGAGGUACUGAAAAUGACGUUAGAUCUACAAAAACCGCUGCUUGUGAUUUUAUAGUUUAAAUCGAAGCUAAAAUUUCGCUGGGUAAAGAGUCGUCAAUGCGGCUAUGUUUUAGGAAGUCUCGCUAAGUUUCUUGAGUUUCUACAAAGCAUCUUCUACAGGUAAAGAAAAUUCGGACCUGAAUUCAUUUUCCUCUUUGUAAAUCUUGACUUCUUCUGUGCGCCUUGGAGCACCCGUACUUCUUGUAUCGAGGAUGGUCCUACUUUAAAUGAGCCUUCACUGUCAUAUCUAUAAAAACCACAUCAUAUUACUCGUUACAAGCCAAAAAAGGAAAACCCAAGAAAGUACAAUAUUCACCAACACGCAUUCUCCACUCUUUCUCCAUUAUGUCAAAUCAUAGCAAAGGCAAGAUCCACAGGAAGCGGAUAAGAAAAGUAUACUUACUGAAUGUGCAACAUAAGCCGCUCGUUGUCAGCAUGAUCAAAAACAUUCCUAAAUGAAUAAAAAGACCCCUCUUUCAAGACCCGGUCCUGAGAAACUUCAAGGGUCCGCAAUAAGUAUGGGGCUGCAACAGGUGGUGUGAUCGAAGCUGAAACGUGCAAUGAGGGCGGAGGCGAAGAUUUUCCUUUAGUCAAAGUGAACCAUUUCUUUACUGAUAAUGUCGGUGAAGACAACAAUGUAUCCCAUGUGAGGAUCAUCUCCCCAAGCAACUUUGAACAUGAUGAGAGGAUCCCGCUAGAGGUGGAACGAAGUUGAAGAAGCAGACCCUGUGUUGAGGUUUCAAACUUAAAUGUAUACAAUUGUCUCCAAACGGGGUCCGAGUACGUGGGUACUUCAUAUGUGUCCAACUUGAAGGAUGGACACCUCUGAAGGAGCUGGAUACGAACAAAUAGAGUAGGCCCUGCCUUCUUCACAGAAACAUCUCUAGCCCCAAGCAACGCCAAGCAGACCUGAAAAGACAUGCACACGACAUUCUUGCUUACUUAUAGAAUUGAACUCAAAAUCAAGAAGUAUUCAACAGAUACCGAAUAAAACAAUUGAUAGGUCAAAAAACAAACAACAACAAUAACAACAGUAAUAAUAAUAUGCCAAUUGGAAAUAACUCCAUACAAGAACAAAAAAUUAAGGAGAGCACUUAUAGAGCAAUGCUAAUGACAAACAAUGACUUAAAGCGGUGCUGACGCAGUGAAAAGAAAAAUAUGCACACGAGCACCAUAACUCACCUGAGCUAGAGAACUUCGCAUUAAAAGCCACUACUAUAUCCUAACAUGAGUAAAUUACAAGCUUCUGAAGGGAAUGCCAAAUUUCAAGUUAUGAUACAUUUCACAAUUGAAAUCACGCCAACAUACCUCCAGGUUGAGGAAAGCUUAGUUCAAGAAAAUUUCUCCAAAUGUGAAAUACAUCACAACACAAAAAGAAUAAACUGCAAGAAGAGGCACAUGUCCUAUACCUGGACAGUUUGUCUCUGAGUUAAAUAAGUACUCUGUUCGUGAACAUUCGACGAAACCGAUGCGUCAUUCAACGAAGCAUUUGAAUUCACAGGCAAUGGUUCAACGGGGACAGGCAAGUCUCCUCUCCACAUGCAUCCUGCCUUUGCGUAAAUUUCUCCGAAGGUUUCUUCCCAUAAUUCACAAGUGUCCUUAAAACCUGUGUUGAGUUUCUGACCAGGAUUUCGAUCACUGUCCGUAUCAUCGUGGUUCAAAACCUUGUUUAAAAUAGCCAUACAGUCCCGGUCGUAAGCGGACGGACACAGCUGGUGAGCAUGCCUGAACAUGUGCAACAGCAAUUUUAAUAGUUUCAAAGUAAACGUUGCAGAUUAGAUGUAUUCAUGGAGGCUCAUUUUGAUCAAAUUCACAAACUGGACCCAAAUUCAUCAUACUAUGUCUAUAUCCAAUCCCAAAAAGACUAAAUCCGAUUUUUCCCAACCACCGAGCCAUUUUCUAGCUUACCACAUGAUGUCAACAUCGUAAGUUGGAACGAGAAAAAGUCCCUUAUUCAAAGUGAAUAAAUAUAGAAAGCCCUUGUAACGUUGCUCUGCAGAUUUCAAGUAACUAUCGGUUCGUACAAAUGGUUGAGACACCUGUAAAGGUUAGCAAAAAUAAAAAUUACUGUGAGUACAUUAAAAGUUCCACUCUCUGUGAGUGACAACCUCCCCGAGAAAGAUCUUCGCAUCCUGCAAAAGCAAUCCUCUGAAGAACUCUACUUUUUAUCGUACUCAAUAAGCCUAUUGUGUUCGAUCAAUUGACUCACUAAGACAAAUAAAAUAACGAUUCAAAUGUGCAAUCCUCAACGUAAACACAUCGUCGAAGAGAAUUCACUAUAGGACAUCAGAUGUGGUUCACUGAAAUCCAUGUACUUUGAACACUUACUUGAUAGAAGAACGUCUUUUGCCGUGAGACGGCAGCCUCCAGAUCAUACGUGAUUUUUCUUGAAUCAGACGUGAUAGCUAGCUGCUUAAGGCUAGAGGAGAUUCCACUGCUCUCCUUUUCUUGAACAGCUUUGUUAUCAGUCUGAACGAACUCUACGUUGUAAGGCUCAUCAACAUAGAGGGCGGACCAUAAAUCCUUGGUGUGAUUAACAGCAACAGGCCUGUCUGAUGGGUUUAUAAUCGGUGCAUCCAAUAUUCUUCCAUAUAACUCCUUACAAUCUUUUGCAUACCUAAUCUGAAUUCAUAAAAUACAGAACACAUGUAUAUAGUAAACAGUGAGAUCACAAUAAAUAGUUAACUAACAAACUGGUAUUAAAGAGCACCAUAAAAUAAGUAUUCAACGGCAGCAGACACCGGAACAUUGAUGUGAAGGACUACUCAGCCUAAAUUCUCCAAAGUAAACCACUCGCAUCGUUGAUCUAGAAACGAACAACUUAAACGACAAUGCCUGUGAAGGAAAUUUGAUUGGGAAAAAAAAAACAAAAAAACAAAAAAACAAAAACAAAAAACAAAAAACAACAACAAAUACAAACAAACAAAACAAAACAAAAACGAAAAAUAAAAAAUAAAAAAACAAAAACAAAAUGACAUAAAACGCUGACACUCACGCACUGUGAAGAUCAUUUUUUCUUAAUUCCUUAAAUGACGAUAUACUUUGAGGGAGAGGAAGGACAAAACACUCACUGGAUUUAAGCGAUGGACGUGCCAAAUCCAACCACAAUCAAGGGGAGGAACUAGCGGAGGUGAUGCCCCUUGAGAAUCAUCCCCUUCUUUAGCCAAAAGGGGCAGCCAACAUCUUUCAUACCUGUAUCAUGAGGCAUAUUUUUGAAAAAAAUUAGACUUAAUUACCUGAAUCAACUCAACCAAAACGCAAUAGAUUAAGCGCAUCACCACUUCUGAGGACAAUAGCAGGUAAUCGAAUCUUAUGUAAGUGUUAAGAGCUCACAACCAUCGAAGCGAUCUCAAUGCUAAAAAAACUGGCAGGAAUUCCAGCCAGAUGAUUUUCCCGACUAGAUCCAAAAAAUUCCGAAACACUAGAACCAACACUGCCUUGAUUUCCGGAAGGUUCUUGGAAUCGAAUUGCCAAUAGGAUAGCUCUCCACCUCAACAUUGAAUCUUUCAUAAUUUGACUGCUAAAGCUCUAAAAGGGUGCGAGAUUUCUAGUAUAUCCAGAUUGAAGAAUACUCACGGGUAUUCUACACAGCUGAGUUAUAACAUCAAGCUUCAAAACGUCUUGAAAAAAAUUCUCAAAUUACAGUUGCACCAUCGAUAAUUGCAGAACAAGAGUCCAAGUACCUGUCGAUUGCUCGUACAACUGCAGGUCCUUCAUAAUAACAUUGAAACCGAUCAACUUCUUCAAGCAUUCGAAGCUCUUCUGUUGCAGCGGCAACUAGGUCUACGGAUAUUGGCAGCGCCUGUGCGGCUUCCCACGCUUUCAAUUGAGCGUUAUUCAUAACGACCUUUGCACGAAAAUUCAGUGCCCGAAGCAAAAGGUGUAAGUCAAAUUAUCAAUUAUUACACCUAGUACACUUCCCCCUGAUGACCUCCUACUUCUCGCAAUCGCGAUGCUCCAAAUACAAAGGCGCUCCGCGCAGCAACAGUAAUCAGUGGAUUAUAUGGCGUAAACCACUGACCAUAACUAUCUUCCCCUUUUAUUUAAAUACAGAAAUAGCUAUCAGUAAUCAGGAAUUACGGGAAUGAAAUUGAUUGCGCAGAGAAGAAAAUCUCAAAAGCGAAAACUCGACAUCCACCGACAUCUACACCACUCCGUCCUGCCGAGAUAAAACUCCUCAGCCAGAACAAGCUUGGUCCGUUAUUAAAACCUCAGGAUCCACGGUAACCGAAGAAACUCAACCGACUAGAAAGUAUGCCCCGGUCAAGCGAGAUGACGGUCUCUGAGAAGUGUAGCUCCGCCAGCACAUCCAAAGAGAGCUUCAACCGAGACAAAUGGGACCGAACAUGAUGCAACCGUGGAAAACAGACAGGGCGAUUGAUGCAAACGGAAGAAAAAGCGAUGCGUGUCGUGGCAGUUGGCAAGAAGGGAGCGGGAGUAGGAUUCGAUGAGUCCGUCAAAGUACGGCAGUCGGCAGCAGCAGCAAUGACAGGAUGUCAAACAGCGUGACCAGUAUGAGUCCAGACGCGCCAUAGCCGUCACCGCCGCGGAGCUUCUCCGAGCAUCACCGGGAAGACGACUCAAGUCUAUGGAUGGAUGUAAUGCGGAGAUGAAAGUUCGCCUCCUGUUUUCCGUCUCUAUAUGGAUGAAUGAAAUCUAACGAUGAAAGCUCGUUCCCUAUUUUCUGUUUAACUGUAUAGAUGAAUAACAUCGAGAGAUGAAAGCUCGCUCUCUAUUUUCGUUCAUCCCUUUCAUGAAGCCUCUGUUGUUUGUGACUUGUUUCUAGAUCUCAAAAUUGCUUCUUGUCACUUCAAUGUUGGAGUAUUGGUAAAUGGUUUUUUUUUUUUUUUUUUUUUUUUUUUUUUAAAGUUAAGAUGAACUAGUUCAUUCUUAAUUUUAUAUUAAGAAUGAACUAGAUAAUACUAAAUAAUUUUAACACAAAAUACCUCGCACACAAUACUAAGUAUAUAAUUAACUUUACUCAUGAUAAUGCAUUGCAUAAAAAUAUUUUAAAGGAUGUGAAAUUGGUUUAUUUUUUAUAUUUAAAUUUAAUAUUUUUUUCUUCUCACACAAAAUUUUAUGUUCAAACUGCAUAACUAACCAAAUUUUAAUUUAGUUGAAUCUACCAUAAUUAUUAGAACUUAAAAAAUAUGAAAUAUAUUUUAGUCAAUGUCUUAUCCAUUUAAUUAUAUAAUAGUUUCAUUUUCACAUUUAUUAUUUUAAAUAUUAUGCUAAAUCAUUAAAUAUGGUUUUGUUACUUAUUUGUUUGUUUACUUAUUCAUUUCUUUAUUUAUUUCUGUUCAAGUCUUACAUUGACAAGUUCUACAUUCAUCUUGAGUUAUUGUAUAUAAUUACUUUUUUAUGUGAUAAUAAUAGAAUUAGAAGUUGAAACAGCAAUGUAUUUUGUAUCUUAACAAGCCGUUUAAAGAAAGGACUAAAAAAUAACCUUACAAAUAGUCAGAAGAAGAAUGUUUCGAAAAAAUAUUAAUUAUGUGUGAUUUUCAGAACUAAAAUCCGUUGAUAAGAAAUUGGUUUCUUAAGCAAUAGAAAAUACACUGUUUGAUUGUGAGCAACUUUUUGAAAUGAUAUACUAACAAGGUAUUGGUAGACAGACAUGUUUUUUAGCUGAUGAACAAUCUAAGAAAAAUUCCUGUGACUUACUAAAGAUAUCAAGAGGAGCAAAUACAGCGAAAUUUUGUUGUUCUUAUGGUCUUUUCUUAUGGGUUAAAAUUCAUUUUCGAUAUUGCACUUUAAAGUCACUAAUGCAAUAAGAGAAAGUAAUUACGAUGUAAAAUAAUUUCACUCUAAUUUUAUAUUCCCACUUACAUUACAUAUUUCUAUAUUUCCACUGUUGAAUUAGUGCAUUGGCGUUCCACGGUUAAGUUAUAUAAUCCAAAAUAGAAUGAAGUAUCAAAAUGUCGACUGGGCAGAGGGCAUGAAAGACUUGAAAGACCUGAUCUGCGAAAUUAAACUACAACAUCCGGUGUGCUUGGCAAAUUCAGGUCUGAAUGCUGAACCAAGUAAACAUUGUAGAGCAUCUGAAGGUCCAAAACCUUCAAUUUUGCAUGAAAAGGUCUGGUCAGUUGUUCAAAGUAGAACUAGGUGCUUUCAAAGUAGAACAAAUCAACCUAUGUCAACUGCAUUCAGGAUAAGGGAUUGGCCCCGCCCAGAGAAUAGAAGAGUAUUACUUGUGAAGAAAACUAUACUGAACCUCAACGAGGCCAAAGUCCAGUUCUCAGUACUUGCAAAUCGUCCGUGAACAGGGAAUCUAGUGCGCACUGACAUGGGAAAUUCAAGAACCCUAAAUGUAAUGUACACGGCAUAGGCCUGUCUUGGCUUAUGUAAAGAGUCAUUACUCUUCACAACAACAUAAUUGUAAUGUUUCGUACCACCACCCUGUUUCAAGCUGAUAUGCUCACUGGGUAACGAAGCCACCGCCCAAAGCUGGCCUUCGGAGCAUUGGGUACCGGUCUAAGCACUUUGUCAUCGUAACCUACGGACAUCAAGUACAGGCCGUGUGCAGGUGCAACUGGAGAAAUUUUAGCUAGCUCUCGGCGAUCUUCCGUCAGCAGAAUCGUCCUCACCAUGCUUGGAGGCACUAGUUCUUUUCCAACCUGAACCAGUAAUCCGACCUGCACAACGAACUCCAUGAUUUAGAAAACAACUCCUGUGCUCACACUAAUUUAAAAAACAAAGAUAAGUUUCUUUCGAGUUGACACCUUAAGAUAUGUCAGUGCAGAACUACGUUGUGUUCGAAACAGUAAUAACUAUACUUUGAUCAAUCUGCUUUCACUUCAGAAAAAUCCGCGACGUAAUCAAGGAACUGCUUGUUUCCUUGUUCCAUGUAUCAUUCAGGUAUAUUUGACUCAGCACUAAAUCGACUAGAAGCACGAACUAUUAGACCUAAGGCUACAAGUGUGCUGUAAAUGCCCAUACCAUAUUACGCACUUGCUUGUACAUAAAGGAUUUCCCUUCUACUUCAAACAACAACUGCGGUCCCUGCACCAAAACAUUGAAGCAUAUCACAUUGUUAAAGAGAUGUUUCUGUUCAAUAACAUGAUGAUUGUCUGCAUUGUCGUCAGUGGCAGGUAUAAAAAUUAUAUGUAUACAUAUAUAUGUAUUCACAUCAAAAAGAUUCUGUCAUGAAUGUGUAUAAACCAAGCCUGGAAAAAGUUUAAAAUAAGCGUGUCCAUGAAGGAAGUGCGUACUAUGGAUGAAACGGUAAAACUUAAAAGAUCGCGAAGAGUGUCUCGCGAUGCGGUGUCAGCCGAAUGGUUAGCAAAUGCAGAGAAAUUGUGAGUGCCAACAAAAUAUGAGGCAGCCUCUUCCAUUGCAGCAAUAUUGACGGAAUUUUUGAUGUGAUACGCGUAAGCAUGUUGAAAGGGAUCCAUCACUGGCGACACAUAGGCUUUGUAUUGAUAUGUUUUGCGGCAUGCCGAAUACCGGGCGUGGAAGUCCGGCUGGACAGAGGAUACUUCUAGUAUUCGAAUGUCAGGCGGGAGAAUGCCGUUCAACGACGUGUGCAACGGUUCCAAAUCACAGAAGCAAGUAGGUGUCGUGAAAUGCGCAACCUGAACGUAGAAGCAUCAUCACAAACAUCUGAGAUGCUCCACAAACACGGCGAGAAGAGCCUUCAAGAAUAUAACAAGAGGAGCAAAGAGAAUGAUUGACGCAAGAAACGAUAGGCGGAUGAGACCUUGGGAACAGUUUUCUGGAGUUUGCAAAGUCUUGGAGGUUCACCUGACCCCAGGCGUGGACGCCGGCAUCAGUGCGACCUGCUCCCACAAGUUUCAGCUCAUCGCGUGGCAACCGCGUAAAUUUUGACAGAGCAUCCUCGACCUUUUCCUGAAUGGAGACAUAGUUCUUCUGAAUUUGCCAUCCUGCAAUACCAGUAACAAGUCAUGUUCGUGUAACAACCAUUUCCAGGUUUUCUGAUGACAACAACACAUGUUCCAACUCAAGUUAUAUUUGAAAAAAAUCUGAAGCAAUAUCAGAGAGUGUAAGAACUCAAAUGAAUGCAGGGAGACUCGACCUGAAUACUGUGUGCCAUCGUAUGAAAUCACCAAUCGCCAUUUCCAACCGGGCUGCGUUUUCUCCACUAAAUCAUCCCGCCUCUCGAGGCUACCAGAUGUAGAGCAAUUUCGAAACACGUACUUCACAUAUGGACGCACCUGCUUCUGCUCUCGGAGCUGCAAACGCAAACGUUCGACAUCUUAAAUUGAACGCAUUGGACGCAUUCCCCACUCCUGCAAAGACACGAAGCAUCUCAACGAAUUCGAGAACAGCCCAGACAUUAUCAACAUUGCUUUGAGAAACUGUGAUCAAAACCCACCGGAGCACACACAUGCGAAGGUUUGAAACGACCGCACCAGAGUGGGCUGUCGGCGACACAAUUCCGCAUCACCGUUACCAUAGCUGAUGCCCUGCUUUACUGAUACCAGCCCCUAGCUUAAGCACUAGCACACAACCGCAAAACCCUAAACCUCCAAACCACACAAUCCUCUCCCAAGCACAUCGAAUUUGGGCGCAUCUUUGUGGUGGGUACAAACGGAGGAUUCAUUAUAAUUCUCUAUUGCUAUUAUGGAAAAAUCUCGCCAUCACCCACCCAUUGAAUUCCCACAACAAACGUGUGAGACUGUCGUGGAUAGUGAGUGCCCUUGCAAACUAAUUCUGUGAAUCGAAGCCUGUCUCGAAUUCCGACAACGAAGCGAGGAUUUUACAUACUGUGUCUUACAUCGUUACGUGCACCAGUGCGCGAGAGUGACAUUCCGCCCCCUUGGGCCCUUCGCUUCUUCACAGCUCUCUCGCACCUUCAAUGACAAGCUCUGGGCAAUGGAGUUGCAGCUCGGUGAAGCUUUGCGACGAGAGGCCCUGCACAUGAACUACUUUAAAGUAGCACAAACUAUGGUCUAGGAUGUUACUAUGACUUGUAUGAAUAUGAGGUUAGCUUUUUUAGUGAAAGGAUUUGGCAUUGCUUAUUUGAGAGUGGAAAAUUGCUCCAAUUAAAGUUAUACGAAUUGAGAUUUCUUUUUUGUUACAUUAGAUACAGCCGUGAAGAAAUGGCCACGAAGCUCUCUUAACAUCUCCAAUCUCCUUUACAAACAAAAUAGGUCUUCUUGCACUCUACCUAUGGUUUUACGUAAGUUUGUGAAAAUUUAAAUGUAAUUUUUUUUUCUUGUUGUGUCAUAAGAGUAUUAAAAAUUCUAAUAUGGAAAAUUUAAAUGAAACAGAUAAAUAUUUGGUAUAAAUGAUUUUUCUUUUCAAAUCAACAAAAAUUUAUUGAAAAGAAGAUUAUAAAAAGAUCAUUCAAAUUUUACAAACAGAAAAUUCUAUUCAAGUACGCAUCAUUUUUAAAUUAUUUAAUUCAUUUUUAAAUUAAUAAUAUUUUUAAUAUUACAUAAUUUAAGGAACCAAGUACAAAUUUAUGUACACCUUUUAGGUAAAAUUGCAUGUUUGUGAAUAAGAUUUUUGGAAGUUACAUAGUUUAAACUAGAAGGUUUCUACACAUAAAAUCUUAAAAAAUAUGUUUCUUUUUAUCAUACUAUCAGAAUACAACACAAAGUUUGAUAAUAUUUCAUUCCAACCAAAUUACUAUAAAAAAUUAAUAACAAAAAUAAAAAAUAUAUAUAUAUCAACAAUUUAAAACUUAUGUUUUUUUUUUUUUUUUUUUUUUUUUUUUUAAUCUCUUACAAGUUCCUAAUAUUAUUUGAUACUUGAUAAACUAUAAUUUUGGAAACAAAAAAAAAUCUAUAUUUAUCAGUCACUUAUUUAGUAAGAAAUGAUUUUCUUAGUAAGUUAUGCCUAAAAAUAAUCGCACAUAUAUAAUAAUAGUAUCAUAGAUUUUUAAAAAUAAUUUAUGUUCAUUAUUUAAUAGAUUAUAAAAAAUGAAAAAAAUAAAAAAACAAUAAAUUAUCAAUUAUGUAUAUAUAAAUAUAUAUUUAGAUACAUACAAGAUUAAAGUAAAUGUUCAUAUGUGUAUAUAUAUAUAUAAAUGAAUUAAUUAUAUUUUCAAAACCAAAAAUUGAAUUGCUAUCAAAAAAAUCUAUAAAAAAUAAAAGAAAUAAUAAUAUUUUUUAUAAUAUAUUUUUUAAAAUAACUUGUGUGUAAUUUUUUUAAAUAAUCAUUUGAACUACGUAAAAAAAUUAUUAAUUUAAAAACAUUCCUAUGAAGUUUGAAUUUAAUUUUUAUUAUUGAGAUUAGUUUACAUCUUUGACUAUUUUUAUUAUAAAUAUGUGCACAAGCUUGUCAUCAUUGCUAAAUAAAUAUAAAAACUUAAUAUUGAUUCUUUUAUAUAUAAACUAGUGUUUAAGUUUGACAUCAUUACAAAAUAGAAUUGGCAACUUCACAUUUUUAAUUUAUAUUAAUUUAUAAAGAUGCUUAAUUUGAACAUUAUUAUUAACUAAAUUGGACAAACUUACAUCUUUGACAUUGUUUCUCAUAAGUAGGUGUUCAAGCUUGAUAUCAAUGCUAAGUGAUUUAUGCAAUCUCAUUGAGCAAUUUCUUAUUGCAUUUGAUAUAAAGAUGUAUUUAUAGAAUAGAAGUAGAGAUAAGUUAUUACUAUUAUUAUUAUUAUUAUUAUUAUUUAAUUUACAACAAUUUAUUGACUUACUUCAAAUUUUGGGCAAGAAUUAGAGUUAAUUAUACUUAAUUUAUUGAAUAAUGAUUUUAAUAAAUAUACAUUUCAUUAAUAGGUAGUUAUAUCUAACUAUUAAAAAUAUUAUAUCAAAGAAGUUUAAAUUACCUUUAUCAAUAAAAUCAAACAAAGAUUGUAAUUUGAAAUGUCUCUAAUGGAUAGUAUUUUUUUAAAUUCAAAUGUUUGUUUUGUUUUGUUUUGUUUUUUUUUCUUGUUUUUAAGUCUUUUUUAUAUAAAAAAUAUUUUUGUAGAAUUAUAGAGUAUAUUGGCUCCAUGUAUUUGUUGGUAUUCUUCAAAUAGUUUAUUACUGUUUUGUCAUUUAGAAUUAGUUGGAUUAUGAUUUAACUCUAAAAGAAUACAUUUUUGAUAAUAUAUAAUGUUUACAUAGAAAUAAUUUAUUUAUAAUUAUAAUUAUAUAUAUAUAUAUAUAUAUAUAUAUAUAUAUAUUAUAGGAGUUUUUAUAAGAAGAAAGACAAAGACAUUACUUCACUGUUAGUGUUGAUAUAUUCAUGAUUGAAAAUUUAAGAACUUGUCCAUAAAAAAAUUCAAGAACUAGAAUAGGUAGAAAUAAAAAUAAAAAUAAAAACUAUAAGAAAGUAGGAAGAAUGUGGAUAAUGUUUAAUUUUUUUUAAUUAAAGAAAAAAUCGAAUAGAAUUAAAGAAAUAAAUACGCCAUUUCAGAUUAAAAAUAAAUAAAUUAGUAAUAUUAUUAGAAAAAAAUAACAACUAAGUCUUUAAGUUACUUUCAAAUGAUAGAAGAUAAAAGAACAAAGUGAGAACCAGUGGCUUUAGGAGGACAAAUACAUUUUAAAAGAUUAAAUACUUAAGUUAUAUUUUCUAAUCAUUUGUUUAUUUUACAUAUUUUCAUUCAACAACUUAAGUAGAACCAUAAAAAUUCUCUAAUAUCAUCCUUUUACAUAUGUUUUUUUUACAAACAUAUGGUUUUAAAUUAAUAAAAUAUUUUAACAACCAAUUUGUAUUAAAAAGAGUCAAUUGGCAACUACAUAACAUCCUUAUGUUUAAACUUAUUAUCAUGGCUAUAAAUAGAUAUGGAUAACAAAAAAAAUCUUGUACUUGAUGAUGUUGCCAAAGAAACGGAACCAAUACAAAGAAUAUUCAAGGACUAAUACAUUGGUUUAAAUUAAUAUUUCUUUGAAAAAAAUAGAAAAACGAAUUGAUGGACCAUAAGAUUGGCUUAAUCCAACAAAAAAUAUAAUUGUAGGACACAAAGUCAUGAAGAUUACAAUUCCAAUUGAUAAUAAAUACAGUAUAUAGAAAAAACUCAAGAGAUUAUUUAGCACAAUUAAAAGUACUGUAAAACAAUUCAAACAUAAGAGACAUAUGAAGUAUGAAAAUGAUCCAAUUGAAAAAAACUCUAAUUUAAUUUCUUAAAAGAACUCUAUCAUGACUAUUAUGAAACUUUUAUUACAUCAUUUCAUAAUUAGUCAAUAAAACAUCAAUCAAUGACUAUAAUAUAAUGAUAAUAAUAAUAAUAGGUCAUAUUCAAUAGUAAAAUUGACUAUGUCUAACAAAAAUAGAAGCAAUCCAAAUAAGUAUGUGUGUAAAUUUCUAAUUAUCCAUAAUGUUAACAAAAUUAUAAACAAAUCUCAUUUGGGGCAAAGAUAUGAAUCUAAUCAAAAAGUUAAAAAUGAAUUAAAUUUAUGUAUCAUUUAGAAGAAAAAAGUAAAGAAAAUUGAAACAUAUUUAUAAUUGAAAAUAACUAUAAUUUGUUUUUAAAUACAUGGAAGCUAGGGAGACUUAAACAAAGACCAAAAUAUCAUAAAAGCAUUGAUAAGAUUAAGAGAAGCAUUAAUCUUGCCUUGGUACACACUAGCUACCAUGGUUUAAGAUGUAGGGGUUUGAGAUUUUAGAAACCUAGGUGAAUGAGUGCAUGGCUUAAUCCAUGGUAGGACAUGAUUGAAUAUUUUCUAAAAUUUUAAAAAUCCUUUGCAAAGGCUAAUUAAAAUUAAAUCAUUUUUAGAAUACUAGGUGAUAUAUAUAUAUAUGUUAAAUUUGAAUUUCCUAAUCUAUUUCCUUGCUUAUAAAUAUUUUUUAAAGACAAAUUAACAUCAAACAAAACAAAACCUUCUUAAAAAACCUGUUGUCAGAUUUUUAACAAUCAAAUUUAAUUGUGUAUUAUAAUGUAGAAAGAGGGGAGAAUGAAAUAUUAUUAUCCUACUAAAAAUACAUUCUUGCUUCAAUUAUAAUGUCCAUGUUACUUAUAUUUUAAAAAAUAUUUUUAUAUUUAAAUUUAGAGGAUUUACAUUCAAAGUUGGUGAUUUCUGAAGCAACCAAGGACUUGAUAUUUAAAAACGUUUUGAAAUUGUUAUUCAGACAUACCUUUGUUAUUUUCCGAAGUAUAAUAAUUAAGGAAUGCAAGAACAUCUCUGCAAUGUGCUAUUGUUAUAAAUGAUUUGAUUAUCCAAUUGAAAUUACGAAAAAAGAAUAAAACGAAAAUAGAAAGAAAAUAAAAUUACAACCAAAAAGAAGAUUAAAGGAUGUUAAAAAGGUGAUAGUCUUUAAAAUCGAGAUGUUUUCUCAAUAAACUUAUCUUAAAUUCGGAAAGAGAAUAAAAAUUUAAAACAGAAAAAAACAUGUUAAAUUACAUAUAAAUAGUGAGAAUACAUUUAUUUAUUUAUUUAUUCAUUUUAAAUUAAAUUUAUAUGUUAUCAAUAAAUUCAGUUUGAAAUAAUUACAUGUUUUAUAUUCUCCAAGUGGCAAUUUUAGUUUUUGAAUUAUUCAUGUUUUAGCAAUGCAACCCUUCUCAUACAAUCACAUUACAGAACAUGAUAAAUUUUUAUUCUAUAACCCCUGAUAUUUUAGAAAUAUACCAAAUGAUAAUUAUGAAACCUAUUUUGAUAUCACCAAAAUGAAGUUUAAUCCCCUGAGCCGAUAACCGUGGAUCACAUUAGUACGUUCUGGUAAUAAAAUCCAAGUGCUUCCGAAAUAAAUAUACAUAUGGAAGGAGGGGGAACAUUCCAAAACCACUCUACACUUGAUACAACACAAGACAAAAAGAAACAAAAACAAUACGAUAAAAUAAAAUAAAGAUUAAAAGUUAAAAGUUGCUGGCUAAAAGUUAAAGUUGUUUCAAUAACACCUUUAAGCAAAAAGAACGGUUCAUAUGGUCGAAUGGGAACCCAUGCAUGUCCAAGCUUCAUGUAAUCAGAAUCUCCAACCCCUGCUCAAUAUGACGUGGAGCUCAUUUAUUGGCUAUUACCCCUCUAGUCUCCCCAGCUGGCAAGUGGCUCUGGACAACUAAACAUACCCAGUUCCACGUGGAUCAAUUGAACCUGAUUCAACAUUCAUCCAUAUAACGAAUCGAUAUACACAUUCAUCGACGGCGAAGACAGAGAGAGUAUCCUCACACUUCUGACUCGUUUAUUGUUACGAUUCCCUCCAGGUGUGAACGGGGAGGAUUGGUGCACAGUCAGCAUGCCACGGCAGCAGGAUAAGACAGUGGUAACAGAAGCAAAGGCGCUGAAGUGGUCGCCUGCCAUGUGGCCGCUAACGUGGUUGGCUGUGGGAAUCUCCACGCCGAGCCGGCAUCCGAGGCUGCGUCUCGGUGGUGCCACUACCACGUGAGCGUAGAAUACAGGUACAACUACUCGGGUCACGGUGAUAGGGUGAGAGCGUGGAAAAAGCGCGACUGCUCCUUCGAGAUCUGUCCGUCGAUUCCUCUGGCUAUGGCUACGUGCGCUUUCCAUGGCCAUGGUGGUGGUAGUGGUGUUGGUGGCGUCUGCUCGAAAUCUGCGUCUCCGAAUUGGCCCCGAGUUCUGUUUCGAUUCAUUCUCCCUGCGGGAGUACCACGCACGCCAUCGCUCGAUUGCCUCGCUUUCCAGCGAACCACCGCGCGAUUCCGUCCGUUGCGCGACCGCAAUUUCGGCCUUCCGGAGCGCGACCGACGCCACUUUUGAAAGCCCGUGGGCUGGUCUGGUAGAGCUAGUGAUGUUAGCCCCCCGGAAUUGAGAGGGAGAGACAUUUUGGUAGCAUAAAUGCACUGUCAUUUCGGGCACCGAGAAUCUGCCUUCUCUCGGAUGAGAUGUUCUUGAAUCCGUGAAUCUGUCUCUCCUGUUUCGGUGCGCCUUGUGGUUGGAGUGGAGUUGAGAUACUCAGUCGGAAGUCCGCACCCUUUCGUGAUCCUUCUCUCCCUGGGUCUUUGGUUUGUGAUAGAUUCUGGUGAGACUUUUGGUUUCGAUUUUUGUGGAGGAAGAUCGCGGAGGCGAUUUCAAGCGUAGGCAGGGACUCGCGCUGAGAAUUGUUGUCAGGGAAAGAUUCCCUUUCUGUCUGAGGCCUUGUAAUAUUUGUCGUUUGGGAGCUUAGCGAUCGGGGAUUUGCCUUAGUCACUUGAUUUUGUACAUAAGGAGUGUUCUGUGGCGUCCCGCUGUUCAAUUAACUUAAUUUGUAUAUAAAACUUGCCAACGCUUCUCUCUGUUGUACAUAAAAGAGUUGCGCCUGGAGAAAACUAAAUCUGUCGAAAUCUCUUGUCUUGGAGGUUAUUGUAUGGGCUCGAUUCGUGAAUAAUUCUUUUCAUGAACCAGCUUUACAGUUGUUCAGCUCUUCUUCACUACGCUGUGAUUUUUAUUUUUAUUUUUAUCUUUGUGUAAAGAUUCUUCAAUCUCUGCGUAGCCAUGGAAGUCCUUGCAAGCGCAGUGACCAUGCGCAUUUCAGUUCUAUCACCUUCUCCCACCGAUUUCUGCCCAAACGUUCAUAGGAGGUGUCAAGCAGCACCGUAUAGGAAAAGCACAGGAGGAUUCAACUCUGUCCUCGCGCGGCACCACGAAGGUUUGCGGUCGUCGUCUGCGGUGGAUGUCUUGCGACCUUUAUCUCUAUCCGAGGGCUUUGACGUAGCUGUUAAUUCGCACCUGGCAACGGGGAGAAGUAACGGACAGCAGAGUCGCGGAGUCGUCACGGCAGUAUUCGAGAGGUUUACCGAGAGGGCGAUCAAGUCCGUGAUGCUGGCGCAAAGGGAAGCCAAAGCCCUUGGAAAACGGGAAGUCGGCACAGAGCAACUGUUGCUGGGGUUGAUAGCGGAGGAUAGAGGCAGCGAAGGCUACCUCGGCUCUGGUGUUACGAUUGAGAGAGCCAGGGAGGCCGUAAAGAGCUUGUUGGAUGAAUCCGAUGGCAGCGAUUUGCUUGGACCAGCUACAGAUGUUCCAUUUUCUCAUGGAAGCAAGAGAGUGUUCGAAGCGGCACUGGAACACUCUAAAAAGAUGGGACAUAAUUAUAUUGCUCCAGAGCACAUUGCGAUUGCUCUGUUGGCCGUGGAUGAUGGAGGUGCUAGCAAUGUCCUGGACAAGUAGGUGUCUUCCCUCUCUUGAUAGUAAUUUAAAAGGAAUUCCGUUUGAGUAGGAAAACAUGUUGCAUGGCUCUGAGCUAUGCGUGUUCCAUAUCAGUAGUCCUUGGGCAUCUACAUUUGCACUUGAUUAUUAGAGACUCACAUUGAUGAUCCUGACUUUGUAUUCAGAUCCUGUAAUUGUAUGACCGUGAAGAAGUCUUUCACUUGGUUAGUUCCACAUUCCUGCUGAUGCAGGAACACAUUGAAAUAGUCUACUGAUUUUGAACUGUUCCGUUAUGGUCAUCAGAUUGGGUGUGAAGAAGGGGAAAUUACAGUCAGAGGCUGUGGCGAAGCUGCAGGGUGAGCUGGAGAAGGAAGGUCGUGCAGCAUCGUCAUCGGUUGCCAUGCCACAGAAGGCAGCCGCUGGCGCCGCCGCGUCUACGCGCCCAUCUUCAAGAAAAGGUUAGUUUAUUCGUUUGCUUGCUGGUUCACCUCUGUGCAAAUCUGAUCUGUGUAGUCGUUUGAUCAAAAUUAGGUUUAUUUCCUGCACAGAAAUCAGCUUACAACUGGGGUGUGAAGAUUAUUGUGGGGGUUUUCAGUAAGGUGAAUCGGGAGCCUAUACUACACUUGCAAAUGUUGCGUGGCAGCAUUUAUUCGACACCUAGGAAUAUGGGACUUUUACGUAUCAGUUGAUGAUGAUGUUUGGGUGGAAUUGAUAAACAGAAAAAGGGGCUUUGCACGAUUUCUGCGUUGACAUUACGGCUCAAGCUGCUGAGGGCAAAAUUGAUCCAGUAAUUGGUCGCGACAAAGAAGUGCAGCGAGUGGUUCAAAUCCUUGGCCGACGAACGAAGAAUAAUCCAAUCCUAUUGGGAGAACCUGGUGUCGGAAAGACUGCAAUCGCGGAGGGACUCGCGAUGCGAAUAUGCAAAGGCGAUGUCCCUGAUUUUCUGAUUGUGAGUCAUUUUGGAAGAUCUAUUUGCGACCGUCGCAGAUUUGCUUCAGCGCUGGUUUCUGAACCUUUAUCUUUUGCUGUGGUUGCAAAGCUGUGGUCUAUUUUACAAUGGACCAUUAGCAUGUUGCGCCAUUAUGAAAGUUGGGUUCUUAGUCUUUAAGUUCCUCACAUGGAUCUGAAGUUCUUUUUAGGCGAGGUUUAGUAGCCUAUGUCUCUGCUUGUGUAUUUGUCUCAAUAUAGAACACUUGCAGGAUAAGCGGGUGAUGUCAUUGGACAUGGGAUUGCUGCUUGCUGGAGCCAAGGAACGUGGUGAAAUGGAGACACGGGUGACCAAUCUAAUUGAAGAGACUCGAACUGCAGGUAUGAUCCUGGACAUUUGAGUGUGGAUAUCGUCGGUACUAAGGGUCACUGUCAUUGCGAAUCGGAUUGGUUGUGCGUUGAAAGAUUGCUAAUUCUUUGUUACAGCAGAAGUUUGCUAGCGUUGAAUACGUGCGAUUUUUGCCUAACAACGGUGUGUGGGUAUACGUGCAGGGAAUGUGAUUUUACUAAUUGAUGAAGUGCACACACUAGUGGGCUCCGGUUCAGUCGGAAGAGGAGGUAGUGCAGGGGCAGGUUUGGACAUUGCUAACUUGCUGAAACCUGCGCUCGCAAGAGGAGAGCUUCAGGUGACCAUCUCAUAUAUGGCUUUGAUGAGUACUGAUUAUCAUGAACAUUUUGGAUUUGCAAGUAUAUGUGGGGUUUUUCACAAGAUCUGACUGUUUGUGGUGGUGUUUAUGUGAGCAGUGUAUUGGAGCAACUACCUUAGAUGAACAUCGCAAGCAUAUUGAGAAAGACAAGGCCCUAGCACGUCGCUUCCAGCCAGUAAUGGUAUUAGAGCCUUCACAGGUACAAUCGUGUGUCUCAAGAUCGUCCAUUACACCCUAGGACAAUCAGAUGCUCACAACUCUGAUAGUGAAUGAUGAUCACCUUCUUUGAACUUGUUGUAGAGGUUAGAAUGGACUUGGUCUGUUAUAUCUUGAUUUUUUUCUUUACAGCAAAGCCUAACUUGGUGGAGAUUGAGAGGACGAGGAGUAGGUGUUGUAAACAGAAGGGAACCAACUACCAGCUCGUUUAGUAUGCCAUGAUGUAACUCGGGGGACUAACAAAGAAUGAUUACCAAUUUCUUCUCUUAGCACCACAUAAACAAUUAAACGAUGUUGUUGUAGUGCUUCCUUAGGGCUGCGUAGAAGUGAUGAAGCCUAACCGGCUACCUUUUGAAUGAGAUUAUUGAGAUGUAACACCUGAUAACAAGAGGCGUGCUGAAGGCUGAUAUGCUUUAUCGCCCAUUUCUUACGCGUAGUUCAAUGUCGGUUUUGCAGGAGGAUGCAGUGACUAUUUUGAUGGGGUUGCGUAGUAGAUAUGAAGAACACCACAAAUGCCACAUAACCAGCGAGGCAGUGGAGGCUGCCGUGUACCUAGCCUCCCGGUACAUUGCUGACCGGUUCUUGCCCGAUAAAGCAAUCGACCUUUUGGAUGAAGCUGGCAGCCGAGCUCGGAUAAACUCUUUUAGGAAGAGGAAGGAGCGGCAAACUAGCAUUUUAACCAAGUCUCCUAGCGAGAUUUGGCAAGAGAUUCGUGCUGUACAAGCUUCACAGGAAGCGGUAAUUUGAUUUUCCUGAAACCACGUGCGCAUCUAGCAGAUUGGGCUCUGUUUGGUUCGAUGAUGUGUAUAAAUGCAUAUUUAGGCAGAGAUUCUGGUGUUUUGAGAUACCUAACAAAUUUUUAGGUUAGUGAAAGAUGGGUUUUAGAGCGUUGUCAGCAGCAUUUUGAUGUAAUUGUUGUUGUGUUCUUGUGUAGGCUCUAGUCACAUCUUCUGGAAAUAAGGAUGUCCUGACAGGUGAUCCGUCCAGCCUAUCAACAACGGAAUCAAGAAUUGGGGACAUGGACAAUGAAUCAUUAUCAGUGCCAGAUAAUGACGCUUUGGAUGCGAGCAUCGUCAGUGAUGAUGAGGAGUUUGCAGAUGGGUAUAGUCAUAACCAAAGUGAUGCAAAAAAGAAAUCGAAGCUCACGUGACCACUUUGUGUGAAUACUGCAUGGGCAUGGAUAAUGUUUGGGCGUGGUUUAGAAUACAGUUUCGAAGCGUCUUUGUUGUCAUCAGUGACUGGGUUUUGUGAAUCCCGUGGCUCAUUUUUGAUGGAAUUCUAUCGUCUCUUGAUUUCAAAGAGCUUACGAUUUGUUUAUUAAUUUAUUUUGGUAAUGGUUGCAGACCUGUGGUCGUCGGACCUGGUGAAAUUGCAGCGGUGGCGUCCAUGUGGUCUGGUAUACCGGUGGAACAGUUGACAAGCGACGAACAAAUGAAAUUAAUGAAUUUGGAGAAAUCUCUCCAGACCCGUGUUGUGGGCCAAGACGAUGCUGUGAAUGCAAUCUCUAGGGCUGUGCGGAGGGCACGCGUUGGAUUGAAGGAUCCAAACCGGCCUAUUGCUGCGAUGCUUUUCUGUGGUCCUACUGGGGUUGGAAAGACGGAGCUUACCAAAGCUCUGGCCCAGCACUACUUUGGAUCGGUGAGUACUUAAAAAUACCUGGGUGCAUUCUCUGGAUGUGUGUUAGAGAAGAUCAAUCGAUCCACACCGUGCUUGGAGAGCUGAGAAAUAUGGUUUGGUUCUGAUAGGCUGGUUCUGCGAAGGGAAGGAAUGAAAUGCUGCUAUUACUGUCUUAUAUUUUGGAAUGAAAAUGGCACCUCAUCUUACCACAUGUGAUAUGGUUGCUUUUUCAUCUUCAUGUUUAGUGACUCUUUUGUAACGUAUAGAACAUGUCGGCUUUGCAGGAAGAGUCCAUGAUUCGUUUGGACAUGAGCGAGUACAUGGAGAGGCACACAGUGAGCAAGCUGGUUGGGUCUCCUCCAGGGUACGUAGGAUAUGGCGAAGGUGGUGUACUCACUGAGGCCGUGCGUCGACGUCCGUUUACAGUUAUUCUUAUGGAUGAGAUCGAGAAAGCCCAUCCGGAUGUCUUCAAUAUGCUGCUUCAAAUCUUUGAAGAUGGUCACCUGACCGAUUCGCAGGGGAGAAAGGUUUCCUUUAAGAAUGUUCUGAUUGUGAUGACAUCUAACAUAGGCUCACAGCAAAUUGCUAAGGGGGGCAGUAGCAAAAUCGGGUUUAUAUACUACAACUCCGACGAAGCAGAUGGUGGAAAAUACUCACAGUUGAAAGAACUUGUGAUGGAUGAACUGAAAGGCUACUUCAGGCCAGAGCUGCUGAACAGGCUGGACGAAGUUGUUGUGUUCAGGUCGUUAGAGAAAUCUCAGGUACAAAGUUGUUUUAUCCUGGAAAGUUCUCUUUUACUUGUGUUAUACGAGGAUCGGGUUGCAGGCCGAAUCAUCUGUUGUAAUGAAUCAAUUGUUAGCUUAUAUAUGACAUGAGUCGAUUCAUGUUGUCAGUAAUGUCUUCAUUCGGAAUAGUGUGCCAAGUGUUGGCUCGUGAGUUAGUUUAAUUGCCUUUGUUUCUUUGCAUAACUCUUGGUUGCGGUGACUGGUGUGUCGUUGCAAAACAGGUGCGAGCUAUUGUGGACAUUAUGCUACAGGAAACGAAUUCGCGGUUGGCUGCUCGAGGACUAAAUCUGGAAGUCUCGGAAGCUAUGGUGAAGUUGAUAUGUGACCAGGGAUAUGAUAGAAGCUACGGUGCCAGGCCUUUGAGGCGGGCAGUGAUGAGUUUAGUUGAGGAUAACCUCAGCGAAUCGUUGCUGCAGGGCGAGUUCAAGGAAGGGGACACAGCUCUGUUAGAUAUUGAUGAGACCGGAAAUCCGAAGGUCUUCCGGAUAGAGAAACCUGAUGUCUGUGACCAUGGCCUGUGCUUGCCCGAGUUGAAGACGGUGUCUAUUUCGUCUCCCACAGACUGAAGUUGAUACAGACAUGCGUGGUGAAUAUCACUUUUCUUGAGUUACAAUUCGUGGAGGCAGGUUGAGUCAGUGCGUUAAUGGAACAUGGAAAACACUUUUCAUUCCAGCAAUCCUGGAUACGUCUAGCAGAUGUGUUUGGUUUACUUAGCAGUGUCAAAACUAUUAUAUGAUCGUACAUUAGUUUGUCAACAGAAUGUAGGGUUCCGUUGUACAUAGACUUCGUGUAUACUCAAGUACAGUGUUUGGAUAUUGAUUCUUCGUGCCAACAUUUUUUCAAUUUGCAGUGAAAGCUAUCUGUCAAAUGGCCCUAUUCAUUCACCUGUGUUGUUAUUCACCCUUAAUCCAUUCCAUUAGUAGAAGUUUUUAAUUUAGUGCUUCCUAAUUCUUUAAAAUAGUUAGGUUGUCCUUUGGCACUACAGCUAAGAUUAUUGUCGGUGGUUGUUUAUUCAUUUGAUUAAUAUGAAUACAAUGUCCCUAUUUACGAUGAUGAUGAUGAUUACCAGUAAUUUCCACAUGAAUGUAUUUCAACUGCAUUGGUAAAAAUAAUGUGAAUAGUAGUAUUUUUUUUGAUAAUACUAUGGAGAUAAUUUCAUAACAUAUAAUAUUUACAUUUUACUUUUUUUUUCUUCCUGGAAGAACGACAAAUAAUGAUAGAAAAUUCACUUUGCAGACUAAUUCAAGUGGUUACAAUUUUAAGUUUUUUCAUAAGUUUAUUUUAAUUAAAUGUGGUAUUUCUUUAGGGCUAAUUUGUGUGUAGUGUCAACAAAAUAUCAAAUCAACGUGCAAUAUAUAUAUCAGUGAUUAUGAAAUUGUAAGAUUGGCAAACAGCUUAAAUUAAAUAAUUUUAUAUUCUUAACUAUUUAGUUAAAAUAAACAUGUAUGUCCUACUUUAUUUCAUUUGAAUGUUUCAUUGAAAUUAUCACUUAAGCAUUGUGAAGAAAUUUUAGAUUCCAUUUCUGCUACCUAUUUUUGUAAGUUACAUGUCUAUAAUCAAAGAUUUUUAUUUUUAUUUUUAUUAUUAAAGUUGCCCUUAUUCUAUAGGUAAUGUAGAUAUGAAACUCUAUAAAAGUUAUGAAAAGCUACACAUGAAAAAAUUAGACAAACAACUUGACAAAGGCAUAGCAUAGCUUUGCAAUUGGGAUAGAACAUGGAUGGCAAAGAACUUAUUAGGAACCAAUGAAGAUAAGACAAUUAAGUAAAACUUAAAAAUUCAUGAGACAUGAUUAAUCAUCCCCAAAUUAGAAGCACCCAAGAUAGUGUAUAUUUAACAAAACAUACUUUUAAAAAUACAAAUAUUAUAAAAACAACAUAAAUUUUGCACUUUAGUUUGCUCUUAACUAAUGUGUUUGGGCUAAGGAUUGCAUUGUAACCACCCUUUACCAUUAAUACAUAAGAUCUACCCCACUUGUGUUAAAAAAAGACAAGAAUGUACAAAAUCAUUUUUUUUUUAAAAAAAAAAACUUUAAAACAUAUUUAGCUUUAUUUUUUUUGUUAGUUUUUUUAAAAAAUAAAAAAUAAAAAAUAUUCCAAUAAAUGCUUUUAAAUAAAACAAAGACACACUUAUACAUAUACAUAUAUAAUUUUAAAAACUUUAAAUAUAAACAUUAAAAUUUAUAAUAAAAAAUAUAUCAUUAUAAAGAAUUUACAUCUAUAACUAUGUUUACAUGUUAUAUAUUAACAUGUUAUCGUUUAAAAAUAUGUGCACAAACCAAAAAAAGAGUGCACAAUAAAAAAAAAUUAAAUGCCUUCUAUUCUAAACUAACAAAUUGGAAUGGCAUUAACUAACAAAUUAGAAUGGCAUAACUUGUAUUUUUAAGGGACAAUAUCACAUAUCUCUCUGUAAUAUAUUGAAAUAUCAAGAAUACCCCUACAUUCUUGAUAAUAGCAAAUAUAUCCCUAAAAGUUUUAAUAAUAGAAAAUGUAUCCUUGAGAAUGUUAAGCUAUCUCAAAUCUGACAAAAGCACAGCUAUUCUCAUGGAUUCCAAUAAAUGUUUUUAUUUCACAUGGGGCACAAAGCUCGUGCGCCUUUUAUAUUUUGUUUGUUCUGCUGCGGCUCUCUUGCCCGCAGCCCCUCGUCAUCCAUUGUUGUCAUCCGUCACCGAAGCUCGCCGCGCUCGCUUCUCCCGCAGAGCACUUGGUUCGUUUGUGGAUUAGUUCCUCUAAUUGCUGCUGAAAUUGUUAUGUUUCAGAAUUGGGAGUUUUUGAUGUGCAACAAGGACAAACACAGAAUCGAUGUUUCCGGCGCAAGGAUUUCUAGAAUCACAAAAUUUGUACUCGUAGAAGUACUCAUUGAACCAUGGGAAGCAUGCGAUGACUAUUGGAAUGCCUCACACCAACGAAGCAAAAUGAGACAAACGACCCUGAAACGAAAUGAAACGAACAACGUGCCGUGUUGCUAAUAAACACCGUCCAAGCAAGUAUCUUAUUUGAAAAGAAUGCAUAUGUACAAUAUAAAACCUGGAAAAUUGACCGAGUGGCUGAUAAGGCCUCUACACACAACAUCCUCGACAAAAUCUUCGGUAGCUCAACGUUUACAGAAUUGACUUCAGGGAUUUUGCUUUCACAAAAUUUUGACGCUUAAUAUCAGGCAGCUCGUCGUCAGAUUCAAUCAUACUGACAUCGAUUGAUUUAUCCACUUCUGAAAUGGGAGAUGUCUUAACACCAUCGUUUGGUAUAGGGUUUGAAGGCUUCACUGGACUUUGUUCCUUUGACUAUUCCUCGAUUUUCUUAGACAAAUUUCGGCCCGGCGGAUCUAAUCUCAGUGGCACUUGCUCAAAGAAAAUCCUACUUCCGCAGGUUGAAAACAUCUCUAUCCCUUCUCAUCAUCCCGAUUGCACCGGGGUCCACAUAUUACAGGGGUAUAUAUAUAUAUGAUAUUUUUCUUAUUUUUAAUUCUUAAUAUAAAAAUAUGUAACAUCAAUUAUUGCUCUGAUAUCUAUGAUAGGGAUAAUAAUAUGAAUGAAAAUAUAAUGCGUUCAACCAAAAUCAAUCUCCAAUUGUACAAUUUGAGCCAUAAAUCGAACCCAAUAUGUACUAAAGCUUGGUGGAUCUAAUCCCAUUCACAUGGGCACAUGUCCAAUUAAGCUAGCAACUCUAUUGUCGGAUGAGAUCUUAUUAGAACAAAACAAAAGGUUAUACUGCAACUUGUAUUUUCUAUCCACAAUGGAUGACAUCAUACAAUCUAUGUCCAUCUGUUAUAUAAUACAAAGAGACAAAGAAGUCUUUUAAUUGACCAUGAAGAAGAAAACUUAAAAUUCAAGGAAAGGGGAGAAGAAGGGAAUAUGGAAAUAUGGAAAUAUGGAAACUAGAGCACAUAAGAAUGUGAGAAUAUGGGAACUAAGAAAUAUGGAAAUAAUGGAGCAAGGAUAAAAAAAAAAGGAUAGAUGUGCCAAAGAUUGCAAUAUCCAACGGCCAAGGUUUUUGCUAGUCUAACAUGUAAGAUAACUUGGAUUUAAUAAAAAGAGACAAAGAAGUCUUUUGAUUGGUUGCAAAGAAAGAAACUUGCAAAACUUGGAGAAUAUAGAAACAAGAGAAUAUGAGAAUGAAGGAAUAUUUGAAUAAGAAAAUGCAACAACAUGAGAACUACGGAAUAUUAAAAAGUAGAAAUAAGGAAGCAUGAAAACUAACAAACAUAGUAAUGAAGAAGCAUAGAUGAAAACAACUUUCAUAAAUAUAUUACUUUCAAAGUAAAACAAGGAUCUUAUAUAUAUAUAUAUAUAUAUAUGCAUAUAAUCUAAAAGUCUUUUUUUUAAUUUAUUUAUUUAUUAAUAAUUUUUUAAUAAAUUUAUAAAAUUUAUGGUAGCCAUAACAAAGGCACAAUAAAGAAAAAAUUGACAUUGCUUGAUCUGCAUCAACACUUGAUGCAACAUCCCUAAGAAGAAGAUUUUUUGCACUUAAUGUAGCUUACAUCUAAUGCCUUGCUUGACUACUUCUUGUACUAAUAUAUUGAUCUUUCUUUAGCUUCAAUCCUCUAAGUGUUGAGUUUGGUGCUCUCAUAUUUGCAUUAUGCUUGAACCCAGUCUUGACUCUAAUAACACAAGGUUCUCUAUGGAGGUUGUUAUGUUAAAGUCCACCAUAUUUAGAAAAGCCUUGGAUUCUAGCUAAUAUCCAAACUAAACAACAAACUUAUAUUUUAAAUAUGAAUGCAUAAUAAGACCUACGGAAUAUAAGUUGGACAAGCUUUGCCAUAUGAAUUGAUUAAUUAGAGUGAGUUUUAAAUAUUGAGAUUGCAUGUAGAUUUAUUCAUUGGAUUUAAAGCAUGUAUUUAGAACUUGUUUUUGCAUGAAGAUAGUAGAGGUCUUAAAAUCACACCAUGAAACUAUGCAAUGUUGAGAAUUAUAGAUUAUUCUUUACUUGCACCAAAAAUAACAUCUUAAUGCAUGUAGUGUCAAAAUUUUCUUCUUGUACAAAGUUAAUUGGUAUAAUCAAUGAAUGGAGAUGAUGCUCUUUUCUUUAGGAUUUGUUCUAGGUUUUGUUAUGAUCACUAUUACAUUGCAAUAUCAUUUAUUUAAUUAUUUAUUUCUUUGAUGAAUUUAAACAUUGUUUCUUACAUAUGGUAAUAUUCCAUACAAAUAAAAGAAAAAAUACCAUCAAACAUACAUCCAACAAAGAAUAUAUAUAUAUAUAUAUAUAUAUCAAAAAUUCAUAUAGGACCAAAAUUCUUUGCCAUGCUUAUUUACCUAGGUACCUCAAAGGCAUUGAUGUUCAUAAGAUAUAUUUAAGAUGCAUUAUUUCAUAAGGAUAAAACAUGUUUAUAUUCAAUAAUAAUACAAAAAAUAAAUAGAAAGUUUAUUUUUUUCACCCACUUAGGUUUAGAAUCUAAUAUUGUAUUUAUAAUGAGAAUCUUAAUUAUCUCAAUUAUAUCAAAGUUUCCAUCAUUUUUUCUACUUCUUUCUAUUUUUUUAAUGGCAAAGAAUAGGUAGCAACCUUGAGCAUAAGCAACUUGCAUCUUUUGAAUUCUAACCCUAUACUAUGACUAAUAUGUAUAGAAUGCAUUUAUUCACUCUCAUGACACAUCAAGCAAUAACUAGCUCCUUAAAUACUUCUAAUUGAUAGACAUCUAUUAAACAUGACAUCUUUUUAGAGAAUAUUAAUAGAUAUCAUAUCUAAUAUCAUAUCUAACUUAUUAUUAAUAUGAUAGUAGUGUUAAAGAAGGUGACAACUCAAUUGCAUCUAAACAUGAUAAUUAUAUUUGAAGUAGGUCUUUAUCUUAGAGUCAAGUCUAAAAUUGAACUAUAUUGUUAUUAAAUCAAAUUUCUAGGAAGAAAGUAUAUCUAAAGUCAUGUUUGAAUUAGACAAUAUGACAUAAGAAAGACAUAUAAAAAUGGUAUACACAAAAGAAAACUUUGUAUAUUUUAUUUUUCAACUAAGAAUCACAAAAUCAAGCUCUAAGUGUCAAUUUCACCAAUCAAGCUUAACAUGGUCAAAAUUUGGUGUUGUAGAAAGAAAAAAUGCAAGAUGUGCUCAAUGACAAUCUAAUAAUCAUGUUUAACCAAAAUCAAACUAUACAAUUUGAGCCAUAAAUCAAAUCACACAUAUACUAAAACUUUGUAGAUCAAAUCCCAUUUACAUGGGCACGUAAUCAACUCAACUAGCGAUCCUACUAUUAAAUGAAAUUUCAUUAGAAUUCAAGAGAGUUUUGCAUUGUAGAUUGCAAUUUGCAUCUACAAUAAAUGAUUUCAUAUAGUCUUAAUCCAUCUUUUAUACAAGACAUCUUGGAUAUAGCAUCUUGGAUAUAAGAAACAAAGAAGUCUUUUGAUUGGCCAUGAAGAAGGGAAUUUAGAAAACUUGGGGAAUACAAGAAAUAAGAGAAUUUUUUAUAACAUCGGAAUAUGGGAAUGCAAAAGCAUGAAUGAACAAGAAAAUGUAUGAAUGUACCAAAGAUUGUAAUGUCCAACAAUACAUGUUUUUGCUAGUCUACUUUAAAAUACAACUUGGGUAUAAUACAAAAAAGCAAAAAAGUCUUUUGAUUGGUUGUGAAGAAAGAAAUGCAAGGAAAGCAGGGAUGCAAGAGAUUGUUAUGUCUUACCUCAUACGUUUCUGCUAGUCUAUUAUAUGAAACAACUUGGGUAUAAGACAAAAGAGCAUUAUCAUUGGCCAAACAUGAGAAUCCUUUCUAAAAUAAACGGGAGGAGGAAACAUUUAGAACAAUACCGACAGUGCAAUGCUGAGAGUCGCACCAUGAAAUUGAGCAAUGAUGAGAACUAGCGAGACGGCGCUUUAUUCUUCACUUGCACCAGUAAUAACAGAAUCUUCAUGUAUGUGGUGUCAGAAUUUUCGAAGUAAAUAUCUACGCGGCGGCUUAAUGAUGUCGUGUGCCCAACAACAACCGUGAACAGAUGCCAGAGUUGCACGUUGACGACGCAAGGUCUUACAAAAUCUGUGCGACCGGGGCACCAGAGCAUGAAGUGCGUGUUCUCAGCCUAAGUUAGCAUAUAAACUCCACAGGGCAACUCUAAAAUUCAAUGUUUUGUGACACUUGCAGUAGGCGAAUUCCUUCUUUGGACAUUGUACAGCUCGCUCCUAUAAGAAUAGAACAUCGUCAAUUACUCUCUCAAGGAGCAGCAAUGGUGAAAAUUCUACUUAACGAGGACAACUUCGGAUACGGAUCCGAGAUUUUCAUUCCCAAUGUUAUUUCCUGUGGCGCUGUGGCCGUCAAGACCAAGAACGGCUUCAUAGGGUUUCACUUCUUCCCGACCACAACCAGAGAACAGAUCGUCGCUGCCAUGAAUUACGCAGCAAAAACGCUCCUCCCUGUCGCCGGCUCGGUGGAAGCUACGGCCUUCUUUGUGGACAAAAAUGUAUUUGGAACGGACAACGUUAACAUCGUCAGGGACUCUUUUAAGGCUGCUUUCAAAGUAGACCUCAAAGUCGUCGCAAAACCAGCGGAUGUGAUGGCAUAUUCAGCAGAUCUGUGGCUUCACGCGCCCGUAGACACCAAAGGCACCAGCUCUUGGUUAGGAGUGCGGAAACACACGAAUGUCAAGCCGGUGACACAGCAAAUUCUCAAUCCACAGGUGUUGAAAAUCAAGAAUGACGGCGGAAUUGAGAAGGCAGCCAUCCAGCAAUCACCGGGUGACGUUGGAAACGAGGACUACAGGGGCACACAUAUGCAUGUUGAAGUGUGAGAGAAGACAUCGUGGUUACAAUCUUUGGUAUCUCAGCACAAGAUAUGCCAGAUGGAAGCUACCUUGACUUCCCAUCAGUGCCGAUUCUGCGCUGCAAUUUUUAUAUAUCCUAGUUGCUAAUACGUUCGAGAACCAAUAUCAUGUGCAAGCUUUCACUGUAAUGCACUCGAGGUGUGUAAAAUCGCCGACCUGGAGAGGACAAAUGCUGCUCUUGAGAGGUUUCUGCAUUGUGAGUGCCUCCACUUGAACUAAGAGACGCCCUGAGCAUUCUCUCUGUCGUUGGGUCAAUAGAAUAAAAAUGAUAUCCUGAUGCAUUGUUCUGUUCAAGCUCUCCGUGGCUCCCAGAACCGAUAUGUUCAGAGUUGCUGUAAUCAGAUACAUUCUCGCUCAAUAAAAGCUCGCACUAGUUGCCUUUCCGCACAUCUGCGUACAAUUUAUAACAAGUUUGGUGUUGGCAUCUUUCUCGUUAACAAAGUCUGGAAGUGCUGCAAAUGCGAGCAUUGGUACAUCGAGAGUUGAAAUGAGUUGCGUUUUGUCGUCUCCAUCAUGUCUAGCUGUUCAUCAAAAUUCCCAGGAACAUCUGAAGAAUCACACCGUUUAUGAAUGGCAUUGCAAAUUACAUAGAACAUCGAGCUGCGUUUACUCCAAAAAACGUAAGAAAAAGUAGAAAUCGCAUUUUAGAAAAAACCCAGAGUGGAAUCUUCUACAGUGCUCAUUCUACAUCAUCUACUUGCAAGUUUGCGGAGCAGAUCGACAGCAACUUGCGGCCGAGGUUCUGAGAAUGUUGAAUUCGCAUGAGGGAUCGCAACUGCACUCAUCUCUGUCACCAUCAAUGUUACAGUUAAAAGACCUCAUGGGGUCCUCGAUUUACACUAGGUCGUAGUGAUUAACUUAUUUCGAGUGUGAGCUUCUCUAGAGAUCCCUUGUCCAUGAGUAUACUUGAACUGCACCUUGUUCUAUCCAAUUUCACUACUAUUUACUAGCAGAUUGUCUGGUUAGAAUGGGUCACACCUGAGGGCUUGACUGUUGCAACAGAUUACGAUAGUGGAGUUUUUUUCGGACCAGAUUAUGAUAGACAGAUUGAAAGUGGAUCAGCUUGGUGCAAAGUUUCGUCUAUUGGCGGCAAGGAAAUAAAUAUUGGCGCUCGACCCAGCUGCAAAGGGACAAGUGAGACAAUGUAAGAAUACACAUGUUGAUGGGAGAGAUGUAUGAGACUGCAAAAGCGUCAAAUUGAACUGUUGUUUAAAUAAGGUGAAAUCCUUUUAUUAAAUACUAUGAAAUAUUAUAUAAAUAAAUAAAUAAAUAAAUAAAUAAAUAAAUACAUAUUCCCAAUCUUAGUAUUUGAACUAUAUUAUAUAAUACAGCUCCCACUACAAUAAAAGAAUUGGAGCUAUUAAACAAUAAAAUAUAAAUUUUGAAUAUCAAAAUAACAAUAAUAAUAAUAAUAAUAAUAAUAACAACAGUAUUUAUUAUUAUUAUUAUUAUUAUUAUUAUUUUUAUUGUAAUUUAAAAGUUUCAGGCGCCUAAGGAUUGUGUUCUCAUUUGAAUCCGAGAUUUGUUACCAGCGUGUUUUUUUUCACUCGGCUGCUUGGCCAACUGCUUGUUCAAACGAGCUUUUUCAUUCAUAACGCAACAAAUGUUCUAGAACAUGGUACUGAUGGGGAGCCUGUGGUGCGCAGAUUGGAUUACCCAGGUGUUGGUCCAGAGCACAGUUUCCUGAAGGAUGUUGGUCGAGCAGAGUACUUCAGCGUGACUGAUGAUGAAGCCCUGGAAGGUAAGAAGAACACUGCAGUAGAAUUUCACUUCAAAUUCGUCAUCUCGUUGUUUUGAGCUUUCUCAUGCUUCUAGGUAAGGUCAAUUGCAGCAGUUCCUGAUUACAUAUCAUUAGUCUCAAAAGUUUAGAGGUUCCGCGGCAUUCAUCAUGGAGACACUGUAUGGGUUAUAAACACUUCCAAGUUUGUGUUCUCUCAUCAGCUACCUUGCUAACGGUACUGUCGCUCUUUUUUGUUGCCAAUGCAGCAUUCCAGAGGUUGUCCAAGCUGGAGGGUAUCAUUCCGGCACUGGAGACAUCUCAUGCCCUAGCUUUCUUGGAAAAACUUUGCCCUACACUUGAAGACGGUACCCGAGUGGUCCUCAAUUGCAGUGGUCGUGGUGACAAGGAUGUCAACAGCGUCAUUGGUUACUUGAAAGGAAAGUACUGAAUCUCAGUAUGAAGAUUGUGGGGAAUGUCUCACUUCAAUUAUUGUCAUUCCACGUUUUUUUGCAAUGAGUUUUUCCAGCCUCUUUAAGAAUUGGUAAGGCAGAGAAGAUGUCUCGUCUUUGCGGGCCAUUGUUGUAAUCGAGAGCAGUGCAUUAUCUGCGCUGAACAGAUAUCAGUCUGGAGGUAUUUAGGUUUAAUACACAGAACAUGGAGUUCUUUUAUAUCCUUUUUCUGCCUUAAGGAGCAUUCACUUGAAGAAUGUUGUUGCUGCAGUGGUUCACAAUGCCUUACAAAGAUAUUGAAGCUGCCCCCCUUAUCCACGUAGUUGUGCAUGUGUUGCUGGCUACAUGCGCCAGUUCACAAUUGACUACAACCUCCUUUUCCAGAGAAACAGAGCUAAGAGCUAUGGAAGCACAUACGAGUGGUUUCUUAACAUGGAAUAUAUAUACAUAUAUAUAUGUGUGUGUGUGUGUGUAAUGUGUGUGUGUGUCCUUCAAAAGGUUCAUUAUAUAUAAAUAGAGACGUUACUGGGGUUGAUACAAGUCAUUAAUGGCAUCCUAAACAAUAUAAUUCUAGACAUUACCAACUUUAAUGCAUAACAAUCUUAGUUGUCACCACAAGAUUUCAAUGUAAAUUGUUUCAAUGUACAAGUGUUUUGGCAAUACACAAAAAUGGUGAUCAGCACUAUAUGUAAUUACCCAUUGCUGGAAUUAUUUAUAAUAUUGCUCACACUGAUUUGGCAAGGUAGCGGAACAAUUUGUGUUUUAUCAUCAUGUAUUCUUGCAUUGUUUCUAAUUUUCUUGUCGAUAAUACAAAAUGUAGCCCACAGUAACUGCUGGUAAAUAACGAUUUUACAUUUUUCCUUCCUUGAACUAUUCGCCCAGCAAGUGAGUCAUCGCUAGUUUCGCAACACACAGCAAUUAAUGAAGCGAAAGGUUCCGCACCGACUCUUCCAACACCAACGCCUCCGCCGUGGAAGAGAAAUGCGGCCGUGGCUCCAAGUUCCCCGACGCGAUCCUAUGCGUCGAUGCAUCUGUGACCUCUUUUAUCUUCUCCAAAACGCUUCGAUACAAAUUCCAAUGCAUACACCCUGCAGCGAUAGCCGGCAUCCCAAUCGGAUGCAUUCUCACAAACUCUCGCACAUCCGCCGCAUUUCGCAGAUGCGUCAAAUACCCCACCAAUCCCUCUGCCAAGAAAUUAUCCUGCUCAUUGUAGGUGUACGGUUUCAAGAAAAUUGCCGUGUGAGGAGGAUUGAGUAGCGCUUUAUAGGGAGUGUCAUCAAUAAGGAGAGUGUUGGUCUCAUUAAAUUCGCCGUCAGGGAAUCUCGACCAAACUUUCGCGAGCUCCUUCAGAAACAGCGGCUGGCGUCUGUUCGUAGGAUUCUUAAACCCCGUGGCGGUGCAAUCGCCUUGAUGCAUGACGAACAUUACCUUGUGCUGCAAACCCUCACCGAUGUAGUCAAGGAUCUUGCGCACGUUGGCCUCCAUCCUGGAAGACCACACGCCGACGUGGAAAUUCUCGAAGCAAAAAUCGAUGAAGGCGAUGCAGAACGGCCGCUUGAAUACAUAGUUCAUCCCCACCAAUGCUCCGGUCUAACUUCUUGUGGCAGGCCACCAAGAUACCGUUCAAGUCGAGGAUCAAGAGCUUCUUCCUCGCCGGCGUGCCGAGCCUCCACGCUUGCGCCAAUGAAGCCCGGUUCUCCUCCAAUGCACUGCUAGAAGCAUAGUUUCCAUUCGCAGUAUCCAAAGGUUGCAAUUCUUCCUCUGCUUUAGCAACUGUUUCGCAAGACCCGGAGCUUUCCUCACCACGUCCACGAAGGACAUCUCUUACAGCGGCAGCGCUGGCCUCGCUAUUCUCCAUGUCAUUAGCGACACCAUCUGGAGGUUCAGCAGCGAAAGGAGAGAUGACGAUUACAAAAGUUUCUAGGGUUUGAAGAUUGAAGGAACAACACAGGAAUGCAAUCCAUGGCGCAAUGGGGCGAAGGAGAGUUACGCACCUUGAAGAGCAGGAGGAGGAGGCUUCAUGGUUGGGCCUUCUGAGCAGGGGGGUGUGUUGGACGUUGCGAUUCCAGGGCAGGGUGACUUCAAUGUGAACCCCUCUUUUUACCACGACCGUGCCCUAGCAGGAGGAGGAGGCUUCAUGGUUGGGCCUUCUGAGCAGGGGGGUGUGUUGGACAAACUGAAACAAAGAUGGGUUGCUUCAGGUUGUUGAGUUUGCUGCUCGUUUGUAGACAUGCUCGACUUUUUUAAAAUCCUUUCGCCUCAAACGCAAGGAGCUUGCAGAAUUUGCUGAACCAUUUGUGCGGAACAUACAAGAUCUGCUACCAUUGAAUGUCGCAAACCAUGCCCUGACCAAGCUUGGGGCAAAAGCAACAUACAUGGCUUCUUGGAAGAGUUGUGAGUUGAGCCAAAAGCAUUUGGUAAAGGACUCUACCUUGGGUUUCAAAAGCUUGUGCCAUUACUUAUGAGAUUGGCUGCAACAAAUCCUAGUAGCAUGACUACAUUUGACAAAGAAUAAUUGGCAAUAGUGUGUCGAACCUCAAUGAUCUAGAUGGAGAAGGUUACCUUAUUCAUAUUGCUUCAAAGAUUGUUUCUAUUGAAAAUAAUGAAAAUUGGACAUGGUAUUUUUACUAUCUAGUAAGUAUCUUAAACUUUGCAAGCCUCACAUUUAUUUAUCAGAGAUUGCAAGGUGUGUAAAUUUUUGAUGUUCAAUCUCACAUUUGAUUUUGCAUUUAAUUUUGCAUUGACAACAGUGAUAUGUCUAAGGAGUUCAGAAUGGGAAUGAUGCAAAUAUUUUGUUUAAAAAUCAUUGUACUUGCAUUUGGCACAUCAAAAAGAACAUAAAAUGGCACUACAAAACAAAGUUGAAUUGUAAUAUCUAGACAAAGGCAUUGAUCCUAGAUACCUAUGUAACUGCAAUGGUAGAUAUCUACGAGAUAUAUGUUGCUACAUUUGAAAACCUUGUUGUUAUUCCAAGUCAAAACUAGAUUGUUAGUUUUGAUAGGUCUCCACCAUUUGGAGUCGUUAUUUCAAACAUGUCAAAGGCAACAAACUCUUGGAUCCUUGAUAAAUGCCACAUGGAACCUUUUGAUGUCAUUCUUUAGAUUAUUCAAAAAAUUGAAGGCCUUUUCUACAAUCAACAUACCAAUUAUGUAGCCAUCCCAAUACACAUUUUUUCUAAAAUCACCUCAAAUACAUAGUAUCUACAAGCUGCUCUGAACGAAGUUUUGCCGUCGCUCACAACUCCAGAGCGCUAUUGAACAAAAACAUACUUCACCAGUUCAGCCACCUGAAUUUAGCAUCUUUAGGUCGUGUGCACAUUUUGCACACAAACAAUGCUUCACUUGCAUGAAGGAAAAAAAAAAGAAUAAAACUUUGUUGAAGUGGCUCUUCUCGUGUUCUGAUAGUUGGAUCAGAACCAAGUCAUUCAAAACCUGAAAAAUUACCCAGCGAUACAUCAAAUAUAGCAUAUCUGAAGAUAUUUCUUGUGUAGAAAAUGUCCCGCGUCCACUUGGCCACACAUCUUUGUGGUCAUAAAAAUAGGGCAGAGGGAGCUUCGCCUAGUAAAAGAUGAGUGUGCCUGCACCCCGGAUAAUAGGAUACCUCCUAGUUCUAUGAAUUAAACUGAUUUGUUGUCCUACUAGAACAUUUAAGUUCAACCAGAGUAAAACUUUGGAUUAUGUUGAGAUCAUUAAAUGUAGCCGACGCUCUCUAUAAUAUUUACUAUAGACUACAGUAAUUACUGUAGCUACAGUAUUUAGAGUCUAAUAGAGAAGUAUUGUUCAUCCUCUUAUCUUCGAGGAUGUACGAGACACAACUAGAUCAAUAGAUUUUUGUGUGUGUGAAGCUCUCUCUCCUUAGAAACCCUCUUGUGUGUAUGACUUACUACUACUCUUGUGUAUGUAUGACUAACUAUUACUCUUGUGUCUUUCUAAACAUUCUCAACACGUUAUCAGCACGAUUCUCUUCUACACACUAUCACAAUUAUUUUUUGCUCUAGUCUUUGACUCUUCAAACCUGUUGCUACCCUUGAUUAGUGUCUAGGUCAUGGUCCUGUUCUUCUUGCUGGCCCUUCACACAUUAGCUGCUCCACUCUCUACCUUGCUUGCUCUGAAUACUUGAUCCAACUCAACUCCACCCUCUGCUUGUUCCUUGCUCCCUGCUGCGCCCCGAACUGUCGCCAAACUGCCGCCAAACAGAUGCCGAAUCCGUCGCUGCCACCCUGUCGUCGCUGCCACCGCCGCCCCCGUCGCCGUUGUCCGCUACUGUCCAUCGUUGCCACCCACCAUUGCCCGCCGUUGCCAGCUGCUGCUGUUUGUCGUUGCCCGCCGCCGCCCGCCGCUACCUGCCGCUGCCACCUUGCCGCCCUACCACUACCUGCUGCCGCCAUUUUAUUGCUAUUUUGCUGCCUUAAUCUACAACUCUUUUUUCUUAAAAAAAAUAAAAAAAAAUUAUAUAUUUUAUUUUUUUCAUGUUCAAGUUUAUCAUUUUAUUUGACUUUAUAUUUUAAGGUACGUUUUACUCAACUUUUCUACUUGAUCUUAUAUUUUCUUUACAGAUUUAUUUAUAAUGAGUGCUUCAACAUCUUCAACUGCUUCUACUAUGGUUCCUACUAUUACCAGUGCAUCCCAACAUUUUCAAGCUCUUUUAUUUCCACCAUUGACUGUGGAUGGAAACAAUUAUCUAUUAUGGAUAAAAAUGCCAAAAGCAAAUUUAUUUGCAGAACAAUUCUCGGAUGCCAUUAUGUUUGAAGAAUCUCCUACAACAAGUAUUUCUAUAUCUCCUGCUAUUCAUUGGAAAGCACUUCUUCUCCUUCGUCGUCAUCUUGUACCCGCAUUACAACAUCAAUAUUUGGAAAUAGAAGACCUUGUAGAACUUUGGAAGAAUCUUAAAUCUAGGUUUGAUCAUCAAAAGACCAUUUUUCUUCCACGUGCACAUCACAAUUGGACACAUUUACAUGUCUUGGAUUUUCCAAAUUUAAAUGCUUUCAAUAGUAAAAUGUAUUGUAUUGUCUUACAAUUACGAUUAUGUGGACAAAGCAUUUCUGAAGAAGAAAUGAUUGAGAAAACUCUCUCUACAUUUCCUCUUGCAUCUGUUGUGUUUACACAACAAUACAUGAACAUGAAAUUUCAGAGUCAUUCUGAUCUCAUGUCCUAUCUACUUCUUGCGAAGAAGCAAAAUGAGCUAUUCUUGCACAAUGCGGAAGCUCGUCCUAUUGGAACUACGAUUCCUGAAUCUCAUGCACUUAAUAUUUCAAAGUCUAAGAAGAAAUUAUAUAAACAUGGAAAAUGUGCUCAUAAGUAUCAGGGUAGUCAUAGUCAAGACCAUUUCUAUCCAUAUGGAAAGAAUAAAUAUUCUACUAUUAAUUAUAGUAAAAAACAAAAAUCAGAGAUGCAUUCUUGCCAUAAGUGUGGAAUGAUUGGAUAUUUAGCACAUGCAUGCCGUAUUUUAAAAUAUUUUAUUAAAAUGUUCCAAGAAAAUAAGAAAUUACGAGCUGAGGCUCGUGAAGUUCAUACCAUAGAUGCGUCCAUGGAUUCAAUUGGUGUUGAUGAUUUAGAGGCUUAUAUGACUGAUAGAACCUCUAAUGAUGAAUCAAAUGAUGCGCUCAUUGAUUCUGCAACAACACAUACUAUCUUGCAAGAUAGACGAUUUUUUAUUGAAAAAUCUUCAACUUGGCAAACUAAAAAUUUGAUGACCAUGGCUAGAACAAAUGCAUUUUGUUUCCAAGAGGGCAGAGAGAUGGUAAAAUUACUUACAGAUUCCAUCAUAAAAUGUAAACAUGCGAUGUUUACACCCUUAGCACCUCGAAGUUUGAUCAGCUAUCGAGAUGUGCGUAUUAAUGGUUAUCACCUCUCGACCGCCACUUUAAAUAGAAAAGAAGUUUUGGUUCUUACGAAGAAGCAUAAAGUUGUUGAAAAAGCUUUUGCUACAGAAAAUGGUUUAUACCGAAUUGUGAUUCGGCCUCCCAUUACAUUUAAUUUUGCAUCAUCUAUCUUAGAGAGUUGUGUUUCUCUUUGGCAUGGACGAUUGGAACAUCCACGAUCCACAUUAUUUAGAAAGAUCAUUCCAUGUAUAACUGGACACAAUUUAAAGCCUAUAGAUAUAGACUUUAUGGAAUUAUGUCGUGCAUGCAUGCGAGGUAAAAUGAUUACUCAACCUUCAAUUUGAAAACUUCCACAAGAAUUACCACCAAUGCUUGAAAGUUUACAUGAUGAUAUUUGUGGUCCUAUUAAUCCAAUAUCAGAACCAUUUCGUUAUUUUUUGGUCCUUGUUGAUGCAUCAGGUAAACAAUCACAUGUUUCAUUAUUAUCAACUUGAAACAUGGUGUUUGCUAAUCUUAUAUCUAUACUUAUUUGCUUUCGGGCACAUUUUCCUGAUUAUCCUAUAAAAACAUUGCGUAUGGAUAAUGCAAAAGAAUUUGCAUCAAAAUCUUUUGAAGACUAUUGUACUGCAACAGGAAUCGAGUUGACAUAUUGUGUUCCAUAUGAACAUGCUCAAAAUAGACUUGCAGAGUCAUUUAUAAAGCGUAUACAACUCAUUACACAACCACUCCUCCUUCACGCAAAUCUACCUACAUCUAUGUGAGAUCAUGCAGUUUUACAUGCUGCAGCAUUAAUAUGCCUCCGCCCUUCUUUUCUUCAAAUUGUUUCACCACAUGAGCUCAUUUUGGAUCGUGUUCCAAAUGUAUCUCACUUACGAGUAUUUGGUUGCCGUGCUUGGAUUCCAGUACUAGAACCUCAACGGCGUACCAUUGGAGCUCAUCGAUAAGAAGGCAUAUAUGUUGGUUUUGAUUCACUAAGCAUUAUUUGUGUUGUUGAUCCAUCAACUGGCACAUUAUUACGUGCACGUUUACAAAAUUGCCGUUUUGAAGAAACUGUAUUCUCAUCUCUUCAAAGAGGAGUAUCCAAUCAACAAAGAAAUAAAAUACUCAUAUUUGAAGCACCAAAAACGUUUACAAUGAAUCCCGAUCCUAUGACAUCUUUGGCAGAAACUGAAGUUGCUAAGAUUUUGCAUUUAAAACGGAUCGCGGAUGAAACACCUGAUGGCUUCAAUGAUGCACCUAGAAUUACAAGUGUUCCUAUUAAUGAGGCUUAGAAUGCACCUGCUCAGAUUGCAGUGCCAUUGACUACAAUACCUCAAGUUAUAACAACAACAACUAAAAAAACUCGUGGACCAAAUAAGCAACCACAUAAGAAGAAAGCUAUAAAAUUAACUAAUCCUGGUAUUAUUUCUCAAGAAAUUGCCACUCAUCUUACAAAACUACCAAUUCAUGAUGAUAUAUCUAUGUAUAAUAUAUCUUCAAUUCCUAUGAAAAAUAAUCUUGGAAUUAGAAGGAAUAAGAACAAGUUGAGUAAAGAAUUAUCUAUUCUGUAUUGUGCUACAGAUGGUAUUUGGGACAGACCAUCUAUUACGGUAGAUGAAUCAUUUGCAUAUAUGAUUAUAGAAGCCUUUUCUUGCGAAAAAGACGAUCCUGAACCUCAAACCAUCAAAGAGGCGAUGCGUCGCUCUGAUUGGUCAAAAUGGAAAACUGAUAUUGAGGAAGAGUAUGCUUCUUUGCGUAAGAGGAAAUUCUUUGGUCCAAUUAUAGACACUUUUACAUCUCGCCCUGUGGGAUAUAAAAUGGUAUUAAUAUGCAAGCAAGAUGCUCAAGGCCAAAUAAUCCGCUAUAAAGCUCGUCUUGUUGCUCAAGGAUUUACUCAACGAUUUGGCAUUGAUUAUGAAUCCACAUAUUCUCCAGUCAUGGAUUCAAUUACAUUUUGAUAUAUUAUUGGAAUGACAGUUCAUACCACCCUUGAGAUACAUCUGAUGGAUGUAGUUACUGCAUAUCUAUAUGGUUCUCUUGAUGCAAAUAUUUAUAUGAAAGUUCCACCUGGCUUAGAAAUAAGAAUUCCAAAUCAACCCGCUUUAAGAAAAUAUCGUGGUAUUAAAUUAUGUAAGGCCUUGUAUGGUUUAAAACAAUCCGAACGAAUGUGGUUACAACGUCUUCGAUAUUAUUUAAUUAAAAAUAAUUUUAUAAGUAAUCCAUUAAUUCCUUGUUUGUUUAUCAAACGAGAUAAAACUAGUUUUGUGAUCAUCUGUCACGGCCAUAAUCAUGUAAGCUAAUAAUUACAUAUAGAAAUAGGUAGAAGUAAGUAAAAGUAGAUAAAAGUAAGUUAAUUGUAUAAUAUUUAAUAUAGAAGCUUCUUAGAAACUUCCUAGAUGCUGCUUUGACUUCAUAGGUGUCUUUAAUUGACUUUUUGGAUUAGAAACGUGGUCAACAAGUUGGCCAUAUGCCACACAUGUUGUUAGCUUGAAGAUCAAGCUAACUAUGUGGCCCACACGUAGAAAAACUUGCCUUGUAAGUCAAGGCAUGUGUCCUACAAAGUCAACACAUAUUGGAGGUCCUAUAGAACGUCGCCACGUAGCCCCUAGUUAGAUAGUAUAUAUAGAGACAAGAGUGAAGGCUUCUUCACUCUUGUCAACUCCUUUCUUGCUUCUAGUCCAGGUUCAAGAGUCUUUAGUUUCUUGUCUUGUGGCAAUAGCCAUUCCAGUUUCCUUUUAAUAUACCUACUUGUUUAUAUUUUGACUUAUUAUAUCGAGAUAGCCUUUUGGUGUAUAUUUUUCCUCAUCGAGUCUUUGUCCUUGACAGAUUGACAAGAGUACACUUACAAUAUCAGAGCUUUGUUUUUUCUUGAGUAAGAGUGGAUUACCCCUUUCUCUUGACAAGACAUAAGCGUAUUAGAAGUUUGCGGAUUACCCACUUCUAAACUGAUAUUGUUCUUAGUAUCUUCUUUGUUAUCAAGUCUUUCUUUUCUUUUGUCUUGAGCAAUAUCAAACAAAUUUUUCUUCUUAGUGUCAUUAUGGCAGAGCUUGUUGAAAUGAAGAGUGCAAUGGUACAAAUGCAAGAGCAAAUGAGGGAGUUAAUGCUUGCGAUGCAUCAACUCAAUUCACCAACACAGGAAAGAACAAGAAUAACAGAAAGUGGAGAUAUAGAGAUGAUCGGAGCUGCUUCAACAUCUACAACAAAUCACGUUCCUUCUUCAAUUGGACAACACCCUAUAAGCACUAGAGAACCAAGAAUUGCCUUACCUGAGAAAUUUGAUGGUACGAGAUCAAAGUUUCGAGGGUUCAUCAAUCAAGUACAAUUGGCAAUUGAACUUCAACCGCAAAGCUAUCCAACUCCAGGAUCACAAGUCAGGUUUAUUGGCACUCUACUUUCUGGUUCUGCAUUAUCGUGGUUUUCGUCUUUUCUUGAACAACGAAAUCCAAUAUUGGACAAUUUGGAAGCUUUUUUGGCAGAGUUUCGAUCUAUGUAUGGUGAACACGAUGCAACUCGUGUUGCAACAAAUAAGAUCCGAAUUCUGCGACAAGGAAAUCGCUCAGUAACAGUAUAUGCUUCAUAAUUUCGAUAACUUGCAAUUGACAUCAAGUGGGAUGAUGCUGCACUCAUCAGUCAAUUUCUUUAUGGAUUGCAAUACGAAGUAAAGAAAUUGAUGCUCAACUUACCUGAUCCUCAAACUUUGAGUCAAGCAAUCGAUUUUGCGGUAAAAUGUGAUAAUCGACUUUUUGAAUUUCGAUCUGAGAAUCAUUCACGGGAACCUCAACGUUAUUACUCAAUGGCAACAUCAACAUCUUUGCCAAACGUACAUUCGGAAGUAGAAGACAUGCAAAUUGACGCGGUACGUUUUAAACCUCUAACUGAGCAAGAAAAGAUUCGUCGUCGUCAAGAAGGAUUAUGUUUAUAUUGCGGAGAACCUAAGCACACUGCUCAACAUUGUCCAAAGAAACGACGCAACUAUAAAAUGAGGGGUACGACGGUCAAAGAAGACAACAUGUCGGAAAACGGAUUCGUCCAGCUACAAUAGGGACCGUGCAGCUGGAACCUUGUACAAUUCCUAAUGAAGGUCCUAUCCUCUCCUCAGAACCCUCUCCUUGUUUUAUAAUAGACUUAUAUUUAGGACCUAAGAAUUAAAAAGCCUCUGCUUUAUUAGAUUCGGGAGCCUCAGCAUGUUUUUUAGAUGAACAAUUUGUUAAAAGUCGUAAAAUACCCUAUGUACAGAAACCUAAACCAGUACAUGUAGAAGUCAUAGAUGGUCGUCCCUUGUCUUCUGGAGAUGUCACUCAUGAAACUCAUCCUAUAAAAGUAACAAUAGACGGUCAUGAUAGCUACAUAGCUUUUAACAUAAUUAAAUCCCCGUCCAAUCCAGUUAUUUUAGGUUUAUCCUGGCUAGAAAAAUAUAACCCUCGAAUAGAUUGGAAUUCGCGUAAACUUGACUUUUCCAAAAGCAUUAUUAAUAGUUCUACGAACCAAGUAAAAAAUUAUAAGUCUAGUACAGUAAAACCCAUACUGAUAGGUGCAAAAGCAUUUAUACACGCAGCAAAAGAAGGAUCAACUUUUGCUAUUUAUGCUGCACCUAUUUCUGAAAACGUAAAGACUUCAAGUGGCAUUCCAAGUCAAUAUCAGGAGUAUCAAGACGUUUUUGAGAAAAAGAAUGCAGAUAUUCUUCCUGAGCAUCGUCCAUAUGAUUGUUCAAUCGACCUCAAGGAAGGAACUCAGCCACCAUUUGGACCAAUUUACAGUUUAUCGCAAGAUGAGAUGGCUGAACUCAAGACAUAUAUUGACGAGAAUUUAGCGAAGAAUUUCAUACGCCAUUCAAAAUCUCCAACAGGAGCUCCAAUUCUAUUCAUAAAGAAAAAAGAUGGAUCUUUACGAAUGUGUGUUGAUUAUCGAGGACUCAACAAGAUCACAAUCAAGAACAGGUAUCCAUUACCUUUGAUAUCAGGACUCCUUGACCAGUUGAAUCAAGCUAAGAUCUAUACAAAAAUAGAUCUAAGAGGAGCAUAUAAUCUAGUACGGAUCAAAGAAGGAGAUGAAUGGAAGACUGCGUUUCGAACCAGGUAUGGACAUUUCGAAUAGAAUGUCAUGCCCUUUGGACUCACGAAUGCACUAGCUGCUUUUCAACAUCUCAUGAAUGAUGUAUUUCGUGAAUUCUUAGACAAUUUUGUCGUCUGCUAUCUAGACGAUAUCCUGAUCUAUUCCAAGAACGUCGAAGAACAUGAAAUACAUGUUCGUCAAGUAUUACAAAAACUCAGAGAUGCAGGAUUGUACGCCAAGAUGGAAAAGUGUGUAUUUCACACUACUCAAGUUGACUUUUUAGGAUACAUCAUUUCAAAUGAUGGUCUCAUGAUGGAUUCUAAGAAAGUCCAAACAAUCGUGGAUUGGAAGAUUCCAAGGACAGUAAGAGAUGUUCAAUGUUUCUUGGGAUUUGCCAAUUACUAUCGGAUCUUCAUCAAAGAUUUCUCACGAGUUGCAGCUCCACUUACACGCUUGACUAGUAAAGAUAAAUUUCAAUGGAAUCAAGAAGCGGAAGCAGCAUUUGAAGCCUUGAAGACAUCGUUUGUCUCUGCACCAGUCUUAUAUCGUGUUGACUUUUCCAAGGCAUUUUUUAUGGAAACAGAUGCAUCAGAUUUUGCCUUGGGUGCAGUUUUAUCACAAAUGGGAACAGAUGACAAACUCCAUCCAAUAGCUUUUCAUUCAAGAAAAUUCUCAGCAGCCGAGAUCAAUUAUGAGAUCCACGAUAAAGAACUUCUUGCGAUCGUGGAUUCCUUUCAAGAAUGGCGUCAUUAUCUAGAAGGCGCUUCUAGUCCAGUUACUGUGUAUACAGAUCACAAGAACCUCCAGUAUUUCAUGUCAGCACGCGUGUUGAAUCGUCGUCAAGCUCGUUGGAGUAUGUCUUUGUCAAGAUUCGAGUUCAUUAUCACUUAUCGGCCAGGAAAACAACAAGGUUUAUCCGAUGCCCUAUCUAGACGUUCUUAUUUUGCACCAAAAGAAGGAGAUGCAGCUUUUGAGGAACAAAGAACGGUCCUCUUGAAACCGGAGCAAUUUCAUCUCCGAGCAAUGAAAUCAACAUUGACUGUUGAUUCAACUUUUCUCAAGCAAAUCCAGUCCAGUAUGUCCUCAGACCCUCUUGUUUAUGAUAUCGAGAAUAAUUCUUCCAAGUCUCAUGAUCCUUCUAAGUUUGAGUUCAAGAAUAAUCUAUUAUAUUUUGAAGGACGCCUAUAUGUUCCAGAAGGAGAAGCACGUUUACGUGUUCUUCAAGCACGUCAUGACUUUCCAGCAGCAGGGCACUUUGGAUAUAAUAAGACUUUGGAACUCAUAUCAAGAGAUUUUUGGUGGCCACAAAUGUGGAAGUCAGUCAAAGACUUUGUACAAUCAUGUGAUAUUUGUUCAAGAUCAAAAAUUCCUCGUCAUCGACCUUACGGACUUCUUCAGCCAUUACCUAUACCAGAACAACCAUGGUCUUCUGUUUCUAUGGAUUUCAUCACAGAUCUUCCAAGCUCAAGAUCUUAUGAUUCUAUAUUUGUGAUAGUAGAUCGUUUCACCAAGAUGGCACAUUUUGUGCCAUGUACAAAAUCUAUCACAGGUGAAGAAACAGCUAAGCUUUUCAUUGAUAAUAUCUAUCGCUAUCAUGGAUUACCUAAAGAUAUCAUAUCGGAUAGGGGAACUCAAUUUGUGUCAAGAUUUUGGAGGACCCUUUUCAAGAUUUUAAAAGUGGACAUAAAACUAUCUUCGGCUUUUCAUCCUCAAACUGAUGGACAAACAGAGCGCGUAAACCAAGUCUUGGAGCAAUAUUUAAGGUGUACUAUCAACUACCAACAAGAUGAUUGGACAACCCUUCUGCCAUUGGCAGAGUUUGCUUAUAAUAAUACGGUACAUUCUUCCACGCAACAAACACCUUUCUUUGCCAAUUAUGGCUAUCAUCCACGACUUGAUACUUUUGAUUUUUCAAAAGUUGAUAAUCCUGCAGCAGAAGAUAUGGCAAAUCGGUUGUCAGAGUUACAUGCAAUAAUGAAGACACAAUUGAAGGAAGCUCAAGAACGACAAAAGAUAAACGCAGAUCUAUAUCGUAAGGAGCAACCACAGAUCAACGUCGGUGAUAAGGUAUGGCUACUUCGUCGCAAUAUCAAGACUACUCGACCUUGUGACAAGUUGGACUAUCGUAGGCUUGGCCCCUUUUCUGUUUCUGAACAGAUCAACCCAGUUGCAUAUCGGUUACAUCUACCAGAGUCAAUGAAGAUCCAUCCUGUAUUCCACGUAUCUCUUCUUGAACCAUAUAAGACAGUGGAUAUACAAGGAAGAAGACAAAUGCCACCGCCUCCUAUAGAAGUAGAUAAUAAUGAAGAAUUUGAGGUGGAAGAGAUAUUAGACUCAAGGCGGCGCCGAAAUAAGUUGGAAUAUCUUGUUCAUUGGCGCGGAUAUGAUAUUAGUGAACGCACAUGGGAGCCAUCCAGGAAUCUAGCAAAUGCAUCAACUAAAGUCAAAGUUUUUCAUCAACGACAUCCAUCAAAACCAAGAUGAAAAUCUCUCUUAUAAAAGAGACAAGAUUGAGGCAAGACAACAUUCAAUUUCCUAUCCUUGUUUGUAACUUCUUUGCAUUUGUGACGCUAAUUAGAUGGAGAGCCAACAACCAGCAGAUUCAACUCAAGAACCUUCGUUUGCUGACCUGCCGGACGAGACAUUACGAUUGUCACAACCUUCAAGACGACGCAAUCGAGAUGAAGAUCUUCAAGAACGACAUGUUCUUCCUCGAACAGAUGGUGAGAUACAACGCGUUUGGUAUCACGAUUUGGGAAGGGACUCUCGAUGUUUGGUGAUUUUGCUAGAGGUAGGAACAACUCCUGAUGGUGUUCCGAAUAUUCUAUUCAAACGAAGUUAUGAAGGCCUCAAUAAUGUUCAAAUAACUGGGUGGUCUUCCCGCCCUGGUAUGAGACACUACCGAUGGUUGAGAAAACCUAUCAAUCAUCUUCGAAGAGAACAGAGAUCAGAGUAUGUGGCGAAUACAAUUCGUCGCAUCAUAGAUUUCCUCAACAUAUGAUGACCGCUCCUCGUGGAACUCGUCUCUAGAAGGGGGGGUAAUGUCACGGCCAUAAUCAUGUAAGCUAAUAAUUACAUAUAGAAAUAGGUAGAAGUAAGUAAAAGUAGAUAAAAGUAAGUUAAUUGUAUAAUAUUUAAUAUAGAAGCUUCCUAGAAACUUCCUAGAUGCUGCUUUGACUUCAUAGGUGUCUUUAAUUGACUUUUUGGAUUAGAAACGUGGUCAACAAGUUGGCCAUAUGCCACACAUGUUGUUAGCUUGAAGAUCAAGCUAACUAUGUGGCCCACACGUAGAAAAACUUGCCUUGUAAGUCAAGGCAUGUGUCCUACAAAGUCAACUCAUAUUGGAGGUCCUAUAGAACGUCGCCACGUAGCCCCUAGUUAGAUAGUAUAUAUAGAGACAAGAGUGAAGGCUUCUUCACUCUUGUCAACUCCUUUCUUGCUUCUAGUCCAGGUUCAAGAGUCUUUAGUUUCUUGUCUUGUGGCAAUAGCCAUUCCAGUUUCCUUUUAAUAUACCUACUUGUUUAUAUUUUGACUUAUUAUAUCGAGAUAGCCUUUUGGUGUAUAUUUUUCCUCAUCGAGUCUUUGUCCUUGACAUCAUCGCUGUAUAUGUUGAUGAUCUUAACCUAGAGGGCACUACAUCUGCAUGUGUUACAACUACAAACCUACUUAUACGUGAAUUUGAGAUGAAAAUGCUAGAAAAAAUAACUUUCUGCAUUGGUCUUCAGAUUAUGCAUCUUACAGAUGGUAGCAUUUUUCUCUACCAAUUAACGUAUAUUAGACGAAUUUUACAAAGAUUUAAUAUGAAUGAUGCUUAUCCAUUGUCCACACUAAUAGUUGGACGUGGUCGUGAUGGUCAUGAUCCAUACCGUCCAUGCGAAGAGGAGGAGGAAAUAUUGGGAGACCAAUAUCCAUACCUCGCAGCGGUUGGAGCACUUUUGUAUUUAACUACAUUUAUAAGACCAGAUAUUACAUUUGCAGUUAGUGUUCUUGCAAGACAUAGUGCACAUCCAAGACUACGACAUUGAAAUGGCAUCAAACAUUUAUUACGUUAUUUAAAAGGUACUAAAGACUUGGGAUUAUAUUACACAAAAUCUACAGAUCCAAAAUUGGUUGGAUAUUGUGAUGCAAGAUAUAAAUAUGAUAUUGCAACAGCUAAAUUUCAAACAAGAUAUGUAUUUUUAAGACAUGGAGCUGCAAUAUCAUGGAAAUCAGUGAAACAAACAAUAACUGCAACUUCAUCUAACCAUGCAGAAAUUAUUGCCUUACAUGAAGCAUCCCGAGAAUGUAUUUGGUUGCGAUCAAUUAAUAAAUUUAUUCAAACAACCUGUGGAUUUUCAUAUGAUGAUUCUCCAACUAUCUUGCAUGAAGAUAAUAGUGCUUGUUUUGCACAGAUGCAAGUUGGUUUCAUUAAAGGUGAUAGGACAAAGCAUAUUGAUCCAAAGUAUUUUAGUUAUACUCAUGACUUGAUUACUGAUCAAGCACUUAUAAUUAAGAAAAUUGAAUCUACAAAUAACCUUGCUGAUCUCUUUACCAAAGCUCUCCCAUUAAGCAAUCAUCGUCGACUUACUUAUGGCAUUGGUAUGUGACGACUUGCUUUUCUUGAAUAAGAAAGUUAAUGAGCUCUUUAAAUAAUUAAAGAAAAUAAUGUUAUACUCUUUUUCCUUCAUCUAUGGUUUUGUCCUUAAAUAAAAUAAGGUUUUGUUAGAUAAGGUUUUAAUGAGGCAACAAUUCUUCAUCUUAAAAGAUCACAAAAAAGUAUAGAUCAUAAAUCUAUAUAAAUUUUAUAUUAUGUAAAUAUUAUGAUGAACAAGGAGGAGUGUUGAGAUCAUUAAGUGUAGCCGACACUCUCCAUAAUAUUUACUAUAGACUACAAUAUUUAGAGUCUAAUGGAGAAGUACUGUUCAUCCUCUUAUCUUCUCUCUUCUUAUGUACGAGAUACAACCAGAUCAAUAGAUUUUUGUGUGUGUGAAACUCUCUCUCCUUAGAAACCCUCUUGUGUGUAUGACUUACUACUACUCUUGUGUGUGUAUGACUUACUACUACUCUUGUGUGUGUAUGACUUACUACUACUCGUGUGUGUAUGACUUACUAUUACUCUUGUGUCUUUCUAAACAUUCUUAACAGGUUCACCCAAGUGGAGCUGAGGACGCUUUGAAAGAGAGCAGUGUUAUCAUGCUAAAAAAAAAUGGACUGUUCGUCGAGCUUGUUGGGCUAGCCCUAAAAGAUCACAAGCAAAGAAAAUGCGAUGUAUAUCAGGCCACAGGGAUAAGCCACCAAUGACCUGUGUUCCUCUGCGUGAGGCACGAGAACGUCCAGCAGACUUGUACAUGAUCGAGUGCACCAUAACACUGUUAAACUCCCCAGGACAUAUUUAAGUACCCCCUGCACAGCGCACCGAGGAGAUAAGAGCCUUGGCCUUAUUGGGCCAAAUAUGUCAAUAUGAUAAGUUUGUGAAAAACAAGACCACAAUCACGUCACGAAAGCAAUACCAACAAACUAGAGCCCGCAAAAACAAACCAACGACACUGUUGACCGACCGAAUUAAUUAAUUGCAGAUUAUUUACUUUCUUCAUUACUCCUUAGUUAAGAGUGGGAUGAAAUGGUGACUCACCUUGGGAGGAAGAUAGAGAACGCAGACAGCAGAACCAUGAAAAUUUGACAAUAUCCCACUAAGCUAACACAUCGAUAGAAGUCGAGGCUCCCAUUUUUCCCAGCCAACAGAUUGAAGACUAUGUACAGGUAUAUAGAUGCGAGCGUGGUCCACCCUAAAAUAACCCCGAAGUGCACUUUACCUCCUAUAAGCUGGCACAGGCCAAACAACAUGUAAAAUAUAAUAGGUCCUGAUAGAUCUGCAUCCUCAUGAGGGUCUGGGUUGAUCUGGAAAGGGUUCAGGACAGUGAGCGUUCUUCCCGUGAUCUGAGGGAUGCUGAUCCCAAGUUCUGCCCAGAAAAAAAUAAAAAUAAAAAUAAAAAAUCACUGAGUUUACACUAUACGUGCCUGGGACUAUUUAGAUCAAAGAUUAGGAAACUGUAGAGGGAGUUUGUAAAUCGGAACUCAGCAAUUAGGGUCAACAAGUAAACAAGAGAAUUUUAUAUUUUCUUGAAAGGUCCCAACCUUCAAGAAGUGGAGGUUCAUCUUCAAAGGCACCGAAUCCACCACCAGAGUAACCCAUACUGCUCAUUCGGGGAGGGGCAGACGCGCUCACGUCCCCUAAAUCGAAUGACAUGAAAAGGCAAGGAUGAGGAUCCCCUGGGCAUCCCCGCAGGCACUCCGCUCACACCCCAACCUCUCAUAUUCCCCCCCUCUUCGGUAUGGAUCCGCACCAUCGAACGACAACGCAACGUCAUCCCUCAUGGCCACGCUUUCUCAAUCUCCCCCACCUCCUCUCUCCCUCUAAUUCACACUUCGCACGUCGCCUUCCAGACCCUCAAGCUGCCAAUCCUUCCCUUCUACAGCUGCAUUCACCCCACAACUUCAUGUCACCAACCCUAACCCUCCGAGCAAUCGACAGCUAGAGCGCUACACCCAUCAAGUAUGCCCCCUUCAAAAUCUCGCACAUAUUGCGCAAUUCACAAGGGUUGAACUAAAAAACGGGCAGACGAUCGCAAUGUUAAUUUGCCGCCAACACGAUCUUGUCUGCAUCAAGUGAUGCGAGCGAUAUGAGUGGCGUCGGUCGAUGCGAUGUUGAGUGACUGCGAUGUAAGUGAGACCGAGUCUCGUGAGAGAAAGGCUCCUCCGUCGGCGAUGGACGACGAAGAUGGCGUCGAUUCUCACCACUCCCACGAACUAAUUCUCCUCAUGUGGGUGGUAUUAAAAAUGCAAGUUUUAGGGCAAGAAAGGGGACUUGGGUAUGUGACAACUUAUAAUUUCAUGAUUGAAUGAAUGUUUGUUCCACCGUUGACUAACUUUUGAUGGUUAUUUUCUGUGAGAUGUGUUGGAGUUGCUGCAAAUUUAACUUGGUGAUAAAAAUGUAAGUUUUACAAUGAGAAAGGAAUUUAGUUUUGUCACAUCUUCAAAUCGUGUGAAUGAAAGAAUGAUUGUUUGAGCUGUACUGGUCUAACUUUACAUGCUUGUUUGUUGCAGAAUGCAUCAAAGUUGUUAAGAAAUUGACUAUGUGAGUGGUGAUAAAAAAAAAACACAAGUUUCAAGUCAAGAAGAGAAUUUGAAUUUGUUAUAACUUAUAAAGCCACUUGAUAUGGAUUUGGGAUGACCUUAGGCUAUUAAAGUAUGGUUAGUGAUGCCAAAAAAAAGCAUAUGUGUUUUUAAUAAAAAGUACCAUUAAGAAAAAAUUAUAUAUAAAUAUAUAUAUAUAUAUAUAUAUAUAAAUUAUAAAAUCUUCUAUACAAUCUUUUUUUUUAGAAAGUUUGUACAUAAGCAAAACAAAGACCAUUCUUUAUCUAGCCAACUUUCUUUUUGUACUCAAGUCUUUAUAUAACACUUUAUAAAAUUACUUUACUUGGCAAUAGCUACUUAAAAAAUUAUGGCUUAUUUUAAAUAAUCUAAAUAUUUCAAAGUAUAUUUUAAUUAUUAACUAUUAACAUAUAUUAUCAACUAAAAAACUACUUUCAUAGUUGCAACCUCGUAUGUAUAAAUUUUUAUUAUCUUUAUUUUUAUUACAUUUUAUUAUAUGUGUUGUCCAUAUUUUUAAUUAUAUUUAUAUUUCUUCAAUAGAUAGAAUAAUUAUAAUAUAAAUUUUACACAACAAAUAAAAUUAGAUAACAAUAAAUUCUAAAUAAAUAAAUCACUAAAGAUAAUAUUGGUUUAAAAGAGAAUUAUUUCCAAUCUUUAAACUAUUUUGAUAAUAUAUAUAUAUAUAUAAUAUUCUAAUUUUUAUCGAAAAAAAUUAUUCUAAUACAAAAUAUUUUAGUCUUUUGUAAUUGCUAAUGACAUAGACCUUGUGUCAAGAUCAUAUAUCACAAACAACCAAAAUAUUAAUAUACUAUUGUUUCAUUCAAAAAGAAUAGAUAUUCACUCAAAUAUAGUCUAAUAUUAAAACUAGAAUAGCUGUUGCCAAAGACAAAAAGACUAGAUUCUUAAAACAAGACUAAGAACAAGGCAAGCAUUGACAAGAGAUAGAAGGCUUCACUCUUAUAUCUACAUAUACUAUCUAAUUAGAAGCUAUGUGGUGACAUUCUUUGACCAACAGAUGUCCAACUUACAAAACAUGCAUCUACCUUGCAAGAUAAGUUUUAUAUAUGUGUACUAAAUGGUCAACUUAUACCAUAAGUUACUAAUAAGUGCAACACAUGGCCAACUAUUGUUGGCCAAAUUUUCAACCUAUUAACUACCUACAAACACAUAUCAAUUCAAAUAUACACUUAAGAAGCUUCUCUACUAGAUAAUAUCAGAUGUAUUUGCUUCUACUCACUUCUAUAUGAUUCAUUUACCUUAAGUAAAAAUGUAUAUCCAUGACAUCUUGAUAAAUUUGUUAAAAUAUGAUAUAUUAAUAUACCUAUAAGAAUGAAGAAAUAAAAUUAAAAAGGAAUAUAUCUACUAAACAUGAAGUUGUCAAAAUAAUUUUAGGGCUUAUUAUAGACUAUGAGACUUGCAUGCAUAGAACUAAAUUUAUAAGAUACUUCCAUAAAACCUCCCUAAUCUAUUUAAUUUUUAUAUAAAAAUUAUAUAACCAAAUGUUGUAGCUAAUGACUCCUAAAGAUCUAAUCCAAAAACAAUUUCAUUGUUUAUAAGUAAAGAUGUUUUUAUCUAACUAAUCCUUGUUACAUUUACUUAUUUAUUCAAAUAAAUGUCUAUACCUGAUCUAUAUCUGAUCUAUUCUAAAAAAAACAUGUACAUGAUUUAGAAGUAAAACUCAAAGGUUUGUUUUAACAAAAAGUGAUUGCUGUGGAGAUAUAUAUCUAUAUAUAUAUAUAUAUAUAUAUUCUCAAAAAUGAUUCUCCAACUAUUUCUCAUGAUUUCACAAAAAUAUAAUUUCACAUAUUAAUAUGUCAUCUGUUGUCUAUAACCAUCUCAUUUCCACCCUGAUAUGAAAUACAAACUAAACCAACUGACUGCUUCAGACCUCGCAUAUCAGAGCAAGUGUUGGACACAACAACCUUAACAUACAUAACUGAAGGUUUUCCUAAGAUAGUGUACAUGCACGCUUCAACAAGAUAUACAUUUUCGAACACACCCACCGAUGGAGAAUGAUGGCAACCUGUGCGCCUACCGCCUCCUUGUCGAUCCCGUUUGCAAUGUGUGCCUUAAUAGAUCUAUGGAAAGUCACGGUGGUGUUCACAUAAACAACGUGGUUGGCUAAAAGGGACUCUACUCAGACCCAAGUGCAACUGCCUUCUGUCUAUCAAGGUCCUCCACAAAUCCUGCCCCCCCACCACGCGUGAAUUCUAUAAAUGUCACUCAUGCAGAGGUAUCUUUUCAUCUGCCAACUUUCUAGUCUCCAUGCUCUCCAACUCUUGCACUUCUCUUCGACAUGCCAUGCUUUCACAUGCUAACCCAAUCCAUUCCUGCAUAUAGACUAUAAAGCUCCGUUUCAACUAUACUUCGUGGGAACGGGUGCUGUCUGCCGUUUGUACUCUUCCAUCCGAGGUGUCUUCACUAGAAGCCUCGGGACUUUCACUGCUAAGACGCGCUUGAUAAACUCAUAUGAAGCGAAAAAAAGUGCCCCCUGGGUGAUGUAUAUCAAUAUCCGCGGUACUAGUCCCCUGCAAGUGUGUAAAACCUUUGCUCUAAGUUCCAUUUCAAUGCCCCAACACUCUUGGCCAAUUGCACCGAUGCCUGCUGAUGUCCAGCUUCUCAGAGGUUUGCAAUUAAACCCGUUAUAACAUGCACAUCGAGGACGCACUUCCGAGACAAAUGUGCAUAUUUCAGAAAAAUCGCAAGCAUGUAAAAAAAAACAAGUCGUUGACGCCAAAAUAAAGGUCCAACCUAUCUCAAGUCUCAAAAACCUAGAGUUGCAACAAAAUCGCAUACAACUCACCGGUAUAAUCCAGCGACACCCUCGGUAGUGACAAUGCUCUGGAAAACGUGAAUAACCCCAGUGUACUGCUGAGCUGUCCCAGGUAUCUGUCCACCCAAAAUCAGAUUAGUCAAGCCGAUUACAUCCUAUUCGUCACAUCCUACAGACUCACCACCGACUCUCUCAUGUGCUCGACAAAGAACAAAUGCACACAGAAUCCCUUUUCAUGGAACACCCACGAAUCUCAAUACGCACAAUACAAACAGUACAAGUCAUUCCAGAACCAGCUCAAAACCUGCGUUUGCAGCCGAGUCUUGACAACAUCGAAAGGAGUACUGAAUAAAGCAGCAGUCGAGCCAGCAGCACCGCCGAUAACCAGCUGCACAAAAACCAGCGUGUCAGUAUAAAACAUACACGUCCUCAUCAUGUGCAAACCAAGGAGCGAAUAUGCCAGGAAUUACACAUCCACAAACCCAAGUUACAGAUCAUCUUCUUCCUCUCAUUCCACACUGUAACACCACAUCCUCAUUUCACACGAGUCAGCACCCCACCAGGACUCCAUACUUUGCCUUGUCAGCCCAGAAGUGACACAUAACAAUGUCGUGUAACCGGGCAUUAAGUCAGCAGCUCAACAACAAAAACAACACCUGACGAAACAUACCGCUUGUGGUGUGCUCAAAGGGGUGUCACGAGGCUGGCCACGUUGAAUGCAGCGCUUCAGCCCCUCAUAAGUGUAGAACUGUGCAAUCACCACAACACAUCCCAUUAUUUUUCAGAAUCUCCACACAUCACCAAUCCAAAAGUCGUGACUACCAUGCAAAUGGACCGCCAGAGGCAAUCCCCACAUUCAACACCAGAAAGCCACCCACAUCGCAUUCGAUACAAAGACAGAUCCUCCGCCAAACAUUACUCGCAUCGACCCAAUCGCGUCCAACGGCUUUGCCCGACCCUGUCUCAUUUUUGCAAAACCUAUAUACCUACCUCGACACUUGGAAGAUGCAUACCUUCACCACGGAUUGCGGAACAUUGCGACAAAGAACUGCUCCCCAACCCUUGUACAGCGUCGGCAGUCCUUCUUCUUUCAGUAUCGAAGUGAACGCUUCCCUGAGUUAUUCCACAACAACUGCUCAACACCAAUAACUCGGAAUCUUCACAUUUCAGGCAAAUGCGGACCCGAGGAUGCUGGAGAAGCCUUGAGGACACUCCUCACGUGACAGAAGAUCUCAACCACAUUUAAUGUAAACUAUGUGCAAAAACGACAUGGCCAAGCCCACCAGCCCGAGCAUUUCAAAUUUGAAACAUCCGGAUAUUGAACCGUACCAGCUAUUUUCAUACAAUCCGUGCACUUGCAUCCGCUGUUUCACACAGUCACUCGGUGUGUACACGAAGGAGGUGGCUACACUUGCACAUCCCCCAGCAACGCAAUGCGCCAGUGCGGACAUAUCCUGUUUGCAUUCAGUUGACAUCAAGGCGCACAGCCAUCAAUGGCGCCCCCCUCCUUUACACAACACAUUCCAUCGAAAUCCUCCCACACCUCACCCCAGACACACAUGACACCACACCGCAAGAUCGGAAGCUUCAGAACACACUUCAUGUGUUCCAAUAUCAGUAAAGCCGUACCUCUGGAAUGUGGCGGAGCAGACCAGCUUUGACGGUUUCAUAAGUGAGCGUGUAGAUAGCUGAGAUUGGAGCUGACACGGUUAAGUUGCUUCCCAGGCCCCGGUACAAACCUCUCAAACCUGCAGGCAAGACGUCCUCACUCAAGCAAGAUCUACUUAGAACUCUGAAACUCCACAACGAUAAACUUGACCGCAUUGGAUAAAUGUAAAGGCAAGGGCUAUGAAACAGUCACACUUAAAUGCAUACCUCUUUCAGAGAUAACCGCAGACAUAAUGGGAAGGAGGUUGCGGUUGCCACCGGCCCGCGCUUGCACAAGCGUCUUCAAAGUGUCAACGGGAUGCAAGCAAAGGCUAACAACCCCACCUGCCAAUGCUCCAGCGCCUGCAUUCUGCCCCAUCCGAGGGUUCCGUUUCGUCGCACCAUGGUUCGCCAUCAUAGCAUUUGUUGCCGUUGGGACAAGCCCGUUCUCCACUGCUGCCACUGCAGGUUGAACUGCAAAAGGCCACCAGUCGUGAUGCUUAAGUGCAGUGACGCUAUUCUGGCUGGAUUUGACAGCAGCGACAGCUUCACUCACAAAACUGAAGGCUACACAAUUUUUCAGCGAUUUGAUAGUGAGGUUGGAUACUUGGGUCACUCUGUCUAUCAUUUGAGGCAAGAUUUCAGCCGUAUCGUGGAGAAUGGAAGUCUCCAAACACUGCCGAUCUUUGCAUCGCUUUUUGAUCUCAGUAUUAAAGUUGAUAGGAGCCUUCCCAGCAUCUCUACUACCAGGAACAGAGUCGAUGGACCACAUUGAAGGUCCAAUCCCAGUGGUUCCUUUGAAACCCCGAGCGUCUUCUUCUGUCACGUUUUCCUCUACAACUCCACCAGUGCUACCACUGAAACUGUCUGCAAAUUCUUUACUUUUGAAUGCGGCUCGACUUUCCAAAGGAUUGGCACCUCCAAACUUCUGCACGUGGGACCAUAUCUUGGUUGGAAUCUUCGGUGAGCCGGAAUCUUCUAUCACUUCAAAGUAUGCAUCAGGAGCGCAUUUAGAGAUACUUCCAUUAGGGCCAUUCAGCAUGACAGACGCUGCCAACGGGAAGCCCCAUUGGUACCGAACCUCUGGGCAGUAGAAAGCCUCAUAGUAGCGCUGAUCGAGGUCUUCCUCAGAAACGAAAGAGUCACAAACCACGCACUCUGAACAUACAUAACCACAGAAAUCAUGGUUGCGAAUAAAUUUACAGCACCCCUCGCCCUCACAUUGACAUGAAUUUGAGGCUGAGUGAAUUCCUGCCAGACGCAUGGAGACGCCGCCAUACCUACAAGCCCCAGCUCCUCCGAGAGGUUUGGCAAGGUCUGGAAGAGCAUCUAGAGUGGUACUCCUGUUGAAUUCGAAAGAGGAACCCGGACCAUUCCUGAAGUCCUUCUGGGGCUUCUUCAAUGAGAGGAGCGACUUCAUCGCUUGGGUCAAGCCGAAUGCCUUGAGCUGCACAGGAAGAGAGUCUGCUCUUUCAGGCGACAGUAUCAAAGCUGUCAGACCUGAAGGGAGCCAAUCCAGAGGCUGCCCUGGUCCCCCGUUUGUGACGUCCAUCGCAAAUUGUGAAAGCGGCACAACUCUCUGCUGGAUCACAUUAUGGAAGCUCAACUGCCAACCUCAAAAUAAGCCGAAGUAAACUAAAGCGCCAGACGAAAACAUCAGAACACUCUAUUCCAGCUCAUGACAUGGAGCAUGGCGUUGCAACAAUGCCAACGACACUCACCCUCGUCAAGGGUACUUCACACAGAUGCUUUCUCCGAACAUACCCACGUUUAACCUUCAUCUUUACAAACCAGGAAAGCUCGCCAACCUUUCAUAUCGGGUGCACAAUUAGAAUGAAACCUCUGGCUCACAAGGCAACUCACCACUGCCCUACUUCCAGAACUCAAUUACGGCAACCCACCGAGACCUUCGGUAGAUGCAAAACCCUAGAGAAUCGAAAUGAUGGCUCUUUCUAGAGUCCACAAUGCUUCAGAAACCAAGCGGACAUCUCAUGUCCAAUGAAGCUAAGGCAUCGCCGGGGAUGGAAACGAGAUUCUCCUUCAUCCUCAAUUUCGAAAAAAACAACUCAGAAUCCAUCUGAGUUUGCACGGUUCGACAUUGAUCGAGUCUCCACACAUGAGAGUCUUUCUCAAACUGCUUACCAGCGAAACUAUGCCGCCAAUCUGAUUUCAAAAUACAACAACAGAUCAACUGUACAGCUCUGCUCCUUUCGACUCGUCAUCACGAUGCGGCGAGGGUUUUGAGAUAAUCAAUUAUCUCAGCAAUUUUGGAAAAUCGUAUUUCUUAAUUGAAAAAGAAGAGACAGUCCCUUGCGGAUGAAACUCGUACACUCUUGCCGAGACCCGCGGAGUUGGGUCACACUCGGAAGAGAGGCUAUCUCGUAGCGACCCUCGUCACCACGCGUCUCAAACCUCCCAACUCAAUCGACUAGCUCGAGAUAUCCCAGCCGUCAAUUGACGUAGUGACGAGGGUCCACGUUUAUGCGUCCGCCACCCUGCAAAUUCAGUCGCGGUGCUUGCACUGGAACAUCUCGCUCCAGACUCAUUCCAAUUCUCGUAGCUCUGUUUUUUCCUACCACCAUCCCCUCUUCCAUAGGGAAGCUAUUUAAGUUGGAUAGGCCCCUAAGAACAUUGUCCUUGCGCUUGUUUGCAAGUUUCAAGAGCUCUCAAAGAGGUGGGUUGCGCCGCUGUGCAGUAUUCUUGUGUUGUAGAGGUUUAAGCAAUUCGUUCGGCUUCCGCCGCUGUGUGAUCUUGUAGAACUCUCUCUUUAAGGUUUUCGUUCCUACUACUGCCCCCGUCUCAUCUUUCACCAUCUUUUGUGCCGAGACUUGUGAUUUGUAUGGGUUUUUUUUUUUUUUUAACAACACGAGUGCGUCACCGUGGUGGUGAUCACGCAUUGUGUGAUGUGUUCUCUAGUUCUUAGCUAGAUUUUCUCCAUCUUCUUCUUUUUGUUUACUCUCUCUAAGGUCGGUUAUGAUCCUUCUCGCUCUGCCUUGUCGAAUGCUGGUAUAGGGUAUCCAGGUAUUCUACAUUUUUCGCGGUGGUGAUUGUUACGGUGGUCUUAAAUAAGCAUUUGUGUUGGCUUCUGAAUGAUAUUGGUCUGAUUCUGCAUUUCAGGAUAAUUUCUGAAUUAUCCUACAUUUCUUUCGACUGUGAGCAUUUGUUACAAAUUCUUGCUCGAAAAUUUCUCAAAAUGUAUCUGCCCGAUGGUAGGUGGAGUCUUCUGCUACAGAGUUCAUUUGCUCUGCGCAUGACCUGCAUUAAAUCUCUGAAUCUCCACAGUCCUCUUGGAAAGUUGGUCUAAUUUUCCUCAGCUAAACGUUUGUAUUUAGAACCUACAUAUUCUCAUUUUAGUUCUUUUCAUUGCAAUUCGCCGUCUCUGUUGGCGCUGGUAGAGGCUCUCUGCCCUGAUCUCUUGUCCCCUUCCAUGUCGCUUGUCUGCAAGCUUUCUCUCGAGUUGAGAUCAAUUUUAACUUCUCAUGUACUUGAAUGAUGUUACAGCUAAUUGGAAUCGCCUCCUCUGCUAUGGCUAUGGCGGCAUUGGCACCAGCUCAAGCCACCAGCCCCAUCGCUUCAUGUCAAGCUGUACUCAAACCCUCGGCAUUGAAGGAUGCGAGGCACUCAAAGAUUAAUGCUUUGUAUUCUUCUCUGAACGGGACUGCGUGCGUGUUUACAUGCGACUCGCCUCUUAGGAAGGGAGCUUCAGUUUCUCAUGGCCAUGUGCGCUGCACCCUUGCGGAGGAUGUGCAUACCAGGGAUCGAGAUGAUGUCCGAACCUACAAAGGCUAUGAACGUCCUGACUCCUUUGGGAGAUAUGGUGUCUAUGGAGGGAAAUACGUCCCUGAGACCCUUAUGGCUGCUCUUAGUAAUCUGGAGGUAGCAUAUCGUGCAACAAUCAAGGAUCCCGAAUUCCAGGUGAUAAAUGUUACCUCACUCCCGAGCGGAUUUGCGGAGUGCUUUUCUAAAGCGGAAUUGUAAUCCUGAGUAAAUUGCAUGGAUGCUGAGGGCCGAGCUAAUAUGAUUGUCUUAGCGUUUUACAGAAGGAGCUUAAUGGCGUGCUUAAGGACUACGUGGGCAGGGAAACCCCUCUGUACUUUGCUGAACGCCUAACUGAGCACUAUAAGCGUGACGGGAAAGGUCCCUUGAUUUAUCUUAAGCGGGAGGACCUUAACCACACUGGCGCUCACAAGAUCAACAACGCCAUUGCCCAAGCUUUGUUGGCGAAGCGGAUUGGAAAGAAGCGCAUUAUUGCUGAGACAGGGGCAGGUCAGCACGGUGUUGCCACAGCUACAGUAUGUGCUCGCUUUGGACUCGAGUGCAUUGUAUACAUGGGUGCCCAGGAUAUGGAAAGACAAGCUUUGAAUGUAUUCCGAAUGCGUCUUCUUGGAGCUGAGGUAUGGAAUUGCAUGACCCUGCAAGUGAGCUCGAAUGUGAAUACUUAAGAAGCAAGUAGAAUUUAGUAAGUGAGAAAGACAUUGGCACAGAAUGCAACUGGGGUGCUUUAGAAUGUGGGUCCUGAUGGUUAGAUGGAGCGGUUAUUUAGUGCAUGCAGUUUACCUAAACCCUAAUCUCAUGAUGGUUCUUCCUUUUUGAUGCAGGUUCGUCCUGUAAAUUCUGGCACUGCCACCUUGAAAGAUGCAACCUCAGAGGCUAUUCGUGACUGGGUUACGAAUGUGGAAACGACUCAUUAUAUUCUUGGCUCAGUUGCUGGGCCGCACCCGUACCCUAUGAUCGUGAGAGACUUUCAUGCAAUGAUCGGAACUGAGGUUCGUCGCCAGGCAAUGGAAAAGUGGGGUGGAAAGCCGGAUAUUCUUGUCGCUUGUGUUGGGGGAGGCUCAAAUGCAAUGGGGUUAUUCCACGAAUUUAUCGAAGAUGAAGAAACUCGUCUCAUUGGUGUUGAAGCAGCUGGCUUUGGUACUAAUACAGACAAGCACGCUGCCACCUUGACCAUGGGAGAAAUUGGUAUCUUACAUGGUGCAAUGAGCUAUUUGCUCCAGGAUGCUGAUGGCCAGAUUAUUGAACCACAUUCAAUUAGUGCGGGGUAAUCAUCUUCGAAGAGACCUAAGGAUUGUGUUCUCAUUUGAAUCCGAGAUUUGUUACCAGCGUGUUUUUUUUCACUCGGCUGCUUGGCCAACUGCUUGUUCAAACGAGCUUUUUCAUUCAUAACGCAACAAAUGUUCUAGAACAUGGUACUGAUGGGGAGCCUGUGGUGCGCAGAUUGGAUUACCCAGGUGUUGGUCCAGAGCACAGUUUCCUGAAGGAUGUUGGUCGAGCAGAGUACUUCAGCGUGACUGAUGAUGAAGCCCUGGAAGGUAAGAAGAACACUGCAGUAGAAUUUCACUUCAAAUUCGUCAUCUCGUUGUUUUGAGCUUUCUCAUGCUUCUAGGUAAGGUCAAUUGCAGCAGUUCCUGAUUACAUAUCAUUAGUCUCAAAAGUUUAGAGGUUCCGCGGCAUUCAUCAUGGAGACACUGUAUGGGUUAUAAACACUUCCAAGUUUGUGUUCUCUCAUCAGCUACCUUGCUAACGGUACUGUCGCUCUUUUUUGUUGCCAAUGCAGCAUUCCAGAGGUUGUCCAAGCUGGAGGGUAUCAUUCCGGCACUGGAGACAUCUCAUGCCCUAGCUUUCUUGGAAAAACUUUGCCCUACACUUGAAGACGGUACCCGAGUGGUCCUCAAUUGCAGUGGUCGUGGUGACAAGGAUGUCAACAGCGUCAUUGGUUACUUGAAAGGAAAGUACUGAAUCUCAGUAUGAAGAUUGUGGGGAAUGUCUCACUUCAAUUAUUGUCAUUCCACGUUUUUUUGCAAUGAGUUUUUCCAGCCUCUUUAAGAAUUGGUAAGGCAGAGAAGAUGUCUCGUCUUUGCGGGCCAUUGUUGUAAUCGAGAGCAGUGCAUUAUCUGCGCUGAACAGAUAUCAGUCUGGAGGUAUUUAGGUUUAAUACACAGAACAUGGAGUUCUUUUAUAUCCUUUUUCUGCCUUAAGGAGCAUUCACUUGAAGAAUGUUGUUGCUGCAGUGGUUCACAAUGCCUUACAAAGAUAUUGAAGCUGCCCCCCUUAUCCACGUAGUUGUGCAUGUGUUGCUGGCUACAUGCGCCAGUUCACAAUUGACUACAACCUCCUUUUCCAGAGAAACAGAGCUAAGAGCUAUGGAAGCACAUACGAGUGGUUUCUUAACAUGGAAUAUAUAUACAUAUAUAUAUGUGUGUGUGUGUGUGUAAUGUGUGUGUGUGUCCUUCAAAAGGUUCAUUAUAUAUAAAUAGAGACGUUACUGGGGUUGAUACAAGUCAUUAAUGGCAUCCUAAACAAUAUAAUUCUAGACAUUACCAACUUUAAUGCAUAACAAUCUUAGUUGUCACCACAAGAUUUCAAUGUAAAUUGUUUCAAUGUACAAGUGUUUUGGCAAUACACAAAAAUGGUGAUCAGCACUAUAUGUAAUUACCCAUUGCUGGAAUUAUUUAUAAUAUUGCUCACACUGAUUUGGCAAGGUAGCGGAACAAUUUGUGUUUUAUCAUCAUGUAUUCUUGCAUUGUUUCUAAUUUUCUUGUCGAUAAUACAAAAUGUAGCCCACAGUAACUGCUGGUAAAUAACGAUUUUACAUUUUUCCUUCCUUGAACUAUUCGCCCAGCAAGUGAGUCAUCGCUAGUUUCGCAACACACAGCAAUUAAUGAAGCGAAAGGUUCCGCACCGACUCUUCCAACACCAACGCCUCCGCCGUGGAAGAGAAAUGCGGCCGUGGCUCCAAGUUCCCCGACGCGAUCCUAUGCGUCGAUGCAUCUGUGACCUCUUUUAUCUUCUCCAAAACGCUUCGAUACAAAUUCCAAUGCAUACACCCUGCAGCGAUAGCCGGCAUCCCAAUCGGAUGCAUUCUCACAAACUCUCGCACAUCCGCCGCAUUUCGCAGAUGCGUCAAAUACCCCACCAAUCCCUCUGCCAAGAAAUUAUCCUGCUCAUUGUAGGUGUACGGUUUCAAGAAAAUUGCCGUGUGAGGAGGAUUGAGUAGCGCUUUAUAGGGAGUGUCAUCAAUAAGGAGAGUGUUGGUCUCAUUAAAUUCGCCGUCAGGGAAUCUCGACCAAACUUUCGCGAGCUCCUUCAGAAACAGCGGCUGGCGUCUGUUCGUAGGAUUCUUAAACCCCGUGGCGGUGCAAUCGCCUUGAUGCAUGACGAACAUUACCUUGUGCUGCAAACCCUCACCGAUGUAGUCAAGGAUCUUGCGCACGUUGGCCUCCAUCCUGGAAGACCACACGCCGACGUGGAAAUUCUCGAAGCAAAAAUCGAUGAAGGCGAUGCAGAACGGCCGCUUGAAUACAUAGUUCAUCCCCACCAAUGCUCCGGUCUAACUUCUUGUGGCAGGCCACCAAGAUACCGUUCAAGUCGAGGAUCAAGAGCUUCUUCCUCGCCGGCGUGCCGAGCCUCCACGCUUGCGCCAAUGAAGCCCGGUUCUCCUCCAAUGCACUGCUAGAAGCAUAGUUUCCAUUCGCAGUAUCCAAAGGUUGCAAUUCUUCCUCUGCUUUAGCAACUGUUUCGCAAGACCCGGAGCUUUCCUCACCACGUCCACGAAGGACAUCUCUUACAGCGGCAGCGCUGGCCUCGCUAUUCUCCAUGUCAUUAGCGACACCAUCUGGAGGUUCAGCAGCGAAAGGAGAGAUGACGAUUACAAAAGUUUCUAGGGUUUGAAGAUUGAAGGAACAACACAGGAAUGCAAUCCAUGGCGCAAUGGGGCGAAGGAGAGUUACGCACCUUGAAGAGCAGGAGGAGGAGGCUUCAUGGUUGGGCCUUCUGAGCAGGGGGGUGUGUUGGACGUUGCGAUUCCAGGGCAGGGUGACUUCAAUGUGAACCCCUCUUUUUACCACGACCGUGCCCUGUCUGGAUCUUAGUGCCAUGAUGAUUCAGAAUUGGCGCCGUUGUCCCCUUCAGCUUAUGGCAUUGAUAUAAGGCCGAUGUACAUUGAGGGGCGUACUUGCAAAAAUAAUCACAAGCAGGGGCACAAAUCAAAAAUAUGUACAAAGAGAGGUGCACGCACAAAUAUAAUUACUAGCAAGGGCAUAAAUUGGAAAUAGAAUUUAUAGAGAGACUCAGACAUCUUCGUUGAUUUGCUUGGCUUCACUUUCGCAUAGUUGAGGGAAACGAAGGUCACCAGCAAGACAAGGAGAUUGGACACUGACAACUUGGAAUAGAAUAGUUAUUGGAACAGUGGUCCCUGCAGCCAAAGAUGCCCGUGGUACUUUUGCAAGCUAUUAUUUCCAAGUCUUUGCUCUUUAUCAAUUCAGACCCAAUAAACCCGCAUGCAUGAGCAUUGUAUGCUCAAUAGAGUGAGAGAGGAAUAUACAAGAAUACAAAUGGCAGGUGCAUAUUCUUUGUUGCAAUCAGCCAGUGCAAAGCUGUCAAGUUUGCUGCUCAUCAGUAGACAUGCCCGACUUUUUUAAAACCCUUUCACCUUAAAGGCAAGGAGCUUGCAAAUUUUUAUGAAUCAUUUGUGUGGGACAUACAAGGUCUGUGAUCAUUGAAUGUCACAAACCAUGCCCAAACCAAGCUUGGGGCAAAAGUAACAUAUAUGGCUUCAUGGAGGAGUUGCGAGUUGCACCAAAAGCAUUUGGUAAAAGAAUAUAGUUUGGGGUUUCAAAAGCUUGUGCCAUUACUUGUGAGAUUGGCUAUAAAAAAUCCUAGUUGCAUGACUACAUUUGACAAGGAAUAAUUGAUAGUAGUUUGUCAAAGCAUUUCUUUGCCUUCAGGCUUGAAAGAUUGUAGCUGCAAGCUAUAACCUUGUGUUCACUACAAAUGCAAUCUAUUCAAAGUUAAGAUACCAAGGUAUCUACCUUAGCCUCAAUGGAGUACAUAGAAAAGGUUACCUUGUUCAUAUUGCUUUUAAGAUUGUUCCAAUUGAAAAUAAUGAAAAUUAGACAUGGUUUUUUCACUAUUUAGAAGAUAUUUUUCUUAAACUUUGCAAGCAUUGUAUUUAGUAGUGAUUGCAAGAAGGUGUGUAAAGUUUUGAUGUUUAAUUUUAUAUUUGAUUUUGCAUUCAAUUUUGCAUUGAUAACAAUGAUAUGUCCAAGGAAUUCAAAAUGGAAUUGUUGCAAACCUUCCAUUUUAAAAACCAUUGUGCAGACAUUUGGCACAUCAAAGAGAACAUAAAUUGGCACUACAAAACUAAGUUGAAUGUGAAGUUGUAGACAACUGCAAAGGCAUUGAUCUUAGACACCCAUGUAGUUGCAAAAGUAGAUAUCUUCAAGAUGCAUACUACUAUACAUAAAUAUCUUGUUGUUAUUCAAAGUCAAAACUAAAUCCUUGGUUAUAAUAGAUGUAAUACAGUAUGAAGAAGAUAUUGGUAUUAUCAACACAUAGAGAUAGGAAGUUGGAGCCAUAUUUAGGAAGUUUCUAGAACUUUUUAGAAUUUUUUAGAAUUAGGGCUAAAUUAAUCGUUUAUGUGGGACUUAUCAUAGAACAUUCUAGAAAGGGCUUAAGGUGGUUAUUUAUAUGGGAUCCUCCAUUAAGAACAUUCUAAAAAGUUUUAGGAUGCUUAGAUAAAUUAUAAAUAGGACUUGCCAAGGCCAUUAGAAUAGUUGGUUAAGUAUGGCUUUGGUUCCUUUCUUUAAGUAAAAUUUGGUUUUGCACUUUUUUGUUCAAUUCUAUUUUAUUCUCUUUUACUCUAUUAUGCCUUUUACAUUCCAUUCUAUUUAGUUUUAUUCAAUUUUGUUCUAGUCUAUGUUGUCCUACAUUGUGACAAAAUUUAUAUUGCUAUGGAUUAGAAGGAUCUUAGAUCUUAGACAUAAUCCAAUCUCGUUUGAAUAGUUCAUCAUGAUUUAGAGUUCUUAUUUCAAACAUAUCAAUAGCAAUAAAUUCAUGGAUCUUUGAUAAAUGCCACAUGGAACCUUUUGAUGUCAUUUUUUAGGUUAUUUAAAAAAUUGGAUGCCUUUUCUACAAUUGACAUUUAAAUUAUGCAGCCAUUCUAAUAAGUAUUUUUUUUAAAUCAUCUCAAAUGUAUAGAGGUGUGUAAUUGAAGGAUGAACUUGUUAGGUCAUACAAAAAGAUGAUACUCUCUUUGAGGUCAUCAACUAAGACAGUAAAGUUUUUGGCAUUGUCAAAUUAAAGAACUACAUAUAUUCUUGUGGCAACUUCUAACAAUGUCAAGUAUCUUAUGUUCAUGCCUACAAAGGUGUAGUGAAUCUAUGCCAAACUUCGAAUUGUUCAUGCAUUUUUUGUAUACCACAAGUGAGCUAGUUUAUACUAGUGUUGUUAUCUCCAUCAAUAGAAGAACAAUGGUAGCUUAUAGUAUCUUGCUGCCUUUGCUUAAAAUAAAACAAGCAUGACAACCAUGGAAAAUUUGCCUAUGCAAACGUGAUAAAACCUACUUGGAAAAUCAAAUUAGGUGCUCAAAAUGUGGCAAAAAGGGUCACAAUUUACAUACAUGCAAUCAAUGAUGCCAAGUAUAAUGAAAUUUUUUAAGAUCAAGAAGGUAAUAAUACUUGGUGACCUUUGGUAUUCAUGAGCUCUACAUGUGAGAAGCAACAAUGACAAAUUAUGCAUGUCUUUGUAAUUAUUUUCAAUUUGUGUCUCUACUUAUAAUUAUUUCUUUGGAUGCACCUCUCAAUAUAAAUUCUCUUUAACAUGAUGAUCUUAAUAUUACAAAUCAUCAUAAAUGACGCAAGUGCUAUCACAUAUGUAUCUCACUUGAUUUUGUAUAAUCAUAUUAUUAUUAUAAUAUAUUAUGUCUAUUUUAUUUAUUUAUUUAUUUAUUUUAAGUAAAUUAGUUGUAUCAAAGGUUUGUAAUGAAUUAUAAUUGUCUAUACUAAGAAGUAUUUUUUAAAUAGUAUUUUUAUUAUAUUUAUUAUUUUCAAUUAUAUUCUACUAUUUUGGAAUAAAUGCAAUAACAUCUAAGCUAUAUAGAUAUUUUUACUAUCAAAGCAUUGUAACAACAUAAAGGCAUUGAAAAUAAUUGCAAACUAUCCCUUAGAAUCAAUAAGGUUGUAAGAUAGAUUGAGUUGGUAUGGCUUCUGUGAACCAAUGAAAUAUUUGUUUUCUAUUAUGUUAUUACUACAAUUUAACUAAAAUAUGUAGAAGAUUGGAUGGAAAUGCCUUCACUACUUUAAAAUUUAUGAAUUAAAUUCUAUUAUUCCAUUAAAAUUUUAUACAUUAUCAAUCACAAAUAAGAAAAUAAAAUAAAAUAAUAAUAAAUAAAUAAAUAAAUAACUCUAAGGCUUGAAAAGAAAAAAUUGUUCUAUAUUUCACUCUCUACUAUUGAUGCCCCACAAGUCUUUAGGACUAAAUUAAGGAUCCUGUUGUAUUCUUGAAAUUGCAAAAAAUCCUUAAAAAAAAAGUACACAUGAAUGGAUUACACUUCUCAAGUAUAAGAAACCUAUAAUGAUAGAAUUAAGUCUUUAAUUAAUAAAACAAAAAACAAUCAUACAGUGGUAAUUAUGAAGCAUAAGUCUAAAAAUGCUCUUGUGCAAGUUAUGUCUGUUGAUGACAAAGGACAUCCUAUUAUGACCUUUGCAUGUAUAUUACUAGACCUCAAAUUAAUUAAUAGACUUUGGAUACAAGGUCUUUAUUUAGAAUUGAGUUUUCAAAUCAUUGUUUAUCAAAUAUCAUUUGUCGUUGUUGAGAAUAUUUUAGAGAAAGAGAGACAAUAGGAGUUAGAAGUAAUAUGAAUACAUAUGUAAACACACACAAGAAGUGAGUUUAUUAAUAGGAUUAUAUUUCUUAUACAAAAAAAAAGAAAGAAGAUAAAUAAAGUUUUCCAAUACAUUCCAAACAAUAUACCUACAAUAAAUACUAUAGACUACAAUAAAUAAUAUGGAGAACUCCAACUACAUUUAAUGCUCUCAAUACUCCUCCUUGCUUGUCAUAAUAUUUAUAUGCAUAGAAUUAUAACCUAUAAUUUUGUGUAAUCUCAUAAGAUCAAAAAUUGUUGCCUCAUUAAAACCUUAUCUAGGAAAACCUUAUUAUAUUUAAGGAAAAAACCAUAGAUAAAAGAAAAAGAGUACAACAUUAUCUAAAGAGUUUAUUAACUUUCUUACUCAAGAAAAGCAAGUCGUCAUAUACGAAUGUCAUAAGUAAGUUGACAAUGGUUUGACAACAAGAGAGCUUUGAUAAAGAGAUCACCAAGGUUAUUUACAGAUUCAAUUUUCUUGAUCUUAAGUACUUGAUUAGUAACCAAGUCAUAGAUAUAACUAAAAUACUUUGGAUCAAUAUGCUUUGUCAUAUCUCCUUAACUGAAACCAAUUUACAUUUGUACAAGACAAGUGCUAUUAUCUUCAUACAAGAUAAUUAGAGAAUCAUUAUAUGAAAGUCGACAGGUUGUCGGAAUGAGUUUAUCAAUUUGUUGCAAUCAAAUACAUUCCCAAGAUUCUUCAUGUAAGGCAAUAAUUUUUACAUAGUUGGAUGAAGUUAUAAUUAUUGUUUGUUUCAUUUAUUUUCAUGAUAUUGCAGCUCUAUGUCUUAAGAAUAUAUAACUCAUUUGAAAUUUAGUUGUUUUAAUAUCAAAUUUAUAUCUUACAUCAUAAUAUCCAACUAAUUUUGAAUCUACACAUUGUAUACAAUAUAAUCUCAAAUCUUUGGUGUCUUUUAAAUAACAUAGUAAAUAUUUGAUGUCAUUCCAAUAUCGUACUAUUGAAUGUACAUUAUAUCUUGCAAGAAUACUAAUUAUAAAUAUAACAUCUAGUUUCGUAGAUGUGGCUAAAUAUAAAAGUGCUCCAAUUGCUACAAAGUAUGAAUAUUGUUCUCCCAAUAUUUCUUCAUCCUCUUUGCAUAGAUGGUAUGGAUCAUGACCAUCAUGACCACACUCAACCAUUGGUGUAGACAAUGAAUAAGCAUCAAUCAUAUUGAAUCUCUAUAAGAUUUGUCUAAUAUACGUUAGUUGGUAGAGAAAAAUGCUACCAUCUGUGAGAUGCAUAAUCUAAAGAUCAAUACAAAAAGUUGUUUUUCUUAACAUUUUCAUUUCAAAUUCACGUAUAAAUAGGUUAAUAGCUACAAUGUAUGUAAAUCUAAUAUCUACUAGGUUAAGAUCAUCAACAUAUACAACGAUGAUCAGAAAACCAAUUUUAUCUUAUUUGAAAAAUAAACAAGGGAUUAAUUGAUCACUUACAAAUUUAUUUAUAAUUAAAUAAUCUUGGAGACAUUGAUACCACAUGCAUCUAGAUUAUUUUAGAUCAUACAUGGCCUUGUAUAAUUUAAUACUAUAAUAUCGUCUUAGAGUAAAUGCAUUUAGAAUUCUUAUUUCCAAACCACGUGGAACUUUCAUAUAAAUAUCUACAUCAAGUAAACCAUACAAAUACGUAGUUACGACAUGCAUGAGAUUUAUCUCAAGCGUGGCAUGAAUUACUAUUCCAAUAAUAUAUUAGAAUGUAAUUGAAUCCAUGAUUGGAGAAUAUGUGGAUUCAUAAUUAAUGCCAAACUGUUCGGUAAAUCCUUAAGCAACAAGACAAACUUUAUAACAGAUUAUUUUACCCUUAGCAUCUCGCUUGUAUAUUAAUACCAUCUUAUAUCCCAUACGGCAAGGAGUAAGAGUGUCCACAAUUGGAUCAAAGAAUUUCUUUUUAUGCAAAGAAGCAUAUUUCUAGAAAAGAUAUAUCCUAGAAUUUCUUUUUAUGCAAGUGAAGAUAUAAUGUGCAUGGACAUAUUGACAUUAAUUGAUGGUUCGCUAAGUUUAGUAGGACCUUCCACAAAAACAACACCAAAAUCACCACAUGUUAUAGCUUUCUUCUUUCAUGCUUGCUUAUCUGAUCCACAAGUCCUUUUAAUUGCUAAUGUUUUAACCUGAGGUAUAUUUGUUAGUGGCAUUGCAAUCUGCAUGGAUUCAUUCUAAGCCUUAUUAAUUAGAACUCUUGUAUCUGAGGUACAUCAUUGAAGCCAUCACAUGUUUCAUUUGCAAUCUGUCUUAGAUACAAAAUCUUGGCAACUUUAUUUUCAGCCAAAGAUGUUCUAGGAUUAAGAUUUAUUGUAAAUAUUUCUAGUACUCCAAAUGCAAGUAUUGUAUUUCUUUGUUGAUUAAAUACUUCUCCUUAAAGAGAUGAAAAUAUGUUCUCUUCAAAACAAUAAUUUUAAAAAUAUGUAUGUAAUAAUGUGCCAGUUGAUGGAUCAUGUAUACAAAUAAUGUUUGGUGAAUCAAAACCAACAUAUGUGCCUUCUCGCCAAUGAGCUCCAAUGGUAAGCUGUUGACGUUCUCAUACUAGAAUCCAAGUACGACAACCAAACACCCAUAGAUGAGAUACAUUUAGAACAGAACCUGAAAUAAACUCUUGUUGUGUAAUAAUUUCAAGAAAAGAAGGACGAAUGCAUAUUAAUGCUGCAACAUGCAAAAUUGCAUGACUCCACAUAGAUACAUAUAAAUUUGUAUGAAGAAGGAGUGGUCGGAUAAUGAAUUGUAUAUGCUUUAUAAACAACUCUACAAGUCCAUUUUGAGCAUGUUCAUAUGGAAUACUAUAUGUCAACUUAAUCCACGUUGUAGUACAAUAAUGUUCAAAGGAUUUUGAUGCAAAUUCUUUUGCAUUAUCCAUACACAAUGUUUUGAUAUGAUAAUAAGGAAAAUGUGGUCGAAAAAAAAUAAGCAUAAAUAUAAGAUUAGCAAAUAUCAUAUUUUGAGAUGAUAAUAAUGAAACAUGUGAUUGUUUGCAUAAUGCAUCAACAAAAACCAAAAAAUAAUGAAAUAGUCCAGAUAUUAGAUUAAUAGGACCACAAAUAUCACCAUGCAACCUUUCAAGCAUUGGUGGUAAUUCUUGUAGGAGUUUCCAAAUUGAAGGUUCACCAAUCAUCUUGCCUUGCAUAGAUGCACGAUAUAAUUCUAUAGAAUUUAUAUUUACAGAUCUUAAAUUAUGCUCAGCUAUUCAUGGAAUUAUCUUUCAAAAUAAUAUAGAUUUUAGAUAUUCUAAUUGUCCAUGCCAAAGAAAAAUAUGACUCUCUGUUAUAGAUGAUGCAAAAUUAAAUAUAAUAAGAGGUCGGAUUGCAAUCUUGUAUAAACCAUUUGUCACAACAAAAGCUUUUUUUACAACUUUAUGUUUAUGUUCAAGAACCAAAACCUCUCGCAUAUCUAAAAUUGCAGUUGAAAGGUGAUAACUAUUGGCACAUAAAUCUUGGUAGUUGAUUAGACUCUGAUGUACUGAGGGUACAAACAUUGCAUAUUUAUAUUUUAUGAUAGAGCUCGCACACAAUUUACCAUUAUUAUUUCCUCUUAAAAUUAGAACACAUUUGUUCCAACCAUAGUCAUCAAAUUUUUAGUUUGCAAAGUUGAAGAUUUUUCAAUAAAAAACUAUCUAUCCCAUAGGAUAAUAUGUGCUGCUGUAGAAUCAAUGAGCACAUCAUGUGAUUCAUUAUUAGAGGUUUUGUCAUUCAUAUAAGCCUCUAAAACAUCAAUACCAAUAGAAUCCAUGAACGCAUCCAUGGUACGAACUACAUGAGCCUCAGCUCGAAGUUUCUUAUUUUUUUAGAAUAUUUUAAUAAAGUAUUAUAAAGUACAAUACGCAUGUGCCAAAUAUCCAAUCAUUCUACAUUUAUGUCAAGAAUACAUCUCUAAUUUUUGUUUUCUACUAUAAUUAGUUGUAGAACAUUUAUUCUUUCCAUAUGGACAAAAAUGAUCACAACCAUGACUAACUUGGUGCCUAUGAGCAUUUUUUCCAUGUUUAUAUAAUUGUUUUUUAGACUUUAGAAUAUUAAAUGCAUGAGAUUCAGGAAUCGUGGUUCCAAUGGGAGGAGCUUCUACAUUGCACAAGAGUAUCUCAUUUUGUUUCUCCAUGAAAAGUAAAUAGGACAUGAGAUUAGGAUGACUUUGAAAUUUAAUAUUUCUAUAUUGUCAUGCAAGCAAAGCAAAUAAGGGAAGAAAUGUAGAAAGAGUUUUGUCAAUCAUUUCUUCUUCAUAGAUGAUUUGUCGACAUAAUCAUAGUUGUGAGACAAUACAAUACAUUUUAUUAUUGAAAGCAUUUAAAUGCUCUCAACAGUCAUCACUACAACACUAAGGUCUAUUAUUGAUGUAUACAAAUUUAUACUAAAAUUCUGUGAAUAAUUUUAUGGCAUGUUUCAAUUCUAUGAGUGUUCGUGUAUGGGGUGAGAGAAGGGACUAUAAUUAGUCAAGUAUUUCAUAUGUAGGAGAGCUCUUUAAACCAUGAGAAAUUACUCACAUCUGCAACCCCAGAGUGACCAAGUUUUUCACAAUGUUCAAAGCUUGGGAUUGCUCAUGGAAGGUCAGUUCCUCGUCAUACAACUUUGGAUUGGUUGCAAUUGACCCCAGUGACCAAAGACUUUGAAACUGAAAGGUGAUCUCAGGAGAUAGGGAGACUUGUGAGUGAUAAAUUGUCUUAUAUUUCAACUCCGAGUGCAGUAGGAUUUCUGGAGGAUUAGGCACCCUACCCGUUUGAAGUAUGGCCGCCGGCUUCUUGUGAUGACCUUGUGCACAAAUUUUUGUCAUCAGACACAUUACAGUAUUCACAAAUAACUUGAAGGCAUCAAUUCUAACUAAAACAAAAUCGAGGUAAGAAUCGAUUCUUGGAGCAAAAAGGAUGGCAGCAUCACCAACAAGGGACAUGCACCGACAGAAAUCAUUUGAAGUUCAAUUUCAACAUGCUCCAAUUCUGUCAGGGGAUGUGCACAACCAGCAGGAUUCCUCGACUCCAGCAUCCUUGAAGUUUAUCAAGUUGCUAAACAGGGGGUUCACUGAUCCUAGCAAUAUUUGAUAAGAAAUUUAUUUUGGACCGGCUUUGUACCUCAGAAACAACCUCGGUACACUGAGAAUGAUAGCGUUAAACCACCUAUAACGUUCUGACUAUUGCAGUUAAUUCCUAACUUGUGACAUCAUGAGACUCUGUUGACUUCAUCAGUCUUCUGUUUCAAGAUCUUGAAGUUGAUCAAGUCAAUAAUGUUUUGUCUUAUGUCAUCUCGCAGAUAAUCAAAUGUCCGUGGCGGGAAUUUUAUCUCUUCCUUUUGCUUUUCAGAAAGAUCGGCAUACCUCAGCGAAUUGACCAUCGGUACGAUACGGCAAGAGCCACGGCGGUAUCCCAGACUUUUCGGGAUUGCAACAGGGGUCGCUCCUCCGCUAGCUCCUCCAUCAGGCCCCAGUCCACUGUCCGGUUUACGCUUGUGAAGGUUAGAAGAGUUGUUCCCAAUCAUCUCAUCAUCUGGCCCCAGCCCAUCUAUCACUGCAUCACCUUCGGAACUAAUACUCUCCAUCGCCACCUUUCAAAGACGCUUCCUUUUUAUUGGUACAACUUUGCAAUACACCCUUAUACUCUUAUUGAUUAGAGACAAACUAUCUCGCCAGCUCCACCAACCUGCUGAUAACACAAACAUGGGGGUAAGAAAUACGAAGUGGUUGCACCUCUGAAAUUCCAACGAGGAUCAUCAACCCAUGAGAUAACAUGCCUUCACUUGUGUUCCAACUCAAAAUUAGAAAAAAAUGACUGUAUCAGAAGAUACAACAACAGUCUAUGUGUUGGUUAAAUAUAUCCAAGAGCCACGAAAACAUGAUCGAGGUACCGCAGAAUAACCUCGCUCAAAAUACUUAAAAGAUCUUAUAUAGAAGCAAGACACGAAAGGAUAAUUAUUCUACGCAUGAAUUGAUCACUGAUGAAAUUGAGACAUAUUUUUUAGAGAUGGCAAAUUGAACGGAUUCUUUGAAAAAACAAAACAAAAAACACAAGUAAGGAAUAACACUAACAUUAAAAAUUAAAGCAGAUGAAAGGAUGAAAAAAAAUAGAUAUUCAUUCGAAUUGGCAUCUAUUCAAAUAACACUGGUCACCAUGUCCAAAAUCCAUUUUAACUUUAACCAUCCUGGAUGCUUUGUCUACGCAAUAUGCGGUGACUGCAUGGUGCUAACCUUCCCUCCAUGCACCAACCUCCUGGAAGUAGGUCGUCACCAAGAAGAGAAGCAUCUCAAAUUGCAAACGAAUGCGACUGAGCUCGCACAAGCGAGUUUUCUCUUGCCAUCACCGAGUUAAUAGCCUCGUCUCAGUUGUCAUUCAUCCAACGAUGCCAAUUGCAAGAAUCAGACCACAUCUAGGGUAAUAACCGGAAACCCACCUCAGAAACAACAGCGUGCGUCGCAAGCGCCCGCUUCAAUGCACUCCAUUCUCCGACGCUCCAAUGCAUCCAUCGUUUAAAUCCAAAAAUCGACACCUACACUCAGCAGCAACAAAAGAAAAAACGAUCCAAGCGAAUCAAUGCUGUUGAACCGAACCUCUCCAGAGCAAUGAAGGCACAAAACGCACAGAAUUGCAAUCCAAGCACACCCACAAAAAAGGGCCAAGGGGAUCCGCUUCGCUUCGCAUCGUCUUACCGCAAUCGCGCCAAAUGAUACCAAGUACGGCAGCCGGAUUCGAAUUUGCAGAUUCCGGUGGGUCCGCAAACACCGUCGCACCCGGGCGAGGGCUCGUUCGAGGUCCUGAUAGGCGUCCCAGUGGCAUGCUAAGUCAGCCCUGACUCUGAUCCACGUGGCCUUCUCGGACGGUUUCGGGCUUCGACGUUCGAAUCCUUUGCGAAAGGAGUUGCCAGGUGGGUCCUCUAGAAUCUUCCAUUGAUAACGUUAUCUCGUUUUGCUUUUCAUGCUAUUAUUAGUAUUCGUAUACGUCUAAUCAGGUGUGGCAGUUGUGAAAUUAUGUCUUCGUCAGAACCCAUUUUAGCUCCAUGUUUAAAAAUAUUUAGAUUUAAAUGUAGAUGUGUACAAAAGUAUAGAUAUAUUCUAUAUUUAUUGAUUUAUUACAUAAAACAGCUUGGGUAUACGACAAAGAGACAACAAAGCCUUCUUAUUGGUUGAACAUAAGAACAUGAGAAUGGGGGAACUUGGAUGAACAAGGGAAUAGAUGGAUGAGCUAAAAAUUGCGGUGCCUAAUGGCACAAAUUUCUACUUUAAUUUUUAUAUAUAUAUAUAUAUAUAUAUAAAUAUGAGAAAUAAAAGAACAAGAUUUAGUGUGAUACAAAGUUCCUUUUCUUGUUUGAAUUUGAAUUGAAAAAGUUUUUUUUUUUGUUUAUAUGUUUAUUAUUUAGCACAAAAUGAUUAGACAUGUUAUAUUAAAGUGUGAUGUGGUCUUGCUGUAUUUUUUAAUAGCAGGAAAUGUGAUUUCUUUGUGAGAGGAAAUUCAGAAUCAGUUCUUCAAUCUAAUUCUUUGUAGUAUCAUAUAAUUAUUUGUCUGUUGGUGUUCUAAGCAAUUUAAUUGUUGGGCUAAUCUCAUGAAUCAAUAUAAGGAAAACUUUGAGAAUUUCACUUGUUUUUUUAAAUGAACUAUCUCAUUGAAUUUUAAAAAAUGUUAAUUUGAAAUAAACAUUCUUCUGAAAAAGUGGCUUAAGUCCUAAGAAGGUUAAAUUAACUAUGUAAAAGUUAACAUUACUCUUGAAAACAACAGACAUAUUAGGUGUCUUAUGUACACAAGCAUCCAUUUGUGUGUGUGUAGAUAUAUAUAUAUAUAUAUAUAUAUAUAUAUAAUAUCAAGUUGUGUAAAUUGCAUGUUUUAGAAUGUCACAAUUAUUUAACUAUUCUUGGCAACUAAUCAUCCUUUAUAUAUACAAAUAUAUACCAAAUAAUCACAAUAGUGGAAUUUUAUUUCAUAAACAUAUGUAAUUUCUUGAAAAUAUUUCUUUAUAUUAAUGUUAAUAUCAAUAUAAAAAAAUUAAUUACCAAAAUAUUAUUAGUAAUUAUAUUGAACAAUUUGAUAUAUACAAUAGAGAAGAAAUUUCUAGAGUAGGUUUUAAUACAUGGUUUACGAAUGCAAAGCAUUUUAUAUAGUUCUUUCAUCAAAUUGAAGGAAUAAUUACUUUAAUCUAAUUAAAAGUUAAUUUUGCAUGUGUAUUAGAGUUCAAUUUUAAUCUGUUUUGAAAGUAAUCACACAUUUGAUAGUAAUGAUGAUUAUUAUUAUUAUUUUUAUUUUACUUGUUAAUUUAAAGAUAUGUUAUAGAUUAAAUUGUAACAACAUCUAUUUUAAAGAAAUAAAUAGUAUUAAAAAUACAAAUUUAAUUUAUAGAUGUUUAUUACUUCUUAAAAUAGAAAUUAAAAUAUGCAUUAUAGAUAUCAUUUAAAUAACUUAAAUUAUAAACAUUAAAAUAUAUGAAUAGUAUUAUACAAGAUUUAUUGUAAAAUAAGAUUAAUUAUUAGGAUAUCUUAUACUUGUGACAUUCUAAUAAGUGCUUAUCCUUUAUAAGACAUCCUAAUAAUUGCUUAUCCUUUAUAAGACAAUUAUAAAAGUAAGUGCUUAUCCUUUAUAAUACAAUUUUAUUUUUUAUCAUAUUAUAAUUAUUGUUUUAAUAGCUAACCUUGUAAAAAACUAUUGAAUCUAAAAUUAUAUAUAUAUAUAUAUAUAUAAUUCACUCCAAGAAUUAACUUUAUAGAAAUAAUCAAGCCAUUUUAAUAGCCAAUGGUAUAUGAGCAUGUUGAAUAAAUUUUCAUAGAAUUAAAAUAAAAAAUAUAUGCACUUAAAAUGAUGUAUUAAUAUGUACCAAAUACUUGAAAAUUAUCUAUUCAAAGAAUGGUGAAUUUUAAAACUUGACUAUUAAUGUAAUUUACUUCAAAUUUCAAUUCAAAUAUUAAUAAUGUAGGUGUUGUAAGAAGAAGUAAAUAAUAUUAUAAUGUAGUUUUUUCCACUUAUCUAUUUGUAAGCAUGCCAUUAGAAAACUUUUAUAAUAUUUAUAUUUUAUAUUCUAAAACUUGGUUUUAAAAAUAAUCUUUGUAUACAUCUUUAUAUUUGAACAAUAUAGAUUUGCAGUGAAAAAUAAAUUUGAAAUAGUUAGAAGUAUUUAUUGUAUUAAAUUCAUGCAUUAAAAAAGAAAAAAGAAAAAAGAAAAAGUGUGUGUUCUCAAUGCAAGUAUAUAUAUAUAUGUUAAAUAAUAAUAAUAAAAUCAAAAUAAAAAUCCAAAGAUUGAUGUAGCAGUUUAAAACUAGACUGAAAUUAGUAUCCAGAGUUUUGAAAAAUGGUUAAAAAGAAAGAAUGGUUUGAAUAUACUGGUUACAAUAGAUCAACUGGAAUUGCACUGUCCAUCAGAGUUGGUAUAUAGAUUAUGCAUAAGUUGUUUGACCUUCAAUAAUUAUUUCAAGUCAGACUUUAGCAGAUUAUAACCUUAGGAAAAUACCAAUACAUUAUGUGUGUAUAGUGGGUAUUGAAAAUACCAAUACAUUAUGUUUGUAUAGUGGGUAUUGAAAAUACCAAUAAAUUACGUGUAUAUAUUGUUACUGUUAUUUUGAUAUCCUAUUUUCAAAACAAUAGUUACAUUAUAAUUCUUAACUUUGAAGUUAUACAUUUUUUUAAACAAGAUUCCUUUAAGUUUAUUUGUAUCUUCAAAUAAAUUAAGCUUUGGGGUUUAGAAUCAUACAAGAGCAAAGUUUAAAUCUUGCAUUCCUAAAUACCAAGGCUCAUUAUAGCAUGAGGUAAUCACUCCUCAAUUAAUUCCAUUCAAGUAAUUUUCAAAAUAUGAUUCAUUGUACACAAAAGUCUCACUAUUUUACCAAAUAAUAAAGAGAUAGAAAAAAAACAAUGGAAUUAAAAGUAAAAGAGAGAGAGAGAGAGAGAGAGAGAGAGAGGAUAACUGAUACUUUUCUUAUCAAAAACUCGUUUCUACAGGCCAAGAUUGAGUAUGAGAUGAAAAUUUUGCCACCCAACGACAGCGACCUGGCAGGAAAACGCGGGUGGGGAUGUACCGACAUAAAACCCAGCCCGUCCCAGUCGGCGUGCCCCGCACGAGCCUGUGGCCAGCUUCGCCGAGGGGGCGCCGUUUAAUCGAGGACGAGGCAAGUGCACGAGAUCAUUCAUUCAUGCGCUCUCGGACAAUGUGACGACGACGACGACGAAGAAGAAGCUGGCAAUGACGUGCAAUCCCAACUCGCCGUAGCAGGCAGGAAACACUCAUCGCUACUGCCACUUCCAGACUUUAAGAACGUCGCAUGAAGAGGAGCGUCGAGUACUGCUUGUCCAUGGUGAUUGUCUCACAAUUGAUUGCUCGGUGCCAGGCGGUGUCGCGCCUCAGGGCCUGAUCGACCGUUGCUGUUGUUGUUGAAGUUGGAGCAGGCGAUGUGACGAACACAGCGAUUGCUGCUUGAAGUCAAAAGUGAGUUCCGAGGAGGCUAGUAACGCGACCGUCCCGUCUAGAGAAGGUGUAGAGCGGCUGGUAUCAGUUUUUCGGAAGGGAUGAGGCGCGUCGCGGCCUUGACGUAUUGUGAGACUCGAUCGGUAGUAGUAUUGGGGUUGCUGAUUCUGAGCUUGAGUGCCGUGGUAGUGGUGGUGGUGGAUUCGGCGCGACUAGUGGAGGCCGCCUCAGAACAGCCCAGGAAGUUGACGACGCCUGAGUCUGUGCAGGUCUUUGUCGAGCCAGAACUGUUACCGCAGCGCGUGAAACCUUUUUCUACUGGUCGCUUCGGAGAUGGGGAUGGGGACGAUGCGAUGUGGGAUAUGGAGGCGAAGCCGCCACCUUCGCAUAGACUGCGGGAUCGUACCCUGUGGGGAUAUUCCAAACGUGUCGUUCCGACAGGACCCAAUCCGCUUCACAAUUAGGCUUAGUAGCUUGGUUCGGCAUCCAGGAGGAGGAGGUUUAGCGAACGGACACUAGAGGUUGCUUUUCAGGGUUAUUCUGUGACGUGUUCAGCUUGUGCUGCGACCGCCUUCUUCCUCUUCAAUUAGAAACCGUAUUUCUCUGCUUCAUCAACAGGAACAGAUAUCUGCCCCGGCGCCGCCGAUCUCAAACUUGCCCUCCCUUGUUUCCAUUGCGUCGGUGACUUCGACUCUGCGCAAACUUUCAUGCAAAUUAUUGUUAGUCUUAGUACUACUACCAUUAUAAUUACUCUCAUUAUUCUGGCCGCAUGAUUGAAAUACUCUAUGAGAUGGCUUUUGGGAAAGGCUAUUCUCACCGCAAGGUUACUCAGUCGGCUUGAUUGCAGUUCCAACCGGAGUUUUCGCUGAGCAAUCCAAAGUAUUUGAUUUAGGAGACACGUUCACCGACUGACGGGGUUCUGAGCUGUAGAAUAGUGAACCCAGAGACUAAGUCCCUUCGAUUAUACGAGUGUUCAAACCUGCAGAACCUUGUGAGGUACUGAAGCUAUAGAGUACACUUCUCCAUCAAAGACAUACCAUCAAAAUAGCGGUUUAGAAGAUUUAUGUUUUAUGCGCAACCAUGAUUGAAUCAUUCAAGCUAUGCCAGCCUGUAGGACGCGAUCGAGCACCAUCAACAAAGGACUUGCUCGACGAUUCAACGCUGGAUGGUUGCGGGUAUUCAAUAACAGGGGCAUAGUUGUUUAAAUAUUAUAUACUGAGUGCAGCUUUCCAGGCUCGAAAGGGGUUGGGGAACGCCACAUUGAAAGUUGGAUCACAGUCGGGAUAUCUUAGGAGGGGGAGCGAAUCAUUGCGAUUCAUAGCUGCCAUUAAAAUUUAUUGCUUUCAGUAGGACAUUUAUCAUCGUGAGUUCGUGUGUAAAGAAUUGCAAAUAAUUGGGAGGAUGUGAAUGCCACGGCUGUACUCAUUUCUUUCCUUUCACCUUAUAUCUUAGAGGUCACUACUUGUGACUGAUCUUUUGAGCUGCCGGAUUUUGUCCUAAAUGGCGACUGCGUUCUCAUGUCCAUCACUGGUGCUGCGCGAAAAAAAUAGCACCAUAGCUAUCACAUCGGCGUCUCUUGCAAACAACAGUGUCCAGUAUAUUGCAUGACAUCAGUGCUGAAACUGUUAUUUCCAAUCUUAAUAGCGCAGAGAUGUUUUCAUUAUGAGAGGCUGUGUUUUAGUAGUUUCAGAGGUUUCCUCUGGCGGCUUGUCUCUACCCUUGCAAUGCAAUGAGAUAUAUUUAAUGCCAGGAAAGUCGAAACUGAAAUGCAGAUCAAUUAUGCAUUAAGUCCUGAUUUAAGAGUUGGGGUAAUUGGAACAUAACCUGCAGUUAUCUGCCGUGAUCGCCAAAAGCUGAUGCACAGCAACAAUCCAAUGUCCUUCACUUUCUAGAAGAUGUAGCUCCAGAAUCUAGCUUCCAAUUGCUACUAUCUCCUAGAGGAGUGCGUUGAUAGGUUCCCUUCUCUUGGACCAUUCCUCGAGAGAGCUUUAUAUUACCAUUGAUAUCAUAAUCUUAACACAACAAUCAUUCGGAUAUGCAGACGGGCUGAAUGCGAAACGUAGGUUAGAGGAUUUAGUGAGCAACGGGUUUAUUAUUUUAUUUUAUUUUUUGCAUAUCAAUGAAAUCCGUGGGACCUGGAGUAAACCACCAGCUGACGACAGGUUGCAAAACAAAGCAUUUGACAGGGGUGCAGAGUUUUUAGACCUCCAAGACGGGGAGGGAUCUCCAGUAAUGAACUAUCAGUCCCAAAACUUGCGGCGCCCAUGAAUGCACUUCCAUUGACGCGUUUCGGUCCCUUCUUCGAUCCCUACAUUCAAUCUGUACCAUCUGCUCAAUCAAUUUUUACGAGCCGGUCGGGGCCUGUGGCUGUCCAAAAAAAUCUAAACUCGUACAGCGAGACUGUCCUCACCUCCGGACACGGCAAGAGACAAGUGCCUCUUCGUUUGUCACGAAGUUUUUUCCACGCUAUACUACAGUAACAGUAGAAGGUUGUCAGCCCAGGUCUCCAGAGCAACCUUUUCCUCCUGAAGAAAUUCAAUAUCAAAGGCGGGGUUCGUAGCAGACUUUGACCUAGAAUGUACUGCUUUGAUGGACAUGAUCGGAGCUAGGGGGUGCCGUGUCCGGCAAAAUUCGGCCCCCGCCAAUGGUCUAAAAUUUUCACUCCCAUUUGAGAAAUCUCCUACUGGUCCAAAAUUAGACAAGUCCUCAUGCAUCCGAAACAAUCUUAAUUAUAAAGACGACGACGACGAGGCUGUACACAAGGACAGCCAUGGGUGGGGACCGUAAGCUGUAUUUGGCUCACUCCUAGUGCUGUGUACUACACAAAACGGGUGCAGCCAAGACGAUGAACUUCGUUCUAGAAGAAGCUCUUUGUUGACCUGCAUCCGAUCACCAACAACCUAUCCAUCUGCACAGAGCCAGCCUGCUGGCCUCCAGCAAAGAUUCUCUCCAAGUCCGCCAAUAAAACGCCCCCCACCUUCUCUGGUCUUGCAACAUGAAUGCUACCCACGUUAACGUCCAACUUAUCGAACGAUCUGGCAAGCAAUACCAUCAAAACCUGAAGGUAAAAAACCCAGACUAGUCUUCGGCAAAGUCAAGUAUACUAUCACCAAUAGUCUACAUUGUGGGUAGGUGGGUGGGUGGCGACAUUGUGGCAAAAAAUUCCUCAUUUCAUCAUGUAUUAGUGUAUGACGUCGGAGAAGAAGAGGCGCUGUAUCCAGGACCUCAAAGUCCAUGACAUGAGGCUCUCUAAUCCGCGACACCCAUGGCUCCGACCAGCAACGCGGGAUGCAUUUAACGCAAUGCUUGAGCAUCACGCGGCGAGGCACGCGACAUGCAGGGCCCGGAUCCCUGGCACCUGGCCCUUAUUCGCAAUCUCCUUUGGAUGCUGCGCUGGGAAAGUAGCCCACUGUAAAAGCCGACGACGACGACAACGACAAAAUGGGUCAAGUGGUGUCAGUCUCUGCCACAAUCUACACAGGAAUUUCGACCUCGCCAGGGCGCUUCCGCAACACGUCGAAAGAUGUAAUCCGCAAUCACCCUUCAGCAACAACCGGAUCAAAGGUGGAGGCUUUGGUUGCAUGAGGAUGGUGAUCAUCAAUCAUCAAACAUUCAAAAAAACAAAAAAACAAAAAAACAAAAAAAAAACCCACUUUCCAUGCUUGUUAAAGAAUUGGUAGAGUGUCUUGCAAGUUGCAAGUUGGUGUGGAGUUGUCAAAUAUGGAGUUGUAUCUUUUUUGAAACUAUUGUGAAAGGGGUUUUUUAUAUUCUGGAAAGAAGUUGCAAGGUUAUGGUAUUUUUUAUUCUUUUGUUGGCUGAUAUUAAGAUGUAGUAUUUAGUUGGUAUGUUUUGUGUUAAGAAAAAUCAGGGCAAAGGCUUUAAGAUGACAAGAUUAGAAUAUACUAUUUUUCUUUCAUGGCAUGAAUAUUGUUGUGUCCUAAAAUUUGCAGUAGAUCUACCUCAAGUGAGUUUUAGAGAAAUUUAGAGAAAUUUUGUCAAAAACUCAUAGUUUUUUUGAGUAAUAUAAAACAUAUAAACGAUAUAUAUUACAAUUUUUAGAAUUUAUAAAUAAAGACACACGUUGAGGCUUAUAAUAAAAUAAUAUUUUGAUUCAUCUUAUGGUCUCUUACGACCGUGUAUUAACUCUAAAAGCCAUAGCUUCUAAAAGAAUUUUCCUCUUUAUAAGCAAUUGACCUUUGUAAGGCUUUUGUACUAUGGCUUUUCAAAAUGGAUUUUUGGAUAUAUUGACCCUUUUAUUUAUUAGUGGAUUUUUUUAUUAUUGUGUAAUAAAGACUAUGCUUCUAUAAAGAUUAAGAUUAGUUAUAAUUUAUUUAUUUAUUUAUUUCUCUUGUUUCUUUCAACUUGGUCAAAUAGAACGUAGUAUAUUCUGUUAUAUUAGAUCUUUUGUGUUUUUUUCUAUAAAAUAUCUAUUUAAUUAAUAUACUUAAAGUAAGACAGCAUUAAUGUUAUCAAUCAUUGACUUGUUUUCAUAAGAAAUAAGAAUAUUUUAAUUAAAAUCUUUCUUCUUCUUUUUUCAAUCAUUGUUGUAAAACCAAUAAAAGAAAUUUAUUUUGUCUGCAUACAAUUAUUUUUUCAGUAUAUAUAUUUAUAUAUAUAAAGAUGAAUAUUCUUUGUAAUUUCUACUUUACAGAUAGAAGAUUCAAUUAUUUUAGUAACAAUUUUUUAAAAUAAAUUAGAAAUUGACUAUUUCCUUAUUUAAAAAAGUAAUGUUACUGAGUAAUAAAUUAUCAUAAAAUUUAUCUUACAAGAACUAGCCAAUCCUAUACACUCAACUAAUAUUCAAUGUAAUAAAAUUAUUGCAACCAAUUUGAAGUAAAAUCUAAUUAAAAAUAAUUGAAGAAAAAAAUUCCUAAUUGCUAGUCCAAUAAAGUAACAAGUUAUUUUUAUUUUAUCUUAAAUUAAAUUAAUUUUUUAUUUAUUUUAAAAACUAAUCUAUUUUUUGUUUUAAACCAAUCUCAGUGAUCUAUAAAAGAGAGUUUAUAUGAAUACAAUCUACACAUAUUUAUGUAUACUGAAGAUAACUAUUAAAUUUAUAUAUUUUUAAAUCACUAACUUAAUCUACUUUCAAGUUGAUGUAGAAAUAUUAUACAUUAUUUGAUUCAUAAUUUCGAACCAAUCUAUAGUAGAGAAGUCAUUUUUAUCUAACUAUAUUUUUAUGAGUUAGAAUCCUAUGCCAAAAUGACUUAGUCAAGGUCUCAUUAUACCUUUUCUGUAUUUUGUUAUACAAUAGAUUUUUUUGCUAUGAAAAAAUAAAAAAAAAUCUAUAUUUCUUAAAGCUAACCAAGUAUUCUAAUAUUGGAAAUAUUUUUAAUUAUCCAAAAAAAAAAAAUGCAAUCAUUCUUAUCUUUAACUUCUACAAUUAUUUAUAUAAAUUAGAUAAGAAACAAUUUGUUUACUUCUAAGUCUUGACUAUCUUGUCUUUUCAAAAGCUUCAAAGAUGUAAUAUAAUCUCUACUGUAAUUCUUCAGUAAAAAUUUAAAUUUUUAAUAAAAUAUAAUUGACUCUAUCAUUCAUUUACCUUUUGAAACUUAUAAAUAAUAUACUAUUAUCAAAAAAAUAAUUUAAUUUUUAUUAUUUAAUUUGACUGUAUCUAUAAAAAUAUUUUUACAAGUGGAUUGUUUUUAUUGGUAUUUAACAUGUAAAUAUGUUUUGAAGCUAUAACUUAAGAAGAUGAUAUUUAUUUUAUUAUAAAAUUAAAAUUAUGUAAAUAUUAGAUUGUGUAUCUAUUUUAUUGUUUUAACUAAGUUAAGUCAAUCACAUUGAUUAGGAUUGAAUUUGUCUUUUGUAUCUAAAAAAAAUCAAAUUCUCUUUCUUAUUUAUAUUUUGGUUUAUGUUUAAUUUCCUUCAAAAAUAUUAUCACAUGAAUAAUUGAAUACUUGUCUAAUUUCUUUUUAAAAUAAUUCAUCUUAUAGUAUUUUUUAAAGCUUCACCAAUUGAACUACUAACGAAAUCUAACAAACAAAAAACUUUAAAAGUAAUAAUGAUAUAGAUACUCGAAAGUCUUAAAAAUAUGACAGUUUAUUAAGAUUUCUUAGUUAUAAUUAUCAAAUUCUUAUUUUAAUAUUUAAUCAAAUUAUUAUUUUAGUUGUAAUUUAAUCAAAUUAUUAUUUUGUUAUAUGUAAAAUUGUUUUUUUAAUAAUUUUAUAAAAAUAAAAAAAUGAAUUUUUAAUUUUUAAUUUUAAGUAAAGUUAAGUCGAUUUUGUUUGGAAAAUUAUAUCUCUCUAAUUACUAACUAAACAUAAUAUUUUUUUUAUCAUACAUGUCUUAAAGCAAUACAAGAAUAAUUCUGAGAAAAAUUAAAUAUUUUGGUAUCUUCUUGCUUAAUAGGUAUAUGUUGUAUUUUAUAAGAUUAAUAGUAGCAUGGCCUCACAAUCUAUUCAGAAAAUUAAAGCAUGCUUGUUGUGAACUUGUAUGCUUUAAGUAUAUAAACAUAGUUUAUCUGCCAAGUGCAAUACAUAUUGAAUUCAUUGUCAUAGAUAUAAAUAAAUAAAAUACAUAAAAACAAAUUUUAUUAUAUAUUUAAAUAAUAAUAAUAAUAAUCAAAUAUAUUAUACAAAGAAACAAAAGAUUUUGAAAUAAUAUAGAAAUAAAAUAGAUAUAUUUUUAACUAUAUAUAUAUAUAUAUAUAUAUAUAUAUAUAUUCUAAUAAUUAUAAAAGACAUGCAAAUACUUUUUAAGAACCAUAAGACUUAGACAAGAAGUGUUUUAAAUUCUUUCUAGACAUAGAUUGCCUUAAUAAACAUGCGGAUUUACAAAAAUAUAUAUAUAUAUAUAUAUAUAUAUAUAAAUUCAUAUAAUUUUAUAAUAAUUCUAUUGAUACAUACAAUUUAAAUUUUAUUUAUAAAGUUUUACACUGUUCUACAAAAAGAUGUUACUUAUUUGAUUUAUAUCUACUAACUUCUAAUUAUUUCUAUUUAUUUUAAUAAUAUUAAUUACAAAGUUACUAUUGAGUUGGAUUUAAUUAGAAAAAAUUAUAAUAAACUAUAGUAUAUCAAAUUUAUCUUUUGUAAAUUAUUCUGGAGAUAUUGAUAAAUACAAAAUAAAAUAUAUAAUUAAUUUAAUAAUGAUGAUAAUAAUAAUAAUAAUAAUAAUAUAUUUAUUUACCAAGCUAAGUUUUAUAUUUAUUAAGACCUAAUUUGGUAAUAUACUAAAAAUUAGAUUAUAAUUUUAAAUGGAUUCAACACUAAAUAGUUGAAUUUUAUAAUGCAAGAUAUACUAGUAUCCAAAACAUUUUAUGUGUUACACAUGUACAUUGUAAUUUGUGUCAGCAACUCAAGUUCUUAGAUUCAUUAUCUUCAAAAAAACAGUGUAUUCGUUAAUUUUGAUAUAAUCAUAAAUAAUUUUAAAAAAAAAUUCACGUAUUUUUAGUUCAAUACUGGAUAUUAUUACAGAAAUACUAAUUAUUUUAAUUAGUUUUCAGUUAUAAAUUUUUAAUUUUUAAUAUGUAUAUUGUGAAAAAUAAAGUUUAUAAUUUUAUCCUUAUUAAAUUAAUUAAUUUAGCCAAUUUUUAAAUUAAUAUGACCAACAGCUCAUAGCAUCUAAUAUAUAUAUAUAUAUAUAUAUAUAUAUAUAUGUAUAUCAAUUUUGUGUAUUCUAAAAGAUAAGAAUAAAAUAUUGUAAUAAUUUCAAUUAAAAAACCUACUUUCUAGGGAGAAAUUUGAAUUACAUAAAUAAUUUUCAGAUAUAUGCAAAAAAAAUUGAAAAAAAUAUAAAAAAUAAAUUAAAAUCAUAAGACUCAAAUAUAAUUUUUAUUUUUUUCAAAAAUAUACAAUUAAUAUAUAUAUAUAUAUAUAUAUAUAUAUAUAUAUGUAUUCAAGUAUGUAAUUGGUAUUUUUUAUAUAGAGAGAUUAGUUAAUGAUAUCAUUCUAUCUUCAAUUACAAUAUAGUUUCUUUUCUAAAGUUUUUUUAAAUAUUACAAAUAGAUACAUAUAUAUUUUUUAAAUAUUAGAUUUUAAUAGUGUACAAGAUUUUCUUUUACAUAGAAAUAAUAAUUUUUUAUAAGAGUAUAGCAUAAGAUACUUAAAAUAAUAAAAUCUAAUACACAUUAUAUAUAUUAUAAGUAGUUUUAAUAUUUUAUUAUAUAAAGUAAAUAAAUUGAAGUUGAUUUUCUUGUACAUGAUUUUCUCUAGAAACUUAUUUGAUAGUAUAUACCUUAAUAUAUUCAUGAAAUGAAAUAUUUUAAUUUUUAACAAAUUUACAUAAAACUAGUUUCAAGGGUUUAAAUUUAUUUUCAUUUUAAAUUUAAAAUAUAAUAAAUGAUUUGAAUUAUAUGUGUUCACUUAUAGAUAUUGAUUGUUUUUAAAGUCUUUCAUGCAUAUGUAUGUUAAGAAGUUAUUUGAAUCGUGUUAAAAUUAUUUUGAGUUUUUUAAUAUUUUAAAUUAUAUAAAAUUUUAAUAAUUUUCAAAGAUUUAACUUUUUUAAAUCAUUAAAAUUAAAAAGAAAAUAUUGCAUGCUAUUGUUGAAUUAAAAGUAAACUUUAAAUUAUUUUAAAACAUCUUAUCAAUUAUUGGUCCUAAGUUUGAUUUCAUAACUUUAAAUUACAUUUGAGUAAAAUAAUCAAAGAAAAGACUAUCUUUAUAACUAUUAAAUUCUUUCUAUUUAUCUAAAGUGAUAAAUUAUAGAAUGGUAUUUUUAUUGUAUUGAAAAGAAUCAAUAAUCUCAGUUUGAAUUCUAUCUUUGUUACAAUAUUAUUAGUGAUAGAAAUAGUUUAAAUAUUAUAAAACAUUUAUCAAAACAAGAUCAUGAUUCUAAAAUAUUUGUGGUUAUUACAUUCAUUAGGAUUCAUACUUAAUUUUGAAAAAUUGUUGAAAACAUAACAAAUGCUUGUAUUAAUAAUAUGUAUAAUAAGAUUAUUAAAAAGAGAAGUUGGUUUCUAAAUAAACCUUAAAGAAUAUUACAACUAGUGGAAAAUGUAUAUAUAUAUAUAUAUAUAUAUAUAUAUAUGAAAUUAAUGAUUGUAUUUUCUAAUGAAGAUUAGAUAUCUUUAAAAAUACAACUAAUAUUCACCUAAAUAUUAUUUUUGAUAUAUAGUUAAAUACACAUAAAAUAAAUGAAUAAAAACAUAACAAAUUUUUAGAUCAAUAUAAGAAAAUAUUAGAGAUAGAAACCAUUUUUUAAUUUUUAGUUUUAUUAUUUUUAAUAUAUAUAUAUAUAUAUAUAUAUUAUUUUUAAUAGAUAUAUAUAUAUAUAUAUAUAUAUUUAAAUAUUCCUUUUAAGUUUCCUAAAUUCAACUCUUGUGAAAAAUCUCUUAUAAACACUACAAAAACAUUAGAAUUAUGGAGUCAUUACUUUGAAUUGCAAUAUUUUUAAAUUUUAAAUUGAACUAAAUUUAACUUCAUAAUUAUUCAAAUUUUGUCAAACCUCUAAAACAAAAAAUAAUAAUAUAAAAAUUGUAGAAAUAAAUCAUAUUCACAUGCGUCAUAGUAAAGACCAUUCAAGAACCUUACUUGAUUGAUUUGAAUACAAUUACACUGAAAUGUUUGUUACAAUAAAUAUACCAUCUUAGUCUUUGUCUUAACAAUUAAACUCUGUUGAUAUUAUUGAUUAUACAAGACAUACUCUCCAAAAUACGACGCCAAAAAGUCUAAACUAAUCGGAGGUGUGUAUGAAAAACCUGUAAUGAGAGCUUCAACUGGCACCUCAAUACAUGCAACCCAUGCGCUGCAAAUUGUAAGAAUGUUCAAACAAAUAGACAACCUUCAGUUUAUCAUAAGUUUCCAUUCGAGGUUUUGAACAAUUGGAUUGCAAAUUCUCCGGACUUCAUUGCACUGCCGUCAUGAGUAAAUCCGUAGCUCCAAAGUCUGCUCCAUCUUUCCACAUUGUUCAGACUGAAUGAUUUCAUGUAAAAAGUUCUCUAUCUUCCCUUCUCUUCGUCUUGCAACUUAAACAGAGUUGCAAUUUUAGAUUCGAAGCAAAGUGUUGAAAUUUACAAAUCAACUGACCCCUUCAAUACCAAACCAGUGUAACAUGAUACUUUGAACACCCACUUUGAAAUGCCACUCUCGAAUAGAACUACCACAAAAAUACCGUUCUACAAACUACUCACAUCAGUUUUCUUUACCUGUAAGGUCGGAUGAAAUGAGCAAGACAAAACGAACUUAGCUUCUUCCAGUUUGUCACGGUCACUCUGAGCUUUGCAAAAACAGUGUCUUUUGUUUUUUGGUAUGCGCUAAAUAAUGGUCGUUUAAGAAGAAAGCUCGUUGUAUUCCCCCUGCAUCGAGUAACAUCACGAGGAGCAUCAGAAUAUAUCAAUAUGAUCACUUUCUCGAACAUAGACUUGGUGAAUUAUGUUGGUCGUGACCCGCUUCAAGCUCCGACAACAAAUAGAUUUCAUCUGCAACUCGCGUGCAUGACGUUGAUUAUUGCUGCAUAACGCCUCCUUUUCACUAAGUAAUAUUAAUUGAUUACUGAGAAUGUCUUGAGCCCAUCAGACGGCACUGUAAUCACUUCAUGACUUCGUGAUCUUCAUCAUGGUACAUAAUAAGAAAUCCAAGGAGAAGAGACUAGGGCUUUGUGGGAAGAUGCAACACAAUUUUAGAAUGCCGAUGUACUGCAACACUGGAAGAAGUGAAUUUAGUCUCUCGUAUUCUGUGGUUUAUAGGUCAGUCUUAGCAGCAACGGGCAUCGAAACAGGAGCAUCAUAAGCUCAUUGCUUCUCUGCCACCGACUGUGUCAUUUGGAUGCCUCACAUGAGCAUUAAUUUAGAUAAUCAGGAAGACGUCUUGAAAUGCUUGUCGAUGAUCAUAUUCACACUAGCUAUGAUUCUACAGAAGUGGCAAUCUCCAAAGCAAGUCCACAUGGUUGUUACUGAGAGAUAGAAUGCUUUCCAAAACCGCAACGGUGAAUGACCCGUAUAUUCAGAACCUACGUUUCCAUUCACAUUCUGAUGCUCUGAUUGGAACUUUGCCAAGGUGACGAUCAAUUUCUUGAGUGGUGUUCUUUUUGUUUCUUAUUACCCGGUCCUUGCAGCAGGAAUUGCUAUAUGGUGUGGCGUCAGUUUCCUGCUCAUCCCCAGCAACCACCCGAUAUCCUCAAACACACUCAAUCAGCCGUCAUUUGUACAGUGGGUGCUCCGAAAUUUUCAAUCUACGCUAACUCAGAUAAAUAAAUAAAAAAAACUAACCGCUGAGAUGCAAAAGACGAAUACCCUCCGAUGGACACCAAAUUAAGGAGCUCGUACUUGUCAAAAACCUUUGGAACAGAAUUCCCAGUUAAACCUGCUCCUGAAGUUACCCAUCGAUCCCAGCCCAUACUUCACAACGCUCCUGACCUGGCACUCACGGAAGUUUGAGCACAAUAGGGUACUAAAAUUGAAAUUUGUCUACAUAGAGAAUGCAAAGCAUCCGUCAAGAAGAUACAAAAUGCGAAUUCUGUAUCCAGACCGCAACACUAUUUAUACACCCUUUCAGUGACCCAGAACUGCGAGCAUGUAGAGGGUAUUUGAUAGAAUUGCAGUAGUAUAACGUUCCAAGAUUUCAUACCCUUCUCAACCUAUCAUACAAUGCUGGGUACAGUCUUCUCGGCAGUGAGCGUGGAGCUCAUUCAUGUGCUUAAAACUAACGCACCACCUUUCUAAGACGAACACUACUACUUCACACCUUCAGGAAUGAACCAUUGUUUCCCAACCGAGAAGACGGACACGAGCAAGGUUCAAUCCGAUAACUCAAGGAAUUAUUUUGCCCCCUCUCUUUCACGGCAGUGAGCACAACAUGAGAGAGGAAUGAAAGAGAAACGACGGCGCAUCCGAUCUGCACAUAGUGGUUUGAUUGAUCGUUUUUUAAUAAUAGGGGUUUCAAACAUGGCACUUUUGCAAAACAAAAUAAUUGGGAUUCAGCACCCGUUGUUUCCAGGAUCACUCAAAAUAUGUAAUCCAAAAUAUCACUGUUCAAUCUUUACUACCCCUUGAUAUUACCUUUGAUUCAAGAAAACUGAGGCAAGCAACAUGGUUUUUGAUAUUCGACCUAUUCCUCUUUUGAUAUUUCAAUUUCAAAAUCACCCAUGUUGCAAGGUGGGUGCUUUAGUGAAGUAUCAAGUGAUAUUUUGAAAUAUCACAAGAUACUUCAAGCUUGCAUCAAGGUUGAAAUAUCAUCCGAAAAAAACCAUGUUUAAAACUCCCUGAUGUUAAUGAGAAUAAUAUUAACAAAUAACCUCACUUUCACCUCUUAAAUACAUUUGCAAACCAACCUUCAGUAAGUUUACAUUAUUAUACAUAUGGUGUGUUAAUCCUCUAAACUCCAAAGAAUCAUGAACAAGAGUGACAUCACACAUUCAUUGUGAAAUAAAUUGAACGAAAUUGAAAGAAAAUCCCAUAAAAAAUGACGUAUACAUUAAUAAACAAACACCUUAGUUGGCUAUAUCUCAGUCAGAUUAUUCAAAAUAGCUUAAAUUGGAUUGAGAAUAUACCAAUUAUAAGCAACAACAAAAUUAGAUAUUGUUGUUAUUUUUGAAGUUAUUUCCAUCAGCACAUGUCGAAAAUAUUAAUAGCAAUGCCCAUAGGAUGGCAUGUCCAACACAUUAGUUAACAAUAGUGUUUUAUUCUUAAAACAUUCAUCACACCACAAUUUUUAUUAGCAUCCAUAAGCCACUACACAGAAUCUAACUAACAGUAAACAUAUAUUUCGAAAUAGUAAUGUGUAAACAAUUCCACCUUCAGAACAUGCAAAAACAAUACAAACUCAGUAAUAGUUGCAUGACAGCUGUCGGUAUCUAAAACCCCCCUUUCCUCGCUCUUUCCUUUCGGGCCUUCGUUUGGGGAAAACCAAUUUUCCUUUUCUUUUUCCCUUUCCGAGAAAGGCACCGAUGGCGUGUGACGUGGCCACCUUGCUUAUCGCUCCUGCCAAAGAUGCCACGCGGGACCACUCCACGUGGAACUUAUGACGUGGAUAAUGAUGUGGUCGUCCAACUAGGAUAACUUGGCGACGUGGAUGCCAGCACAGCACAGGACAACCAUAAACUUUCUUUAAUUACCCGGAUUAGUGGGCCAGCCUAGUUACUUUUAAAAAGUCGCCGUUCACACGGGAAGCGCCGGUGGGGACCAGCCACACCGGACCCGACUCAACCCGACCCGAGUCGGCCCCGCAUUGUUAAGCGUGCAACGUUAAGGGUAUCAAUCAAUGAGUCAAACAUCUCCCCGGAUACGCGAUGAUCACAAGCUUUGGAUGGACUGGACCACAAGAGCUCUGAGAUGUACAUAGAGCAUUAAAGAGCAUUCAAGUGCAUUAGAGUGAUGCUGUCUGAAUAUUCGUUGUUGAGGGAGUGUGUUGUUUAAACCACAAUUUGAUGAAUGACGGUAGAAAUUAUGGAAUGAAUGAAAUAUAUCAUAUAAAUAUGUGUGUGUGUGUGUGUGUGUUUAUUUUAAUAGUAGUUUAUAUUUAAUCUCUAGUGUUACAUUAUUGUGGCAUAAACUAUGACGAGAAAUGUGGUUUGUUGGACAGUCACAUAAACAAUAAUAUCCUGACACGAAUACAUCAAUUGUUGACAAUUAGGUAUGAACUAUGCCCAUCUACCAAGAAAAUUAAAGAAUACAAAAUAGGUGAACUUAAACGUAGAUAUAAUUUUGAACAAAUUGUAUGCAUGUAUGUAUGUGUGUGUGUACGUGUAUGUAUAUAUUGAUAAUAAAAAAUUAAGAACCUUAAUGUAUCACCACGUAUAAUUUAGGGCAUGGGUAUUAUGGUACCCAGUUCCAAACACUUUAAGAUUGUAACCCUUGGGAAUACAACUAAAUACUUGUGCAUAAGUUCCCAAGUUGAAUUCCCACCCUCAUGGUUAGAAAGAGCCUUAAAAGUUAUCAAAAUAUUGGGGGUUGUUGGGGAGCACCAAAAUAAUUUUUGGUGAUGAUAAGUUACCCAUUCUAAUUUCAAUGUAAAUUAUUUAUAUUUGCAAAUAAUUAAUGUGUACAUAAAGUGUUCUCUCUUAGCAUCCAUAAGCACCCUUUUUUCUAGUUACUAAAAUUUUUAGUUUUAUCUGUGUAUACAUAUGUACACACAUAAGUAUGUGAACUUAAAUGUUUUGAUAAUAUUAUUUUUAGGCAACAGCUUAGCAAAAGAAUUUGUUCACAAAGUUCUUAUUUUGAAAUAAUACAUCAAAAAACUUGCAAUCAAAGGAACCACAAUAUUGAAAACCUUUUCUUCUUUUUUUUGUUCAAAUUCUCUCUAAAAUUCAAUAGAACCACUAAUGUUUCCAUUCAAAAUUUGAAGCACUUCCUAUCAAGGGGUUUCAAACAUGGCACUUUUGCAAAACCAAAUAAUUGGGGUUCAACACCUAAUAUUUCUAUGAUAAUUCAAAAUAUCAGAUCCAAAAUAUCACAAUUCAAGCUUUAUUGUCCCUAAUAUUACCUCCUGAUUCAAACUUUAAUACUCCUUGAUAUGGAGUCAAAGAGGGAAGAAAGUUGAAGCAAACAAUGCAGUUUUUUAUAUUUGACUAUAUUUGACCAUCCCCUCAUUUGAUAUAUCAAUUUCAGAAUCACCCACUUCACAAGGUGGGUGAUUUGGUGAAAUAUCAAAUAAUACUCUAAAAUAUCACAAGAUAUUUUGAGCUUGCAUCACGGGUGAAAUGUCACCCAAAAAUGCCAUGUUUGAAACCUCUUAAUAAAAAUUUCUGUAAAAUGCACUUUUGAGCAAGUCUAGUUGUUCUGACUAAAAAUUCAGUAAACCACUUAGUACUUACAAACAGUUAACCUGGAAUGUCUGCAGUCCUAUCUUUGUGAAAUAAACAAGUCAACAACUGUAAACUAUUUUUUAUUAUAAAAUUUUUGGUAUUCAUUUAUUUUUAUCUGGAGUUCUUUGUUUUGCAUUUGGAGCUUUCCAUGUAACAGGCUUAUUUGGCACUGGUAUUUGGGUAUCCGAUCCUUAUGGAUUAACUGGAAAAGUACAACCUGUUGUUCCAGCUUGGGGAGCUGAAGGUUUUGACCCUUUUGUUCCAGGAGGGAUAGCUUCUCACCAUAUUGCAGCAGGUAUUUUAGGUAUACUAGCUGGUUUAUUCCAUCUUAGUGUUCGUCCUCCUCAACGAUUAUAUAAAGGAUUACGUAUGGGGAAUGUUGAAACUGUUUUAUCUAGUAGUAUUGCUGCUGUAUUUUUUGCUGCUUUUGUUGUUGCUGGAACUAUGUGGUACGGUUCUGCUGCAACUCCAGUAGAAUUAUUUGGCCCUACUCGUUAUCAAUGGGAUCAAGGUUUUUUUCAACAAGAAAUCGAUCGUCGAAUUCGUGCUAGUAAAAGCGAAAAUUUAAGUUUGUCAGAAGCUUGGUCUAAAAUUCCAGAAAAAUUAGCUUUUUAUGAUUACAUUGGUAAUAAUCCAGCUAAAGGUGGAUUAUUUAGAGAGGGUGCUAUGGAUAAUGGAGAUGGAAUAGCUGUUGGAUGGUUAGGUCAUGCUGUUUUUCUCACUAUAAUAAAAUCUAUGGAAGCAUUGGUUUAUACAUUUUUAUUGGUAGGUACUUUAGGAAUAAUCUUUUUUGCUAUUUUUUUUCGUGAACCACCUAAACUUCAAACUAAAGAAAAAAAAUAAUUUUUUAUUUUGAUAAAAAAUUACGAACCUUCCCUUUUUAUUUUAGGGAAGGUUUUUAAUAAUUAAUUUAAUCUUCAUGCUCUUCAAAAGGAUCUCUAAGUUCUUUAGAGGGUUGCCCAAAAGCUGUAUAAAGAGCAUAGCCAGUAAAACUUACGAGUGAACACGAUAUAAAUAUAGCGACUAAUGUUGCAGUUUCCAUUUUUAAGUAGUUCCAAAAGAAUGGUUUAUUUUUAAUUAAUAUAAUAGUACACAAAGUUAACAAAUCUCAACUAAUGCAAUAAAAUUUUAUGGCUACACAAAUUAUUGAUGAUACUCCUAAAACAAAAGGAAAAAGAAGUGGUUUAGGAGAUAUAUUAAAACCACUUAAUUCAGAAUAUGGUAAAGUUGCUCCUGGAUGGGGUACAACACCUUUAAUGGGUGUUGCAAUGGGAUUAUUUGCUGUUUUUUUAGUUAUUAUUCUUGAACUUUAUAAUUCUUCCGUAUUAUUAGAUGGAGUUCCUGUAAGUUGGUAAUAACUUAAAAAGGUUCAAUAAAAAAGUUUAAACUUUUUUAUUGAACCUUUUUAAGUUAUUACCAACUUUAUUUAUUUACUAAAGGUAGUUUAAUCGUGUAAUCAAUUAAUUAAAGGAUUUAUGGAUUAUGGGUGUGCGACUUGGUUAGAUAAAUGAAAUUUAAAAAAGACAAAAUAAUUUGUUAAUCUUAAAAAAAAGAUAUUUUAUUUUAUUAAAUGUUAAUAAAUUUAAUAUUUAAAGCAUAAAUUUCAAUUAAAAUAUUAGCAAUUUUUUUUUAAUUUAAACUAUGAUUAAUUUUUUUAAUUUACUAUUUAAAUUUCGUUACCAAAUUUAAGUGUUUUUACUCUUUAAAAGUUUAUAAUGAUUUUAAAAAUUAUUUACCUAUUAUAAUUUUUUUUUAGUCAUCGGAAUAUAGUAAAAAUCUAAAGUUUAAUUAUUUUUAAUAAAUUUUAAACAAGAAAAUCUUUAAAAAAAAAUUAUUCAUUUUAAAGAAGAAGAUCGCUCAAAAAAGCAAUUAAUAUAAAAAGCUAACUUGAGAUAAAAUAUAAAAAAUAUAUAAAAAUUUCGAUUUAUAUAUAUAUACUUUUUUAUUUUUAAGCCGUAUGAAAAAAAAUUAUCAUUUACGGUUUGUAGAGAGGAAAUACAUAAAAGUUUGUCUAUCUCAAUAGAGUAUACGAUUGGUUUGAAGAACGUCUUGAAAUUCAAGCAAUUGCAGAUGAUAUUACUAGUAAAUAUGUCCACCACAUGUGAAUAUAUUCUAUUGUUUAGGAGGCAUCACCUUAACUUGUUUUUUAGUUCAAGUAGCAACUGGGUUUGCUAUGACUUUUUAUUAUCGUCCAACUGUUACUGAAGCUUUUGCAUCUGUUCAAUAUAUCAUGACUGAAGUUAAUUUUGGCUGGUUAAUUAGAUCAGUUCAUAGAUGGUCCGCGAGUAUGAUGGUUUAAUGAUGAUUUACACAUAUUUCGUGUUUAUCUUACAGGGGGUUUCAAAAAACCUCGUGAAUUAACUUGGGUUACUGGUGUUAUUUUAGCAGUAUUAACAGUUUCAUUCGGUGUAACUGGAUAUUCUUUACCUUGGGAUCAAAUUGGUUAUUGGGCUGUUAAAAUUGUAACAGGUGUACCUGAAGCUAUUCCUGUUAUAGGCUCACCUUUAGUAGAAAUAUUAAGAGGAAGUGUUAGUGUAGGUCAAUCUACAUUAACUCGAUUUUACAGUUUACAUACUUUUGUAUUACCACUUCUUACUGCAGUGUUUAUGUUAAUGCACUUUUUAAUGAUUCGUAAACAAGGUAUUUCAGGUCCUCUAUAAAUUAUUAGAAUAUAAUUUUUACUAAAUUUUGCUGACAUAAUAAAUUUUUAAUAGUAAAUUUUUACUAUUAAAUUUUUAUUAUGAACUAAAUUUAUUUAUUGCCAUAAAUUAUUUUUAGUUUAACGCUUAAAAAAAAUUUAUGGAUUUUCUGUAUUUUAUUUAAACAUUUAAAUAAAAUAUAUCUUUAUUUAAAAAAAAAUUUUAAUUAUGGGAGUGUGUGACUUGAAUUAAUUAUUGACUAUGUAGAUUUUUUAUUUAGUCUACCACAUUAAUUAUAAAAUUUAAAUGUGUUGUUAUCCUAAAUUAUUUUAAUAAAAAUAAAAAAACUUAGGUAAAUUUUUUUAAACAAAUUUUUUUCUAUGAUUUAUUUUCUAAAUAGGCUUCAUAAAAUUUAAUAAAUAAUUAAUAUAUGUAUAUCUGUAUUAUUUCUAUAUGAUAUAUAUUAAAAUAAUGUGAUAAAAAACAUCAUUCAUUUCCGUUGGGUUUUUUAAUAUAAAAAUCAUAGGAGUAAAAAAAAAAUCUAAGGAAAAAAAAAGUUAAUAUACUAACAAGUUAAGUUUAAAUAAGUACAAAAUUUUAUAGAUAAUAAAAAAACUUAUAAAAACUAAGACUAUCCAAAAUGCAUAUUAUAAUAAAUUAAUUAUAAAAAAAUUUCAAAAAAGCAUACUUGGAUUUUGAACUUUUUUAAAUAAAUAAAAUUUAAAUAAAAAUAGUUUGAGUUGGAUGAAUAAAAAAUUCAUGUCCAAUUCUUUAAGGGGAAUAUUUUUUAAAUAGCCUAUCUUAAUAACAAAAAAACCUGAUUUAAGUGACCCUGUUUUACGAGCUAAAUUAGCUAAAGGUAUGGGUCAUAACUAUUAUGGAGAACCUGCUUGGCCUAAUGAUCUUUUAUAUAUUUUUCCAGUUGUUAUUUUAGGUACUAUUGCAUGUACUGUAGGCUUAGCUGUUUUAGAGCCUUCUAUGAUUGGUGAACCAGCAAAUCCUUUUGCAACUCCUUUGGAAAUUUUACCUGAAUGGUACUUUUUUCCAGUUUUUCAAAUACUUCGCACAGUUCCUAAUAAAUUAUUAGGUGUUCUUUUAAUGGCUGCAGUACCUGCAGGCUUAUUAACAGUACCUUUUUUGGAAAAUGUAAAUAAGUUUCAAAAUCCUUUCCGUCGUCCAGUAGCAACAACUGUUUUUUUAAUUGGUACUGUAGUAUCUAUUUGGUUAGGUAUUGGAGCAGCUUUACCUAUUGAUAUAUCAUUAACUUUAGGGCUUUUUUAAUAUUAGACUAAUCUAAUAGAUUCUUUUUUUUAUUAAUUAAUUAGAGUAUUUACUUCAAAGUAAAUACUCUAAUUAAUUAAUAAAAAAUAAUUUUUUUAAAUUUAAUUUAGUUAUUUUUUUAUUUAUUAAAAAAAAAUAGAAAAAGACUUGAUUAAAAAAAAUUUAAGUAAUAUAAUCAUAAAGUGAUUAUAUUAAUUUGUUUAACUAAUAAAAAUUUAUUAAAUAUUAAUUUUUUUUUUUAUAUUUUUUUAAACAAAAAACGGCGACAUGGCCAAGUGGUAAGGCAGAGGAUUGCAAAUCCUUUACCCCCAGUUCGAAUCUGGGUGUCGCCUAAAAAAGUAAAUUUAUUAAAAAGAGUUGGAUUAACUACUAUGUCAUGUUUUAAAUAAAAACUGUAUUGCUCUAUAAUUUACUUUAGCCUAGUACUUUUUUUUUAUUUAAACGCAUUAUUAAUAGAUAAUCCUAACAUUAAGAAUAAAUCAAAUAAAUAAAAAAAGCAAGUCUUUUAAUAUUUACAUACUAACUAUUUAUCUAUAUUUCUUAUAAUAAAAGAAUAUGAUAUAUAUAUAUGUAUGUAUAGUCUUUUUUUUGUUAUAAAUACAAAAACAUUAUAAAAAAAUAAUUUUUUAUUUAUUUUUCUUAUAAGUAUUAUUUAUAAUUAAUUUUUAUUUUAACAUUUAUAAAAACAUAUGGAUAUAGUUAAUAUUGCUUGGGGUGCUUUAAUGGUAAUGUUUACAUUUUCUCUUUCACUUGUCGUUUGGGGAAGAAGCGGAUUAUAAAAAUUAGAUUUAAAAUUUAAUGUUUUUUUUAUUUUUAUAUUUUUUUUAUUAAAUAUAAAAAUAAAAAAAAGCAUUAAACUAAUUAGAUUAUACUUUUACUAUUUAAUAAAUUAAUUUGUAUAAGAAAUAAAAAAAGUAUAAUCAAUUUUUUCCCACCCUUUAUAAAAUUUUUUUUUUAAUUUUAUUUUUUGAUAAUUUUUAUUUUUCUUUAAGUUUUUUUUUUGUGAAAUAAAAUAAUUAUUAUUUUUUUUAGAAAAAAUAGUAAAAUUUAAUUUAUUAUUCCGUAAGUAUAACUUUCUACUAUAAAAAAAAUGGCAGUUCCACUUAAAAGUAUUUGUGAUAAUAAAAGAAUUGGAUCUAAUCGCCAACCUUGAAAAAUAAGAAUCCCUCCACAUAAUAAUCCAAUUGAUGAAAAAAAUGAAUCAUAAUAUUAAGAUAGGUUAAUGUUUUUAUUUAUAGACAUGACCCUCUUAAAAACCAUACAUGAUAUUUUAAUUUCUUUAUGGCUUAAACAUUAAAAUGAAAAAAAAACCUUAUAAAAUUUAAAUGUUCUAAAUCCAAGUAAGUUUAAAAAGAAUUUUGAAAAAAAAAACUUUUUGGAUUGUCUUUUCUUGUUUGAUUUUAUUUUUACAACAAGUUUAUUUUAUUUAUACUUAAAUUUAUUUAACAUUAUCCUUAGGCUCAUUUUAUAUUUCAUGGAUUUAAUUAUUUUUAUUUCUAAAGAUAUAAAAAUAAAAUUAAAUAAAAAAAAAUAAAUUAUUUUUAGUUGUUAUUUAAUUAAAGUUCCAAUUUUCUUUAAUUUAAAAUUUAAGCAUGUUUUCGAAAUAAUGUUUUAAUUAUGUUCAAUUUUUAGCCAUAGAUUUUUUGAUAUAAUUUUAAAUUUUAUUUCAAGUUUUCUAUUUAUUAUUUAUUGUUAAUUUUGUUAAAUAGAAAUAAUAGAAUUAGCAAAAAAGCUGUUUGUACAUAAAGAAUUAGCAAAAAAGCUGUGGGGAUUAAAAUGAACAAUGCAGUAGCAAUAAAUGCAAGAAUAUUUACUUCCAUAUGUUUAUUAUAUUAAUGUUUAGUUUACAAUACUAAAAAAUAUCAUCUGAUUUUAUUUAUAAAUUUUUUAUUAUCAGUUUAAUUAUAAAAUUAAGCAGUUUAAUCAAAAUAUUUGAAAUCAAAAGAAUAUGAUUUUAUUUUUUUGAGUUUACAGGUUUAGGGUUUAUGUAAAUUUACACGUUUUUAUAAUAAAUUUGAAUUUAAAACAUAAUGAAACUAGAUAUCAUAUGUACGUUUUUUCAAUGAAAAUUUGCACUAGACUAUCAGUUCUUUGUGUAAAAUAAUGCAAAUUUUGAUUGUGAUUAUUUAUCCAAAACUAGUGAAUUCUUUUGUAUUUAGUAUUUAAUGUGCAUUUCACGUUGUUCUACAAUUCAUAUUCAAAACUUAGCAAUGAUUAUAAUUGGUAGUAUAUUGUGGCUGUAAAUGUAAAAUAAUUGCUAACAGAGAACGUAUGCAAAAAAAACAUGUACAUUGUUCGUCUGGACUUGUACAAGCACCGAUUUUAUAAUAAUAAAAAAUGUAGUUAUUUUAAUUCUUAAUUCUACUUUAAUAUAAUAAAAAUUAUCUAAAUUUGCUUCCAAUGUUCUAUGCCUACAGAAAAUUAUGUUGUUCUUUUUUGAGCAGAUCCAGGAUGGGAAACAUGAUAAAUACUUCAUCUAAUUGAUCUACUAACACAAGUGUGGCAUCUCAGAGAUAUCACAUGUAGAGGCUUAUAAAUAAUAUUAAAAGAAUUAAUCUUACAUAGAAGGCAAAAAUCUUCAUAUGUAUCAUCGUCAUUAUGAUUAAAAUGUUGCUUUUAACUAUUAUAGUAAAACCUUUAAAAAAUCAAAAUUGUAUAUGUAUGUAUAUAUAUAUAUAAAUAAACAGACACAUCAACACAAUUUCAUGAAAUUGCACUGAAUUGUAUAGUUGAGUUACUAUUGUAAAAAUGUGAUAAACAACCAAUUACUUCUGCAAUUGUCAGUGUUAUGUUCAAGGAAGUGAUAAUCAGUUCAAGAUUUUAAAGACAAUAAUAAUUUGAAGAUCUCACGAACACUUUCCUCUUCAGGAUAAAAAUAAAUAUGAAUCAUUAAAAACCAGAAGCAGGUAGUGCAUAAUAAUUUUACAUUUAAAGAAAACGUUUAACAAAAAAACUACAUUAUUGCUUUAAAAGUAAUAUAUUCUGUUUUUUAGUCAUCUUCUUUUUGUAUACAAUAAUGCAUGUGAUGGUUUUUGGGGGUUUUGUUAUUACUAUUGUAUUUGAAUAGGCACAAAGAAACAUAUUUGUUAUUACAGAUAUUGAUUCACUGUAUUUAAUUUUAUUUAAAGAAAAUAACAGUAACAAUGGUUGAUAUAUAUAUAUAUAUAUACAUAAACAGAACUGGCUGUUGUAAUGAAUAAUGAUCUUGGUUUGCAGAAUUUUAAAAUUUAUUUGGGUGUUUUGCCACAAAAUUGAACAAGUUUGAUUUUCAAGCUAAGAUCAUUUUAAAAUAGUAAGAAAAUGACCAUCGCAGGGGAACCUUAUCAACUUUUAAUUGAAAGGAUCUCAUGAAAUUGAGGAUUUUACUAAACAAAAAUGUAAUGAUAGGUGAAGAAUAUCCUCAACAUUCAUUUGUUUGUUUAUUCAAUGUUUUACAAUAAAUGAAAUUAAUAUGCUACACUAUAAUUCCUUAAACGCACACUAUAAACGAUUAAGAUAUUAUCUAUAGAAAUGCAUUAUUUGGACACACCUUUCAUUAUUUAGCCUUUCAUAGACGAAUAGAGCACGAGGACAAUUAAAUGGAUGAAUGAAAAUACAUAUAUGGAUGAUAAAAGAUGGAUGAAAUACCAGGGUGGCAGAAAAUGAUUUCCCGCGCACACGCGGGAAAGGAACUUGCGAUGAAGGAACGGAAAGUCAACUUCAAUGGAACACACGACGAGGCCACACGGCACUCCAAGACCUCCACGUCAUUCAUCCAUUCGCUUUAGUGGUAAAGCUUGAUUAUGGUCACACUGUUGAAAAACGUUCACGAAAGUAAAAAGUAUGAAAAAGUAUAUAAAAAGAUGUUACUUUUAGAAGAUAGAUUCGGUUUCAAACCCUACUUUGAUUGCCAUGUAGGGUUUGAAACCGAAACUAUCUUCUAAAAGAUUUUGGUAUUCAAUUCGCACAAUUGUAUUCUUAUCCUCACUAGCAAUGGGGACGAAUCAACAUGUUGUAUGCUUACAAUUCUUUAAACGUCAAAAAGCAUGACACAAUGCAAAAAGAUGACAAGUAGUAGUAAAAUAUUAUUUCUAAACGUGCCUGUGGAUGUUGUUCGAUAAAUAUUAAAAGAAAUAAACUACACCAUGUUGUUGUUUAAUAAAAAUGAUAUACUUUUGUUUUGAUAAGAAUGGAAGAUUCGAAACUUGUUUUUUACGUGCACUUUUAUGUUCACAACGUGGAGCCAGAGAAAAUAUGUUUUGUGGCUGUUAGCAAUGAAGGUACUCAUUUUGAAAACAUUUUUUAAAAAUACUACUUGCACAGGAAAUAUUGAUUUUAUGAUUUCAACAUUGAAUUCUGUAGAAAUUUACAAAAGCAAAAAAAUGAAAAUGUCAGAACAAGAUUUGAAUAAUUUUAUUCAUUUAACUCAGUCAUACCUCUCGUGGUUGCUUAGGGUUUCAUGUGGGCAAUAUUCAAACAUAAAAAUGAACUAACAUUAUUUUUGAAUUUGCUAUCGUGUAUUAUAACAUGGUCACGUUGCUGUAUAUGGGAUAAAAAUGCACAAUUUCUAUAAUUGUCUUAGCAUGUUACAACAUAAUCUAGUCCUGUAUUUUAAUUUAAUAUAUUAAAUCAUUACAAAUUCAAAUCAGUAAAAAAGUAAAAUAAAGACAUACUUAACUUAUCAAAAAAACUAAUUGAAGGUAAAAGACGUACAAAUACUCCUGCAAAAUAAACCGAACAAUUUCGAUAUUAUGGGGUAAACAAUAGUUACAAAAGAAGAGAUACGAAUAUACACGAACGUACACACCCAGAUGGAGGAUCGCAUACGUACAAGUUCGUAUAAAUACGACACAUAUCACACACUCUCUGGGCCCGAAAGGAGCGAAAUCGAGCCCUCCACGUCAAACACUGCGCGCCAAAAGAGGAGACGGAUGGGGAGAGUGAGCUGUCAAGGAUCGGACGGAGAAACGGAACCAGGGCAGAUCGGACGGUUUAGAGAGGGGGCAAGGGGAGCGGGACUAGGGCUUGGCCCGUCCAGCUAGGAUGGGAUGAGGGGGGACGGGUAUGGGGGCUCUCCACCGUGGUCAGCGUCACAUCAGCGCCAUUUUGCCUUGUAGGACCAGCAAACUGGUGAUGGUGUGCUGCCCCUCGCGAGAUAGUUUUCGUGGCACAGACAAGUCGACGGAAACCAAACAGGACGGAAGAGACGGCAAGUCGUCGACGACGUCGACGGAGUUUGUGAAACGUUCAUGCAGGUGACGCACGGAGCGAAGCCGCUGCGCCACGCUUCCCGUCGGUGAGUGACUCGACUGACGCAAAGCUUGCUUGGUUUGUUGCAUCCAUUGGUGAAGAGAGAGAGAGAGAGAGAGAGAGAGAGAGAGAUAUAGGGUGAGCGAUGGUGGUUCAGGGGCAGUAAGAGGGAUUUUGCAGACGGGAAAGGGAGGACGUGGAAGGUCCAUUUGUCUUUUUCCGUUCGGUGUCUCCUCCUUCUGCGGCUUGUCUGGCUUGCUUGGCUAGUUCGGGCCUCCAGCCGGUUCCACAUGGUCUCUCAGUAUUGCUGCCUUGGCACACUUCGUUGCCAUUUCAUCUCCCGACUCUGCCAACUCUGCAUACUCGGCAACGCGUAGGUAUGCAUGUGUGCCACUCGGGUCGAGUGUCAUGUUCAACCCUCCCCUCCUCUCAUGUUGCCAGAUCUUCGUUUGUCGGUGUAUAACCCUCGCUUGUCCUGUCGUCUUGAUGCUAUUGUAGUGAAUAUUGUCCGGGGGUGGGUAUUUGUUUUCGGCGGUGCUUUUGUUGCGCUGUUGGUAUUGGUAUGUUGUUGUGUGUAGUCCGUUUCGAUGAAGUGCUAGAUAUUUGUAGCAGCUGGUGUUUGUAACAAUAAGGUGUUGCUGCGGUUUAGCUACUACGAUCCCUACGUGUGGCAUGUGUACGAAGCACAUCCGCCGCUUGCACUGCGGCUUUAGAGCUUUCUUUGCACCGUUGUGUGCGCUCUUGAAAAAACAAUCGAUGAUGUGGUUUGGACGAAGAGGGUCCGCACAGACAGGGGACAAAUUAAAAAUCGUAUAGGGAUUAAUGUGCGAGGUGAAACUUAAGCAAGAUGGUGAAGUAGCCGCAAAACGGCGGGAUGGGAGUUCUCCCGCCAACAUCGAAGCCGAGCUUUCGCACACCAAGCGUGCGCGCAGAUGUAGUGCUCAUUUCUCCCUACCCUGCUGCCGAGCUUCUCUCAGAUGAUUCAUUCUUGAGCAGUGUAUCAUUUGUCUCUCAACCGCAGGUUACAGGCCUUGAUGUCAACGUCAUGACCCGAGGAGCUUCCUGACAGUCAGUUUCGCGAGUGAGUGUUUCACGAAUUCUGAGAACAAAAAUUCGGAGUCGGCCGAGGUCUGAAGACGCACACCAGUGAUGGGGGCAGCAGGGGAGACGGCAACAGCCCCACCCGCCGCCUCCAAGGGUCCGAAGACCAGCAGCGGUCCUCCCACAUCAGGUGCGACGACGUCCCCGACGCCCAUUGCGUCGCAUGACCCGAACGCGCAGGCAGGCGCGGCGGGGUACAAUGAAUGGUUGGCAGCGUUCCAGGCGUACUACCAGGCGGGAGCACAACCUCCCGCGGGAGGGUUUCCGCACCCCUACAUGUGGGGAGGGCAGCCCAUGAUGCCGCCUCCCUACGGGGGGCCGCACCCUUCUUACGGCGCCAUGUACCCUCCCGGAGGAAUGUAUGGGCACCCGAUGUACGGGCAGUACGGGACUCCGACGCCGGAUGGAAUGGCGGGCGCGGAGCAGGGCGCGGACGGGAAGGCGGAAGCGAAGGGGAGCGAUGGCGGUAAAGCGGCACCUUUGAAGAGAUCGAAGGGCAGCAAGAGCAGCCUGCAGCUACUGAAAGUGAGCGACAGUGGAGGCAAGGGGAACGGGGUGUCGCAGAGCGUGAGCAAUGGCGAGGAAGGAGAGCACGACGGCGAGACGGGGAGCGACGAGGGCGGUUCGACGGAUGCGAGCAGGGAGGAGAAUGCGCAGAACCUGUUGGGAGGGAAGCGGAGUUUCGAGCAGCUGGCGAUGGAAGCCGUGGGAGCUCCGGCUUACAUGGGCACUCCGGGCGGCGCAGCGGGGGUUCCAGGGGGUGCAGUGGGGACGCCAGGGCCAGGAGGAAGCUUGGACAUGAGCUUGGACUACUGGACUGCAGGGUCAGUGCCGCAGGCGAAGGGGGCAAUGCGGGCGUCCGGGAGCCCGUCGACGAGCGCUCCGCCAGCGGAGAUGUGGCUGACGGACGAGAGGGAGGUGAAGCGGCAGAGGAGGAAGCAGUCGAAUCGAGAGUCUGCGAGAAGAUCGAGAUUGAGAAAGCAAGCGGAGUGUGAGGAGCUGGGCAUGCGAGUUGACUCGCUGACUGUAGAGAACGUGUCCUUGCGGACGGAGUUAAGCCGGAUGACCGAGGAGUGCAAGAGGCUGCAGGCGGAAAACAGCAGCUUGAUGCACAAGGUGCGUGGCAUAUCAGGUGCGGAGAUGGGUGGUGCGGCGGGUUCCGGCGAUGUGGCCUCGGCAGGCGGAGACAACGAGGCAGUGGUGUCAGCAAAGGAGAUCGAGGAGUCUCAGAGCAACGGGAACGGGCACGCGACGAAAGCAAGAGACGAGAAGUCAGGCGGUAAGGGGAACGGGAGUGUCGAUGUAGGGGUGAUUGAUCGAUGGAUUGGUGGACCGGGGGUUUUGUAGGAUGUGGGGUGUGCAGUGUUGAUUGGGUGGUGGAAGCUGUGGAUAGUGUUGGCGGUGGGGACUGGUGAGGAGGGUGUGAGAGGAGAGCAUUGAGGCGUAGAGAAGCGUGAGGAAGUGUUGCGCAUUUGGUGGGUGAAAGCGCGCAGCGGGCGUGGGAAAGGACGAUGGGGUUGUGAAGGUUUGUUUAUAGUUUUGGGGUGGUGGUUGAGGCUGGAACGCAUGUGUUGGGGCGUUGGUGUUAUGGUGGCGGCGUGCAGACGCGGAGGGUGAGGGGGUUGUUGGGAUGGAAAGGUCGGACAGUGAUGGGGAGUGACGCGGUGCAUUGGGGUGGGGCGCAGGGGUGAAAGGUCAAGAGGAGGCGGGUGCGGCUGCAUAGGCGUGGAGACAUUGGGUGGGGGGCGGGGGUGAUAGGAAUCGAUUUUGGUAUUUUGGGUGGGUUAUGUAGGAAGCGGUGACGGAAAGAAGUGGUGACAACCCUGCACAAACAUUACAAUUCUUCAAGGGAUGGGCGCGUCCUGUUCAAGGGGUGGUUGGUGACUGGGAGUGGGUGAAGUGAAGAGAGAAUUUCACUGGUGCUGCGCUGGUCCAGCAUUCUUUGGGAGUAGCAGGGAACGCUCGGCUUGAUGUUUUUAGGAUAGUGGUAGUUGGUGCGAUUUUGUGGUGCCAUGCUUGAGUGACGGGAGUUGGCUGUGUACAUUUGGAUACUCUUUGAACAACGGUGGUUUCACUGAAAGUUGAGAGUGAACAUGGGUUGGAAAUUAUAUGCGAGCGUUAUUUGCAGGCACAUGAUUACUCAGUCUUCACAGUCAUGUGCUUUAUAUUGGGUUCAAUUCGGAUAUUAGCUUUAGGGGUUAGACACAUCCUUCUCAACAAUUUCUUUGUCCAGGUCAUUGCACUUCAGCAGUCGGCAUUUGUAUCUAUCAUUUCAUGGAUUGGGAAAUUACUUAUCGAUUUAUUUUCAUUAUUCAAUUUGUUUACCUCGCAUGUAUUGUGGUGGUUUUCUUUUAAUUAAGCUCUUUUAGAAUCAGUAGUUUGCUAUGAUGAGUUGGUUUAUUCUUUGAUUGCAACGCGUCUCUGAUCUCAAAUGGUCAUCUGUUCAUUAGGCAAGGAUCUAAUUGUUUUUAUUUUUGCUUUCUCCAUCGCGCAGCGAUUCAAUCUGAAUUAUUAGUAUGCAGGGGUUUGUUACAAGCUUUUUGAGAUACCUCUUUCAGUUCAUUGGACAAGAAAUUUAGAAGCUGAAGAUGACGAUGUUGAUUACCGUAAUUGUUCUGGUUUCUGUUUUUGAUGACACUUAACUUCGCAACUUUGCGGGUCUAAGGUUGUGUCACGUCCUUGUUGCAUAUCGGCCGUGAAUGUUGACUGCAGCGAGCAUUGAAAGAUCGUAUGGCACUAUGUGAUGCACCUGCUAUGCCUGGGUGUAACAUUGACCUACAUAUUCUGGCGCUGCGGGAUGUUUUAUAGCGUAUAGUGACUUUUUCAUAGCAGUCUUGAUACGUCGAGACUGUAACCUCCAUCAAGAUCACUGCAUGAUUUUCAGGCGUGAGGACAUGAUGGAUAAUUGGACUGCAGUUUAUUAUCUCUUGCACUUUUGCGAAGUUAAGUGUGAAACUAACCCUGACAAGCCUUCACCGAUGCUACGUCGACACUGGUCACAGCUUCGCUGAAUAUUUUGUGACGGGUUGAGAAAUGGAGUCUUUUUGUGAAGAAACUGAUUCUCCAGACAUUUGACCACAGGAAUGAAAUGAUUUUAAUUGUGUUAAAAGUCGGAUGCUUUCGGCAGUAUCAUCAAGGUAUCCUAUAAAGUUACAUAAAAAGCGUGCCAGUCGCAUUCGUCAAUGACAAAUAGACGUCACAAUAGGACUACUUCCUGCGAUUGGUAAAAUUAAUUGAGACUCAUAACUGAAAUGAGCAAGCCUUCCUGCGAUUGGUAAAAUUAAUUUUGAGACUCAUAACUGAAAUGAGCAAGCCUUCCUGCGAUGGGUAAAAUUAAUUUUGAGACUCAUAACUGAAAUGUGCAAGCCUUCGUGCUCAACAACUAGCAUGGCUUACAUGCAGAUUAGCUGUCCAACAAGAAUCGAAUGUUCCAAGGCUUGAGAGAAACAGUUUGACUGUAAUCAACAAACCCUAGGGACAGACAAGAUGCUUCAAAAUCUUAGCCAUUUCCGCUCCUUUUCCUUGCUGUUAACUGCAUGCGUUGUGGUGGCAUGAGCCGCUUCAGCAGAUGCCAAGGCUUUCCGAGCCUCUACUAACUUUCGGCCAACAGCCUCAUAUACAACUUUCUCCUUGCGGUUCCGAGUAGCCAUCUCCUGCAAUUUGCUAACUUUGCUACGAAGCUCCUUAAUUUCAUCUUCAUGAGCUACUAUUGUUUGCCGAUUGGCCUUCUCUAGUGACUGCUUAUCACUGACUGAUCCACUACAGUUGGUUUGAGAACCACCAGGCCUAACCUUACUGGAUUUAGUAGCUGAAACCUGUUGACCAGUGAGAUGAUGAUUGAUGAAGUCAAAAACAUUUCGAGUUUCUUCAAUAACCUCCAUUUUGGACUUGGCUGCUCUUUGUGCGUUAGCCCACUUUUGAUCACGCUUCCUCUUCCCACCCCUGGACUUUUUUUUUUUAGCAGUCUUUUCAGCGUCCCCUUGUUCUCCAUCUUGGUUAUCCUGACCAAAUCCCAGUGACUGCUUGGCUGGUCGCAUCUGAACCUUCACUGGUUGUAUAAUACCUUGACCAGAUACACCUAGUCCCAUUCCCUCACGAAACCCCAUGCUAGCCAUCAUCUUGGAAGCCACUCCGCGAGUGUGCUUCUCCCAAUUUGCAAAAGUAACUGUCUCUGUUUGCACACCUGCACAGAAUGAUCCAAGAGUAGGACGUUCUUCUUCGUCCACAAAAUCAUCGCUUUCAUCCCCAUCUUCAUCUGAGGUGUCUGAUGCAUCACUAAGUAAUGCGUAUUCGGACUGUGCAAGGUCAUCUUUAUCGACGUCCAUUCGCUUUCCAUCAGCACUAAAUACAAUCGUGGCACGCUGCUGUCCUUCGUCCCACAACUCUAGCUCUGCAGCUCGCCAUAGCCCGUUUCCAGCUUCCGCCAGGACUGCAGAUCCCAAUGGUAUUUGCUUCCAUUCAGGAGCCUCGUAAUUGCGCAGAGCAUUCAAAUGGGCUUCUAAACCUGCGAACAGGAUGAACAAACAUCAUCAGAGAUCAUGAACAACGAGGCUCAAGUAACAAACGGCAUUCCUGGGCAGAAUACGCAAACCAUCUCAUUCACCAUCUAGUGUGUAGCUUCGCUGAGUUAAGCAUAGAUUGAAGAGCACUGUAACCCAAACAUGUUGAGGAAUAAAACAUAUUAAUCACAAAUGUAAAGCGCAGUACAUAGAGGAGAUCGAAAUUAGGAAGAAGGAAACUCGAGAAUACAGGUCGCGUUCAAUUAAACAAGGUCAAAUCCUGUUCACUUUAUCAGGCGUGCCAUGCGAAUGAAAAGCAUACGUUGCAGAGAAUGACUGCAUACCAUGAGAUAGACGGCACUUAUUACCAAAUCGACAUUGUUGCUGCAGGAAAAACCUGCACAUCUAUAUUUCCAUCGCACUGCUUUAAAAACUUGUCCUUACACAAAAGCCAACUGUCAUCCACAAGUGCAAGAUGACUUUUUUCUCUUGUGGCAACUGGCUCGAUAUUGAAGAAUAAAAACCGACAAGUAGGGGGACGUUGAAAAUCCGUGACUACGAAAUUGAGUACACUAACAUUCUAUGUUUAUCGUCCUCCACAGGGUUCCACUCUUCGACAGAGUUCUGACCAGAUAAAAGCUGCGACAGUUUUGAUGUCAAAAAGUCUUACCUGCAAUUUUUCGGAAGUUGGAUGUAGAAAAGCCACACGAGCGACAGAGUCAUCCUCCAUGCCAAGAAUACAACCAUUGUACCAUCUCCCAUCGCUAUGACGAAAACGGCAUUUAGAACCGACUGAGAACGGCUGGGGAGGGACCACAUCCCCCAUAUCUGACCUAGAAACCGACUGAGGCAGCUCAUCAGCCACCUCGAUUUGUCCCCCUUCAGAUGGAGAUUCCUGCCGCUGAGUCAUGGCAUCUACCUCUCGAAGUAGCCGAGCACGCUUGAGGUGUAACAGGCUUUCUUCUGCUCCCUUCACAGCUUGCUGUAACUCUUCCCGAAUCUACACAUCGGCACUUAACAGUUAAGUUAAUACUUAGUGAGCGUAUCACGGAUAGGAAUAAACCACAUGGUGCUCAUCGACCAGACCCUCUUUAAUAUGUGAGUCUAAAUCACAUCAAGAGCAUCAAGUUGUAGUAGGGUCGUAAAUCGGAAACCAAAGGGGAAAAUGCUAGAAGGAGAAAUCAAACACCGGGAAGUCAGAGAUGCUUGAUUUCUGAAGGGCAGGUUGAUGGUUUUCAAAGAUAAGAAGAAUACGGCAUGGGUUGUGAUCAACUUCCAACUCUUAAUCAUCAAAAGACUGUGGAAGGUAUUCAAAUAGUCUAAUACAUAGCAAUACAUACUUGUAGUAAUCAUUCGAAGACAAUUGAAACAGCAAAUUCGUGUCAUUGUAGAUAAAUUUCACAAGAAAUUCUCCACUAGCGCAAGUUCAUUCCUCACCAUCUUUCAGCUUCUAUACAAUUCAGAUCGAAAUGCCUCGCAAUUAGGGUCUCAAUGUAAGUCGUGUGUCCUUACAAUUUGUCAGCAAUUUCAAUGACUACUGCCAAAUCAUCCUCAGUGGCUUCAUUUCGCUGCACUACUGACCCACGGGCUUCUACUAAUCGAUCAACGACCAAACAGUCUAGAACAGUAUAAUCUGUGCCGAUUCCACUCAGAGCCUUAAUUUCACCUCAGAAUCAAGCUUUCGGGAGAAAAGGCAGGCAUGACGUAGGCCAUGCUCGUUUCCGUAAUCUAAAGUUCGGUAAACUUGCAGAACAUUGAAGAAAAGAGGAAAUACGAGGCUUCAGUAGACCAAGGACCUCAUAAAUCAAUCACCAUUUUGAUGCUCAUCGCCAAUCCCAGAUGCCAAAUAUUUUGCCAAGCAAAGAAAACCCACACUGUCUGAAAAUAUCUUCACUAAAAAUGAAAGUAGAAUAAUAAUACUGACCAUGAUUAGCUCGGAAUUGUUAAAAUCCACUGCAAGAGCUUCGUCAACGGCCUGCAGGGACGCCCGAUUCUCCUCCAAGUGGGUUUCUAGCUCUCCUUCCAGCGCGGUCUCAUCAUUCGCUUCGCCCAUUGCGACCAAACCCUAAUUACUCGAAAAAUCGCGCGUCGAGGCAAUCCGCAAGCACUAACAUGAAGCUGGCGGUCCAUGCAUCAUCCACGAUCUUCAAUUUUGCUCGUCAUCGGCCAAGACGCCGCAAAAACGAAAGUAGGGAGGCAAACCCAAACUCCCGGAUGAGCUCAAUGAUAUACUGCGUUCACACUUGCUAUGGGUGGUGAUGUUUGUACCCGCCCUUACCCUCCUAUUCCCGCCGUGAUAUGGAGGAGAGCAAAACAUGUUCCGGUCAUGUAGUUCUUCGCAAGGGUAAUGGUUGAUCAAGCGCAUUCAUGGCAUGUUUCUCAGCACCCAGAACAUCAUCGGUGAAGCUUCAAGUUAACCUGCAUGCCAUUGGCGAAGACCAUGGCCUUCAACUGGUGCGCUUGCCCUCAUUGUUUUCGAAGCGUAGCGUAAAUGAGUAACUUCUGUACUCAUGGGGUUAGGAGUCUGCGUAUUAUCUUCGAAGUUUGGCGCUGCAUUGUGAAGGAAUGAAAUACACUUUGUUGAGUCUAUUCUGAUCUUGAGGCGAAUGGGGACGAAUGCUCCUCGUAGCUUGUAAGUGUGAGGGUUGUAGCUAUUGAACGCAGACACAGUUUCCAUCGCUGUAGCGUAGUGCCACACGCAACCCUGGAAUUCAAGGGUUAUCGUUUCUGGCUUAGCUUACAAGAUAAUUUUUCUAGCCAGUAAAUGUCCAUUGUGCCGUCAGUAGACAACAGGGAAGAAAAGUGAGAAUUCUCUGUAGGAUUCAAGCACGAUCGCCUCAAAACCACCACUAUAUAAGACUGUUUUGAAUGAUUCUUGCCCAGCUUCUAUCACCGAUUCCUUGCUGCCUCUGAAUGCAAGAAUUUAGAACUAUAAUACCAACGUUCAAGGAGAUGGUAGGUGCAAUCGCAAGCUACUGAUACAGUUUUCGUCAUGAGGAUUAGGUCGAAAUUGCGUGAAGGCUAUUCUCGUGAUUGGAACCAUUUCGGUGGAUCUUCACAUGUGUAUUUUGGCUGUGUUCGUUGGAAGCUCCAGCUGUCUUCGGAAACCCAACCCUAACCCUAGCCCUAAUUUGGCCCUAAUCCAGGUUUAAAUGCGUCUGAAGAAUUCUAGUGAUUGUUUUGUAAGAAGUUGGGUGAUAAUGUAUUGUUUGGAGAUGAAGACACUUUUCGAAUCGGUUUGAACUUCAUAGAAAAGAAAGAGAGGAGUGGGUCAUGGAUAAAUCGCCUCCUGUUUCAAUAUGUGUAAAUUGGCUUUGUAUGUGUAUAUUUGUUUUGUAUUUUCAUGUAUUUUGUUAUUGCGAUUUAUUUGUAUUGAAGUUGGAAAUUGUUGAAAAGCAAUCUUGAUGUUUUUGUUUAUUUCAUAAACAUGGAAUUGCAAAUUUUCUGUGUGGAAAUCAUAAUUCAUUCUUUGUUUUUAAUUGAUUUAUGUCGAAUAAGUGAUUUAGUUAUACUAUUUUUAGUGUUUUAUCAAAUUCUUGUGAAAAAGGUGUAAUUAUACAUAAACAUAUCAUGAAAUCACAAAAAUCAACAGUAUAUAUGUGUAUACCAGCAUUGAGGGUGCUUGGUAUGCUUUGGGAGUAGUAUGUUGAAGCAUGGUAUUGUUGUAAAAUAAUAUACAAUAUAAUUAUAAAUCACAAUGUAAAAAAUGUAACUACACAUAUUUUUAUAUGUUUUAUGUAGUUUGUUAUAAAUCAUUGUUUAGAUUUCGUCAAUGCAAUCUCUCUCUCUCUCUCUCUCUCUCAAUAUACAUAUAUAUAUAUAUAUAUAUAUAGACAUGUGCACAUUUAUUACACAUAAGUAAUUUGCAAUGUUUUUUGAAAUAGCAGUUUCAUAAAUACACCAAUGACUUUCUUGUAAACCAAUCUUGAAUUUCAAAUAUUUUUAAUUUAUGAUUAAUGUUGAUAAAAAUAUUCUGAUGUGAUUCAAUUCACUUUCAUUUGAAUGUUAUUAUUAGUGCUUUGAAAUUGCAGACCUCUAAAACUAUGGUAAUAUCUUUUCAGUAAAUUUAUUGUAUAACUAUAAAUAUAUAGAUAUACAUAUAUUUUAAGCUCUUUUCUUCUUGUUAUUUAUCCCUUUUAAGAAUCAAAUAAUCAUGCUUAGGGAUAUGUCUCAACUUUGACUCAAUGACCAAAUUUUCUUUACCAGACAACACACAAGAAACUGUAACAUAUUUGAUGACAAAACAACCAACAACUGAAAUACCAAUUAUUACAAAUAACUUUAAUCAAAUUCUCAAAUACAUACUUUAAAACCCCAUAUUGUCUUGAUUUCCCUUGGAGCAACCUAUGCAAUCCAUGGGCAAACUUAGGGGCUUGAUGAAGCAUGUUAAGAACCCAACAAUCCUUACCCUCAUAGACUCAAGUUAAAUGAAUGCUUGAUGUUUGCCCAAUAGGGUAAUUCUUAGUAAGUGCUAGAAGCUACAAAGACCAAGCACACAUGCAACAAUCAAACACAAAAACAUAAAAAAGAGAAAAAAGUUUUUUAAAAAAAACAUAGAAGACGAGAUUGGAAACCAUGAUCCAAACCCCCUUUUUAAAAAAUAAUAACAAUUAAGAUCACCACACAUAUAGGCACAUUGUGAAGCACAAUAACAAACUUUUAUAAGCUCCAUGUAAUUAGCACUAAUUUUUUAGGAUCAAGGCUUAGGACAUAUCAAUAAAUGGUGGGUUACCCCUGACUUCGAAUCCCACCCCACCCAACCAACCAAUCCUCAACACAUUCAUCCACGAACGAACAGAACCAUUCGUGAACACGACAAACAGAUUAUCCUGUCUAGAUCGACUGAAUCAUCCAUCCAUCCAUCCAUCCAUCUAUCAACAAAGGCGACCAAGGUUUAGGUUUUAGGAGAAAGGGAGGUGAGUGCCACGCUAAUCGCAUCGCGGCGCGUGUCGACGAAGGGAAUGCCGGUGAAUGAGUGCCACAGCUUGUUGUAGAGAUGGAGGGGGCCAAGAGAAAAUAGAAGACACUGAGGGGAAUGCAUCGCAACGGAUUGAUCAGCAUCACCGGCAUGAUGCUAAAGCACAAAAAAGGGCUCCCUGACACGCUCUCGAACUCCAACUGUGCGGAUCUCUAACCUCGAGAGUUGUUCGGAAACGAGGGUGAUCGAUCUAUCACUCUGGGCCCGACCCAGCAUCCGUGUAUAGAUUCCCUGAGAUAUUCCUCGAUGCUUCCUUUGUUUAUUUAUUUAUCUGUGGCGAGUUUCGAUUACAAAAUCACGUCCUUUGGUCGUUCUCAAUGCAGCUCAUCGAUCGGUCCAUGCUUCUUCUUCUGCAUUCUCGGUCUCUCUCUCUCUCGCUCGCUCAAUGCGUGUGUAGGUUUAUCAAUUCAUGGUGGUUUUCUUUGUGACCACGAACUCUCAGCUGGGUGUUGGCGUUUUUGGACUUUUUUUCUGUAUUUCUGCUGGAAUGGUUGGAGAAACUAGCAGCCAAAAGCAGGGAAAGGAAAGCCCACGCUUGUCGCACCACGAGUGAUUGCGGAGGAUGCUGAUGUGUGGGUGCCUAUUUUUGGAAUCCCAGCUCUGAGGCUGCUGUUUAUGGCGUGGUGAGACGCGACUGGGUACCAAGCUUGGAGCUCGCAGGCCUCCUUGAUCGUCACUGGUGCUCGUGAUUGAACGGCAAGCUGCGUGUAUUGGCAGCACAACAGCCGCCACAAAUAGCGUGAUUGAGGGGCUCUGCCGCUGCCAGUUAUCAAGGGUGUUGCUGCGAUCGGCCCGGUGGUGUUGACAACCGAGGGACAGUGAGUGGGGAGGGAGAGUGAUCGAGAGGCUGUGCGGUAGAGGUGAGUUCACCCCCUUGGGUCCUUCUUCAGUGAGUCUCGUCAGAGAGGUUGUCAAUUGCAGCCGCGCAUUGUUGUUUGUCUUCUGAGGUGUGGUUUGAUGAGUCUCUGGUGGAUGGUUGUUUACUCAUUCCGCGCAUCGGUUGUUGUCGAGUGGGUCUUUCGUUGACAGUAAACCGUAUGCUCGUGAAGCUUUUGUAUUCAGAAUCACGUCUGGAUUCGUACUCGUGGUAGUGUUUUAACUUUGCGAUGUUUUCUGGAAUUGGCCGCUGCGCUCCUCUGCAAAUUUGUUUGCGUGGUAUGGCGUGCUGUACUUUGGAGAAAAAUCACAAAACAAACAAUCAGAUUUCAUUACUAUCGUUCCAGUUCGAAUUUUCAGGACAUUCUUGGUCAAGUACCUGGUCGUGCAGAAAGAUAAUUCACGCACCCAGCUGACGGGAAGGCCUGUGUGCUGUCUUUGUGAUCUCCAGCCUUACUCACAUUGCCCUAGACUCGAUUGCUCAGGACCUUAUCCUCGAAGAAGACGAGGGCUUUGCUGACAUGGGCCUUCAGCAUUAUGGUGCGCCUUCCUCCUACCCUUUUUUUUUUUUUUUUUUUUUUUUUUUUUGUCAAUGGGGAAGUACUCAUACUCAAUCGGUAUUAAGUCAGUGGGCUCUUUUUCAAUUGAGGUUACUCUGUUAUAAACGGAGUUCUAACAAUAUACUCUCUAUUGUCGUUCAAAUUGUGCAGCGGAUCUGGAGUCCUGCCUAAGUGUUGCGGUCGACGCCGCCAAGAGAGCUGGACAGGUAGAUGCGCAUAAACUUCAAUUGUGAUGAUUUUCGCUUCGCCCCCCCCAUUUGGUAUCAAUGGGAUGCUCUGUUUUGUAUUAAGAAGGUCGUGCUUAUAACUACUUCGGUUCGAUUUUCAGAUCAUCGCCAACAACUUCAAUACGGCGAAGGUCAUUGAGCACAAAGGCAUGGUAAGGAGAUUGCUUUCAGCAUACUAAGAACACUCUACAAAAUCCUCCAUGAAUUCGUUUCGUGCAAUCUGCUCCUUGUUAAUGUACUAACAGACCUGGUUACCGAGACAGGUAGACCUCGUUACCGAGACAGAUAAAGCAUGCGAGGAUUUGAUUUUCAAGCUGCUCAAGUCAACCUUCCCUUCUCAUGAGGUACUAAUGAAAUUCACCCAAUUUUUAUUUACUUAUUUAUUUAGGGAAAAGCUGCACUGUAACUAAGCCUCGCACAAACUUUGACAUUCCGAUUUCCAUCUCUCUUUGUAGUUGAUUGGAGAGGAGACAUCGGCAGAGAAUGGGACUCCACUUCUUACAGACGCCCCUACGUGGAUUGUCGACCCCCUGGACGGCACCACAAACUUCGUCCACAGGUUCCCCUUUGUCUGUGUCUCCAUCGGCCUUGUCGUCAACAAAGUCCCUGUGGUGGGCGUUGUCUAUAACCCCAUUCUGAAGGAGCUCUUCACUGCUGUGCAAGGAAAGGGGGCUUACUUGAAUGGCAAGCUCAUCCAUGCUUCAAGUCAGGACAAGAUCGGCAAUUCCAUUCUGGCCACCGAGGUUGGAACCACUCGAGACAAGCAAACGGUGGAUCGAACCACGAAUUGCAUCAACAAUCUUCUGUUCCAGGUGCGCUCAUGCUAGAUUUAUUCACGUCUUUGCCGUGUUGCAGCAUUCGGGUUCCUCGUAGCACUUCACGUAAAAUUGGUGAUGCAACUCAUUCAGCCCUUGAUCUUUUCUCAUGCAGGUGCGGUCUGUUCGUCUUUCCGGGUCAUGCGCUAUGAAUCUAUGUGGCGUUGCAUGUGGGCGGCUUGACAUGUUCUACGAGACUGGUUUCGGAGGUCCCUGGUGAGCACCCAUCUUUCAUCUGGUAUACAUUCAAUUCAUGGUAGCGGAAGUCCUGUGUCAACAUUACAAUGAUCUAUUAAUCUGAAGACAAUUCACGAGUUCUUGAUCCGGAAUGGCACACAGGGAUGUUGCCGGAGGAGCUUUGAUUGUGCAAGAAGCUGGCGGUCUUAUUUUUGAUCCGUGAGCACCUGACACUCCCUCUAUCGUUUACCUGCACAUGAGGCUUUUUCAGAUGCUGUAACAGUGGACUUCAAUUCUAAAUUUGGGUAUCAAUUAUUUUCUCUACAUUGAGCAAGUUUUGACUCGCGUGUAGAUCUGGGAAAGAUUUCGACCUCAUGUCUCGCCGCAUAGGAGCAUCAAAUGGACAUCUCAAACA